RNAcentral lists this long non-coding RNA (181940 nucleotides) under Olea europaea (common olive). RNAcentral's name for it is "long non-coding RNA (OEUR_LNC005943)". The record is from RNAcentral. Lineage: Eukaryota; Viridiplantae; Streptophyta; Magnoliopsida; Lamiales; Oleaceae.
AUUCGAGCAAGAUUCACUGCAAUUUCAAUGAAUGUUUGUGAGAAUGGACAAUUUGCAUCUCGACCUUUGUUAAUCUUUUUCCAGGUCUCGCAUAUCAAAAACCUUAUGUGUUUGCGUAACUCAUCUUCGGAAGCACCAGUUUCGUUCAUGUAACAUUGUAUUGAUUUAGGAACAUCGCCUCUUUCCAAUUCAUCCUGAAUUAAUAAAGCAUAAAAAACACCUUUAGUUGAAAGGGUUAAUUUCGAAUUCCUAUUGUCUCAUUGAUUUCAUUAACCAAAAAUGUUGUAAACAUGAAAUGAAAUGGCUUGCUGCAUACAUACCGAUGAUGUUGCUAAAUCAUCUGCAAGCCUUAAAAUCGUAGCCGACCAGCGAACUAUAUCAGGAUAUUUCUCUAAGCACUGAAUGGCUUCUUUCUCUAUCGGAUUGGUAACAGAGAAAAAAGAAUGUGACAAUAUUACAUGAGCUGAUAUUGAAAUCAAUGCAUUUUCCAUAUGCUCUUCCAUUGUUGGGGUGUAUCCAGUGAAGCACCAUUUUGCCUCUUGUAAGUAUGCUUUGCAUAAAUCUGUCCACUGUGACAUUGAUUUGACAUGCUUAUUGUAAAUAUCUUAGAUCGGAAAAUUUUAAGGAUAUUUAAAACAUAUAGAGAAAUUUCUGUUGGUUGUAGUAAAGGAUAAAAUAUGAGAUCACUUAGUAUAGAAACAGUACUCAUUAUAAGGGCUCGUGCAAUUGUGCUACUCCUCUUAACUUCAUUAAUAUUUUAAGAUAGAAGUCUAUGACCCAGAAGGCGUAUCAUACAAGAUUUGACAAUAAAAUGAACAAAAUUUUCUUUUUCUUCUUUAAUAUUAUUUGAUGUUAUCUAGUGCGCGUUUGACCCACAGAAUUUUGAAAGAAUGUGUGAUUAAAAAAUAAGAAAACGUUUUGGAUUUAUGUGUAAUAUUAUUUUAUUGAAAAAUAUGUAGUUGAAAUGAUGUUAAAUUACUUUUAGGAAUAUAUAUAUAUAAUUUUUUUUUUUUGAAAGAAUGCGAUUCAAACAGACCUGAUAUUCAUCAUAAUACACAUGCUAAUAAGGAUAUAUUCUUGAAGGAAACUAAUAGUACCACUUUUCUUAAAUAUGGAAUAAUUACGAUCCCUUUUUCUCUGAGAACAUCGUAAGCCAUUUCAUUGAUGAAGUUGUUGAGUGCUAGAUAGAAAAUUUGCAUGUAAUCUGGAAGUUGCUCAAUUGCACUGACAUCCCAUCUGUAAAGUUCCAAGAAGAAAUAAUUGUAAGAGCUACAAAGAGAAAGGAGGCUUGGAAAGAAACAUUAGGAGGACGUUGCUAACCUUUCAAUGAUGUAUGUAAAAAGUUCCAUUUCUUCAAACAUACCAUACACAUCAUAUAUAUCAUCCAUAAUUGUAAUAAAAACAUUUACUUUGGUUGCAUCUAUUCGUGAAAAUCCAUAUUGUGGUUCAAAUAGCACUCCUAUAUUUCAAAAGAAACAUUCCACGAGCCUAUCCCUGGCAAAUGGCAACAUCUUGGCAAGGCAUGUUCUCUUCCACCACCUAUUCAUAUACAGAAACCAAGGAUGGUAAGGUUAGGAGCUUAAAAUACGAUAUAUUUAGCGCACUCGGCAAUACCUGGAGACAUAUUUUAGUUCCUCAAGAUAUGUUGCUUGAACAAUGUUGAAAUCCAGUUUUGCAAGUUGGAGAAGAAUUGGAUUCUUGUCUGGUCUCUUCUCAUAUUUGUUUAUGAACCGCCGUUGAAUGAAUUAAAUAAAUGUGUACUCUCCUAAUAGAUUAAAUUUUUAGACGAAAUAGUUCAACACUACCCUGCUUCAGCCCGAGGUAUGGUCCAGUGCAGUGGAAUCUCCAAGGCAUGGUGCACCAAUGGAUCACAAUGAAUGUCGUCAACACUUUUAUCCUCGAGAUGUUUGAUAGUGAAUUCUCUUGCCAUUUCCAGAGUACUCUCACCUUCUAUUGACAAGAAAGAAGCUUCAUACAGUUGUAGUAAUCCCUUUGUAUCAUUACAUAACCUUGGCUUGAAAUCACCCUUCUCAUUCUUUAAACAAUCAAAUCUUUCUGCAAUCAGCCAAGCUUUGGCAUGUUAAGCGAAAAAAGUGAUGCAAAAAAUAAAACCUUAAUUUCUACUUAGGAGAGCAAUAAUAAACAAAGAAAUACUGAGAUCUUUUGUGUAGUGGACUAUCAGGGAAAUCUAAUACAUGUAGGAAAUAUACAAUAUACCCCUGAAAAAAUAUUACAUCCGUGCUCGAUUCUAUAAGUGUGCAUUAUGAUUAGGCUACAAGGAAUCUGACAAUAAGAAAUCAUAAAUCAACAGAAUAGAUAAAGGAUUCUAAGUUGUUUUUUGUGCACCUUGAGAGACAUUAAAGCCAUGUUGUCUUAGUAGUCUAAAUUCCAAAGCUGUAGCAUACAAAUCCUUAAUCUUUGGCUCUUUACUUUUGCUAUAUUUUCGGUUUAUAAAAGCCAAUAUUUGCUCAAUUUCAUCCUCAAAAUGGUAAGAUAUUCCCAGCCUCUCCAAGUUAUCAAUUAAUUCCAACUGAUCCAGUGGUUCCAUCGUUUCAUCAAGCAUCAUCUUCACUUGCAUCUUCAUCUCAGAAGCCCUUGUUUUGUAUCUCUCUUCCUACAUUAUGCAUAUCAUUUUUUGUCAGUCCUUAUAAUAAAUAUAUAUAGAAAAAAAUUCUACAGAUGACGAUAAUUACCGUGUAUUCACUAUUUAAGGACUGAAUAUAAUCGAAUUCCCAUAUAGGGGGCUUGUAUUUUCCUGAUCGCCUAAUCACGGUCUGAUUGUAAGACGUAGAGGCAAGAAUUCGAUAUUGUUUAGCAUUAGAAGCAAGGCUAUCAGUAGUUGUACCCAAAGCAAAACGGAUCUCCAUUUUUGGAAGCUCCGUUUUGAACGAGCAAACAGAAAUUGGCCUCAGAAUUUGCAUGUUGAUAACCUCUCUCUCUCUUUCUCCCUCUCUCUCUAUAUAUAUAUAUGUAGAGAGAGAGAGAGAUGAUCUAUCAAACGGACAAAAUGUAACCCUGUGGCGCUUUAGUAUUUUUCACAUGGAAUAAUACGAAGUUACCGUGUUAAGUGUUAAAAUUGGCACCGAUUUGCAGUACGGACAGGAGACCAAACAGGGGAGAUGGAUGAGUAUUUUUUUUGGCAAUACUUUACUCACAUAGGCCCUCCCCAUGUGAGUAAUUUGCUGUGCACGAAGCAAAAUGCACAUUACACGUGAUUGCAUUCUCUUCGAUUUUCAACAUUUUUGAACCAAAAAUCAAUGUACUUAUCAAACACAAAUCAUUACUUACUGUAUAGAUAAGAAUUUGGCGAGUUAGAUUGAUUCUGAGUCCACAUAUCAUUACUUACUUUUCUUUCUAAAAACACAAAUUUCUAACCAGCUUCGAAUGACGGAGACCCAACACGUGAGUGAUCCACUUCUCAUUGCUCUCCUUAUUAAACCAAAUAAAUAGAUGGAGAUACAUUUUUAAUUCGUUUAUUUAUUUUUAUCAUUCAAUUGAAUACUUCUAAUUAGGAGCUAUUUUGUCAUUCUUAGUUAGGAUUCGUCACUUUUUAAACUCUUUUAAUAGCGUGUUGUUUUCUUUGUUGUUUCUUAUGAUCUAUAUAAUAUUGGAGUUUUUCCCAAUUGAUCAAUCUAUUUAGACAAAAUCAAUGAAAUUCGAUUUGUGUAUAUUCGUUCUCACUGCUUCACAAUCUAGAGUUGGUAGAGUUAGAGACAAUCUUUGGAAGAGAUGCAUAUCAAGUAUAUCAAUUAUUAUUAUUAUUAUUAUUAUUAUUAUUAUUAUUAUUAUUAUUAUUAUUAUUUUAAGUUUCUCUGUAUUGUCUUCGUCGAUUUCGGUUACUAAUAAUGACUAAAUAUUGACAUAUUGAAUUUUUAGGACAAAUUGCACAGAACAUGCCUAUAAAUUACAAGUUUUGGAUCUGUUAAUGUAUUUGCCUAACUAUUGUAGUGGAUUGUAAAUUUGAUUUCCACGACUUAAGUACAAACGAAAUUGAACAUGAGAGAAAUCUUCUGUCAUUAAUAUAGUGGUGGCAAGUUUUGGGCCUGACUCGAUUUCUCAUGACGACCAUUAUUCUAAAUGUGAACCAUUAUUCUUGUCUAGAUCUUUAGAUGAGCCAUUGUAUAAUUUGCCUAAUCAUUGGAGUGGUAGGAAAAUUUUGACUUUGUUAGAAUUAAGGUGUGACCCGAAUUCUAUUUGAAAGAUAAUUGAAAAUUUUAAUUAAAGUUGACUUAAGGAAAAUUUUAUUUCAAAUGCUAUUUUGAAAUCCUAUUCGAAGUUUGUUAGGUAAAUUCUAGUUUAAAUUCUAUUUGGAAGUCAACUGAAAGUUGAAAUUUGUGUUGAAUUUGAAGAGAUCAAGAUAUAGAUUAGGAAGGACUUCUGGUGCAAUCAUGCUCGCUUGGCGCUUGACUGGAGCUCGAGUGUCCAAAGUAGUGAAGCCAGCGAUCGCCUAAUGCUUGAGUGCCAUAUUCAUCCUACCUAGGCCCAUUUUCGCGUUUUACAAGCAUUUUCAACAUUCUAUUUCUUCUACGAUAUCAAGACUAGGGUUAUGGAUGUCUUCUAUUUGUUUCCUAUUUAUAUUUGGCUAUUCUUUACAAAUUAAUCAGGUUGUUAAACCUCAUUAUAAGUUAGACAAAUUAUAAACACAAAAUCAUUGUAUUCUUUAUCCAUAUUCUAGUGAAAUAUCAUUUCCUCUACAAAUUAUCUUGUUCUUGGGUUUGUGUUCAAUUACUUCAUAUUGUGCCAUAAAUAUAUUAUUCGUUUCUCGUCCAUUAUUACAACGAAUUGUUAUCAGAGCAAUUCGAUAUCUUACAGACUUUGUCGAAAUAAGCAAAAAAGAUAUUGAACAUAACAAGUGUCAUUAAUUUAGGGGUUGAGUGACCAAUUUUUCUCUGUUGCUGCCUUAAGAUUUGGGUUUAGUAGAGGUGGUUUAAGUGCAAGUUGACGUAGCCAUAGAGUUCACAUUUUUUAUUAUUUUAUUUUUUUGAAUACUUAUUUUACGCAACUGUAUAAUUGGCGUGGAUAAUUUGAGAUCUUUAUAUGGAUCAUAUUUGGCUAGCCUGAAAGGUACCUUCCAACAAAUUUUGCGGUUGACUGUGUUUACAAGUUUAUUCAACAAAAUAACUAUUUUAUCCUCAACUAUUUUAUUUAUCAAAGCUAAAGAAAUAUCCCUUAUUCACACGAAAUUUGUUGUAUGUAAAAAAUUAUAUAUAUCAUAUACAUUUCAUCAAAGUGACAAGUGUCAUAAUAUUUUAAUAAGUUUAGUGAUAACUCGAAUAACCUUUGAAGUUCAACGAUGCCUAAGAAAAAAUUGAGAAAAUUUAAUAGUAACUCGCUUGAAGUUGAAAGGCAAUUGAGAAACAUUAAUGUUCACUAGCAAUAGAAAUUUUGAACUCUAUAUAAGACCCUGUUUGACAUCCAUUAAAAGGAAUUUUUUGAGAAAAAUGUGUUUUGGAAUAAAGAUUUUUUGGAGAAUUAGUAGUUAAAAAGUAGAAAAAAGUUUUAAAUUUGCGUACAAAAUAUUUUAUUGUGAAAAUGUGUGAUUAAAAAUGAGUUGUUAUUAUUAUUAUUAUCAUCAUCAUCAUCAUCAUUAUUAUUAUUAUUAUUAUUAUUAUUAUUAUUAUUAUUAUUAUUAUUAUUAUUUUAUUUUUGUAAAAAUGAUUGUCAAACACUUAGUAUGAAGAAGAUGUAUUAAAUGUGAUAAAAAAGAAUUCUACACAUCCGGAGAUAAGUAGAUACAAGCCUAACUAAUUUUGCUAGAAAAUACAAAGUUAAAUUACGCGAUAAGAAAACUGUGUCCGGGGAUUAAUGCAUGGAGGAGCCAUUCCAAUGGGCAAUUCUGAAAUUUAAGUAAUAAAGCAAAUAAAAUCAAGUUGAAUGAAGAUAGUUCGAAAAUAAAAUCCAUUGAAAAUUCACAAAUUUACAAGAGAAUAUAGUUUCUAAAGAAGUAAAUAUCCAAACGCCGAAUUUUAAUAUUUUAUAUAUAAAGACAACAAAAUAUAGAUUCAGAUUGCAGAAAAUAGAAAUAAAAAUUCGAACAAUGUAAAGGAAUAUUAAUCAAUUGCAAACUGUAAAAAAACAAUAAAAAAAGGCGACAUGUAAGCACUUUAAAUAGCGGAUAAAUCUAAAUGGACAAGGUAACGUAGGCUUUGUCUGUCUAGAGGGCGCGCGUGGCGCCAAACCCCUUGCCAAUAGGGGACGCCUUCUAUAGCCAAGCCCACCACAUCCAAUAUAAUAUUUUAUGAACAACCCAAGUAUCAAUUGAUCAAUAUUGACUAUCUUCAACAUGAAAAAUUUCAAGCCAAUUUAUAUUUGAACUUCAAAAAAAUAAAUUAAAAAAAAAUCGUUUUCCUUGUGGUCAGAUUGUGAUAAGGAGAUUAGGAUGAGAAUUCAAAUAUAUUCAGUCGUUAAAUAUUGAAUACGCAGUAAUUGUAUCAUUUACAUGAAAACAUCUUAGUUUUUUCUAGAGAUGGUAGUGGAGUGGGUUCGGAAUAGGGCUUAGACGGGUGGAGUGGUGGCUUGUCCCUUAUAUAUAUAUAUGUGUGUGUGUGUGUGUGUGUACAUUUUCAAAAUUAAUUCGAGUUAUGCUAUUAUUAGAAAAUAAAAUAAAAAUUCAAAAUUUUUAAAUCCAAAGUAAAUAAUGCUCAAACCAUAUAUAUAUAUUUUUUUUUAAGGGGGCGAACUCCGGUUUGGCCCCAUUCGAGACGUGGCGGGAUGAAUUUUUUUGUCAUCUCUAAUUUUUUUCGUGCAAUCAAAUUUUGAUUUUGCAUAAUGUAGGAACUAGAGAAAGAGAGAGACGCGAUGGGGGCUUCUCAAAUGAAGAUUCAAGUGAAGAUGAUGCUUGAUAAAACAGUAGAGCCACUUGAAGUACUAGCACCAACUCAAAUAAGUUGGUAAUGGCAUGCAAGAAGCAAUACAUAAACAGGGCCCAUGUGGCACUGUUUGAGAAGAGUUGUUCAUUAAGUAGGGACAAAAGGUCUGAUUAGACUGCAAGUAGAUUGGAAGUAAUAAUGCUUUCAAUAAUGCAAGCAAAUAAUUGCAUUAUGUUUGCAAAAUAAAUGCUAUCACUCUUUUGACAGGAUCUAGGUAUUCUUCAUUUUGGAUCAAAAAUUAAGUUAUAAAAAAUUUUGAAGCAACAUAAAAUUAAUGAGAAUAAUUCAAUACAUUACUACGAAUGUUGUCUAUGCAUUUCCAUAAUUUGAAAUCAUCGUAUAAUUACAUUAUUAUCAAUAUUGCAAAUAUAACAUCCUCAAUGUACAAAACUGACUAUCAUUCAAUAGUCGAAUAUCCAAUUCAAUUGCAUGGUUCAAACCGUGGUUGAGGUCUUGAGGAGUCUGAUGUUGAUGUGGAGAAAAAAUGUGGUCGGUCAUCGACGUUGAUGUCGAUGACCUAGGUAGGAAAAUGCAACUAUAUGGUAAAAAUGACAAAUCUAGGUAUUGGGGGAAGAAUGAGAUUCAAGGCUUAAAAGAAGUUGGGAGGCAGAAAGUGGAUGAAAAAAAAAAAAGUGUUCAAACUUCAAAUAGUAGAAAAGUGAAAAAAAACUAAAAUUUAAAAGGAAAAUUCCAAAAUUUUCGUGGGCUCAGCAAACCCCAUAUGACCCCACGUAACUCCAAUCAUAAAUCAAUCUAAUGUCAUCACUUACCCAAUUCGUAAUUCAUUGAUUGACUUAUAUGUAAAACAUUAAGAUCACGUUUUUAAAGCUGUUUGGGACAAAAAUCUUCAGUGUCUCUUUUUGAGCCCUUAACAAAUAUGUCCACUUCAACAUAUAAAAUAAGUGUUGUACCUUGGAAAAAAAAAUACUACACAUCAUUCUUCUUUACUUCUAAAAAUUUUAUCUAUAAUUCAUGAGAAUAUUUUGAAUGAUUGAUAUAUUUCACGAGUAUUUUAGAAAUAUCACUCUAGAGGUAUUGUACCAAAAAAUCUUAGUAUCUUGUGGCUAGGCAUGUGCACACAACAAUAAUUCCUAAACAAAGAAAAAUGAAAAAGUUUAUCAAUUAAUAAAGAUUAUUACCCCAUGGUUGUCUGCACCAAACCAUGUUUAAUUUAUAUUUUUCUUUUUAGCUCGUUUUACAUUUUGUUUUUUCACUGCAUGGAUGAGAUUUUUUUCAAUAAAAGUAUCACUGCAAAAAUUUAUAUGUGAGAAAAAAAAUAAAAGAAGUAUAAAUCGAUAAAUAUAUAAGUGACCCCUAUGAAACAAGAUAAAGCAGGGAAACACUAUAUUAUAAUUAAAUGACAUUAUUUGAAUAUGAACAAUUAGAUUUUAUUAAUAAAGAUGAAUUAUGUGUGACAAAUGUUAUUAAUCAUCACAAGGAAAUGAUACUUGUACAAAUGAUCCUUUAAGAGCGUAAGUUUAUUUCUAUUAAAGUAUAUAUACUAUUAAUUGCAAGAUGGAUGGAAACAGGUUUUUUUUUUUUUUUUUUUUUUUUUUUUUUGUUGGAAACCAUUGAAAAUGACCUCUAUUUUUUUUAUUUUACGUAACAUCAAUAUGUUGAGGGGGUCAAUGCAACGAUUGUAGUAUUAGGGACCAUUUCCACACAAGGGCCUUACAUUAAGGACCAUCUAUACCAAUUUCCUUGUUAAUUAAUACUCCACCUUUGUGUUCGCUUGAAUAAAAAAAAAGUUUUAUUGUGGAAAUGCCUCAACGUAUGGAUCUAUUGAUACCCUUACCCUUUUUAAAUUGGUGGAAACCCCCCGUAUGAACUUUGAAGUGCGGAACCCAUUGUCUUUCAUUUUCUCAUAAAUCCCUAUGAAAUGACGAUUUGGGAAAAAAUAGUAGAGAAGACAGCUUGGUAUGUCAAAUUAGAUGUAAUAUAAAUGUGGAGAAACACAACUAUAUGGUUUGUGAUCUGAAAUGAAGGUUAUUAUGCACAUAAAAAUUGCAAAGAUUCAAUCAACAACACACGAUGAGUGGAGGCAUGACGAUAUUGCUAGAAUAUGACCCAAAUUUCUAUUGGGAUUAGGAUUGGGUUGGUAAAUUGAUAAAAGGAAAUGGAGUCUUCUUGGUUUGGAAGUUCGAUUGAAAAAGAGGAUUAAAGUUCAUCAAUGAUUGAAAUUUUGAUUGGUAAAAGAAUUUUGGAAAAUUGAAGACUUGAUUUUGAAAUUUUGGUGGAUAAAAAAUCGUCACAAUUUCGCUAACUGGCAGCUAACUUUGGUGUUCAAGCAUUAGAGGUGAAAAUCGGAGUAGAGAGAUGCCGCGUUGCCCGCUUAGUGUCGCCUGGCACUGGAGUGACAAUGUUAUUCGGACAGGAAUAUAUAUAUAUAUAUAUUCCACGUGAUAUAGGCUCUUAAAAGGAUAAAUUAACAAUAAAAUCAUAGUUAUAUAGAUUAAAAACUUGAGAUGGUUAUUUAAAUUUAGAUUGAGUGUAUCAAAUCUCGUAAGGCAAUUUUAGUUUCUUGAUAUAUUUAAAUUCUUCUUUUCUUUCAUAUAAAUCUUGUGUUCUUAUGUGAUCCAUUAUUUUUCAUAUUGCUCUUAUUUUCUCGUCUUUAUUAUUUGGCCGAUUUAUCUUUACAAUUCCAUACGAUUCAUCAAGAACUAUGUGUUGAAAAUAGAAGAUGCGAGUCAGCUUGAAGAAGAAGUUUAGCUGAAGCAUUGUCAUAAUCAGAAAGAAAUAGGCCAGGUUGGAUUAAUGACAGAACAGAUGACAAAGCAACAACAGAAGAAUGAUCUAGAAGAGGAUUAGUUAUAUUUUGUUAUUGUACAGCAGAAGAAAAAUCUAGAAGAAUAAUUACCUAUUUUUUUGUGUAAGUUAGUUAGAAAGGAUUCCUUCAUUUUGUAAGGGGCCCUAUUGUACAUAACACAUGGUGAAUUGAAUACAAUUUCAUUCUUCUCCUAGUUCAUCAAUAUCAGAAUUUUUAUCUUUUAAAAUCUAACAUGGUAUUAGAGUUAGAAAUGGAGGAAUCCAAUUCAGAAAACACAAAUCCCACCCCAAAUACAAACACUAGUCCAAGCCAAAUCCAAAACCAAACUAGAGGAGGGAACUCAGGUGUCCUUUCUCUUGACCCAACUCAUCCUAGCAACCCUUAUUAUAUAGGUAGCAAUGAUGGAACUACUGUCAUGCUGGCACCCAUGCCUUGUGCUCUAGUAAUUAUUAUUCCUAGGCUCGAUCAAUGAGAAGAGUAUUGAGAAUAAAAAAUAAGCUAGGGUUCAUAGAUGGUAGUCUUUGUGAACGAAAAAAUCUAAAUAAUCCAUUAAUGGAACAUUGGUUAAGGUGCAAUGACAUUGUCAUAACGUGGUUGUAGAAUGCCAUGGCAAUUGAUAUUAAGAGUGGCAUCAUGAAACAACUUACCUUUUUUGGCUUGACCUUGAACAACGCUUCUCCCAGCAAAAUGCUCCAUGCAUCUUUGAAGUAAAGAAGGAUAUCAUAACCUUGAUGCAAAAUCAAGACUCGGUGAGUGUUUACUUCUCAAAACUCUCUUAGAUGAACUGCUGAAUUAUGAAAGUAUUCCCAAUUGCACAUGUGGAGAUCUAAAAAUUGUCGUUCAAAAUCAAUAAAGGGAUUGGGUUAUGAAAUUCUUGAUGGGGCUAAAUGAUUCUUACAAAGAGAUUAAGGUCCAGAUCUUAUUGAUUAAGCCAUUUUCUAGCCUGAAUGAGGUAUAUUCAUUGAUCCAGCAAGAGGAUAAGAGGCGGGAGAUAUCUAAUCUAGUUCCUAUUAAUUCUGACUCCAUGGUUUUUCUGAGCAAAAGGGGUUCUAGAGAAGGAGGAAACCAACAUUUUUCAUCACAGAAGGGGGACAAAUAUUAUUGCACUCAUUGCAAGGUUGUAGGCCAUUCCCUUGAAAGAUGCUUCAAAGCAAAUCCAAGCAGGCCAAUCUGCUCUUUACUAUAAGACGCCAAGACAUGAAGUGAACAAAUGUUUUAAACUCUAUGGAUUCCCACCAGGCCACAAGUUGAACGGCAGAGGAAAGCAUGCUGCCAACGUGGUCUCUACCGGCAUGAUACACAAUCAAGAAGUGGUAAAGGACAAGGGCAAAAUAUCCUUAAGUCAAGAGCAAUACUCUUAGUUGAUGGCACUACUCAAACCAGCAACAGGCACUCAUCACUCCACCCUUUCAUCAAACUGUUAGGCAAUUUGUUGUCAAACGACCUCCUCGGGCGAUGAUGUAACCUCGGUUUUAUUAUCAAUGGCCUUGGCCAUAUGAUUGACUAGUAUAUCGACACAAUUAUCGAGACAACACAAUCCACAUUUUUAUGGACCGUUCGAAGCAACCUAUUUUAGAUAGUGUUGCUCACGAUUCGCCCCAUUUCCUUGGAAGGCUAUAUUAUUAUUUUUGAAUCCCACUUUAAUUGAGUGGAGCCUUGUUUUGGUCCACAAUUUAACCCUAACCUAACUUACCUAUUUUGGACAUUUAAUUCGCACAUAAUCUUACCUUCCUCUCGGCCUCCAUGGUGUGUGCCUAUUUUUCCCUUCUCUUUGUGAGACUCUCUUCUCGACUUCUUGCUUUACUUCACUGUGACCUUUGUGGUUAAUUCUUUGUGGGCACAUCAUUGGACUUUACUUUCCAACCUAUAGCAACCGGAGUGGGGCAGCAGUGGUUGUGGUUCUUGGAGUUGUCUCAACCUUUGUGGUGUCGAUGAAUUGGUAAACUGAGCCCAGUUUUGUACUUAGGGUUCGGUGGAAAUCAACUCUACAUCUAGUAUCAAAGCCGGAGUAACCUUUCCCGGCCAGAAAAUCACCAAAAAUCGACGGUGGAGUCGCGAUUUUGGUGUAAAACCGAACCUGCAAUCCCCUUUUCCGGCCAAUCCAGUUACUUUCCCGCGAAACCGAUCCCAUAUUCGAAACCAGCAGGCUGAGGCGCCCCUUCGUGUGUGGAGCGUGGCAGCGGCAGUAACCGACGACGGCGGGGCGUAGGACUCCGACAGCCACGCGUGGCGGUGAUUCCGGGUGAACUUCCUUCGAGCAGUUUGCUCAUUUUAAUCCCUUGAACGCACUGACACUGUUUAUUUUCUAUUUUAGGUUACACAGAAAAAGUUGGACAAUUUUGCCCCCGGUGGAUCGACAGUUGAAAUUGCAUAUAUCUACUGAAUUACUUUAGGCCAAGAUUGUGGCCCUAAAGCAGUAGAUUUGCAUCUCUCUCGAUUAUAUGGACUCAAACAUGUUCGCUCUGGUAAAUUGGCUUAACCCGUUAAUUUUUUCAACAUUAGCGCGUCACCGUGUGGGGAUGACAAUAGGUUGGGGGUUGUCAUUGCUUGGCAACCAUUGCUUGUACUAGAAUUAGGGUUAUAUGCUCUUGAUUGAUCUUUUUGAUUGAGUAUUUGAUUUUUGGUGAAAAUCAAUUUUGUAAUUCUUAGUAAUCUAAUUACUGUGGGAUUAGUUAUCUGCUAGACGUAUUUUUUGCUACAUUAUUAUUUCUGCUGCUUACUUAUUCCGUUAGAAAUACCGUGACCUUACCUGUUCGAACAUUUCCUUGAUCUAAGACCGCGAGUCUUACGAAACUCUGGGAAUCUAGAACGGUGUAUAUUGUCUGUGACCCUAGGACUACUUUGUGUGGUUUGAUUGUGGUUUGUGCAUUUUUGACUAUUGUGUAAAGAUGACAACUCACAGUUUUGAUCUGAGAAUUUUUAAUGGAAAGGGUGACUUUGCUAUUUGGCAACAAAAAAUGAAGGGUAUUUUAGUCUAACAAAAAGGUUUCAAAAGCCAUUGAAGGCAAUUUUUCAACUGAUUUUUCACAAGAACAAAGAGAAGAAGCCAAUGAGUUUGCUUAUACCUCAAUUAUUUUACACUUGUCUAACGCCAUUUUAAGAAAGGUGGGUAAAUUGAAAACCACUAAAGAGCUUUGGAAGAAAUUAGAAGACUUGUAUUUGCUUAAGUCUACACCGAAUAAACUUUACCUGCUUGAACUUUUUUCAGUUUCAAAAUGGAUUCUUCAAAAGAUCUUGAUGACAAUCUAGACGUGUCUAACAAAUUGGUGUAAGACAUAGUUAAUUGUGAUGAGACUGUGUCCGAAACUUAUAAGGCUAUAAUUUUGCUCAAUACAAUUCCUGAUUCCUAUAAGGAAGUUAAGAAUGCUAUUAAGUAUGGUAGAGACAUGUUAACACCUGAAAUUGUCAUAGAUUCCCUUAGAAAUAAAGAAAUGGAAAUUAGGGCUAAAAAACAUGAUAAGAGGAAUGGUGAGGUACAUAUGAUGCAGGGUAGAACUCAAUUUAGGCAAAAUAGUCAUGAGGGAUAUCAAACUAGUGGCGAGUCAAGUGGGAAUGGAUGGAAAAAGAAGAGCAAAAGUAGGUCUAGAUCAAAAUCUAGGACUAAGGCGAGAAAAUGCUAAGGUUGUGGAAACACAGGGCAUUUUAUAGAAGAUUGUCAUAAAGAGAAGGUUAAGCUAAAGGCUAAGGAGGGAGAUGAGGUAAAUGUGUUAGCAUCUAAUUCUGAUAUAAAUGGUGGUGAGGUCUAUAUGAUUACAAGUCCAGUUGCAUACACUGCUGAAUUAAAUCUAACUGUUAAUUCCCGCAUCCAUGAGUGGAUACUUGAUUUUGGUACAUCUUUUCAUGUGACGUCUGAAAAGAAUUGGUUUUAUAAGUUGCAUGAAUCUAACGUUGGACAUGUUGUACUGUGUGAUAACUUUGCCUAUACUAUUGCUGGAAUUGGUGACAUAAACGUAAAAUUUGACACUGAUUUUGUGUAUACGUUAAAGGAUGCUAGAUAUAUUCCUGAAUUAUCUAGGAAUCUGAUUUCAGUAGGGAGACUUGAGAAGGAUGACUUUACUGGUAAAAUUGAAAAUGGUAUGCUAAAAAUGAUCAAGGGUGCUUUAGUUUCCAUUAAGAGAAUUAAGAAAAACGAUAUAUACAUUACUGCGGGGGAAGUGAUUAAAGUGUGAAUUCCUCUAUCUCCUCUAUAAAGAUUGAUCACACACACACAUGGCAUAAUAGACUUGCUCACGUAGGGUUCAAGGGACUUAAGCUACUUAAUGAAAAGGGUGCUUUUGGUAAUGACUGUGUGUUAAAUUUGCCAUUUUGUGAUCAUUGUGUGCUUGGUAAGCAUCACAAAACUUCUUUCUCCAUGAGUGUUAAUAGAGCUAACGGCAUGCUCGAAUAUAUGCACUCUGAUCUAUGGGGUCCUACUAGUAACCCCACAUCGGGUGGUAAUAGGUAUUUCCUGUCUAUUAUUGAUGACUACACUAGAAAAGUGUGGGUCUAUCUUUUGAAGGAUAAAUCUGAGACCUUCAAUAGUUUUAAUAAUUGGAAGAGACAAGUGGAAAACCAAAAUGGUAAGAAAAUCAAAUUUUUAAGGACAGAUAACGGCCUAGAAUUCUGCAAUAAAGAAUUUGAUAGUAUGUGUAAAGAGAGCGGCAUAACUAGACAUAAGACCAUUCCCUACACCCCUCAACAAAAUGGGGUAGCAGAAAGGAUGAAUAGAACCAUAGUUGAUAAAGUACAUUGCAUGAUAAUUAGUUCAGGUGUUCCCAAGUCAUUUUGGGGUGAGGCUGUUAUGACCGCUUGCUAUUUGAUUAAUCUGACUCCUUCUGUUGUAUUGAAUGGUAACACUCCGCAUGAGAGAUGGUCGGGUAAACUGAGUGAUUACUCGAUACUUAGAACUUUUGGCUGUACAGCUUUUUCUCAUCAAAGUGAGGGUAAGCUGGAACCUAGAGCUAGAAAGUGUGUUUUUCUAGGAUACCCCGAGGGUGUUAAGGGUUAUAGGUUAGGGAUAGAAGCCAAAAAGGGGUUAAAAUCAUCAUAAGUAGAGAUGUCACGUUUAACGAAAAUGAGAUGUCAUUUAUUAAAGGGAAAACUGAACCUGAGAGUGAAGUAGAAUCAGGUGAAGAGAGAGACCAGUUUAAGGUGGAGUUAGGAAAACUCGGUCCACCUGCCCUUACAGUUUCAAAUGAGGUGGAGACUCAAACCUAGGAACCCGAAGUGGGGAAUAGUAACGAAAUAGUGACAAAAGAACACUAUGAGGAAGAAAAUCAUUUAGCUAACUAUAACUUAGUUAGGGAUAGAGAGAGGAGACAGACGAGAGAACCAAGAAGGUUUGGUUUUGAAUCUGAAUUAGCUUUUGCCCAGGCUAGUUAUGAAGAACUAGUUGAUAAAGAGCCAAAGACCUUUGAAGAAGCAAUAGGUAGUGAUCAAUCUAAUGAAUGGCUUAAGACAAUGAAAGAAGAGAUGAGUUCUCUAGAAAAGAAUCAUACUUGGGAGUUAGUACCUAGGCCUAAGAAUAAAUCAAUUGUUGAUUGCAAAUGGGUUUUUAAGGUUAAGGAAAGAACUAGCAACUUGGAACCCCUAAGGUUUAAAGCUAGGUUGGUGGCUAAAGGCUACACACAGAAGGAGGGCGUUGAUUAUAAUGAAAUUUUCUCACCAGUUGUUAAGUACACCACUAUUAGGGUCAUGCUCGCAUUAGUUACACAUUUUGACUGGGAACUUAAACAACUUGAUGUAAAAACUGCUUUCUUACAUGGUGAGCUUGAUGAACAAUUUUUCAUGAAUCAACCUAAAGGUUUUAAGGAUAAGUCAAAACCUGAUUAUGUGUGUUUUCUGAGAAGAUCCUUGUAUGGGUUAAAACAAUCUUCUAGACAGUGGUACAAGAGGUUUGAUUCCUUUGUACUCACUAUAGGGUUCCAAAGAAGUAAAUUUGAUCACUUCCUGUAUUUUCAACAUAAUGAGACUGAUGAUAAUCAUCUGUUUUUGUUGCUUUAUGUGGACGACAUGCUUUUGAUUGGAUCAUCCUCUAAGUGGAUAAAUAACAUAAAAGCAAAACUAAGUGGUGAAUUUGACAUGAAAGACCUAGGUAAGGCUAAGAGAAUCUUAGGUAUUGAAAUCGAAAGAGAUAGGUCAAAUUCUGUUUUGUUUUUGCAUCAGUCUCCAUAUAUAUCCAAAGUACUGAAGAAAUUUAAUAUGAGUGACUGCAAACCUAUCACGUUGCCUCUUGCUAAUCAUUUUGUUUUAUCGAAGGAACAAUCUCCUUGCAAUGAGCGUGAAAUUGAAUACAUGAGCAGAGUACCUUACUCUAAUGUGAUUGGUUCCAUAAUGUAUUUGAUGGUUUACACUAGACCUGAUUUAGGUUUCGCUGUUAGUACUCUCAGUAGAUAUGUGGCUAAUCCAGGCCCUGACUAUUGGGAAGCGCUAAAGUGGCUGUUAAAGUACUUGAAGGGUACUAGUAACGUAGGCUUAAAGUUUAGUGCUAAUAAAGAAGGUAUAAAAUUAAAGGGUUUUGUAGAUGCUGACUAUGCGGGAGAUAGGGAUGGUAGGAAAUCUACUUCAUCUUACGUGUUUGCCUUAUCUAAUUCAUGUGUAAGUUGAAAAUCACAGUUACAACAUAUUGUUGCACUAUCCACUGCAGAAUCAGAAUAUAUUGCUACUACUGAAGCUAUUAAAGAAGUUCUAUAGCUUAGAGGUCUACUUCAUGAACUGUGUGUCUUAAAUGAUUAUGUGAUAGUGUAUUCUGAUAGUCAGUCAUCUAUACAUUUAUGUAAGAAUCCUGUUUUUCACGAGUGCACUAAACACAUUGAUGUUAGACUCCACUUCAUUAGAGAUAUAGUAUCUCAAGAGGUGGUAAGACUUGAGAAAGUCCAUACCCACUACAACCCAUCUGAUAUGGGGACGAAGGUACUACCACUGGCAAAGUUUAGGAGUUGCAAGGAACUUCUAAACAUUGGUACAGGUAAAUGAUUUCCAAUUUUAUUGGUUUUCUAUUAGAGGUGUCACUAAUGGGAGACAAUUUUCUUUUACAGGUCCUUUGACACCAAGGUGGAGGUUGUUAGGCAAUUUGUUGUCAAACGACCUCCCCGGGCGAUGAUGUAACCUUGAUUUUAUUAUCAAUCGGCUUUGGCCAUAUGAUUGACUAGUACAUCGACACAAUUAUCGAGACAACACAAUCCACAUUUUUAUGGACCGUUCAAAGCAACCUAUUUUAAAUAGUGUUGCUCACGGUUCGCCCCAUUUCCUUGGAAGGCUGUAUUAUUAUUUUUGAAGCGCAUUUUAAUUGAGUCGAGCCUUGUUUUGGUCCACAAUUUAACCCUAACCUAACUUACCUAUUUUGGACAUUUACUUCGCAUAUAAUCCCACCUUCCUCUCGGCCUCCAUGGUGUGUGCCGAUUUUUCCCUUCUAUUUGUGAGACUCUCUUCUCGGCUUCUUGCUUUACUUCACUGUGACCUUUGUGGUUAAUUCUUUGUGGACACAUCAUUGGACUUCACUUUCCAACCUAUAGCAACCGGAUUGGGGUGGUGGCGGUGGUGGUUCUUGGAAUUGUCUCAACCUUUGUGGUGUCAAUGAAUUGGUAAACUGAGCCCGAUUUUGUAGUUGGAGUUCGGUGGAAAUCAACCCUACACAAACAACGUCCAAACACUUGCUAGUCCUUCCUCAUCUGAUGAUUUCACUCGUAAAAUGUCUGGUAUGUCUCUAUGCUUAACUGUAUUUCAUCGUAGGUAGGGAAAUAUUUAUGAAAUUCCAUAGAUUCUUGACACAGGAGCAACAGAUCACAUGAUCUGCUCCACUAUUCUUUUUACAUCUAUUCAAGCUAAUGUGUGCUAUUUUGUGGUCUUACUAAACGGAGAAAACUUCCCUGUCACUCAUGUAGGAACUGUCAAAAUCUCAGAAGUAAUUACCUUACAUAAUAUCCUAAGCAUUCCUAGUUUUCACUUUUAAUUUAAUUUCAGUAAAGAAGCUUCUCAAUCUCUAAACUGCUGUCUUGUCUUCUUCUCUAAUCACUGUUAUAUUCAGGACCUUUCGACUUGGAAAAAAACUGGAAUGGGUGAAGUGAAAGAUGGAUUGUAUCAUAUGGUACGAAAGGAAGUCUCCCAUUCAGCUUUAUUGAAUGCUUGCAAACAAUUCAAGCGUUUGCCCUCUUUUUUCCCGUCUGCCACCAAUAAUCACAAAGAAUCCGAUCUAUGGCAUUACAGAUUGGGGCACUCUUCAUAUUCUGAAUUUAGAUCUGAUGGGAACAUCCACAUACCUACUUCUUCUAGCAUAUAUCAUUGCGUCAUUUGUCCUCUAGCAAAACAACAUAGACUGCCUUUUAAUGUAAGCCAUCACAAAAUAAAAAAAUGCUUUGAACUAAUACAUUGUGACAUAUGGGGGCCUUGUAAUGAAUUCAGCAGAGAUGGUUCUAAGUAUUUUCUAUCUAUUGUUGAUGAUUUUAGCAGAUGCACAUGGAUCUAUAUGUUAAGACUCAAAUCCGAUGAUAUCGUUGCUUUACAAAACUUUUAUGCCAUGAUAGAAAGUCAAUUUGAAGCUAUGAUUAAAAUCGUCCGAAUAGAUAAUUGAGGUGAAUUUAACAUGACUGAAUUUUACUUAAAGAAGGGGAUAAUGCACCAAAGAACAUGUGUUGAAACCCCUGAACAAAAUGCCAUUGUGGAAAGAAAGCACCAACACAUCUUAAACGUAGCAAGAGCUUUGAAAUUCCAAAGUGUUUGAAAUAUAGGAAUGAUUUCAUGUUGACGGCUGUAUACCUCAUAAACAAAACACCAUCUCCCCACCUGAACAACAAAAGCCCUUUUGAGAUACUAUUUCAAACCAAACCAAACCACAGUCACUUAAAAGUUUUUGGGUGCCUAGCUUUUGCCACCACUCUUAUCAAUGGUAGGCACAAGUUUGAUCCUAGGUCAAGGAGAUGUGUGUUCAUUGGUUAUCCUUUUGGUACUAAGGGAUACAGAUUACUUGAUUUAAAGAUAAUGAAAAUUUUCACUUCAAGGAAUGUUACCUUCCAUGAGGACAUUUUUCCAUUUAAAGAAAUUGAUCUCAAUAGCAAUACCUCCAUGACUAACUUUGAUCACCUUAGUUUCACACAAAAUCUUAACGUUUCUAAUGACCCUGCUAUCAUCCCACUUGUUAGUACUAAUAAUGAAAAUACUAAACAUAACAUUUCAAAUAGUCCGACUCAUAUAGAAUCCCCUAAUUUUCAUGUGAACACCAGUCAUGACAUAUCACAGUCUCCUGCUGACACUUUGGAAUCAAAUCCCCUUGCUAUCACUCAUUUACCUCACAGAUCUAACAGAAUUUGAAGGACUCCUCAUCACUUGCAAGAUUUCAUAUGUCAACAAGUAUCUUCACCUCUUCCAUUCUAGAAACUCAACAAGGAAAAGGAAGUGAAUGUUACAGGUAGUCCCUAUCCUCUUAGUAAUAGUCUUUCCUAUGAUAAAUUAUCUAUCCGUCACCACACUUUUGCAGUUUCAAUAACAAACCACUUUGAGCCUAAAACCUAUCAAGAAGCCAUAAAUUCACCUGAGUGGUGUGAUGCCAUGAAAGCUGAGAUCAAGGCUUUAGAACUUAAUGAUACUUAGGUCUUAACCAAUCUACCACCUGAUAAAGAGGCCAUAGGUUGUAAGUGGGUAUAUAUGGUUAAAUUCAAUGCCAAUGGUAGUGUUGAAAGAUUCAAGGCUCGCUUAGUGGCAAAGGGGUACACUCAACAAGAGGGACUUGACUAUCAUGAAACAUUUCCCCCUGUGGCUAAAUUGGUCACCAUCUGAACUUUACUGGCAAUAGUAGCAAUUAAGGGGUGGAAUUUGUGUCAAUUUGAUGUAAAUAACGCUCUUCUACAUGGUGACUUGGAUGAAGACGUUUACAUGCAACUGCCCCUUGGUUAUCCCAAUGUAAGUGGUAAUAAAGUUUGCAAAUUAUGCAAGAGUUUGUAUGGAUUGAAGCAAGCCUCGCGUCAAUGGUACUCUAAACUUUCCAAUUUCAUUAUUAAGCAAGGAUACACUCAAUCAAGAUGAGAUUAUAGCUUAUUUACUAAGUCUAUUGAUGGUUCUUUCACAGCUAUUAUAGUUUAUGUGGAUGAUAUAAUAAUGGCAGGAAAUUGUAUUGAUACCAUCAAUAAGCUUAAAGCUUCUCUCAAUGACAAGUAAAAAAUUAACGACUUGGGCAAGUUGAAAUAUUUUCUAGGCAUCAAAGUCCCAAGGUCUGAAUGCAGCAUUCACAUAUGUCAAAGGAAAUAUGCUUUGGAUAUCUUGCCAGAUUCAGGCACUAUAGGAUCAGCCCCUACUAGGAUUCCCCUUGAUUAGAAUCUGAAGCUUAGUAAGGAUGAGGUAGAAUUAAUUGUAGACCAAUCAAUUUACAGAAGGCUAUUGUACUUGAUAAUCACUAGGCCUGAUCUUGCAUAAUCAAUUAAGUUGUUAAGUCAGUUUAUGAGCUGUCCCAGGGUGCUACAUUUACAUGCUGCACAUAAAGUAUUGCGGUACAUCAAAAGGGUACCUGGACAAGGGUUAUUUUACCCUACAAAAUCAAGGCUUCAACUAGAGGGCUAUUGCAAUUUUGAGUGGGGAGCAUGCCUAGACACUAGGAGGUCAGUAUUAAGUUAUUGUGUUUUCAUUGGGACAACCUUAAUAUCAUGAAAAUUGAAGAAACAACAUGUGGUGUCUCGAUCUUCCACUAAAGCAGAAUACUGAACAAUGGCAAACCUGUGUUGUGAAUUGACUUGGCUUAGGCAUUUGUUUAAGGAACUAUAGAUUGCACACCCUCAAGCUGCAGUCCUAAAUUGUGAUAAUCGAGCUGCAAUCCAUAUAGCUACAAAUUUGGUAUUUCACGAAAGAACCAAACACAUUGAGCUCGACUGCCAUUUGGUUCAUGACAAGAUAUAAGACGGAAUCAUCAUCACCCAACAUGUUCACAGUGCGUCACAAAUUGCUGACAUUCUAACCAAGGCUCUAACUUUCCAAUGUUUUUAUUCUUGCUUGUCCAAGAUGGGAGUAAUGGAUAUUUACUCUCCAUCUUGCGAGGGGCUAUUGAAAAUAGAAUAUUUGAGUCAACUGUCACUAACUCAAAUAAGUUGGUAAUGGCAGGCAAGAAGCAAGAGUUAUGUUAUAUGUACAAAGUUGGUUGACAAAGUAAUAUCUACUUCAAUCAUUUGAAAAAUAGAUUUUUAAAUCAUUGAAAAUCAAUGACGUGAAUUCUGCCAACACUUAUUUGUCAACCAAAUUUGUCUACACUCUUUGUACAUAGCAUAAUACAAGAAGCAAGACACAAAUAGGGUCGAUGUUUGAGAAGAAUUGUUCAUUAAGUAGGGAUAAAAGGUCUGAUAAGGCUGCAAGUAGAUUUGAAGUAAUAAUGUCUUCAAUAAUGCAAGCGGAUAAUUGCAUUAUGUUUGCAAAAUAAAUGCUAUCAUUCUAGGAUCCACAUAUUCUUCAUUUUGGAUCAAAAAUUAAGUUCCAAAAAAUUUUCAAGCAACAUAACAUUAACAAAGAUAAUUAAAUACACUACUACAAAUGUUGUCUAUGCAUUUCCAUAAUUUGAAAUCACUGUAUAAUUGCAUUGUUAUCAAUAUUGCAAAUAUAGCAUCCUCAAUGUACAAAACUGACUAUCAUUCAAUAGUCGAAUAUCCAAUUCAGUUGCAUGGUCCAAAUCGUGGUUGAGGUCUUGAGGAGUAUGGUGUUGACAUGGAGAAAAAAUGUGGUUGGUCGUCAGCAUCGAUGUGGAUGAUCUAGGUAGGAAAAUGCAAUUAUAUGGUAAAAAUGGCAAAUCUAGGCAUUGGGGGAAGAAUGAGAUUUAAGGCUUAAAAGAAGUUGGGAGGCAGAAAGUGGAUAAAAAAAUAAAAAAAUAAAAAAAAACCGUUCAAAUGGUAGAAAAGUGAAAAAAAAAAACUAAAAUUAAAAAAGAAAAUUCCAAAAUUUUCGUGGGCUGAGCAAACCCCAUAUGACCCCAUGUGACUCCAAUUCGUAAUGCGUUAAUUGACUUGUUAUACGAAAAACAUUAGAUCACGUUUUUUAAGUUGUUUGGGACAAAAAUCUUCAGCGUCUCUUUUUGAGCCCUUUAUAAAUAUGUCCACUUCAACAUAUAAAAUAAGUGUUGUACCAUGGAAAAAAAUAUUAUACAUCAUUCUUCUUUACUUCUGUAAGUUUUAUCUGUAAUUCAUGAGAAUAUUUCGAAUGAUCGAUAUAUUUCAAGAGUAUUUUAGAAAUAUCUCUCUAGAUGUAUUGUACAACAAAAAUCUUAGUAUCUUGUGGCUAGGCAUGUGCACACAACAAUAAUUCCCAAACAAAGAGAAAUGAAAAAAGUUGAUCAAUUAAUAAAGUUUAAUUUAUAUUUUUCUUUUUUAGCUGUUUUGCAUUUUGUGUUUUCACUCCAUGGAUGAGAUUUUUUCAAUAAAAGUAUCACUGCAAAAAUUUAUAUGUGAGAAAAAAGAAGUAUAAAUCGAUAAAUAUAUAAGUGACCCCAACGAAACAAGAUAAAGCAUAUAGACAAAGAAGGAACACCGUAUUAUAAUUAAAUGACAUUAUUUGAAUAUGAACAAUUUGAUUUUAUUAAUAAAGAUGAAUUAUGUGUGACAAAUGUUAUUAAUCAUUACGAGGAAAUGAUACUUGUACAAAUGAUCCUUUAAGAGGAUAAGUUUAUUUUUAUUAAAGUAUAUAUACAAUUAAUUGCAAGAUGGAUGGAAGCCAUCGAAAAUGACCUUUUUAUUUUCACACAACAUCAAUAUGUUGAGGGGGUCAACGCAACGAUCGUAACAUUAGGGACCAUUUCCACACAAGGGCCUUACAUUAAGGACCAUCUAUACCAAUUUCCUUGUUAAUUAAUGCUCCACCUUUGUGUUCGCUUGAAUUUAAAAAAAAAAGUUUUAUUGGCACAAUUCCCUCAACGAAUGGAUCUAUUGCCAAAUAUUCUUACCUUUUUAAAUUGGUGGAAACCCCCGUAUGAACUUUGAAGUGAGGAAUCCAUUUUCUUUCAUUUUCUCAUAAAUCCUUGUGAAAUGACGAUUUGAGGAAAAAAAUAGUAGAGCCGACAAUUUGGUAUGUUAAAUUAGAUGUAAUAUGCUAUGAAUAAGGGCAGUGAACAAAAGUACUAUAAUUUCAAAAAUGUGGAGAAACACAAGUAUAUGGUUUGUGAUCUGAAAUAAAGGUAUAUUAUGCACAUAAAACUUGCAAAGAUUCCAGUCAACAACACAGAUGAGUGGAGGCAUGACGAUAUUGCUAGAAUAUGACCCAAAUUUCUAUUGGGAUUAGGAUAGGGUUGGUAAAUUGAUAAAAGGAAUAAGAGUCUUCUUGGUUUGGAAGUUCGAUUGAAAAAGAGAAUGAAAGUUCAUCAAUGGAUGGAAAUUUGAUUGGUAAAGGAACUUUGGAAAAUUGAAGACUUGGUUUUGAAAUUUUGGUGCAUAAAAAAUCGUCGCAAUUUCGCUAACUGACAGCUAACUUUGGUGUUCAAGCGUUAGAGGUGAAAAAUGGAGCAGAGUUGCUGCCUGCCUAGCGUCGCCUAGAACUGAAGUGACAGUGUUAUUCGGAUGGGAAACCUUUUUCGAUCCUAACUACUUUAUUGAGUCGUAUUUGUUGGAAAAUAAGCGGUUGGAGAAGAAAUAACAACAAAAUUAUAGAAACAAAAUGAAUAGAAACCACGAAAUACGUCAAGAAUGAAUUUGAGACUUGAACACGGGAUCAUUAUCCUCAAACUAUAUUUGCUCCCUCUCAGGAUUGAAUGAGAUACUUAAGGGUUGGGUUUUGGCAAACAGUUUGUAGGAUUAUAUUAAGCUUUGUAAAGGUUUUAACACCAAAGCACAAAUGCAAUCCUCCAAAACUUUAAGAACACAAAGGAAGAUCUUGAAUAUGAAUGUAAAUCAAUAGUGUGAUUCAAUAUGAAAUGAUAUAUGGAUCUCAAGAUAUUUUCAAUGAUUCUAAUAAUGUUUGUAUUGAUCAGUCAUCACCUAUUUAUAGGUCUCAAUCAAUGCAUCAUGAAAUGGUGCAAAAACAAGAUGAAAAGUGGCAACUUUUAGUCCAAAACGGCUCCCAAGUUUUAAAUUGAAAAAUUAGUCAACGACUAUUUUUUAAUACUAUGCGUACGCAUCGUAUAAACCGUGCGUACGCAUAGUAGAAGCAAAAUUUAAUUCUGAUUUUUGCUAAAAUACAUCUCGUGUACGCACAAAAUUACGCAUAGGCAAAAAAUCAAAUUUUGCAUUUUUCAAUUUCUUUUAAUUCUACCAAUUCCACAAUUGAGCCCAACAAUAAGUCAAUUAUCAUUCCAUUGAUUUUGAACAAAUUUUCAACAGUAUUUCAUCGAAAAUACUUGUAAUGGAUUCUCUCUCUCUAUAUAUAUAUAUAUUCCUCGUGGUAUAGGCUCUUAAAAGGAUAAAUUAACAAUAAAAUCAUAGUUAUUUAAAUUUAGAUUGAGAGUAUCAAAUCUUGUAAAACAAUUUUAGCUUCUUGAUAUAUUUAAAUUCUUCAACUCUUUCAUAUAAAUCUUGUAUUCUUGUGUGAUCCAUUAUUUUUCAUAUUGCUCUAAUUUUCUCAUCUUUAUUAUUUGGCCCAAUUUAUCUUUACAAUUCCAUAUGAUUCAUCAAGAGCUAUACAAAUUGAGUUUUGAUGAGAAAAAAUACUGAUACAUGCUUGAACGGAAAAAUAAAAUUAUUCGAAAAUAUAUUGUCCAUUGCAUGCUGUUGAAUUUUCUGAAAAAUCUUUUUCUUGUUGGAACCAGAAUCUAAAACUAUGGUUUCUAUAAUCCUCUUGGCCGCAUUGUUAAUUUGGGGCAUCUUCAUCUCUGUUACUCUGGGACGUAUAGUCGGGCCAGUUGGCGACCCAUUACGACUGUUAUGUCCAACUGGCAAACUGCUAAUAGAUCGCGUAAUUAUGCGUCAGGUGUGCAUGUCCAUUUUUUGGUUCUUUGGUUCAAAAAUCUCCGUCGAAGUUGUAUCUUCACGAUUCGUCUGCUGCUUGGAGGAACUCUUUCGUGGUUGGCAAUUCGCUGUUUCUAUAACAGCUUGUUUACAGCUCCUGCUAUAGUGAAUAGUCGACGGAGCUGUAGAUCUAAGAAUAGGAAGGUGAAGGUAAACACUUCAGAAGAUCUUUUUAUAGAGAUUCAUAGGCACAAAAUGAUUUGUCAAGGCAAGAUUUCAGUGGAUAUUUUGUCAUAAAUACGAAUUUGGAGAUAACAGUAUUCUGGAUGUAAUAUCUUCAGUUACAACGAUUUGGGAGGGUAUUGAAAGAGAGAAUUAUCGAUAUAAUUUAGGGUUUUUAUUAUGAGCAAUAGAUCAUGAUUUGGGAGCGGAUGAAUGGAGACGAAGGGACGAGGUACGAGAGAAAUCUGAUUUGGGAAAGAAUUGAUAUAGAGUAAAUUAUAGAUGAAUUUUGGAUUUGAUAAACUUCAUGAUGAUUUAAUUGUUGAUAAAGUAAGACCUGCUAAAUAAUUGCAUGAUAACAAGGAGUACAACACCAACCAGGUAUAUCUCAAGUGCAUGUUUCAUUGAUGCAUCUUCUUCUAUCAAUGUCAAAAAUGAGUGGAAUAUUGUAAAUGUCAUCAAAGAUUCUUCUGCAGAUUAAAAGGGCCAAAAAGUUUCAUUCCAAGAUAGAACUUCUGACAUUGGAUUCCAUGAACAUUAGCUCAUCUUUAUUAGGAGUGAUAGAAGCUCGCUCUAAUACCAACUGAUGUAGGAAAAAGCAUAAAAAUAAUGAAACGAACAUGCUAUCGAAGUUUUUUUAUUCUAAUUUUUGUUGAUUCCCAAAAUUACCAGAAAUAUAGGUAUCAAAUAGCAAGAUUAAACGAUUCGACAGCUCCAAAAUCUAUAAUAUUUAUUACAAAAUAACUAAUUAUCAUAAUAGCUUACAACCCUUAUUUAAAGAAAUAACUAAAAUCUAGAUAAUUACUAAAAUCUAGAUAGUUAUUAAAUGUAAAAGAUAAUGACAAAAAGUAAAAACCCUUCAGAAUUAAUAAGAAAUAAACGAAAUUAAAAUUGAAUUUAUUUAAUAAAAUAAAUAAUAAAAAACUCAAUUUUCUUCAAAUGGGUUCAAAUAAUAAUGCCAAGAUGCGAUCUUUAGUUUCAUGAUUUUGAAUGCCAUGUCCAUUGACGCCGGGUAGGAUAGUGAUUAUCCUAUUGUCUUGUUGUAGCAGAUGAUUCACAAGAAAAGAACGACAGAAAACGCCCAAAAAAAACCAAAGAAAAUACUCUGAAUUCAAUUCAACAUUAUUAAUAAUGCAGAAUGAUUAAAAUUAACCCACAAGCCGACUUAAAUAGCUGCGAAAUACGAAAUUAUGGGGAAAUUACCAAAAAUGGCAAAAUCCCGAAAUUAUACCAAAAUAAAAUAUUAAGUAAAAGAAGUAAGUUACCAAAAAUUUGGCUCAAUUCGAGUUUUCUAACAUAUGGAAAAAAGGAAACGAAAUAUUACCAUAAAUAGUAAAAAAUAACUUAAAAUUGAAUUUUGGAAAGGAAAACAGUGGAUUUUGGGCUUGAAAUUGAUGUUUAUCGAGCACGGCUGGGUGGCCACGACGUGUGCGCCGAAGAGAGCUUUCCAGAUUGGGGUCAUAAUAGCGAUUCCGAUAACCGUAGUCAAAGUUAUGGUCAAAUUACCAAAAACGCGUCAAAUUUCCCCAAUUAAGGAAAUAAUGGCGAUUCACUUUCCAUCUUUGCAUCGAUCCGCCAUCUCAUAGUAUCUCAGUGCCAUCAUCAUGCUAUCUGACGAAUCAGCAUCACUUGACUCGGAUCCUCCUGCAUCAGUCGCCCUGGGUUGGAAAGAACUCGCCCUCGAGUUCACAUUAACUUCAUCGGACUUCACAAAACAAGGGAUUAGGUGUUUUACAUUGAAGACGUCAGAGGUCUUCAAAUAGCUAGGGAGGCGCAACCUGUAAGCAUUAUCAUUGAUCUUCUGCAGCACUUCACAAGGUCCAAUCUUCUGCUCCUUUAGCUUAUUGUAUUCCCCAGCUGGAAAACAAUUAUUAGUUAAUACUGCCCAAACAAAAUCACCAACAUCAAACAACACCAGGCGUUGAUGACUAUUUGCCCAAACUUUGUACUUAGUAUUACUAUCCUGUAUGGACAGCUUCACAUGCUCAUGGAUACCUUGAAGAUGUUUAGCCAUCUCAUCAGCUUUGUUAUUGAAGUGACCCACACGUGGAAUUGGAGCCAAAUCAAGUACUCCAGAUGGGUUCUGACCAUAGACAAUUUCAAAAGGACUCAGCCGGUGGUUCUAUUCCUUAACCGGUUAUAAGCAAACUCUUCUUGAGGUAAUGCCAAAUCCCACAGCUUCGGUUUAGUCCCGGCUAAGCUUCUCAAAAUAUUUCCCAAACUUCGAUUUACCACCUCAGUCUGACCAUCUGUUUGGGGGUGGUAUGCUCUGCUAAAAUUCAAUUUCGUUCCAAGUUUCUCCCACAAACUCCUCCAAAAAUGACUCAUAAACUUAGUGUCACGGUCAGAAGUAAUUGACUGUGGAACACCAUGUAAAUGCACAAUCUCUCUAAAAUAAAGAUGAACAAUCCGAGUAGCAUCCAUUGUCUUCCAGCAAGCCACAAAAUGAGCCAUCUUUGAGAAUCUGUCAACCACCACAAGAAUGGAAUCCAUCACCCGUUGUGUAUGAGGUAAGCCCAAGAUAAAAUCUAUACUGACAUCAAACCAAGGAGCUUUAGGUACGGGUAAUGGUGUGUACGAUCCAGCAUUAGUAAGAGCCCUUUUAGACCGCUGACAUACAUAACAUCGCUCCACAUAAUGCGCCACAUCACUGCUCAACUUGGGCCAGUAAUAAUCAGAAGAGACCAAUACCAAUGUCUUGUCUCGCCCAAAAUGUCCUUCGUUAUGAAGUUAACUAAUAAUCUGCUACCUUAGUGAACAAUCCGGAAUGCAUAACUGCAAUCCACGAAAUAGGUAACCAUUAUGUAAAAUAAAAUCAUGUCGGUGAUUAUCAAUUACCUCCCGAAUUAUCUUCCCAAAUGAAGGAUCUGCAGCAUACAUAUCAGGAAAUGCCUCAAAUCCGACAAUCUUGGUGCUCAUGGUGAGGAGUAAUGUGCGACGGCUCAAUGCAUCUGUUACUCGAUUCAAACUCCCUGCUUGAUGCCUGAGUGUGAAAGUAAACUCCUGUAAGUAGGCUACCCACUUUGCAUGUCGCCAACUUAGCUUGUGCUGACCAUUAAUGUACUUCAAAGCCUCAUGAUUAGUAAAAAGAAUGAACUCCCUCUGUACCAGGUAAUGGUGCCAAUGCUUCAGAGUCUGAACUAUGGCAUAGAACUCCAGGUCAUAAGUGGAAUAAUUUUUCUUCGAUCCCAAUAGCUUCUCACUAAAAAAGGCUACUGGACGUCCCUCCUGACUUAGAACACCACCAAUACCAACUCCAGACGCAUCACAGUUUACCUCUAACACCUUUUCAAAAUUCGAAAGUACCAAGACUGGGGCCUCCGUCAUCUUCUGCUUAACCAACUGAAAGCUAGCCUCUAUCUCCUCAGUCCACUGAAAAUCACGCCCUUUAAGGCACUCUGUGAUAGGAGCAAUCAAGGUACUGAAGUUUCUGAUGAAUCGACAAUAGAAGGAUGCCAAUCCAUGGAAACUUUUGACAUCGUACAAAGUUUUUGGUUUCGGCCAAUUCAAAACUACCUCAAUUUUGGAUUGAUCUACAUGAACACCAUCAGUAGACACAACAAAACCCAAAAAAGUUACAGAAGUUGUGAAGAAAGAACACUUAUUCUGAUUGAUGAAUAAGCGCUCCGUCCUCAUUACAUCAAAGACAGCACGAAGAUGAUUAAAAUGUGACUCCCAUGUCAGACUAUAAAUAAGUAUGUCAUCAAAAUAAACUACCACAAACUUUCCCAUGAAAGGCCGUAAAACCUGAUGCAUAAACCUCAUAAAAGUGCUGGGUGCGUUGGAUAGUCCAAAGGGCAUGACCAUCCACUCGUACAACCCAUGUUGUGUCUUGAACGCAGUCUUCCACUCAUCUCUAGGCCUGAUUCUGAUAUAGUGGUAUCCAAUUUUAAGGUCCAUUUUUGAGAAGACCUUAGAAUCGGAUAGUUGAUCCAACAUGUCGUCCAGACGGGGAAUUGGAAACCUGUACUUCACUGUAAUCCUGUUAAUUGCCCUGCUAUCAACACACAUACGCCAUUACCCAUCUUUCUUCGGCACUAGUAGAGCAGGAACUGCACAAGGACUCAUACUCUCACGAAUGUAGCCCCUUUCCAAUAAUUCUACCACCUGUCGCUGCAACUCUUCAGCUUCCUUGGGACUGAGGCGAUAUUCUGGUCGGUUUGGUAGACUCGACCCUGGAAUGAGGUCAAUAUGAUGUUGAAUGUCCCUCAUAGGUGGUAGUCCUGGAGGAAGAUCCUCCGGCAUCAAGUCAGAAAACUCCAUCAGUAGUUGCUGCGCUUCUGCUGGAAAUUCUGAAUCCACAUUCGUUGUACUAUUUUCAUGAGGCAUUAAAGCAUAAACUAUAUUUUCACGCCCAACCUCAACCAAGAACCUAGACAUAGAAAGUAGAUUGGGGUUAUUAACUACCAGGACAGGGAUGUUUCCUUCCCUACGAGGCACCAAAACAAUUCUCUUCCCUUUGAUGCUAAGAGAAUUAGUAUUCUUCCGCCCAUCAUGGAUAACACUGCGAUCAUACUACCAAGGUCGUCCCAACAAAACAUGAAACGCAUCCAUUGAUACCACAUCACACCAAGCAUUAUCAAAAUAUUUUUUUCCAAUCGAGAAAGACACUAAGCAUUGUUUUUCUACCGUUACCUCACUGCCUUUAUUCAACUAAGACAACUUGUAUGGUUUGGGAUGACGAUCCAUCUUUAGUUGCAGUUUCUUGAUAGCCUCCUCAGACACUAUAUUCUCACAACUGCCACUAUCAAUUAUCAACUACAGACUUUAUCAGUAACUGUGCAGGUUGUGUGGAAAACGUUGGUCCUCAACCAAUCAUCCCCUGAGUCGUCCUUGGGAGUCGGCAGGCUCUUUCAAACGACCAGGGUCUCCUGACUAUCUCCAUAUAGCACGUCCUCAUCUUCACCCUCAUCAUACACGGGUUCCCCAACUUCCUCGAACUCCUCUAUCAUAUCCUCCUCAAUCAGAAGAUUUUUAUUCUUCUGACUUGCAGGCUUCCUGCAAUCAGUCGCCCUAUGCCCCUGUUCACCACACCUAAAGCACGUAAUACUUGAGCUGGAACUAUUUCGCUGUGGCUGAUAAGCAAGACGAGAUUCUUGAGGGCGAACUGGCUAACUUCCUUCACCUCUGACUACUGGCCUCCUACUCUGCUGUUUCUCUACUGUAAGUACUCGCUGAUAUGCCUCAGAAAUUGUCCACAAUGAAUGAAGGCUGAGAACAUCCUGCAAGGGCUGCCUUAAUCCCCCCAAAUACCGUGCUACCAUCUGCUCCUUUGUCUCAGAUAAAUUAUUCUGAGCCACCAACUGAUAGAAUUCUUCAGUAUAAUCAUUGACUGAUCUUGCGCCUUGCCUUAGUGAAUGAAGCCUCUGAAACAAGGUUUGAGUAUAGCCAAAAGGAAGGAAGUGCCCUUUCAUCUUCUUCUUCAUCUUCUCCCAGUUAGUAAUUUUGGAUUUUCCCUAUCGCUUCCGCGAACACUUCAAUUGUUCCCACCAUGCAGAUGCCCUACCUUUGAGUUUGAUGGCGACCAAUUUCACUUUGACACGAUCUGGAACCUCCUUAUAUUCAAAAAUCCGCUCCACUUCAUUCAGCCAAUCAAUAAAUCCUUCAGCCUGCAACGUACCAGAAAACUCGGGCAGAUCCACUCUGAAACCGAGAUCCACAUGACGAUCCUCCCAUCUACGAUGCUCCCAAACUCGAGCAUGAUGGUGAUACGGGUUUUCGAAACUGGUAUCGAAAUCGUGACCUUCCACAUCAUGAUUACUGAACUCAUACUCCACCAAACAUUGGGUUAACUUCGAAACUUGUCUCUACAAAUCUUCAAUCAUCACAUCCUGAAUAUUACGAACACGGAGCGGGACUUCCUCAAUUGGAACCUGUCCUCGACGACCACAACCACGUCCACCAACCAUUAUAACUGAUGGAAUUUAUCUCCCAAGAAGAUGCUGACGCUCUGAUACCAACUGACGCCGGGUAGGAUAGUGAUUAUCCUAUUGGCUUGUUGUAGCAGAUGAUUCGCAAGAAAAGAACGACAGAAAAUGCCCAAAAAAACCAGAGAAAAUACUCUGAAUUCAAUUCAAUAUUAGUAAUAAUGCAGAAUGAUCAAAAUUAACCCACAAGCCGAGUUAAAUAGCUGCGAAAUACGAAAUUAUGGGGAAAUUACCAAAAAUGGAAAAAUCCCGAAAUUAUACCAAAAUAAAAUAUUAAGUAAAAGAAGUAAGUUGCCAAAAAUUUGGCUCAAUUCAAGUUUUUUUAACAUAUGGAAAAAAGGAAACGAAAUAUUACCAUAAAUAGUAAAAAAUAACUUAAAAUUGAAUUUUCGAAAGGAAAACAGUGGAUUUUGGGCUUGAAAUUGACGUUCACCGAGCACAACUGGGUGGCCAUGACGUGCGCGCCAAAGAGAGCUUUCCGGAUUGGGGUCAUAAUAGCGAUUCCAAUAACCGUAGCCAAAGUUAUGACCAAAUUACCAAAGACGCGUCAAAUUCCCCCAAUUAAGGAAAUAAUGGCGAUUCACUUUCCAUCUUUGCGACGAUCCGCCAUCUCAUGGUAUCUCAGCGCCAUCAUCGUGCUAUCUGACAAAUCAACAUCACUCGACUCGGAUCCUCCUGCAUCAUCCAUCCCCAUACUGGUACAUGUAUUGUGCCAUUCUCGCAAGAUUCACUGCAAUUUCAAUAAAAAAAAAUUUGAGAAUGGACAAACUGUUUCUUGAACUUGGUUCAUUUUUUUCCACGUCUCAUGUAUCAAAGAUCUAAUGUGUUCACGUGCCUCAUCUUCAGAAGCCCCAGUUUCGUUCAUGUAACAUUGUAUUGUUUUAGGAACAUCACCUCUUUUCAUUUCGUCCUGAGAGAGAAAACGAAAGAAACUGUUAGUUGAAAGGGUUAAUUUUGAAUUGCUAAUGAUUUCUUAAACAAAAAUGAACUUGAAAACAUGAAAUGAAAUUUUAGUCUAUAUGCGCACCAUUGAUGUUGCUAAAUCAUCUGAAAGACGUAAAAUCGUUGCCGACCAACGGAUUAUAUUAGGAUAAUCAAGUAAGUACUGAACAGCUUCCUUUUCUAUAGGACUGGUAACAGCGAAAAACGCAUGGGAUAGUAUGACAUGAGUUGAUAUGGAAAUCCAUGCAGUGUUCAUAUACUCUUCCAUUGUUGGUUUGUAUCCAUUGAAGUACCACCUUGCUUCUUGUAAGUAUGCUUUGCAUAAAUCUUUCCACUCCCAAAUUUGACAAGAUUACUGUAUACGGAUUAAAUAUGGAAGCUGAUACAAGGAUUAUGUAUUGGACUUUUUGAAGCAAAAGUAAUACCGCUUUUCUUAAAUAUGGAAUAAUUAUAAGCCCUUUUUCUUUAAGAAUGUCGUAAGCCAUUUCGUUGAUGAAGUUAUUGAGUGCUAAAUAGCAAAUUUGCAUGUAAUCUGGAAGUUGAUGGAUUGAACUGACAUCCCAUCUGUAGAGUUCCAAACAAAUAAUAAUUAUAGGAGUUAGAACGGUGAGAAGGGGAAAAAAAUCAAUAUAUAUCACACAUGGGUAAACUUUAAUAUAAACUACCAAUCUAAUUUUCCAAAAUUUGGUCCUCAACUUUUAAAGAAAAGAAAGUUCGCACCUUACAUUUUAUUAUUGUUUCGCAACUGGUCGCCCACUAAUGAAAACCAUAAUUUUCAUAAAUUAUCGUGUGGCCCUCAUAAAAACAUGCAUCGCUUUAAAUAUCAACGUACCAAUCCAAGUUAGAAAACAAAACCUAAUUUCAUGAAGUUGAUUAUGCAAGGACCACAUUUUGAUUAAUUUAAAAUAGAUUUGAACUGUUUCUUGAGAUAUAAUCUUGCAACUAUAUAUAAAAUUAAUAACCAGCUUGUCCAUUUUUAAAGAUUGAAUAAGUCAAUCAUUCAAUUUUCCCUAUCAUAUAAACCUUUUAAUAUACAAAGUACUUCCGUAUUCACAAACUUUGAGUGUGUCCUUUAACAAAGGGACUUCGUUUUUAAUUUUUACUUUUUUAUUUGGGUGGGGGUUCUGAAAUGAGGAAUAACGAUGUUUCUAACCUUUCAAUGAUUCUUGUAAAAACUUCAAGCUCUUCUAAUGUACCAUAGACGUCAUAUAUAUCAUCAAUGGUUGUUACUAAAGCAUUGACCUUCGGCAAUAUCUUCCUACAAAAUUCAUAUUGAGGUUCAAAUAUCACCCCAGUAGUCCAAAAGAAACAUUCCACCAGCCUAUCCCUCGCAAAUGACAACUUUUCGGCAAGGCAAGUUCCCUUCCGCCACCUAUUCAUAGAAAACGCAGGGAAAGAAAUAAAAAUAAAAUUCCUUUGUUACUUCUAAACAUCAAAAUUCAAUAUAUUUGGCCCAUGUAUUUAAAAUGAGAAAAUAGAGAUAGAAAUGUGCACAAAUGUAUUAGUGUUGGAAUUAAUACACAUUUUCUCCAACCGUAAUAAAAGUAAAUAGUGCUAAAGUGAAAGGCAAAUUUGUUGAGGAGAGACUAUUUCCCUCCAUCAAAUUCCUUAUUGAGUUGUCUCUGAUUGAAGACAACUUGUGAUGUCGAUUUAUCUUUGAGUGAAUACAGCAUCUUAUCAAUAAAUACCUAGAGACAUAUUUUGCUUGAACAAUGUUGAAAUCCAAUUUAGCAAGCUCAAGCAGAAUCUGAUUCAUGUCUGGCCUGUCCUUGUAUAUGUUUAUGAACCAUCUAGCCUCUGCCCGCAGUAUGGUCCAGUGCAAUGGAAGCUCCAAGCCAUGGUGCACCAAUCGAGAAUGGCACUGAUCAAUACUAGUUUGAUCAUUAAGGUUUUUCAUAGAGAAUUCUGUAGCCAUUUCUAGGGUACUUUCAGCUUCCAUUGAAAGGAAUGAAGUUUCAUAUAGUUGUAACAAUCCCUCUGUAUCAUCCCAAAGCCUCGACUUGAACUCACCCUUCUCAUUCUUGAAACGAUCAAAUAUCUCUGUGUUCAACAGGACAUGUAUAAGACGCGUAAGCACAAAAAAUGAAUGAAAAUGAACAGAAGAAACUGAUUUGCACCUUCAGAAACUUUAAAGCCAUGUUGUCUUAGUAGUCUGAAUUCCAAAGCCGUAGCAUAUAAAUCCUCAAUCUUUGACUGUUGAUCAUUUUUGCUAUAUUUUUUGUUAAUGACUGACAAGAUUUGCUUAAUUUCAUUCUCAAAAUGGUAGGAUAUCCCCAGCCUUUGCAAAUUGUCAAUCAAUUCCAACUGAUCCAGUGGCUCUACUGUUUUAUCAAGCAUCAUCUUCACUUGCAUUUUCAGCUCAGAAGACCGUGUAGCGUAUCUCUCUCCCUAGAUCAUGCACGAACAAAAUCUGAUUGCAAGAAAAAAGGAAGAAUUUAUUUUUUAUGUAAAUGAUGAAAAUUACCGCGUAUUCAAUAUCUAAAGACCGAAUAUAUUCGAAGUCCCAUACUGGGGGUUUGUAGUUUCCUGAUCGCCUAAUCACAAUCUGACUGCAAGGCCGCAUCUUGGUUAUAAAACUAUGCUGAUUAGCAUUAGCAGCAGUACUUGUAAAUAAAGCAAAACAGUGUUUUGGAAUCUGUUUUUUUGAAGUGCAUAAAUUGGCUUGAAAAUGUUCAGGUUGAAGAUAGUCAUUGAUCUUUGAGACUUGUCUAAGUAGUUCAUAAAAUAUUAUAUUUGGUAUGGUGGGCAUGGCUUAUUUAUAUUGACUUACUUAAUUAUCUGGAACUCAAAUAGUAAUUAGAUGAGUUCAUCAAGUAUUGGCACCAACUCAAAUAAAGUAGCCAUAAAAAUAGCACCCGUUUGACCUCCAUUUUUCCAAAUUAAAAUGGAUGAAUAUAUAUAUAUAUAUAUAUAUAGAAGAUUAUGAAUUAUUUUAUUGAAAAAUAUUUGGUUGAAAUGAUGUCAAAUCACUGUUGAAAAAUGUAUUUUUUUAAAAAUAAUAUGGCUCAAACAAGCCCUUAAUAUGGGUCAAAUGGGGCUAAGUUGGUAAUAGCAGGCAAGUAGUAAUUAAGUAGGGACAAAAGGUCUGAUAAGGCUGCACGUAGAUUGGAAGUAAUAAUGCUUUCAAUAAUGCAAGCAAAUAAUUGCAUUAUGUUUGAAAAAUUAAUGACACGAUCUGUCCCGAAUCAUCAUAGUGGAUCCGAAACGUGACGUGCACCGAUGAUAGAUGCUGACUAGAUGUUAAAUCUAUCACCAAGACUGACUAUGAGUUAUUUCAAAAAAUGUAACAAAAUCAAAUGCUUAUGUAAAACAUAAUGCGAUGGGUCCAAAUUUUUUACUUUGUCCUUCAUCAAUAUGAAUUAUAACACUCAACAUGUCGUGUGGCUCUCAUUUUGAAAUCAUUAUGCUCUUCCAAUUCAAAUGAAUCAAUUGCUACCUGUAGGAAAAAUUACGAAAAAAUAUAUGAGUUGAUAGCUCAGUGGGUGGAGAAGUUCUAAAAUAAAUAUACUUUUUCAAUUUUACAUUUCUAUCGAAAAUCAAAUUCAUAUCAUUUGAUAAUUCAUAAGAUAACAUCAUGUAAUUAUAGCCAAGAAGUGAAAUAUUCACAUAAGAUUAUAAAAUAUCAUCUUAAAAUCAUGACAUAGACAUCAGCUGAUAACCAUGCUAUAAUCUCAUCACAUCAAAGAUGCUGAAAAAUUUACAAAAAAUGCACCCUCUGACUGAAAUAUGUAAUCCGCCCCUCAGGCUAAAAACUUUCGCUACGGGCCUUUGGCUACUCUGUGAACGAAAGUCGGUCUCAAAGACCUCUCAUAAUCAAUUCUAGAAUAUGGCCAAGGCCCCUCAGUGAACUAUAUGUACACGGUCGAGACCCCUUCAUCCCCCAUCCAAGACCCCUCGGUAUAGUAUAGAACACAACCAAGGCCCCUCAGUGAACUUAAAGAAAUAUAUAAUCACGGGUACUUUUCUGAUCGAUAUCAAAAUUAUAUCUCAUAUUCCAAUUCACAAUGUAACGUAUACAAUCUUUGAAAUCCCACAUGUAUCAUAAUAAAAGAUAUUUCCAUAAUAACCAUGUAAUUCGAACACAUAAUUGCAUAUAAUUGCUAAUACUUUAACAAUAAACGUAAUUUAUAAAUACUUUAAAAAUAUUUAUAUUUUUCCACUUACAGAACUAUGUUCGCAAAAUUAACUCGGUUUGUAAGCUAUCCCGAUGUCAAUAUCGGCGCCAGAAAUAUGAUAUAAUUUUUAAAUCAACAAUUAAUUAUUUUAAGAAAUUUCAAUAAUUAAAUAGGUAAUGCCCAAAUUUAAUCAUUUCACAUUUAAGCGAUUUACGCGGUCUCUUUAAUCACUAAAACAAUUUUUCUUUUAUCUUACUCAAUUUCAUAGUUUAUUACACUUAACCCCUUGAAAAAAAAAUUGAAUUUAAUCUAACAACUAUAAAAUCAAACAUAACUUGACAAUAAGUAACUUUUUACUUACCUUUCAAAAUUGAAGAAUUCAAGUCUAAUAACGUAGAUCACUUAUUUUCUAACAACAUAGACGAACUUUCAUAUUUUUUUUUCUUCUUUUUUCCUUUCUCUUUUCUCUUCCUUUUCUCUCUAGUUCGUUUUCUCUCUCUGUGUGUGUCUUUUUGUGUAAUGGAUUUGGAUUACACAUAUAUAUAAAUACAAUGGGAAUGGAUUUGUUUUGGGCAUAACCGCCUACAGUUUCCUUUUUAUGUUUUUUUUUUUCCCUUUUUUUUAGAAGUAUUAAAUUAAGGCAUUUCAAAUUUCACCCCAUAACUAUAAUUACAAUACAAGUCCCCAACCUUUAUAUAAUUUAACAUUUAGUCAUCUUAUUUACCAUACUAGAAGCUAAAUCCCAAAAUUUAUUUUUAUAUCAUUUCGCUCCCUCUUAAGUACUAGCAAUUUCAAAUUUAAACCCCAUGAAAAUCAGUCCUCCAACUUAAAUCCUUAUUUGGCUUUAACUUUGACUAUAUAAUAUAUUGAUUUUGACUGUAAUUGAGUGAGGUGUAACAAUUAAUGCUAUCAAUUUAAUUAAGUUACAAAAAAUUUUCAAGCAACAUAACAUUAAUGAAAAUAAUUCUCUUUCUCUGUGUGUGUAUAUAUAUGCUCUUGUUUGAGCCCCAUUUUGGGAGGAAGAAUGAAUUUUUGAAUAAUGUAUUGAUGAGAAAUGUGAGAUUAAAAACUAAGAAAAAUUUUUGAAUUUGCAUGUACUAUUAUUUUAUUGAAAAAUGUGUGGUUGAAAUAAUGUCAAAAUACUAUUGAAAAUAUUUAAAAUACUAUUGAAAAAUAUAUUUUUUUUCAAAAGAAUGGGACUCAAACAAGGCUUAUAUAUUGCUUAAACAUUUUCAUAAUUUGAAAUCAUGGUAUAAUUACAUCAUUAUCAAUAUUACUAAUAUAGCAUCCUCAAUAUACACAAUUGAGUAGAAUAUCCAAUUCAAUUGCAUGAUUCAAACUAUGGAUGUGGCCUUUAGGAGUAUGGAGUUGAUGUAGAGAAAAAUGUGGUUGGUCUCCAGCAUCGAUGCGGAAGACUCGAGUAGGAAAAGGCAGUUAUUUGGUAAAAAUAGUAAACCUAGCUAUUUGGAAAAGAAUGUGAUUCGAGACUUGAGAGACAAAUUGGGAGGCGGUAAGUGGAUGAAAAAUGUCAUCACUUACUAUCAAAAUGCUUACAUAAUUAGUGUUGUGUUAAUUGACUUGUUAUAGGUAGAGCUCUAAGAUCGCCUUCAUCCACUAAUAUUUACUUCGAUUAAAUUCUUUUAGACUUUUUACAUUUUUUAAGAAUUUAUGUUUAAAUAAAACCCUAAUAUUCAUAAAAUAUUUUCUUCAACUAAAGCUAAAACAAAAAUGAAAGAGACACCAUUAGAGUAAAUAUAUAAAGACAUAGCAACAUAUGAAGAAGAAUUUGAAAAAAGUAAUCAUUGUCCUUUUAUUGUGGGUUUGAUGAAUUUAGUAUGUGAAUGAUUUUUUAUUUGUGUUUAGGUUAUCUGAUAACUUGUCUUUUAAAUUCAAGUGGUAUAAAUAAGAAAUUUCAUUCAGAACUAUUUGAGUUUUUUAUUGGAAUUAUCUUUUCUUUUCUUGAUUUUCUUGAAUUGAAAAUAUUGAUGGCCAUAUUUUUUGGUAGAAUUAUCAAAACAAGAAUUUGAGCUUUUUGUUGGGAUUAUCUUUAUUUUUUUCUUGAUUUUCUUGAAUUCUGUUUCGCGUGGGUUAGUCGCUAACAAUUAAAAAGGGAUCAUACAAUUGUGUAAGGGACAAACCUCUUGAGACAAAGUCUCAAAAAGCUGUGUUUUUAUUGGCGAUGACUUUACAAUUGGAAAAUGAAAACAGAAUGCCUCCAAGGGGCGCAAACACACGAGUUAUUGAAGGAAGUGUUUUAAAUCUAAACUAAGAAAUUUAAAAUUACAUAUUUUGUGUUUGAGAGUGUUUGAUUCGAGGGUCUUUUGCUCUAUGUCUUUUCUUCCUUUUAUACUCCCUGGAUGAUCUCUUCGUGAUCAACCGCUUAAAAACUGCUUGAUCGCUCUAUAACUGUCCACUUUCCUUGUAGUGGCCAACUUGUCAUGGAACUGCCUUCUCUAACUGCUGCCAUUACUUUUUGUCGUUCAAUCGUCUUCAAUUGAAUUCCUUGAAUCGUGGAACAUUUUAGGGCUACUCAAUAAUUGAUUCAUUAACCGCAUCUUUGGGUAACCAUAACAUCUUACGUUUGCUAAGAUCCUGGGCGGCUCGAAGGUUUGGGUGAGAACAGGGGCACAGUUCUGGGCGACUGCAUGGCAAUCCAUUCGUUCAAAUCUUGGGCGAUGGUAUUACCGCGUUCAUGGGCUUCCCUAUUUGGGCCUUUAUCCUGCAUUGCCUGAUUGAGUCAUUCUUUGGGCUAUUUGAUUUUUGGGGAUCUUCCAAUUGGGCUUCAUUCCUUGGGCUAUUCGACUUGGGCUGAACUUUUUGUGUGUCAACAAUUACCCGCCAAUACGGCAGAAUUAAUACCAAUUAUUAAUUUUUGCCAUAUUCACUUUGUGUUUCCCAGCAACAUUCGAAAUUCCCAAGAAUUUCAAUCAUUGUUUUCUUCCAUAGCUUGAAAAGAUGCGACGUUUGCAAACCCUUAUAACCCCCAAAUACGUCAUUUCAUUGCACCACUAAAUCACUCCUCAUUUUUUCGCGCUUCUCUCUCGCAAUAUUACUGUUCAUCUCCUUGCUUUUCUGCUACGUAACUCUGAAAAACUCCAUUUCGUCCCUAAUGGCCACUUCACAAUCCCAGUCUGGUGACUCCUUCAGCUUCGAAGACUUUCAGAAACUCCUCACUCGGCCAUAUAUAACUUCAAACUUUCUUGCACCAGCCAAUGUCGAACUCAAAGAGUUCUAUCUAGGUCCUUCAUUCAACAACGUCGAGGCCAUCGAACAAGCGGUGGUCGGUCAGCUAUUCCUUUGUACUCAAGGCCCUCCGUUUUUAAACUCUUUAUCGCUGGGGCCACUUCGUGAAAGAGGUAUUCGUACUUGGCCUAAAUCUGAUGUCGUUUUCCGUAGGUGGCACGCUUACCUUGUGGACCAUGGUCCUACUAAGGCAAUUUUUGAUAAUGCUAGGAUUUCUGAUUUGUUAGAAAUCUCUCUUCGACACCCUAUUUUUGAUUCAGGACUUUUUCCAAUCGCUUUAAGUUUUUGGUCUUCUGAGUAUAAUACUUUUGUUUUCCCUCUUGGCCCCAUGUUCAUUACCUUAAGGAAUGUUGGGGCCCUAGUAAAUCUGUCACCUUUGGGCGAUACCAUUUUCCCUGGUAUUUUGAUUUCUGGUGUCGUCCCAAAAUUUAAAAGAAAACUCACCCAGUCUUUUUCAAACCUGCAAACCUGUCAUAACCACUCAAGCGCUGAGCCUUCCCAUGCUGAGCGUGUGGCCUUUCUUCUGAUUUGGCUUUGUAAAAACGUUUUGUGUGUGCCAAGCAUAAAGCCCUCCAUGAGUUAUUUACCCAUAGUGCACAAAUUGGCGCGUUGUAGGCCUCUGAAUUUGUGUUCUUUCUUUUUAGCUGCCCUCUAUAGAGGCAUGGCGCUUCUCUUCAAUCCCAAUUGAAGAAUGGUGCAUCUCCCAUUUCCAUUUUCUUCUUCAAAAGACCAAUUUGCUGCCAUUGUUUGGCAUUUUGACAAUUAAUCCAACACCUUCGUUUUUCAUGUAAAUGGAUCAUCUGAUCCACCCAUUUUGCCAUCCUUCUUGAUGUCACCUUUGGUAUGAGAGAUAUGGGAAAUAUUCUUUGACCAGCAGCAAAGUUCUUCCCAUCGUCUCCGUUCCUACAAAGAGUUCAAUGAUGGAAGACAAUUUUUGGGGUGCUUGCAGGCCACCUUGCUUGCUGAGAGUGCUUCUCAGCCUCCUUGCCCGUCGUUGUAGCGAUGCAUUUAGGAAGGCAAUGUGAGGGCGCUUCAUCUUCCUUUCUGCUUGCUGAGAGUGCUUCUCGGCCUCUCUGCUUGCCUUUGCAGUAGUGCGAUCAGGAUGGCGAUCAAUGCCAGUACACCCUCUUACUCGACGAUCGACUGGGAGAUUAGUUUUCUCUUAAUUGUAGUUUAUAGAGCAUUUAGCAUCUUGUAUUUCGCAGCUUUUGUAAUGAACAUUUGAUAAUAAAGGAAUUUAUUUGAACGUAUUUCGCUCUGGCCCUUUUUACUCUACGAUCGUUCAAUGCGAUUUGGUUACGCUUUUAUUUGUUCACUUUCCCAUAAGGAAGGAACAUACUUUUUCAAAUAUUUGCCAUUAAUGAACCUCAUGUGCUUGGUGCCUUCUAAAUCUUCCAAAUGAUAGACUCCAUUAGGCAAUACAUUAUUCACUUUAUAUGGUCCUUCCCAAUUGGGAGACUAUUUGCCAUACAUUGGAUCUUUGCUAUCCAAAGGGAGUACUGUUUUCCAAACCAAUUCGCCCAGGAUGAAUGACUUGGCUAUAACUUUUUUAUUAUAAAAUUUAGCCAUUCUUCAUUGUUGAACUUGCAAUCUAUCUAGGAAAUCUAACUUUAAUUCGUCCAACUCUAAUAAGUUUUGAACUAGUGAUUCGGUAUACUCAUCAUCACUUAACUUAUGUUGCAAACACACUCUGAUCGAUUGCACGUUGAUUUCCAUAGGCAAAACGGCCUCCUGUCCAUAAGUAAGUUGGAAAGGAGUAAUUUUGGUACUUGACCGAGGCGACGUCCUAUAAGCCCAUAAGGCCUUGUUCAGACAUUCAUGCCAAUUUCUGGCAUUUUCAUCUAUCAUUUUCCUUAUGAUAUUUUUUAAAAUCUUAUUACAAGAUUCUGCUUGCCCGUUGGAUUGAGCGUAAUAUGGUGUGGAGUUUACUAAUUUAACUCCAAACUCGCUCAAGAAUUUAUUCACUUGAUCCCCUUUUAAAGAUGUCCCGUGAUCUACCAUCAAAGUUUGUGGAAUUCCAAAUUUAUAAAUGAUGUGAUCACGGAUAAAUUUUAUGACAUUCUUCUGGGUGAUCUCCUUUAAAGGUACCGCCUCUACCCACUUAGUAAAAUAAUCGGUUGCAACUAUAACAAAAGUAUGUUGCUUAGACGAUGGGGGAUAAAUCUUCCCUAUCAGGUCUAUCGCCCAAUCCUUGAACGGCCAAGGUUUAAUAAUAGGUGCCAUUUCUCAUGCUGGCGCCCUUUGUAUUGGACCAUGCUUUUGGCAUGCUAAACAACUCUUUGCAUACUGAACGCAUAAUUCCCCCAUCUUUGGCAAAAAAAUAUCCACUCCUAAUAAUCAACCAUCUCAUCCUUUGGCCAGCUUGAUGAGCUCCACAUAUCUCCUCGUCCACUUCAGCCAUGAUCGUCCUGGCUUCUUGCAAACUUACACAUUUUAGCAGUAUACCAUUAGAGCGUUUCUUGAACAACUCUUCAUCUAUCAGUGCAUAGUUUAACAAACGCAACUUCAUUUUUCUACUAUCUUUUUUGUUAGGUUCUUUAAGGAACUCCUUAAUCUCUACCCUCCAAUCCAUUGCAUCUCCAUCUUGUAUGCAAUGAAGUUCAAUCCUUCUCACCCUUCUUUGGGUCACGGGCAAUAUUGUUCCAUACUCACAAGUAGACUUCCAAUUAAAAACCUUUGAGUACCCUGAGGCCAUCUGGGCCAACUCAUUUGCCACGUCAUUGUAUAUCCUAUUAACGCAUUGAAGUUCUACUUGGUCGAAUUCUUCUAAUAACUCUUGGGCGAUUUCAUAUUGACUCAUGAUGGAAUCACUUUGACAUUUAAAAUCACCAAUAAGUUGGUGAAUUACCAAUUGAGAAUCGCCUCUAAUGUUUACAUUUUUUACCCCCAUAUCUAUCAUUAGUUCUAGGCCCACGAUUAAGACUUCAUAUUCGGCUUGAUUGUUGGUGCACAUCCUAUCCAAAGUGAAUGCGAACUUGUAGCAAAUCCCUAAAUGAUUUAUCAAUGCUACUCCUACUCCUACACCUUUAGAGAUUUUUGACCCAUUGAAAUACAACACCAAAGGUUUUAGCUCGAACGAAUUGAUUUCUAAUUCAAUUUCUUCAAGCAUGUCAAGGCAUGGAUGAUCGGCUAGGAAGUUAGCCAAAGCCUAAUUUUUGACUGCCUUUUGGGGUAUUAUUGUAUUUCGAAUUCUGAUAAAGCUAACGUCCAAAGGCCUACCCUUUGGUGUAAAAUAGGGCGAGAGAACAUAUACUUAAUCAAAUUUACUCUAGAAAUCAAAUAAACGGUUACGGGCCGUAAAUAAACCCUUAAUUUUGUACGUGUGAAAUACAAUGCAAGACAUAAUUUUUCGAUAGCAGAGUAAUUACAUUCACAUUUUGUUAACCGUCUACUCAAAUAGUAAAUCUCUCUCUCUUCACCAAAUUGGUCUUCUUGUUACAUUCACAUUUUGUUAACCGUCUACUCAAAUAGUAAAUCUCUCUCUCUUCACCAAAUUGGUCUUCUUGCGCGACCAUUCCAGCUAUUGAUUCUUUUUCAGUUGAUACAUAUACUUUCAUGGGCCGUCCUUGGAUUGGUGACACCAACACUGGUGGACUUGAUUAAUAUGUCUUCAGGCUUUCAAAAGCUUUUUGAUGUUCUUCUUUCCAGACGAAUUCGUCCUGAUUUUUUAGCUUUAAAAGUGGCGAAAAGACUUUAGUUCGCCCUACGCAGUUAGAAAUAAAGCGUCUUAAAAAGUUUACUUGGCCUAGAAAUUUUUGUAAUUCUUUUUUGUUGCUAGGUGGUUUGGCCUCUAGAAUGACCUUCGCUUUAUUUUUAUCAAGUUCAAUCCCUCUUUUAUGUACCAAGAAACCAAGAAAAUUUCCUGCAUUAACACCAAAUGCACAUUUCAAGGGAUUCAACUUUAACUUAUAUUGCUUCAUUCGCUCAAAUGAACAUCUUAACUGUUCAAAAUGGUCCUCUUCUUUAAUGGAUUUGACCACUAUAUCAUCUACAUACACUUCAACAAACUUGCCUAUCAUAUCAUGAAAAAUUAAAUUCAUUGCCCUUUGAUAAGUUGCUCUUACAUUUUUCAGGCCGAAAGGCAUGACUACCCAUUCAAAACAUCCUAGAGACCCAGGGCAUCUAAAGGCAAUUUUGUGUAUGUCUUCCUCAGCUAUAUAAAUUUGAUUGUAUCCUGAAUACCCAUCCAUGAAAGAAUAUAUGACGUGUCCGACGGUUGAGUCUACUAAAGAAUCUACCGUGGGCAUUGGAUACUCAUCUUUGGGUGUAGCUAUGUUUAAAUUCCUAAAGUCUAUGCACACCCUUAGUUUACCAUUCUUUUUUAGUACUGGCACAAUAUUGGACAACCAUUCGACAUACCUGGCUGUUCUAAUAAAGCCUACUUUUAAUAAUCGCUCUAUCUCUUUCUUAAUCUCAGGGAGUACAUUAGGAGCAAAACGUCUGGGAGGUUGCCUAUGAGGUUUAAAAUUAGGCUUAGUUGGUAAUCUAUAUUCUACCAAGUCUCUAUCUAAACCAGGCAUUUGUUCAUAUUUCCAAGCAAAACAAUCUUUAUACUCCUUUAACAAAGCGAUUAAUUUAUCACUAACCUCUUGAUCGAGCAUCUGGCUGAUGAAUAUUGGACGAUCUUCUCCUUCAUUGCCAAUAUUUACUUUAAUCAGAGGGUCUUGUGAUUGAGCAUAUCUAGGCUUGAUGAUCUACAUUACUUCAUCGUCCAGCUCCUUUAUAAGCACUUCCUCUUCUAAACAAUCCACCUUGUUGACUUCUUGGCCAAUACUUUGUUCCAAUUCGAAUACUGCUAAUUUGUCUUUCAACGCUUUCAGGGCUGCAUCUUCUUUCGUCUUGUCCUUGCAUUCUUUAUUGAAAACCAUUAAUUUGGCUUUGAAGGCCUGAAUAUCAGCCAUUUACUCUUGUUGCUUUGAACUCAUUCAGGACUCCUUGAUUAUUCUUUUGCCAAUUACUGGCUCUUCUAAGGCCACUAUAUUUGGCCUCAUUUGAUUGGACAUUUCAGUGAGUGCGUCCACUGAAAAUGGCUCUUCACUCUGCGCGACAAUCUGAGUUUCUUCCCCAUCUUGGACUAGCCUGACAGGUCCAUAGUUUCCUUCGUACAUGAACCUUCCCACUGAGUUUGCUUCUGCAACAAAAGGCCUAUGAUCGGCCUACACCACCUCUGCUUUACCCUUGUUAUUCCAAAAAAACCAAGCAUUGAUGGAGCGAUGAGGGUAUACAGCGACUUCCAUGUAUCCAAUCUCUUUCUAGUAAUAUAUUGUAACUAGUAGGACCAUCUAUUACAAAGAAGACUGUGUUCCUAGUAGUUGUACCUAUAGUUAUGUCCAAUGGCAUAACUCCCUUAGCUGCAGUUGCUCCUCCAUUGAAACUUGUAAGGAUGACUUCUGUUGGAAUCAUAUCCCCUUCUGUCUUUGCAAACUUUCUCAUCAUCCUAGAUGGAAUGGUGUUUAUAGCUACUCCAUUAUCGACAAGCACUUUUGCCACUGGUAUGCUAUUAACUAGAGCUUUAACGUACAACAACCUCAAGUGUUUAGUCAAUUUCAUGGCUGACUGUUUAAAAAUAACCUUUUUGGCAGCCUCUAUUUCUACUUCCUGCCUGUCCUCUGUCGAGUUAUCCUUUUGUGAUAAGUCAACGUGCAGCAUAUCACACUGAGCCUCUGUCUCCCGAAUUUCCUUUUUACUGUUUUUUGAUGCUUCAUCUUCAGUUACCUAACCUGUGGGAGGAGGCAUUAUUCUUGGAGGUGAUCCAUACUUUUCAGAGCGAGGCACUCUCUUCUUCCUUUUAGGGGUCCCGUACAGCACGUAAAAAUCGAAAGAACGCUCAGAUGGUUCUCCUAAUAAAUCUACUUCACGAACUCCCUCUUAAUGUAGUUGCUUCAAUAGAGUAUUGUACGAUACUCCUCUCCUUCUUCUUUCUGCUUCUAGGUCGAUUUUCUCUUCAAUGUCUAUCAUACCAUCAUCUUCCUCACCAAUGUAGGCCUCUCUAGAAGUCUGGCCUUCUUUAUAUUCCAGCAUGCAUGCUUCUCCUUCGUUAUCUUCUCUUUCUUCUUCUUCUUUCUCUUUAUUCUUGAACUCAUUGGCUAGUAAAUAGUUAUUAGCCACAACAGGAGGUAACGUAACGAACUGAAUAGUAAGGGGCUAAUCUGGAUCUUCUCCAUCCCUUCUAUCUUGCUCAAACUUCGAUCUCCCAGAAGAAGUUUCUGGCAACUCUUUCAUUGAUUCAUCUGUACCAGUCUCUUCACUAUCUUUAAGAACAUUGUGAUUGGCUACCUCAAGUAGUUUAGGCGCCUUAGGACGUGGCACUUCCUGUUGUUGCCUCAUCAUUCGUCCAUAUUUCGUUGGAAACGCCUUUGUUGGGUUCUAGUCAUCUCGUUGAAGGGUAUCACCUUUCCUGCAUUAUACUGGAAUGAAUGCCAUACAUUUGGUCGACGAGGUUGCGGCCUGAAUGUUUUCCCAUUAUUUACUGGCCUGAACUGUCUCUCAAAAGGCGGUCCCUUAUAGAACGAUGUACCUCGCCCUCUACCAGGCUGAGCGUUUGGGAAGAAAGUAAGGCGACGGGGAUGCUACCAUAUCCCUGUUUUCUUCGUAUUCCUACUCACUUCUCUUUUACAUCUUGCACACAAGACGUCUUCAUCCAUUUUUGGCUUCUUCCCUUUAAUACACUCAAAGACACUGGGAUGUGGUCCAGGGUCUUCUUCUCCAUCAUCUAUAACCAUUUUGAAUUUUUGCAACUUGUUUUUGAAACCAGAUGUUACCAUAUUCACUCCAAGUGGCUGUGGAAAGGGAUUUUCAUCCACUGCCAUCUUCUUCUUAUCAUCGAACGUAAUUCGUCCUGAUUCAAUGGUAUCUUGUAACACAUGGCGAAAAACCAAGCAAUUGUUAGUCAAAUGUGACCAUGCAUUAUGCCACUUACAAUAUUUUUUACCCUUAAUUUGUUCAGGGUUUGGCAAUUUAUGCUUAUCGCUCAGCUUUAUCUGCUUAUCCUUAUAUAAUUUAUCAAAUAUAAGGUUAGCUUUGGUUAUAUCGAACGAGAACGUUCUAGCUUUUACGUUUUCAUCUUUCAUAGGCUCAUCCUUGCCCGAUGGUCUAGGCUUAGCCAUUAUAGGACAAGUAUAUGUGUCUCCUUUGACUAAUUCGGCCAAACACAUUUCGGUCUGAUCGUAUGACUCGUUAUUGACAGUAUGAACAUCAAAAUUUGGGUCUCUAUAAUAAGUCCCCUUGCUAGAAUUUUUUAUCUGCUCUUCUUCUCUUAUCAAUCGUUCAUACCUAAUCACGUUCGCGCUCAAUUGGAAAAGGUCAGGAAAUUCCUCAUUUUGGAAUUUCUUUUUCAAAUUAAAGCUCAAACAACCUUGAGCGAUUUUGACAAACUCUUUUUCGGGCAGAGGUACAAAACAUUUACUUCUUGUUGUCUUGAACCUUUGGAGGAAACCUUCUGCCCAUUCAUUUGGCAUUUGACGUAGGUUCGCCCAAUCGGCCAAAGUAACUUCAGACUCAAUCUUAUAAAAUUGAGCGUGGAAUAAUUGUUCCAAUUAUUGCCAUAUUUGAACAGAGUUCACUGGCAAACUGAUGAACCAGGAGAAAGUUACUCCUGUUAAUGAACUAGGGAAAAGCCUCAUUUUAUGAUAAUCAAUUACGUCACCACUUUGCAGUGUGAAUCGUCCUAUGUGUUCUAGAGUAGACACCUCCCUUAAACUAGUAAAUAGUGAGAAUUCUGGCACUUUAUACCCUCCAGGCCAUGGAUAUGCUUGGUCUAUCCAAUCAGGAUAUGGCUUUGUGUAAGUCGGCGUAAUGACAAGACGUACCCCAAAAGCCAUCUGGUCCUGUACGAUUUCCAUAAUCUGAUUCCUCAACAUGACGUUGGGGUCAUAUAGAAUCCCUACAGGUUGGUUGAUCGGUUGAUUUGCUUGAGGCCUGAUAUUUGGUCCUUGAUUAGGAAUAAAGUUACCAUGAUUUGGGCCAUUGUUACCAUUAGCCUGAACAUUUAUUCCCUCAUUAACACGUGGGGUAUUCUGCCCGUUAUUUAGGACAUUAUCUCUUACAUUUGGAUUACCCCCCAAGUUAGGCGUACCACUACCAUUAUUCUGAUUUGGAAUUACACCAUCCCCUUGGUUUGAAGUAGAGGGACCGAAAUGUGGUUCUACCCCUUGACUUGGAUUUAGGACUGGGGGAUUAUGUCCCACAAUUGUCCUAGUUUGAAAGUGGUUUGCAAGAGGCAUAACUCGUUGACAAAUUUGGCCUACUAACUUAUUCAUUAUUUCGUUCAAAGUACUCAGUUGUUUGGCCAUGUUGUCAUAAUGUGCAUUCCCAUUCUGGGUAAAUCUUUUCAUAUUAUGAAUAUUUCGAAGACUUACCUGUUCAACGACAUCUUGUGUGAGUUCUCCAAGUAGUGCACGCAUAGUUCGAGGACUCAACUCUGCCAUUGAUUCGUAACGACUGUUACUGCUGUGAUUCUGUCCAUCUAUUCAUGGAGAGCUAUGCUUCUCCUCAUAUCGCUCGAUCACAGGCUGGACUCCUCCCUGACUUGUUGCUUCCUUAUCGGAUCUUUGAGGCAUAUUGUUUCACCUUUUGUAUCUACAACACCAAACACCACUGUCCCACCGGGCGUGCCAAAUUGUUUCACGCGGGUUAGUCACUAACAAUUAAAAAGGGAUCAGACGAUUGUGUAAGAGAUAAACCUCUUGAGACAAAUUCUCAAAAAUGGGUGUUUUUAUUGGCGAUGACUUUACAAUUGGAAAAUGAAAAUAGAAUGCCUCCAAGGGGCGCAAGCACACGAGUUACUGAAAAGAAGUGUUUUAAAUCUAAACUAAGAAAUUUAAAGUUACAUAUUCUCUGUUUGAGAGUGUUUGAUUCAGGGGUCUUUUGCUCUAUGCAUUUUCUUCCUUUUAUACUCCCUGAAUGAUCUCUUCGUGAUCAACUGCUUAAAAACUGUUUGAUCGCUCUAUAACUACCCACUUUCCUCGUAGUGGCUAACUUGUCAUGGAACUGCCUUCUCUAACUGCUGCCAUUACUUUUUGUAGUUCAACCGUCUUUAAUUAAAUUCCUUGAAUCGUGGAACGUGAUAGGGCUACUCAAUAACUGCUUCAUUAACCGCACCUUUGGGUAACCAUAACAUCUUACGUUUGCUAAGAUCCUGGGCGAUUCGAAGGUUUGGGCGAGAACAGGAGCACAGUUCUGGGCGACUGCAUGGCCAUCCAUUCGCUCAAAUCUUGGGCAACUUGUAACCUUGGGCGAUGGUAUUACCGCGUACAUGGGCUUCCCUAUUUGGGCCUUUAUCCUGUAUUGUUUGAUUGGGUCGUUCUUUGGGCUAUUUGAUUUUUGGGGAUCUUCCAAUGGGCUUCAUUCUUUAGGCUAUUCGACUUGGGCUGAACUUUUUGUGUGUCAACAAAUUCAAACAAUUGUGGCUAAUUUGCUGGGAUCUUCAAAGAAACUUGAUAGUGUGGAUAUAUAAUUUUUAAAUGAAUGGAAUGUGAUGUGGAUGAAAAUGAUAUUUUUUAAAAAUUUUAAAAUUUAAUAGGAAUGAAUAUAGAGUGAGAUAGAUAUAUAACAAUGGUGGAUGCAAAUAACAACUCCCUUUGUUCUUGAUUCCCCCAUAGUCAAUAAAAGCUAUUGGGUUUGACCUAAAUCUUUUAAUUAUAUUAUGGUUUAGGGGUAGAAUGAGAUACAAAAAGAGAGUCCGAGAAAGAAAAAGAGAUUAUCUGGUUAUGAACAAUAUGAUUUUAUUUAUAAUGAUGAAUUAUGUAUGACGAAUGUUAUUAAUCGUCGCAAGAAAAUGAUACGAUACAAAGAAGUAUGAGACUUAAGAAAUUUGCACAAAUGAUCCUUUAAGGGCAUAAGUUUAUUUUUAUUAAAGUAGAUAUACUUUUAACUAUCGGAAUGGAUAGAAACAAUAGGAAACGGCCCCCCUUUUUUACGAGCAAAAUCAAUAUGUUGAGGGGGUCAAUGCCAUAAUUGUAACAUUAGGGACCAUUUGUGUCAAUUCCUUGUUAAUAAAUAUUCCGCUUUUCGGGUCCUUUGAAAAAAAAAAAAAAAAAACUACCUAUCUCCCUUAAAGAUAGACUUCAUUUUCUUUUUCGUCAGUCCCAAAUUACUAGCUACUUUCCUUGCUGAAAGUGAAGAUAUAUUUUAAUUUUCUAAUAUGCCAUAUUUUAUGUAUCUUGUUAUCAAUAAAUAUAAAACAAAUACUAUUUAAACUAUUAUUUAAUAUAGGAGUAUAUAUAGAAAAAUGUAACAAAAUUUAUAUUUUCAAUUAUAUUAAUUACAUUUUCUUAAUAUGUGUUAAAAUAUAGAGAAGUUUAUUUUUAUGGGACGGAUGUAGUAAAUAAGAUGCACUGUGAAACAAGAAACCAUGAUGCUUGACAAUGACAAUCUGCAGUUACUUAAUAGCCUCCAAACAUUAAAUAAUCAUAAAUCAUUAAAUGAAAAAUUGGUUUCUUAACUUGAAUAAUGGAACUGGACAUAUUGAUAAAAACUUAAUGAAGUUGAUAUACAUACUCAAGAAACAGUCCAGUUGGUAAAGAUAAUUUAAUACUUGAAUUGCUUAGUCCCCAUUUGGGAUAGAUUGUUUUGGUGGAAAUAAUAGAAGGGGAAAAAAAAAAACUUACUAUUAGAUUAAUAUGUUUGUUUGGCACUCUGAAGCAAUCCACAAGUCGAAAGUUCAAGAAUAGAAUGCAAUAUUUUUAGUAAUUGAUUUCAAAAUAAUGGUAAUCAAUUCACUAUAUGAUACAGAUAAUGAAUAUUUAAACAUGAGUAUAAACACAUCUCUGAAUACAUUAAGGAUCCAAUGAAAUUCAAUCUCCAUUAGUAGAAAACAGCUUAAAACUUGGAAUAUUUGGUUUUAUCAAAGUUAAUGGAACCUGAUUCAAAAUAAAAUAAAAUAAAAAUAAAAAUAAAAAGAUUCACAUGGUUAAGCAAAAAUGAAGCCACAAAUAAACAUGUUAAACAUGGACUUAAACUUUAUUGAAAUUACUUAAUUUUGAUUGUAAAUAACUUAAUUAUUUCUACUUGGGGACAACAAAGAAAUAAAUUACCUUGAAACUUAUUUACUUUUAUGUUUACUUUUGAAGAAUUUUAUAGAAGCAAAACUUAUAUUCAGAUUUUAGGGAUCCAUAUUUUCUCAUCCACUUACAAACCAGGCACUCGAUAAUGUUUGUAUAUUGGAUUCCCAGUAUACAAAUUCAGAAGGGUAAAUUGUUUCUGAGCCUUCAAUCAGGAUAUCAUUGAUGUCUAGUGGAUAGACUGAUAAAGUGUUUAAGAUCGAGUCAAUCUGUUGUUGUAUUUAUGCUUUUAUUGUUGCCACAGACCUCAAAGUCAUGUCAUAGCCUAUGAAUGGUGUUAGUAGGAUGCCGACGCUAGAAGAGAAAUAGCAGGACAGGCAAGCACAUGGUUGGAGCCAUGGACCAAUGAGAAAUACCACUGAAAAUUUAUUGUCUGUGGGUUUCCGCCUCAUCCAUAUGUUGCAAUUCAUCCACCAAAACUUCGAAAUUCACUUCAUCGGGAGGAUUGGAGAAGCCUACUACUUCAUGGGGAGAGACUCUGUUGGCAAUAAACAUAUAUUCUAGCAUCCAAAACCUAAUAUUUAAGAAUUGAUUAAUAUAUAGUCAUUAUUUUGAUAAUCAAAUACAAAAAGCAUUGAAAUUAAGAAUUAUUGAAGAUUUCAGAAUUUCUUGUGAUUGAAAAGUUUCAUUCGAUCCUUCUUGCUCUUAGACUAGGGGUUUGUCUUCAAUUGAGAGAUGAAUUUUAAACAUAUUUUUAAGUUCAGGUAUGCUCAAUUGAGAUUUUAAUGAAAUUCAUUAAAAUUUAGGUGUUCCAAAUUGAAAUUUUAAUGAAAUUCAAUGAAAUCUUUUAAAGUUUAGGUAUCUUCAAUAAUUAGUGUAUUUAUAAAAUUUUAAAAGAUUUUAAGUUGAUUUCAUACUUAAAAAUAUAUAUAACCAAAUAUUUUGAAAUUUCACCGUAUUUGAUGAAAUUCUUAUUGAAUUUAUGGAAAUCCAUUUAGAUCCACAAAAUUCAUUAAAAUUUAUAAUCUUUUAAAAUACAUCAAAAUCUUAGUUGAGGACAUCCCUGUAAAUGGACGAUGUCUAUGUCAACUUUUUUUUUUUUUAUAUAUAUUUUCACUAUGUUUAUUGGCUAGAUUAUUUGUUAGGGCGAAUGAUAUAGGUGACUUCAGUAUAAUUAAUUGAUUUCUAUUCAUAUUUUAAUUAUUUAUUUUGAAUAUUUGUUUUGUAAAUUGUGGUAUGAUUGAUUUAUUUUCUUUAUUGAGAAUAAGAGUUGAAUCACAUAAUAUUUGAUUGUAUGUUAGAUCGAAAGAUUGCAUGUUGAACACAUAAUCUUACUAUUCAUAAAUUUGUAGCUUAGCUUCAUUGCCACAAAGAUAAUUUAGUGGUUGCUAACCUGCAGACAAGAAGCAAAAUAAAUGGGACAGUACAUAUUGAUUGAGAAUUAUUAAUCAUUUAAAUAACACAUAAUCUUACUAUUCAUAAAUUUGUAGUUUAGCUUUAUUGCCACAAAGAUAAUUUAGUAGUUGCUAACCUGCAGACAACAAGAAGCAAAAUAAAUAGGACAGUACACAUGGAUUGAGAAUUAUUAAUCAUUUAAACAAUACACUUAAAUAAUUGCAUUAUGAUUCAUUCGUCAUUUUUUUAUAAAUAAUCCAAUGUGAUUAGCUAGAAGAGUAGGAUGUAGUCAAAAGAGUAAUGUUUUUCGAUACCAUUGGAAAAAUAUUGUCUUCACAUUAAGCUAUGUAUGGUGCACCAGAUUAGGCCAUAUAAAGAAUUUAGUGUAAAAUUAUAAUGAUACUACUAGGUAAAUGAUAUUAUGGUUGAUUAAGGUGAAUACUAAUCUUUAAUUUUUCAUUCAAAAAAUGGUCAUUUGCAUUAUCAACCGUAUAAUAUAGUACCGAGGUUGGAGGUAACUUUAGGCCACAUAAAAAGAGAGAUGAAAUGAUGGUUCAAAGAUUAUUAUCAUUCUUUAUCCCCCAUAAUACCCUUGACCCAGUAAUAUUCAUUAUCAUUUAUACUAAUAUUUUAUUUUGUUUACUCCGGUGCACCUAACAUGACCAUAAUAUUCCAUAAGGCUUUGUAUAUAUGCUAUGGUUAUGCAUUGUUAUCUACAGUUAUUUUUUUUUAUGAAAGUUAAUAAUAUAUUGGAUUGUUUUCCAAUUGUUGAUCCUACUCGGUAUUGAUUAUGAUUCAACAAGUCAGUUGAUCUUGUGUUAUAUUGCUGCGUCAUAGAUUAAAAUGCCCAGUGAAGAAAGAAACCAGGAUGCUUCACAAUGAUAGGGGAAAAAUAUUGUUUUCUCAGCUGGCACUCGACAAACUGAUAACAAAGCCUCCAUUCGGAAUUUUUUUUAAAAUCAUUUAUAAUGGUCAAACUUCAUUUUCAACCAUACAUAUCAAUUGACCUACAAUUAUUAUCUACUCAUUCACUACAAAUUCCUCUCUAUUUAAAAAUUAAACAGUUUAUAAAUUCUUCCAAAAUGAACAAGUUGAAAAAGUUACCCUAGUUGAUAAAUGGUCGAGUUGAUUAAGUUACACAAGAAUCAGUUGGCAGUGAUAAUAAAAUACAUGAAUUGCUUAGGCCCCUCUGGGACAGAUUGUUGUGGAUCCAAAAAAGAAAGAAAAAAUACUAUUUGAGUAAGAUACAUGGUUAAUAAUAUACAUAAAAACUACUAUUAAAAUAAUCAAACUGGAAAGUUCAAGAAUAGAAGUUUAUGUUUAUUAUAUUUGAGUAUCAAAAUAAUCAUAAUCGGGAUCAUGACCUUUUUAUCAAAAUAAGUGAACUUUUUUACUUAAGGUUUUUCGUCAAAUGAAAACGAGAACCGAAUGAUAUUUAUCAAAGAAAAGAGCGAGAGGGACUGACUAGACGGCCGUCGAUCAACUCAUAAGAAUAAACAUAACUUUGUUCAAAAUCUUGGUAAACUUUUCCAUUGAUCUUUUCAAUUUUGUGUAUCAUCUGAAGAAUAAACAACACCAACAACAGGAAUGCCACAAAUUUUGAAAAGAAUAAAGGCGAAGGAGAAAGAAAAAAUAAAAAAGCUAAAGAAAAAAUAAAAAAGCUCUAACAACCAUAGUCCAAAAAACGAUUUCAUCAAAGUUCUUCUCGAUGGAGCUUAAAGCAAAAAUUUAGUGAUUUGCUUCCAAAGCAUCAGAACCAUUUUGAAUGUUUGAUAUCGGUUAUGUGAACUAUUCGAUAAAUAAGGAAGAAAAUGAAGUUAUUAUUCUUCAGCAGCGGCACUUGCAGCACUCAGGUCUACUGACAAAUAGAGAACUUGAACCAAAAAAAAAAAAAAAAAAAAGGCAAAUAAAAAUAUAAACAGUAAAUAUCAAAUUUCUCUAAGUUAUAUACACUUUCUUCAUGUAGAUUUCAUGACUCAUAUAUCCAUCAGUUACCUGUUGGAAAAAUUCCAACGUAUGGGGACACACACACACAUAUUAAAAUGUGUUGUGCUAGUAUAAAGCUUAGUCAAUAAAGUCAUCCGUUAAAGUCAAUUUUUAGACUAACGGGUAUUAAAUGUCAUGGAAAUGAAGUGUGGAGACUAAAAAAUGUUAUUUUAAAUUAAUGAGGGGCCAAUUUGAAAUAACACAAAAUUAAUAACUGCUUAAUAGUUAUUUAUUCUGGGGUCAUGGUCCCAAUUGUACGUGAUUUUUCAUAUCUCUCUACAUCCCCAUCAAUAGAGAAAAAAAUUCCAAGCAAUUACGUAACAAUUGGAAGAUCUUCACCCAUUAAGAAUAUUAACAACAGUGGAUCAAGGUAUGCUUCCGCAUUUUUUAAUGUUCCCUUUGAUUUCAACAUGUAGGAUCAUUUAUGUAAUUUUGUGAAAGGAUUUGAUAAAAUUUUGGUUUCUUUCAAUUCAUACAAGUGGUAUUAGAGCACUCCAUUUUGAAUCUUUGAGAAAUUGCAAGAAUAAAUGCUAUAACAAUUCUAUAUUGUGGGUUAUUUUUGAUCUUUUAUCAUAUGAUUAUGUGAAAUUUAGUUCUUACAGUAUUUUAAGAGUUUUCAAAUUUGACAAAUUCGAAUUUAUUUUUGUUGGAUUUGAAAAUUGUUCAGCAUAUUAUUCAUGGUUAUUUUUUUCAAAACUUGGAUUAAAAUUUUGAAAAUUUCAAAUUUUUAUUUUUCAGAUUUCAUAAAAAAGAAUUUUGAUUAGCCGCUAUCGGCAUUGCAGCAGUAGCGCUGAUAGCUAGGGAAGGAGAAAGAGAAAGAUUCGGUUGGAUUUUUUGGGAUGGGGGCCUGAGGUGUAAUUUUGGUAAUCUCAUGCCCUUGCUUGAAAUAAAGAUUAGGGUUAGCUAAUUUUUUAAAAUAUAAUUUUACGUUUCAGUCUCUAAAGUUUGAAAUCCAUCCAAGCUGGACCUUUAAAGUUCUAGGUUCAAUAAUUCAAUCCAUAAAGUUUGAAAAUUAUUUAAUUUGGGCCAUCAAAGUUCUGGAAUUUGUAAUUAAAGCCCUCAAUGUUUAUAAUUAAUUAAAAUUGGCCCCCAAAUUUUUAAUUUUUUUUCAAAUUUUGACCCCUAAAAUUUUGAAUUAUUAACCCUUAGGUCCCUAAAGUUUCAAAAGACAUCUAAUGAUGCAAAAUUAGUGAUUCUCUUUCUCAAAUUUGGUAUUAAGGACUCUUAUAAGAUGUAUAGUUGAGAUUUAAUUAUGUGGGACAAUCAAAUUUAAAUAAUUUGAUAAAUCAUUCAUGAUAAAGUAAGGUUAACUAGCAUUUUAAAUAAACUAAUUGAAACAAUAUGUCACCAAAGUGACCUUUUUGUGUAAAUUGGUUAGUUUGGGAUGUUUAGAUAUUGUGUGUGUGUUUGUUCAUACGGGUGUUAGUCGGCCCAAAGGAAGGUUAAUAUUUGGCUGAAUUACAUACACACUUAUGGUAGUGAAUGUGUAACAAUUAUAAGGUUUCCAUGUGAAUAAUAAAUCAGCCCAAAGAUGGGUUUAUUAUUUGAUAAGAGUUGUUGUCAAUAUCUGAUCACUACACCAAGAAUACCACUUGCAAUUAAUAUUACUGUCCAAAGACUUGAUCACUACACCGAGAUGGAGCAUACCAUUAUUUGAAUUUAUUGUUCAUCAAAUGUGGAUAUGAGCAUGAUUAUUUGUUUAUUUUUGUUCUUUGUGCAACUAAUUCAUCUGCUACUACUAUAUCUGCCAAUGUUAAUUCAAAUUACAAAUUUCAAGGAUUGAAAUGAGAACAUAUUGAUUGCUCUUAGCUGCAUGGAUUUGACUUUGGACUUCGGAUUGAGGAACCCACACUUCUUAUGGAAGAAAGUUCACCUGAUGAAAAGAGGAACUUUGAGAAGUGGGAUCGUUAAAAUUGCAUGAGUCUAAUGAUCAUUAAGCGUGGCUUUAUGAAAACCUUUAGAGGUGCAGUAUCCAAAGGGAUAACAAAUGUCAAGGAGUUCCUCGCAGAAAUUGAGAAGCAUUUUGCGAAAAAUGAUAAGGCUGAAACUAGCAUGCUUUUGUAAAGCUUGAUUUCAAUGAAGUAUAAAGGCAAGGAAAACAUAAAGGAGUACAUUAUGGGGAUGUCUCACAUUGCUUUUAAGCUUAAAGGGCUAAAGCUUGAGCUAUAUGAUGACUUACUGGUACAUUUGGUAUUGAUAUCGCUUCCUACAUAGUUCAGUCAAUUUAAGGUCAAUUAUAGCUGUUAGAAAGAGAAAGAGUCUAUAAAUGAGCUCAUUUCAUAUUGUGCGCAAGAGGAAGAAAGGUUGAAGCAAGAAAGAAUUGAAUGCGCUCAUUUGACAAGCACUUCUAAGGAUAAGGGCAAGAAAAUAAAGAAAGAGUAUGAAUCUAUUCCUACGGGUCCAGCACAAAAGAAACAAAAGGAACAUAAAUGAGCUUGUUUCUUUUGUAAUAAGACUAGACAUAUAAAGAAAGAUUAUCCAAAUAUCAUGCAUGGCGUGCAAAGGAAAGUACAACUCUCACAUUGGUCUGUUCUGAAAAUAAUUUUGCUCUAGUACCUAGAAACACUUGGUGGAUAGAUUCUAAUGCUACUAUUCACAUAAGUACUUCUAUGUCGGGCUGUCAGAGUUAUCGAAAGCCAAGUGAUGGUGAAAGAUACAUCUAUGUGGAUGAUGGCGAAUCCGUUGAAGCUAAUGUAAUAGGCACAUUUAGGUUAUAAUUAGGAACUGGUUAUUAUUCGUAUUUGAAAGACACUUUUGUUGUACAGUCUUUUAGACAGAACUUGAUUUUCAUUUGUUUGUUGGACAGAUCUAGAUACUGCUGUUCAUUUAGAACCAUUCAGUUUAGCCUUUCAUUAAAUUCUUAUGCUAUUGGUAAUGGUUUGUUAUUUGCAUAUGAUAACCUAUAUUUGCUCGAUAUUAUUGUAUCAUAUAAUGAGAUCUUGCAUGUGGAAUCAAGUGAUACUAAACGCAAAUUAAAUAAAGAGAAUUCAGCAAAAUUAUGACACAAGUGCUUAGGUCACAUCUCAAAAGCUACAGUUGAACGACUUGUAUCAGAUGGUAUUUUGUUUUUCCUUGACUUCACGGAUUUUAAUGUAUGUAUUAAUUGUAUCAUGGGAAACCAGAUCAAAACAAGGAGAUUAGGGGCUAAUAGAACUUCAAAUGUCUUAGAACUGAUACACACAGAUAUUUGUGGACCAUUUCUUACGACUUCUUGGAAUGGUCAACAAUAUUUAUAUCAUUCAUAGACGAUUACUCAUGUUAUUGGUACCUAUAUCUCAUCCAUGAAAAGUCUGAGUUGUUGGACGUGUUCAAGCUUUUAAAACCGAGGUUGAGAAUCAACUCAAUAAAAGGUUAAAGAGCAUUAGGUCUAACCUUGGUGGUGAGUACUAGGCAGACAUGACUGUUGAAAUUAACAAUGUCUAUGACCAUUUGCUAAACACCUAGAGGAAUGUGGAAUCACCAUGCCAGGAUCGCCUAGAUGAAUGGUGUAGCUGAAAGAUGAAAUAGGACUCUUAAGGAUAUGGUAAGGAGUAUGAUUCGUCAUUCUACCUUACCGAAGUCACUCUGAGAAGAGACAUUAAAGAUCGCAACUUAUAUUCUAAACAGAGUGCCAACUAAGGCUGCUGUUAAAACAUCUUAUAAACUUUUGACAUGAAGAAAGCCUAAUCUAAAGCAUUUUCGUAUUUGGUGAUGUCUCGCUAAGGCUAGACAUUAUAGGUCACAUAAAAAAAAAAUAAAAAAUUAGACUCCAAAAUAGUGAGUAGCUAUUUAAUUGGUUAUUUUGAGUGCUCUAGGGGCUAUAAAUUUUAUGAUCCCACACUUAAGUCAAUUUUUGAAACGGGACUGCAAUACAUUUUGAGGAUGUUGAGUUUGGGAGGAGAAAUAAAGUUAAAGGCAUUGUCUUUGAGGAAGAAGUUGAGGAAUGAUUUGUUUCAAUUCGUACUAUUAUUUUUGACAAUGUACAUGUUUCUAUACCUAUCAUUAAUUAAGAAGUAUAUCUAGAGCCCCAAAAAAACAACGUUGAAGAACCUCCCACCCAAAAUGAGGUAAUUAUUUCAAAAGUACAAACUCAACAAUCUCAAAAACUAAUACCAUUAAGAAGAUCCACGUGAGAAAGGAAAAGUGCUAUUUCGAAUGAUUUUAUAGUAUUUCUCCAAGAACAUGAGAAAAAUAAUGGAAUGGUGAAAUAUGAUCCAAUCAAUUUCCAUUAGGCAAUGUAGGGUUACAACUCUCAAAAGUGGAUUGAUACCAUGAAUGAGAAGUAUAAGUCUAUGAAACACAAUAAAGUUUGGGAUCUUGUCCCAUUACCUGAAGGUGUGAAGUCCAUUGGUUGCAAAUGGAUUUUUAAAACCAAUGGGGAUUAGAAAGAUAAUGUGGAAAGAUAUAAGGCUCGUCUUGUGGCUAAAGGCUUUACCGAAAAGGAAGGCGUCGACUUCAAAAAGAAUUUCUCUCUAGUUUCAACGAAAGACUAUUUCAGGACAAUUAUGGCACUUGUUGCACACUUUGACCUUGAGUUACAUCAAAUGGAUGUUAAGACUGCAUAUCUCAAUAGCAACAUUGUUGAGACGAUCUAUAUGGUGCAACCAAAAAAAUUUGUGUCAGGAGACUCGAAGAAUAUGAUUUGCGAAUUAAAGAAAUCCAUCUAUGGACGUAUACAAGCUUCUCAUCAAUGGUACCACAAAUUUCAUCAAGUAAUUAUCUCAUUUAGUUUUGAAAUGAAUGCCGUUAAUGAUUGUGUGUAUCACAAGUACAAUGGGAGUAAGCAUAUUUUCCUGGUUUUUUAUAUCGAUGAUGUACUGCUUGCCACUAAUGAUAUAAGCAUGUUGCACAAAAUCAAGAGACUUUUAUCAAGGAAUUUUGAGAUAAAAGAUCUUAGUGAUGCCUAUUUUGUAUUAGGGAUUCAGAUACAUUGGGAUUACUCUCGAGGUAUUCUUAGAUUGUCACGAAAGAGCUAUAUGGAUAAAGUACUUGAAAGGUUUGGCAUGCAAGACUGUAAAGUAGGUAACGCCCUUGUCGCUAAGGGAGACAAAUUUAGUCUCAAACAAUGCCCUCAAAAUGACCUUGAAGUUUAGAAAAUGCAAACGAUUUCCUAUGCAUCGGCUAUUGGGAGUCUAAUGUAUGCUCAAGUUUGCACACGUCCAGACAUAACAUUCAUUUUUGAAAUGUUAGGCAGAUAUUUAAACAACCCUAGGAUGGAUCAUUGGAAGGCAACCAAAAUGGUUAUGAUGUAUUUAAAGAGAACAAAGGAUUACAUGUUCACAUAUAGCAAAUUCAAUUAGUUAAAUAUCACUGGGUACCCGGAUUCUGAUUUUGCUAGAUGCCAAGGCAGUAGGAGAUUCAUACCAGGUUAUAUCUAUCAACUAGCUGGAGGAGCUAUUUCUUAAAAGAGUGCCAAGCAGACACUCAUAGCUUUUUCUACCAUGGUAGUAGAGUUUGUAGUGUGCUUUUGGGCAUCUAACCAUGGAAUAUGGCUGCGAAAUUUUGUCACUGAGCUGUGCAUUCUGAAUGGCAUAAAAAGAUCGGUGAAGUUAUAUUGUAUUUCUUGAGGAUAACAUGUUUUAGUGGGAGUUUGUAUUCUCAUUUAUGUUUAGUUUUAUGGACAUAUUUGUGUAUUUUGAUGUUUUUCUAUAUAGAAAUGAAGUAUUUAGUUCAUUCCACUCUAUUAUUAUGUUCAUUAUUGAUCUCACUUAAGAAAUAAGGUUGGACUAGUUGAAAAUAGACAUGUUCGGGUCACAUAAUAUGUAGUUUCCAUGCUAGACUCCCAUGAUUGAUCUAUGUCAUUUGGUUGUAUGGGUGUACGUGACCAUUGAUGGAUUUAAUCACACUAAAUGAGAAGAAAAUCGAUUUGAUCCUACAUUAAUAUAACCGAUGGAUGAAAUUGUUUGGAAAUACCCUUAAUAAUGAUAGCAGAAUUUUGAGCUCAUAAAUUUGAGCACAUUUGUAAUAUUACAUGUAUGGUUCAAUGAGAGAUUGUUGGAAAAAUUUCCAACGUAUGAGGCCAAACAUGUAUGUAUAUAUAUAGUAAAAUAUGUGGUGCUAUUUUAAAGCUUAUUCAGUAAAGUGAUCCGUUAAAGUCAAUUUUUGGACUAACGUGUAUUAAAUGUCAUGGGAAUAGAGUAUAGAGAUCGAAUGAUGUUAUUUUAAAUUAAUGAGGGCCCAAUUUGAAAUAAAAUAAAAUUAAUAAUUGCUUAAUGUAGUUAUUUAUCAUGGGGUCAUGGUCCCCAAUUGUAUGUGAUUUUUCAUAUCUCUCUGCAUCUCCAUCAACAGAGAAGAAAAUUCCUAGAAAUUACGUAACAAUUGGAGGAUCUUAACCCAUUCAGAAUACUAACAACUAUGGAUCAAGGUACGUUUCCGCUUUUUUAAUAUUCUCUUUGAUUUCAACAUGGAGUAUUUAUGUGAUUUUGUGAAAGGAUUUGAUAGAAUUUUGGUUCCAUUCAAUUCCUACAUUACCUUUCUAGUUAUCUUGGUGAACAUGGCUAGAAUAUAUGUUAUAGUGGACUAGAAGUGUGUCAUUGCAUCAUAACUCUGCAACAAAUGAUAAAAAGCAUAAAGUGAUUGGUGUAAAACAAUGUCAAAGGUAUAAUGAAGAUGGAUAUUAAAGUUUUUCUUCCGCACAUCCAUCUGUCUUAUCUCAGAAAAUGCUAGGGCGGCCUAAUACAUAGAUAUGAAUUCCCAAUAUACCCCUAUCAUAAAGUCGAUCCGCUGUUCAAGAGCUAAGUAAAUAAUAUAAUUAGGCUUCACAUAGUCAAUAUAUCCCUAUGAUUAAAGGUUGAUAAGCAAUUCAAGAGAUAAGUAAACAAUAUAAUUAGACUCUACAGAGUCCAACAAUUACUAUAUUUAUCCUAUAAGAGUAGCAAAAAUGGACAACAUCCAAUUCUCACUUGCAAAGAUUCAUAUGUUAAUAUAGACAGAAGCAUGUAUACUUACCCUGGAAAUGAAACAAUUGUCACCAUCACUAUUAUUAGAGGGUACAAAUCUGUCAUAAGUCUCGUAAAAAAAUCUCGUCAACUGGUCCAAGAAGGUCUACUCCAGGCUUCAGUUCAACUUUGGGGUUGUUUGUCUCCGUUUCUACUGAAACAAAGGCAAUAUAUUUUCCUUUUGGUGCAACAUUGUGUGCGUAAGAGCAAUAGACCAUAUACCUUUUGUAAAUAAACAAUUAUGUCUUUGAGGAUAUCUUGACUAAUUAUCUGAAAAUGAUCUCUUUUGUGGUCCAAAUGAAAAAUAUCUGCUCAAAUAUUAGAAAUAUUCAUCACGGUAGCAAUACAUAAUAACUUGCUACAAAUGUCUUGAGACAGACAGGCAUAGGAGGUCCACGUGAUGACACUGCAGAACACAAAUAAAUGCCCUUACUCUGGAUCAUCUUCAUCAAUUUAAAAUUUCUGCUUCACGCAUUUUAGUUUUUUUUUUUUAUUGUUUCUAUAGGUUUUUUAUGUACACUCCCCUCACAUGAGGGGAGGGGCCCAUGCCCAAUUAAUGCGCGAGUCCUAUCCCUUGUGAGGGGGCUGUACACAAAGCUAUAAAGCUCAGUGUACAUGUAGCACCCUCCAAUGAAUAUUAUUUUGUAUACAUCUUCACAAACAUGUAUCUAUGCUACUGUACAAAGAGCGUGGCCAUAGUAUAUGUAAGAAUUUUAAAAUGCACAUAUGAUAUAUACAUUCUUCAUAAUAAAAAGGGAAGAAAUGAUAUAUAAGGUAAUAAAAUGUGCACAUUAUUUAUCAUCAACCAAGCCUCAUCUAGUAUGCACAUAUCAGAAGGAAAUCCCCCCAAUGGUCACUGAAUCUUGCAAAAAAUCCCCUAGGUGGUCACCGAACUUCAAUACGUCACUAAAUAGUCACUAAACUUUUCCGAAGUCCCCCCAAGUGGUUACCGAACUUCAAAACGUCCCUGAAUGGUCACUAAACUUUGCAAAAAGUCCCUAGGAGGUCACUAAACUAGUAAUGUAUGGGGUCCCAAUUUACAACGUUGAGUGACCUCUCUGGAGGACUUCAUCAAAGUUCAGUGACAAUUUAAAGACGUUUUGAAGUUCAGUGACCUCUUGGGGGGAUUUCGAUAAAGUUCAGUGACUAUUUAGGGACGUGUUGAAGUUUGGUGACCUUCUAGGAGAUUUUCUGCAAAGUUCAGUGACCAUUAGGGGGAUUUCCUCCACAUAUCAACAUAUAACCGUACAUAUUACAAGUAGCACUAAAAGGUUCGGUUAUGUAUAUGUCUAACACUAAGACAAAAACUGGUAAAUAUUGUUGAGCGGAAGAUGAUGACCACCAAGGCUUGAACUGGGCUUAAUUUUUUCUGAAUCAAUUCUACAAGCAAAACAACCAUAAACUUCCUUCACAGCCUCUCCCACUUACAAUUGCUACAAUUACCCACUUAGAGAACCACAAAGGGGAAUGAAAUCACAAUGAGAACAACCACAGAGGUAGCAAAAUGAGUGAACAGAAUCGAGGCAGAGAGAUCACAAAAGAGACAGCUGGUUUUUCUUGCACAAAGAGAGAACGCGAAAAGGGAAAUAUAACCAAAACAAUGGGACAAUUAAGGUAAGUAGGGAUAGGGUAUGGUAAUGGGUCAAAAGGAGACCUAACACAUAGUUAAAUGGAUCGCUAAGUGUGUUACCCUAUAUUUAGCCAUCCAGGCAAGUGAGAUGGGCCAUGAGUGGCACUAAUUUAAAUUAGGCUGCUUCUAAUGGCCCAAAAAAAUGUUGGGGUUUGGUCAUUUCGUUUGAGGCAUCGGUAUAACGUUCAAUCAUUUGGUCAAUGUUGACUGAAAAAAUAAACUGAGAUCACAUGUUGUUUGACAAAAAUUAAGAAAUAUAAAGAAAUUGUGAUACCAUCUAGUUAGACAUAUGUACCAGUUAACCUUCAUUUUAUCACUUAACAAAUUACCAAAAAUUCACAUUUUAGCAUAAGAUUGUUGGAAAACAAGUUCAAUUAUCUUUGCAUUCUUAGUUGCCUCCACAAUCUAACAAAAAAGGCACUUUAACAAUUGACAACUUUUUAUUAUAGGGAACAUUCAUUGAUCAAGCAAUGACAGUCCUAGAAUAAAGGACUUAAAUUUACUUGGAAAUAGUAAUGUCUAAUGGACUAUUUUCUGGUUACUCCAUUUCAAUUAUUAUCAGACACAAAACGUUAUUUUACAAAAGAAGAAAAAGAAUAUACGGUUGGCCGACUAAUAGUCUAAGUGUCUAAUUGGAAAGUCAAGAGAUACCAAUAUUAACCAAGAUUCUAAAAAAUACAAUCAUAAACUGAAAAUAAAGUACAAGAAAUAAAAAUGAACACAAGGAUUUUUUAGGCCGAAGCCCCAAAGAUUCAGCAACCACUUCUAACUCCGAAUCCCCUAUUGAGCAUCCAUUAAAAUGGAUAAAGCUCGGUUGCACUAUAAAGCCCCAAAAUCAGGCACCAAAAAUUACAAGAAUGUUCUAGCAAUUACAAGAAAUAAAGUCACUAAGACUUAUCUAUAAAAUGAAGCACAAAUCAAGCCUCACUCCACUAAGGAAUCAAGAAACCCGGAUCAAACAGGUCAGAAAAACAAACUGCAUUCUUCAAACCACAAAAGAAUGAGUGCUAAUACACAGUUUAUCACUUUCUACCGAGAGACUAUACACAUAAUCACAAAGAUUUCACAAAAAAUUGAACUUCAAACAUGAAUCUCGCAGAUUCAUACACCAUACUGAAAAACCCAGUAUAUUAACACAAGUAAAUGGAGUAGAACUUCAUCAUCCCUCAAGUAUACACCUGAGAAUCACUCAAAAUUGGCUUGAAUAUGUGAAGAAGAGGGAUUUCAUCCAUAGAGAAGAAGAGAGAUGAAGAGGCGACCCCAAACCCUAGAGAAAAUCUCUCAAAUCUGAACAUGUAAGAAUAAAGUCUCUCUCUCCAAUCUGAAAAAUCACGUUCCUAGUAGAGAAUCACAAGAUUUCAUAAUUGGAAGUCUCUAGAAUCUGAUAAGAUGAUCAUCAUGAUGCCAGGUGUCGAAAUCUUGUUAAUUGCCACAACUAAUAGAGUUGUCAUUUUGAAAACACGUUUUUCUCCAAAGAUUUUUGGAAGCAUACUUGUCAAAAUAAAAAUCAGCAGUUUGAAUUCUCAACAAUCUCCACCUUACUUCCAAAAUUUAAGCCUAUAGUGCAACCAGGAGCUUCACCAACAUUCUAUUGUACCUGUACAAUCAAUGAAAAGAAUCUCAGUGAAAAGAAUCAAUAGAUAACAUCUUUAAACAAUUUUGAAACCAUUUUAAAGGUAUCACCUUAGUUCCCAUAUCGGAUGGAUUAUAUAAAGUAUGUAUUUUAUUAAUUUUUAGCAAACUUUUAGAAAUAAUAUCCCUUAUAAAAUGGUAUUUUACAUCAACAUGUUUUGUUCUAUCAUGAAACAUGGGAUUCUUACUCAAAUGGAUUGCAUUUUGAUUGUCAGAAUAUAGUGUUGGAUUAGUAUCUACAAAACCAAGUUCAUUCAACAAACCAUGAAGCCUUAUACCUUCUUUAAUGCCAUCAGUGACAGCAAUAUAUUCAGCCUCGGUGGAAGAUAAAGCAACAAUUUUUUGUAACUAAGAUUUUCAACUUAUCACAUUACCACACAAAGUGUAAAAAUAAGAUGAAGUUGAUUUUCUAUUGUCUCUAUUUCCACCAAAAUCAGAAUCUGUAUAACCCUUUAAAAUUACCCCCUCUUUGUCAUUUUAAACAUCAAACCCAAGUUGUAUGAACCCUUUAAAUAUCUCAAUAACCACUUCAAGGCUUCCCAAUGAGUUUUACCAGGAUUUCUCAUAAAUCUACUCAAAACACUAUUACUAGAAGUCAAAUCAGGUCUGGUACAAAUUAUUAAGUACAUGACUGAACCAAUAGCAUUAACAUAAGGUAUUUUAGACAUUCUCUCAAGUUCAUCUUCAGUUUUUGGACACGAAUCAGAUGUUAAAAUAAAGUGAUUGGCAAGGGGUAAAGUCAGAGGUUUACAAUCAAACAUAUUAAAUUUCUUAAGGAUCUUAUUCACAUACUCUUCUUGAUAUAUAAAAACAAGCAAUCAUAUUUUUCAUCUCUUAUAAUAUGCAUGCCAGGUAUUUUCUUAGCGGAACCAAGAUCCUUCAUAUCAGAUUCUGAAUUUAAUUUGUGUUUGAUAUCAUCAAUUUCGGAUUUAUUGACACUAUGCAUAUCAUCAACGUAAAGCACAAGAUAAAAAGAAUCUUUACCUUCAUUUCUUUUACAAUAAAGACAUGUAUCAUAAUUGCUUCUACUAAACCCAAGCUUCAAGAUAAAUGAAUCGAAUCUUUUAUACCAUUGUCUUGGAGCUUGUUUUAGGUCAUACAAAGAUUUUUUCAACAAGCACACUAUUUUUUCAUGAUUUCCUUUAAUAAAUCCUAAAGGUUGUUUCAUGUAGAUCACUUCAUCCAAUUCACCAUAUAAAAAUGUAAUUUUUGUAUCUAGUUGAUCAAGUUUCCACUUAAAUUGCACAACCAAAGCAAGAAUACAUCUUAUAGUUGUAUAUUUAACAACAGGGGAAAAAUCUCAUCAUAGUCCACACCCUCUUUUUGUGUGAAACCCUUUACAACAAGCCUAGCUUUGUAUCUAACAUUGUUAGUGCCACCUUCCCCUUCCUUUAUCUUAUAAAUCCACUUGCAAUCAACUAGCUUCUUAUCCUUAGGUCUAUCAACCAAUUUCCAAGUUUUAUUUUUGUAUAGAGAAGACAUCUCUUCUUCCAUAGCACUCAACCACCGCUUAGAAUCUUUAGAUUUUAAGGCUUCAUGAUAAAAACUAGGUUCAGUUUCAAAUUCAUCUUGAUAAGUGAACAAAGACACAAAGUUAUCACUAUUAAACCUAGCUGGUGGUCUAAUUUGUCUCCUAUCCCUGUCUCUAGUGAACUGGUAUUCAUCUAGAGGUGUGUUAUCAUCAUUAUACUACUCAGGUUCAGCCAAAUCAGGCUUGUUUUCACUCUGAUCAGCCUCAUAAGUUGCUAUUUCUAAGGGGACAAAAUUGAUAAUUUCGAUUUUAAUAGACUCCACCUCAACUUAGAUAUCAUUUUCAGUCAAAUUUCCCUCUUUCCCUUCCAAACAUGACAUACAUGACUCAUUAAAACCACAUCCCUUCUUAUAAUAACCUUGUAACCUUUUUCCCCAUAAACUCAAAGCCUAUAUCCUUUAACAUUUUUAGCAUAACCUAAAAACACACAUUUAAGGUAUCUAGGUUCAAGUUUUCCUAUGUUUUGAUGAGCAUAUGUAGCACAACCAAAUGUUUUCAAAUAAGAAUAGUUCACAGGCUUUUGUGUCCACACAGAUUCAAGCACAUCAAAAUUUAAAGCAAUUUUAAGACUUCUAUUAAUCAAAUAUGCAGCAGUUUUAACAGCUUCACCCCAAAAUAAUUUGGGCAAAUCGAAACUCAAAAGCAUGCAUCUAACUUUAUUCAACAAAGUCCUAUUCAUUCUUUCUGCAAUGCCAUUUUGCUGGGGUGUGUAGGUCACAGUUCUAUGUCUUAAAAUGCCAUUCAACUUGCAAAAUUCAUUAUACUGAUAAUCGCAAAAUUCUAGACCAGUGUCGGUUCUCAAAGUUUUGAUUUUCAAAUAAGUUUGAUUUUCAAUUUGGGUUUUCCAAUAUUUAAAUGUGGCAAAUGUUUCAUCUUUAGUUUUCAAAAGAAAUACCCAAAUUUUUCUAGAGAUAUAAUCAAUUAUAAACAAGUAAUACUUGUAACCAGACAAUGUAGGGAUGGAUGCAGGGCCCCACAAAUCAGAAUGUAAGUAUUCUGGAAUUCACUUUGAUUUAUGAGUACUAGCGGGAAAAGGUAACUUGCUUUCCAAUCAAACAUUGUUUACAUUUAGACAAAUCACCAAUAUUUGAUUUUCCAAAUACACCUUUAUUUUGUAAAGCCUUUAAACCUUUUUCACCAAUGUGACAAAGUCUACAAUGCCGCAAUUUUGCAAGAUUAAAGUUAUCAUCUAAAACUGCUGCUGAAAGGCCCAACAAAGGUUUUGCAUUUAAAAACUAUAAAUCAUGUCUCUUUGGAAUAGAAGUGAUCAAAUCACUACCCCUAAAGAUUAUAUGUCCUUGACUCAAUUUUAUGUCAAACUCUAUGUCAUCCAACAUUCCUAGAGACACAAGAUUUUUUUCUAAUUUAGGAACAAUCAUCUUUUAACAAUAAAAUUUUGUCAUUUUCAAAGAGCAAUUUUAUGGUUCCAAUACCUUUCACUUUACAGGUCAUGUUGUUUUCCAUAAUAACUUGGUCCCCUUUAGUUUGUUCAAAGUCCAAAAAUAGUUUUUAUUAGGGUACAUGUAGAAAGAGCAACUUGAAUCAAGAAUCCAUUCUUGAUUUAGGUUCCUUUCAACAUUUACAAGAAUCAGGCUGUUAUCAAAUUUUUGCUUAUCAUAGGACAAAAUAGCAUUAUCCUCGUUUAACUUCAUUCCUUUCAAAUCAUUUUGCUUUUUGUAGCAAUCUUUUGCAAAGUGACCCAACUUACCACAAUAAUAACAUUUCUUUCCCUUUGCCUUAGUUUUGGAUUUCAUUUUGUCAUUGUUUCUUCUCUUAGGGUCAGUUUGAAAUUUUGAAAGAAAAUUAGAUUUACCAACAUUUUUGCCUUUUAUCAAAAGAUUUUUUCCACUUUGUUGGUUGAUAAAAUCUGAUUUUAAUUCAGGAACCAUAUUUCUUAAGGAAUUUAUAAUGAUAUAUGUGGUAAGCUUGUCUUUACCAUAUUCUAAGGCAUUCUUUAGGUCUUUAUGCCUAUCACUAAUGGAGUUUAACAAGACCAUAGCCAGCUGAUCUUCUAAUAAUUUCUCAUCACAGUUGGCAAGGUCUUGGGUCAAUUUUGUAAAUCUGUCCAAGUUCUCAUCUAAGUCAACAGAAGGAUCCAUUUUGAAAGAAAAGAUUUGUUUUAGCAAAAAAAUUUGUUUGGAAUAGUUUUUGGCUCAUAUUGGGUUUUCAAUUUAGUCCACAAUUCUUCAACAGUUUUAAUUUCACCUAUAGACCUAAUCACAUUGUCUGAAAGGUACAAGAAAAUAGUAGUCCAUGCUAUUUCUUCUAACUCAGUUCUUUUUGUAGCAAACAUUUCAGUAGGCCAAGAAUUAUCUAAGGCUUUAGCAUAUUUCAUUUGCAUCAAGAUAACCAUCAUUUUCUGGCUCCACAUGUCCCCUGUCCCAUCAUACAUGCUCACUUCAAGCUUAGCAGUAGCCAUGACAAGAUUCACCAAGAUAGUUCACAUAACACAAGUUCAAAUUCAAGAACACACAGGGAUAAACAAUAAGAGUACUGGGUAGAAUAGGGGAUUUGGGGUCAGUGACCAAUGCACUUAUAUUAUUUUCACAAAAUAGUAAACACUUAACACUAAGUAUAGAAAGCAAAUUCCCAAAGAACAGAGAUGACAAUCCUAUGUCUCAACUAACUUCCCUAGCAAGACCUUCCAAUUGCACUCCUACUAGUGUUGUUAUCUUAGAUUCCCAAGACUUCUUGAGUCUUUGGACAAAGACCGGCCAUAGUAGGUUUUGUUAGUGAAAGGUAAAUCAAGGAAAAAAUUAGGAGACCCUACUGUAAAGAUUAAUUACAGAAUGAAGGAAAGAUCUCACCAAUGAGUUUGAUAAAACUCAAUUUCCACCAGCCAAUGUUUACUGCAGGUUUCAGGAAUCAGGUUUAAUCAAGAAAUCACAAAGCUCCAGUAGUCCAGGUUGCUCUAAUACCAUUGAACAGUUGAGAGAAACCAAUAUUAGCCAAGAUUCCAAAAACACUAUCAUAAAUUGAAAGUAAAGUGCAGGAAAUAAAAAUGAACACAAGAAUUUUUUCGACCGAAGCCCUAGAGGUUCGGCGACCACUUCUAAUGCCUAAUCCCUUGUUGAGCAUCUAUUAAAAUGGAUAAAUCUCGGUUGCACUAUAAAGCCCCAAAAUCAGGCACAAAAAAUUACAAGAAUGUUCCAGCAAUUACAAGAAAUAAAGUCACCAAGACUUAUCUUUAAAAUGAAGCACAAAUCAAGCCUCACUCCACUAAGGAAUCAAGAUACCCGGAUCACACAGGUCACAAAAACAAACUGCCCUCUUCGAACCAUAGACGAAUGAGUGCUAAUACACAGUGUAUCACUUUCUACUGAGAGACUAUACACAAAAUCACAAAGAUUUCAUAGAAAUUUUAACUUCCAACAUGAAUCUUGCAGAUUCAUACACCAUACCAAAAAACCCAGUGUAUUAACACAAGUAAAUGGAGUAGAACUUCAUCAUCCCUCAAGUAUACACCUGAGAAUCACUCAAAAUUGGCUUGAAUAUGUGAAGAAGAGGGAUUUCAUACACAAAGAAGAAGAGAGAUGAAGAGGCGACCCCAAACCCUAGAGAAAAUCUCUCAAAUCUGAAAAUGUAAGAAUAAAGUCUCUCUCUCCAAUCUGAAAAAUCAUGUUCCCAGUAGAGAGUCACAAGAUAUCAUAAUUGGAAGUCUCUAGAAUCUGAUCGGAUGGUCAUCAUGAUGCCAGGUGUCGAAAUCUUGCUAAUUGCCACAAGUAAUAGAUUGAAAACAAGUUUUCCCCACAGAUUUUUGGAAGCGCACUUGACAAAAUAAAAAUCAGCAGUUUGAAUUCUCGACACUAACUUUACGUGGAAGUGUUCAAAUAAUUUUGUUAAUCUUGAUUCAACAAAGAGAAAUUUCUUCCUUUCAUAACGGUGGUCUCAGAGAAAUUCAAAAUUUCCUUAAUGGGAUAAAAACUCUUUUGGUCACCAAACUUUAAUAUGUACUUCAGUCAUCGUAAUUAUUUUAGCAUAAAUGGUCAGUGAACUUAUAAAGUUGUUCCAAUUAAGUCACUGGCUAUGAAUCCACUAGUUAAAUAUAACACAUUUGGGGAUGUGCCUACAAAUUCGAUCUCGCUACAGUGAUAUUAAAUUUGACAGUUUUUUUUACAAUGUGUGAAGUGGCACACUUUUUUACCCUUGAUUUCAACAACACUUAAAAUAAUUCGUGGCACAUAUUUUUACGUCUUAUAAAAUGUCAACCUUAAUGUAUACAUAGAAUGUACUAAUAGCAUUUUCCCUACAAAUUAUUGCAAGAAUUAUGUGACAAAAGAAAUGACAAUAAACUCAAGUCAAAUUAAUGUCCACUUCAAUAAUAAGUGUCUGAGUUUAAACAUUUAAAUGAGUGCUAUGGAAUCAAAAUCACAUGUGAUGCAAUACAUAUUUGUAAUGUUGUUUUGCUCAUUGGACUGUUUUCAUCCGAAAUAGACACAAAAUUCCUUGAAAAAUUACUUCUUUAAAUCCUAGUCUAAUGAGCGAAACACAACGGCUUUGCCCCCGAUGUACGGUCCAUUUUAGUCAAAUUUCAUCGUUUAGGGUUUCGAAAAUGAUUUUCACGUUUUUUAAAUGAUUUUGUUAAUUUUAAUUAAAUUAGGAGUUUAAUUCCAUUUAGGAUUAUAUUAUCUUUAAUUCUUAUCAUUAUCUGAAGUAAGUCGUUAUCUAGAAGUUUAGUUAUUAUCCAUAUUUUAAUUAUUGCUUUAAAUAUAAGUUGGAAUCCUUAAUGGUCUUAAUUGAAUUUAAUUAUAAUAAAGAGAUUUGAGAAGUUUCUCAAAAUUAUUCCAUCUUUCUUGGCAUUUGUGAGCGAAUCAACAAGUUUAAAUAUUUGCGAGUUUUUGUUCUUCCCUAUAAGCUUCCGCUACGUCAACAUGUCAAACACUAGCUUAUUAAUGCCAUCUCAUAAUUCUUAUAACUACCGUCAAUGACAUAAACAACAACACCUAAACAAAACCGUAAACUUUAGUAAUUGAUAUGGAAGGAUUGUCUUAACUGAAAUAUCUUUGUAAGUUUGCCGACAAUCUGUGCUAAAAGGGAGUUACAAAAAUGUCACAUUUUGAGAGUUUGAUGACCAGAAAAGUUUGUUAACCCGUUCAGAAAUUAUAUAAAUAUAAAAAUGAUGAAUACUAACUUCACGUAUCAAUGUUACAUAUUAGUCAUUCUCAUCCAAGGCACAUGAGAGCGUAGUUGAGAUUGAAGACCAAGAGUUGAGGCAUCACAUGGAAUUGACCCAUAAUCUCCAUUGCCUCCUCCUCCUCAUCCUUCCAAUUGUCUCCCAUGUCUAUCCCCUCUCUAUUUCUUGAUAUCGCUUUUUUGUGACAUUAUUUUGUAUUUAAGAUCUGUUUGCCAAGCUAAAUGGUUAAUCUCCUUUUACAAGAUAAAUAAAGUUAUAAAAUUUGAGAAAUUGUCGCAAAUGGUCAGUAACUAUAAUCUACCGUGUGGAAAUGGUUUAUAACAUGUUUCUUGGCACAAGCGUCACCAACCAAUGUGUUUUAGUGCUAUUUUGGUCCUUUUUAUGAAAAAGACCAAAAUGCUCUUAAAUUUUUGUUAGAAAAAAUUGCAGUUGGGUUCCUAAACUUUGCAAAAAGGUGCAAAUGGCUACUUUACCGUAUCUUCUUAUAAAAUAAAUUGAAGGAAACUAACAAGAUCAUUUUUGUUCCGAUUUAAAACUUUAUUGAUCAAAUUGAUUAUAUGCGUGAACAUUUUUUAUUUUUUAUUUUUUUGUGUAUAUUUUACAAAACUAUUAUGAACUAAUUUAAGUUUAAACUUGUACUUAAUUAACUAUAGCAUGUUAAAGAAAAUUAUUCGUUGUAUUAUUUAGUAAUUACGCUGUUUUAGAAUUUAAACUUUUAUUUAAUAUUUAUAACAAAAAGAUAAUAGAAAACACCUUUUUAUCACGAAGACAAAUCCGUGAGUAUUAAGCGGGUAGAUGCUCUCAAAAUAAAGCAGUAGGCUUGGAUACAACGGUUGGGUGAUUAUAAAAAAUAGACUUGUGUUAUAUCACCAAAUUACAAGGUAGUGAACUACAUGUUCAAAUAAAUGAAUUUCGUAUCUUAACAUUUAAUCUAGCCAAUGAUUAAAUGUUAUUUAUUGUCAUGUGUACAAGUUAAUUAACAUCAAUAUUGUUACACAUAAUUAUUCUUUCAAAUUAGGCGAACCUGUUUUUAGCAAUUUUUAGACUUUAUUUAUUAUUUUUGUUGAAGGGUCAAAUAACUGGAGUCAUGGUUAUAUUGUUUGCUAUUUAUUUGGCAUUAUUACAUAAAUUAGUGGGUUAGUGCAAUUAGUGGAAAUUAUCUUAUAUAUUUUAUCUAUAUCUAUAUUUAAAGACAAUUAAUUAUUUUUGACAGGGUAGGGUUUGUAUUUGAAAGUCCAUUGGUUCCUCGAAUUCAGUAUAUAUUAAGAGGUGUAUAUUAAAAGGUCUGAAUUCGCAAUUUUUUCGUAACAAACAUGGAUUACAAGUUAUGUUUGGCCACGACAUCAUAAUUAAUAUACAGAGUGCAACUUGCAAGUGUGGAAACAACAUUCCUACCACAAAUGAAUUUCGAACUCUACUUGAGGGGAAUGGGCUCAAAUAGUAAAGCUAAAAUGCGAUCUUUAGUUUCAUGAUUUUGAAUUCCAUGUCCAUCUCCAUACUGGUACAUGUAUUGUGCCAUUCGAGCAAGAUUCACUACAAUUUCAAUGAAUGUUUGUGAGAAUGGACAAUUUGCACCUCGACCUUUGUUAAUCUUUUUCCAGGUCUCGCAUAUCAAAAACCUUAUGUGUUUGCGGGACUCAUCUUCAGAAGCACCAGUUUCGUUCAUGUAACAUUGUAUUGAUUUAGGAACAUCAUUCAUCCUGAAUUAAUAAAGCAUAAAAAACACCUUUAGUUGAAAGGGUUAAUUUCGAAUUCCUAUUGUCUCAUUGAUUUCAUUAACCAAAUAUGUUUAAACAUGAAAUGAAAUGGCUUGCUGCAUACAUACCGAUGAUGUUGCUAAAUCAUCUGCAAGCCUUAAAAUCGUAGCCGACCAACGAACUGUAUCAGGAUAUUUCUCUAAGCACUGAAUGGCUUCUUUCUCUAUUGGAUUGAUAACAGAGAAAAAAGUAUGUGACAAUAUUACAUGAGCUGAUAUUGAAAUCAAUGCAUUUUCCAUAUACUCUUCCAUUGUUGGGGUGUAUCCAGUCAAGCACCAUUUUGCCUCUUGUAAGUAUGCUUUGCAUAAAUCUGUCCACUGUGACAUUGAUUUGACAUGCUUAUUGUAAGUAUCUUAGAUCGGAAAAUUUUAAGGAUAUUUAAAACAUAUAGAGAAAUUUCUGUUGGUUGUAGUAAAGGAUAAAAUAUGAGAUCCCUUUGUAUAGAAACAAUACUCAAUAUAAGGGCUCGUGCAAUUGUGCUACUCCUCUUAACUUUGUUAAUAUUUUAAGAUAGAAGUCUAUGACCUAGAAGGCGUAUCAUACAAGAUUUGACAAUAAAAUGAACAAGAUUUUCUUUUUCUUCUUUAAUAUUAUUUGAUGUUAUCUAGUGCGUGUUUGAGCCACAAAAUUUUGAAAGAAUGUGUGGUUAAAAAAUAAGAAAACGUUUUAGAUUUAUGUGUAAUAUUAUUUUAUUGAAAAAUAUGUAGUUGAAAUGAUGUUAAAUUACUUUUAGGAAUAUAUAUAUAAAUUUUUUUUUUUGAAAGAAUGCGAUUCAAACAGACCUGAUAUUCAUCAUAAUACACAUGCUAAUAAGGAUAUAUUCUUGAAGGAAACUAAUAGUACCACUUUUCUUAAAUAUGGAAUAAUUACGAUCCCUUUUUCUCUGAGAACAUCGUAAGCCAUUUCAUUGAUGAAGUUGUUGAGUGCUAGAUAGAAAAUUUGCAUGUAAUCUGGAAGUUGCUCAAUUGCACUGACAUCCCAUCUGUAAAGUUCCAAGAAGAAAUAAUUGUAAGAGCUACAAAGAGAAAGGAGGCUUGGAAAGAAACAUUAGGAGGACGUUGCUAACCUUUCAAUGAUGUAUGUAAAAAGUUCCAGUUCUUCAAACGUUCCAUACACAUCAUAUAUAUCAUCCAUAAUUGUAAUAAAAACAUUUACUUUGGUUGCAUCUAUUCGUGAAAAUCCAUAUUGUGGUUCAAAUAGCACUCCUAUAUUCCAAAAGAAACAUUCCACCAGCCUAUCCCUGGCAAAUGGCAACAUCUUGGCAAGGCAUGUUCUCUCCCACCACCUAUUCACAUACAGAAACAAAGGAUGGUAAGGUUAGGAGCAUAAAGUAUGAUAUAUUUAGCACAUUCGGCAAUACCUGGAGACAUAUUUUAGUUCCUCAAGAUAUGUUGCUUGAACAAUGUUGAAAUCCAGUUUUGCAAGUUGGACAAGAAUUGGAUUCUUGUCUGGUCUAUUCUCAUAUUUUUUAAUGAACCGCCUGUUGAAUGAAUUAAAUAAAUGUGUACUCUCCUAAUAGAUUAAACUUUUAGACGAAAUAGUUCAACACUACCUUACUUCAGCCCGAGGUAUGGUCCAGUGCAGUGGAAUCUCCAAGGCAUGGUGCACCAAUGGAUCACAAUGAAUGCCGUCAACACUUUUAUCUUCGAGAUGUUUGAUAAUGAAUUCUCUUGCCAUUUCCAGAGUACUCUCACCUUCUAUUGACAAGAAAGAAGCUUCAUACAGUUGUAGUAAUCCCUUUGUAUCAUUACAUAACCUUGGCUUGAAAUCGCCCUUCUCAUUCUUUAAACAAUCAAAUCUUUCUACAAUCAGCCAAGCUUUGGCAUGUUAAGCGAAAAAAGUAUGCAAAAAAUAAAACCUUAAUUUCUACUUAGGAGAGCAAUAAUAAACAAAGAAAUACUAAGAUCUUUUGUGUAGUGGAUUAUCAGGGAAAUCUAAUACAUGUAGGAAAUAUACAAUAUACCCCUGAAAAAAUAUUACAUCUGUGCUCGAUUCUAUAAGUGUGCAUUAUGAGUAGGCUUCAAGGAAUCUGACAAUAAGAAAUCAUAAAUCAACAGAAUAAAUAAAGGAUUCUAAGUUGUUUUUUGCGCACCUUGAGAGACAUUAAAGCCAUGUUGUCUUAGUAGUCUAAAUUCCAAAGCUGUAGCAUACAAAUCCUUAAUCUUUGGCUCUUUGCUUUUGCUAUAUUUUCGGUUUAUGAAAGCCAAUAUUUGCUCAACUUCAUCCUCAAAAUGGUAAGAUAUUCCCAGCCUCUCCAAGUUAUCAAUUAAUUCCAACUGAUCCAGUGGUUCCAUCGUUUCAUCAAGCAUCAUCUUCACUUGCAUCUUCAUCUCAGAAGCCCUUGUUUUGUAUCUCUCUUCCUACAUUAUGCAUAUCAUUUUUUGUCAGUCCUUAUAAUAAAUAUAUAUAGAAAAAAAUUCUACAGAUGACGAUAAUUACCGUGUAUUCACUAUUUAAGGACUGAAUAUAAUCGAAUUCCCAUAUAUAGGGGGCUUGUAUUUUCCUGAUCGCCUAAUCACGGUCUGAUUGUAAGACGUAGAGGCAAGAAUUCGAUAUUGUUUAGCAUUAGAAGCAAGGCUAUCAGUAGUUGUACCCAAAGCAAAACAGAUCUCCAUUUUUGGAAGCUCCGUUUUGAACGAGCAAACAGAAAUUGGCCUCAGAAUUUGCAUGUUGAUAACCUCUCUCUCUCUCUCUCUCUCUCUCUCUCUCUCUCUAUAUAUAUAUAUAUAUAUAGAGAGAGAGAGAGAGAGAGAGAGAGAUGAUCUAUCAAACGGACAAAAUGUAACCCUGUGGCGCUUUAGUAUUUUUCACAUGGAAUAAUACGAAGUUACCGUGUUAAGUGUUAAAAUUGGCACCGAUUUGCAGUACGGACAGGAGACCAAACAGGGGAGAUGGAUGAGUAUUUUUUUUGGCAAUACUCUACUCACAUAGGCCCUCCCCAUGUGAGUAAUUUGCUGUGCACGAAGCAAAAUGCACAUUUCACGUGAUUGCAUUCUCUUCGAUUUUCAACAUUUUUGAACCGAAAAUCAAUGUACUUAUCAAACACAAAUCAUUACUUACUGUAUAGAUAAGAAUUUGGCGAGUUAGAUUGAUUCUGAGUCCACAUAUCAUUACUUACUUUUCUUUCUAAAAACACAAAUUUCUAACCAGCUUUGAAUGACGGAGACCCAACACGUGAGUGAUUCACUUCUCAUUGCUCUCCUAUGAAACAAGAUAAAGCAGGGAAACACUAUAUUAUAAUUGAAUGACAUUAUUUGAAUAUGAACAAUUAGAUUUUAUUAAUAAAGAUGAAUUAUGUGUGACAAAUGUUAUUAAUCAUCACAAGGAAAUGAUACUUGUACAAAUGAUCCUUUAAGAGCAUAAGUUUAUUUCUAUUAAAGUAUAUAUACUAUUAAUUGCAAGAUGGAUGGAAACCAUUGAAAAUGACCUCUAUUUUAUUUUUUUUACGUAACAUCAAUAUGUUGAGGGGGUCAAUGCAACGAUUGUAGUAUUAGGGACCAUUUCCACACAAGGGCCUUACAUUAAGGACCAUCUAUAUCAAUUUCCUUGUUAAUUAAUACUCCACCUUUGUGUUCGCUUGAAUAAAAAAAAAAAAAAAAGUUUUAUUGUGGAAAUGCUUCAACGUAUGGAUCUAUUGAUACCCUUACCUUUUUAAAUUGGUGGAAACCCCCCGUAUGAACUUUGAAGUGCGGAACCCAUUGUCUUUCAUUUUCUCAUAAAUCCCUAUGAAAUGACGAUUUGGGAAAAAAUAGUAGAGAAGACAGUUUGGUAUGUUAAAUUAGAUGUAAUAUAAAUGUGGAGAAACCCAACUAUAUGGUUUGUGAUCUGAAAUGAAGGUUAUUAUGCACAUAAAAACUGCAAAGAUUCAAUCAACAACACACGAUGAGUGGAGGCAUGACGAUAUUGCUAGAAUAUGACCCAAAUUUCUAUUGGGAUUAGGAUUGGGUUGGUAAAUUGAUAAAAGGAGUCUUCUUAGUUUGGAAGUUCGAUUGAAAAAGAGGAUUAAAGUUCAUCAAUGAUUGAAAUUUUGAUUGGUAAAAGAAUUUUGUAAAAUUGAAGACUUGAUUUUGAAAUUUUGGUGGAUAAAAAAUCGUCACAAUUUCGCUAACUGGCAGCUAACUUUGGUGUUCAAGCAUUAGAGGUGAAAAUCGGAGUAGAGAGAUGUUGCGUUGCCUGCUUAGCGUCGCCUGGCACUGGAGUGACAAUGUUAUUCGGACAGGAAUCAUUUUUUUAUUUUGACUACUUUCUUGAGUCGUAUAUCAUCCAACAUACUAGUAAUGGAUUCUAUAUAUAAAUAAAUAAAUAAAUAAAUAAAUAAAUAAAUAUAUAUAUAUAUAUUCCACGUGAUAUAGGCUCUUAAAAGGAUAAAUUAACAAUAAAAUCAUAGUUAUAUAGAUUAAAAACUUGAGAUGGUUAUUUAAAUUUAGAUUGAGUGUAUCAAAUCUCGUAAGGCAAUUUUAGUUUCUUGAUAUAUUUAAAUUCUUCUCUUCUUUCAUAUAAAUCUUGUGUUCUUAUGUGAUCCAUUAUUUUUCAUAUUGCUCUUAUUUUCUCGUCUUUAUUAUUUGCCCGAUUUAUCUUUACAAUUCCAUACGAUUCAUCAAGAACUAUGUAUUGAAAAUAGAAGAUGCGAGUCAGCUGGAAGAAGAAGUUUAGCUGAAGCAUUGUCAUAAUCAGCAAGAAAUAGGCCAGGUUGGAUUAAUGACAGGACAGAUGACAAAGCAACAACAGAAGAAUGAUCUAGAAGAGGAUUAGUUAGAUUUUGUUAUUGUACAGCAAAAGAAAAAUCUAGAAGAAUAAUUACCUAUUUUUUUGUGUAAGUUAGUUAGAAAAGAUUCCUUCAUUUUGGAAGGGGCCCUAUUGUACAUAACACAUGGUGAAUUGAAUACAAUUUCAUUCUUCUCCUUGUUCAUCAAUAUCAGAAAUUUUAUCUUUUAAAAUCUAACAUGGUAUCAGAGUUAGAAAUGGAGGAAUCCAAUUCAGAAAACACAAAUCCCACCCCAAAAACAAACACUAGUCCAAGCCAAAUCCAAAACCAAACUAGAGGAGGGAACUCAGGUGUCCUUUCUCUUGAUCCAACUCAUCCUAGCGACCCUUAUUAUAUAGGUAGCAAUGAUGGAAGUACUGUCAUGCUGGUCACCCAUGCCUUGUGCUCUAGUAAUUAUUAUUCCUAGGCUCGAUCAAUGAGAAGAGUAUUGAAAAUAAAAAAUAAGCUGGGGUUCAUAGAUGGUAGUCUUUGUGAACGAAAAAAUCUAAAUAAUCCAUUAAUGGAACAUUGGUUAAGGUGCAAUGACAUUGUCAUAAUGUGGUUACAGAAUGCCAUGGCAAUUGAUAUUGAGAGUGGUCUCAUGAAACAGCUUACCUUUUCUGGCUUGACCUUGAACAACGCUUCUCCCAGCAAAAUGCUCCAUGCAUCCUUGAAGUAAAGAAGGAUAUCACAACCUUGAUAGAAAAUCAAGACUCGGUGAGUGUUUACUUCUCAAGACUCAAAACUCUCUUAGAUGAACUGUUGAAUUAUGAAAGUAUUCCCAAUUGCACAUGUGGAGAUCUAAAAAUUGUCAUUCAAAAUCAAUAAAGGGAUUGGGUUAUGAAAUUCUUGAUGGGGCUAAAUGAUUCUUACAAAGAGAUUAAGGUCCAGAUCUUAUUGAUUAAGCCAUUUUCCAGCCUGAAUGAGGUAUAUUCAUUGAUCCAGCAAGAGGAUAAGAGGCAGGAGAUAUCUAAUCUAGUUCCUAUUAAUUCUGAUUCAUGAUUUUUCUGAGCAAAAGGGGUUCUAGAGAAGGAGGAAACCAACAUUUUUCAUCACAGAAGGGGGACAAAUAUUAUUGCACUCAUUGCAAAGUUGUAGGCCAUUCCCUUGAAUGAUGCUUCAAAGCAAAUCCAAGCAGGCCAAUCUGCUCUUUACUAUAAGACGCCAAGACACGAAGUGAACAAAUGUUUUAAACUCCAUGGAUUCCCACCAGGCUACAAGUUGAACGGCAGAGGAAAGCAUGCUGCCAACGUGGUCUCUACCGGCAUGAUACACAAUCAAGAAGUGGUAAAGGAUGAGGGCAAAAUAUCCUUAAGUCCAGAGCAAUACUCUUAGUUGAUGGCACUACUCAAACCAGCAACAGGCACUCAUCACUCCACCCUUUCAUCAAACUGUUAGGCAAUUUGUUGUCAAACGACCUCCUCGGGCGAUGAUGUAACCUCGGUUUUAUUAUCAAUCGGCCUUGGCCAUAUGAUUGACUAGUACAUCGACAUAAUUAUCGAGACAACACAAUCCACAUUUUUAUGGACCGUUCGAAGCAACCUAUUUUAAAUAGUGUUGCUCACGGUUCGCCCCAUUUCCUUGGAAGGCUAUAUUAUUAUUUUUGAAGCCCACUUUAAUUAAGUCGAGCCUUGUUUUGGUCCACAAUUUAACCCUAACCUAACUUACCUAUUUUGGACAUUUACUUGGCAUAUAAUCUCACCUUCCUCUCGGCCUCCAUGUUGUGUGCCUAUUUUUCCCUUCUCUUUGUGAGACUCUCGUCUCGACUUCUUGCUUUACUUCACUGUGACCUUUGUGGUUAAUUCUUUGUGGGCACAUCAUUGGACUUUACUUUCCAACCUAUAGCAACCGGAGUGGGGCAGCAGUGGUGGUGGUUCUUGGAGUUGUCUCAACCUUUGUGGUGUCGAUGAAUUGGUAAACUGAGCCCAGUUUUGAACUUGGAGUUCGGUGGAAAUCAACUCUACAUCUGGUAUCAAAGCCGGAGUAACCUUUCCAGCCAAAAAAUCACCAAAAAUCGACGGCCAAUCCAGUCACUUUCCAGCGAAACCGAUCCCACAUUCAGAACCAGCAGGCUGAGGCGCCCCUUCGUGUGUGGCGCGUGGCGGCGACAGUGACCGACGACGGCGGUGCAUGGGACUCCGGCAGCCGCGCGUGGCGGUGAUUCCGGGCGAACUUCCUUCGAGCAGUUUGCUCAUUUAAUCCCCUGAACGUAUUGACACUGUUUAUUUUCUGUUUCAAGUUACACAGGAAAAAGUUGGACAAUUUUGCCCUCGGUGGAUUGACGGUUGAAAUUGCAUAUAUCUACUAAAUUACUUUAGGCCAAGAUUGCGGCCCUAAAGCAAUGGAUUCGCAUCUCUCUCGAUUAUACGGACUCAAAGACGUUCACUCUAGUAAAUUGGCUUAACCCGUUAAUUUUUUCAACAUUAAUGCGUCACCGUGUGGGGAUGACAAUAGGUUGGGGUUGUCAUUGCUUGGCAACCAUUGCUUGUACUAGAAUUAGGGUUACAUGCUCUUGAUUGAUCUUUUUGAUUGAGUAUUUAUUUUUUCGGUGAAAAUCAGUUUUGUAAUUCUAAGUAAUCUAAUUACUGUGGGACUAGUUAUCUGCUAGACGUAUUUUUUGCUGCAUUGUUAUUUUCGCUGCUUACUUAUUCCGUUAGAAAUACCGUGACCUUGCCUGUUUGAACAUUCCCUUGAUCUAAGACCGCGAGUCUUACGAAAUUCUGGGAAUCUAGAACGGUGUAUAUUGUCUGUGACCCUAGGACUACUUUGUGUGGUUUGAUUGUGGUUUGUGCAUUUUUGACUAUUGUGUGAAGAUGACAACUCAUAGUUUUGAUUUGAGAAUUUUUAAUGGAAAGGGUGACUUUGCUAUUUGGCAACAAAAAAUUAAGGGUAUUUUAGUCCAACAAAAGGUUUCAAAAGCCAUUGAAGGCAAUUUUUCAACUGAUUUUUCACAAGAACAAAGAGAAGAAGCCGAUGAGCUUGCUUAUACCUCAAUUAUUUUACACUUGUCUGAUGCCAUUUUAAGAAAGGUGGGUAAAUUGAAAACCACUAAAGAGCUUUGGAAGAAAUUAGAAGACUUGUAUUUGCUUAAGUCUACACUGAAUAAACUUUACCUGCUUGAACGUUUUUUCAGUUUCAAAAUGGAUUCUUCAAAAGAUCUUGAUGACAAUCUAGACGUGUUUAACAAAUUGGUGCAAGACAUAGUUAAUUGUGAUGAGACUGUGUCCGAAACUUAUAAGGCUAUAAUUUUGCUCAAUGCAAUCCCUGAUUCCUAUAAGGAAGUUAAGAACGCCAUUAAGUAUGGUAGAGACACGUUAACACCUGAAAUUGUCAUAGAUUCCCUUAGAAGUAAAGAAAUGGAAAUUAGGGCUAAAAAACAUGAUAAGAGGAACGGUGAGGUACAUAUGAUGCGGGGUAGAACUCAAUUUAGGCAAAAUAGUCAUGAGGGAUAUCAAACUAGUGGCGAGUCAAGUGGUAAUGGAUGGAAAAAGAAGAGCAAAAGUAGGUCUAGAUCAAAAUCUAGGACUAAGGCGAGAAAAUGCUAAGGUUGUGGAAACACAGGGCAUUUUAUAGAAGAUUAUCAUAAGGAGAAGGGUAAGGUAAAGGCUAAGGAGGGAGAUGAGGUAAAUGUGUUAGCAUCUAAUUCCGAUAUAAAUGGUGGUGAGGUCUAUAUGAUUACAAGUCCAGUUGCAUACACUGUUGAAUUAAGUCUAAUUGUUAAUUCCCGCAUCCAUGAGUGGAUACUUAAUUCUGGUGCAUAUUUUCAUGUGACGUUUGAAAAGAAUUGGUUUUAUAAGUUGCAUGAAUCUAACGUUGGACAUGUUGUACUGUGUGAUAACUCUGCCUAUACUAUUGCUGGAAUUGGUGACAUAAACGUAAAAUUUGACAUAGAUUUUGUGUAUAUGUUAAAGGAUACUAGAUAUAUUCCUGAAUUAUCUAGGAAUCUGAUUUCAGUAGGGAGACUUGAGAAGGAUGACUUUACUGGUAAAAUUGGAAAUGGUAUGCUAAAAAUGAUCAAGGGUGCUUUAGUUUCCAUUAAGGGAAUUAAGAAAAUGAUAUAUACAUUACUACUGGGGAAGUGAUCAGAGGUGUGAAUUCCUCUAUCUCCUCUGCAAAGAUUGAUCACACACACACAUGGCAUAAUAGACUUGCUCACGUAGGGGUCAAGGGACUUAAGCUACUUAAUGAAAAGGGUGCUUUUGGUAAUGACCGUGUGUCAGAUUUGCCAUUUUGUGAUCAUUGUGUGCUUGGUAAGCAUCACAAAGCUUCUUUCUCCACGAGUGUUAAUAGAGCUAAAGGCAUGCUCGAAUAUAUGCACUCUGAUCUAUGGGGUCCUGCUAGUAACCCUACAUCGGGUGGUAAUAGGUAUUUCCUGUCUAUUAUUGAUUACACUAGGAAAGUGUGGGUCUAUCUUUUGAAGGAUAAAUCUGAGACCUUCAAUAGUUUUAAUAAUUGGAAGAGACAAGUGGAAAACCAAACUGGCAAGAAAAUCAAAUUUUUAAGGACAGAUAACGGCCUAGAAUUCUGCAAUAAAGAAUUUGAUAGUAUGUGUAAAGAAAGCGGCAUAACUAGACAUAAGACCGUUCCCUACACCCCUCAACAAAAUGGGGUAGCAGAAAGGAUGAAUAGAACCAUAAUUGAUAAAGUACGUUGCAUGAUAAUUAGUUCAGGUGUUCCCAAGUCGUUUUGGGGUGAGGCUGUUAUGACCGCUUGUUAUUUGAUUAAUCUGACUCCUUCUGUUGCAUUGAAUGGUGACACUCCGCAUGAGAGAUGGUCGGGUAAACUGAGUGAUUACUCGAUACUUAGAACUUUUGGCUGUACAGCUUUUUCUCAUCAAAGUGAGGGUAAGCUGGAACCUAGAGCUAGGAAGUGUGUUUUCCUAGGAUACCCCGAGGGUGUUAAAGGUUAUAGGUUAUGGGAUAAAAGCCAAAAAGGGGUUAAAAUCAUCAUAAGUACAGAUGUCACGUUUAACGAAAAUGAGAUGUCGUGUAUUAAAGGGAAAACUGAACCUGAGAGUGAAAUAGAAUCAGGUGAAGAGAGAGUCCAGUUUAAGGUGGAGUUAGAAAAACUCAGUCCACCUGUCCCUACUAUUUCAAAUGAGGUGGAGACUCAAACUCAGGAACCCAAAGUGGAGAAUAGUAACGAAAUAGUGACAGAAGAACACUAUGAGGAAGAAAAUCAUUUAGCUAACUAUAACUUAGUUAGGGAUAGAGAGAGGAGACAGACGAGAGAACCAAGAAGGUUUGGUUUUGAAUCUGAAUUAGCUUCUGCCCAGGCUAGUUAUGAAGAACUAGCUGAUAAAGAGCCAAAGACCUUUGAAGAAGCAAUAGGCAGUGAUCAAUCUAAUGAAUGGCUUAAGACAAUGAAAGAAGAGAUGAGUUCUCUAGAAAAGAAUCAUACUUGGGAGUUAGUACCUAGGCCUAAGAAUAAAUCAAUUGUUGAUUGCAAAUGGGUUUUUAAGGUUAAGGAAAGAACUAGCAACUUGGAACCCCUAAGGUUUAAAGCUAGGUUGGUGGCUAAAGGCUACACACAAAAGGAGGGCGUUGAUUAUAAUGAUAUUUUCUCACCAGUUGUUAAGUACACCACUAUUACGGUCAUGCUCGCAUUAGUUACACAUUUUGACUGGGAACAUAAACAACUUGAUGUAAAAACUGCUUUCUUACAUGGUGAGCUUGAUGAACAAAUUUUCAUGAAUCAACCUAAAGAUUUUAAGGAUAAGUCAAAACCUGAUUAUGUGUUUUUUUAGAAGAUCCUUGUAUGGGUUAAAACAAUCUCCUAGACAGUGGUACAAGAGGUUUGAUUCCUUUGUACUCACUAUAGGGUUCCAAAGAAGUAAAUUUGAUCACUGCUUGUAUUUUCAACAUAAUGAGAUUGAUGAUAAUCAUCUAUUUUUGUUGCUCUAUGUGGACGACAUGCUUUUGAUUGGAUCAUCCUCUAAGUGGAUAAAUAACAUAAAAGCAAAACUAAGUGGUGAAUUUGACAUGAAAGACCUAGGUAAGGCUAAGAGAAUCUUAGGUAUUGAAAUUGAAAGAGAUAGGUUAAAUUCUAUUUUGUUUUUGCAUCAGUCUCCAUACAUAUCCAAAGUACUGAAGAAAUUUAAUAUGAGUGACUGCAAACCUAUCACGUUGCCUCUUGCUAAUCAUUUUGUUUUAUCGAAGGAACAAUCUCCUUGCAAUGAGCGUGAAGUUGAAUACAUGAGUAGAGUACCUUACUCUAAUGUGAUUGGUUCCAUAAUGUAUUUGAUGGUUUGCACUAGACCUGAUUUAGGUUUUGCUGUUAGUACCCUCAGUAGAUAUAUGGCUAAUCCAGGCCCUGAACAUUGGGAAGCACUAAAGUGGCUGUUAAAGUACUUGAAGGGUACUAGUAACGUAGGCUUAAAGUUUAGUGCUAAUAAAGAAGGUACAAAAUUAAAGGGUUUUGUAGAUGCUGACUAUGCGGGAGAUAGGGAUGGUAGGAAAUUUACUUCAUCUUACGUGUUUGCCUUAUCUAAUUCAUGUGUAAGUUAAAAAUCACAGUUACAACAUAUUGUUGCACUAUCCACUAUAGAAUCAGAAUAUAUUGCUACCACUGAAGCUAUUAAAGAAGCUCUAUGGCUUAGAGGUCUACUUCAUGAACUGUGUGUCUUAAAUGAUUAUGUGAUAGUGUAUUCUGAUAGUCAGUCAUCUAUACAUUUAUGUAAGAAUCCUGUUUUUCAUGACCGCACUAAACACAUUGAUGUUAGACUCCACUUCAUUAGAGAUAUAGUACCUCAAGAGGUGGUAAGACUUGAGAAAGUCCAUACCCACUACAACCCAUCUGAUAUGGCGACGAAGGUAUUACCACUGGCAAAGUUUAGGAGUUGCAAGGAACUUCUAAACAUUGGUACAGGUAAAUGAUUUCCAAUUUUAUUGGUUUUCUAUUAGAGGUGUCACUAAUGGUAGACAAUUUUCUUUUGCAGGUCCUUUGACACCAAGGUGAAGGUUGUUAGGCAAUUUGUUGUCAAAUGACCUCCCCAGGCGAUGAUGUAACCUCGAUUUUAUUAUCAAUCGGCCUUGGCCAUAUGAUUGACUAGUACAUCGACACUAUCGAGACAACACAAUCCACAUUUUUAUGGACCGUUCGAAGCAACCUAUUUUAAAUAGUGUUGCUUACGGUUCGCCCCAUUUUCUUGGAAGGCUAUAUUAUUAUUUUUGAAGCCCACUUUAAUUGAGUCGAGCCUUGUUUUGGUCCACAAUUUAACCCUAACCUAACUUACCUAUUUUGGACAUUUACUUCACAUAUAAUCCCACAUUCCUCUCGGCCUCCAUGGUGUGUGCCUAUUUUUCCCUUCUCUUUGUGAGACUCUCUUCUCGGAUUCUUGCUUUACUUCACUGUGACCUUUGUGGACACAUCAUUGGACUUCACUUUCCAACCUAUAGCAACCGGAGUGGGGCGGUGGCAAUGGUGGUUCUUGGAGUUGUCUCAACCUUUGUGGUGUCAAAGAAUUGGUAAACUGAGCUCGGUUUUGUACUUGGAGUUCGGUGGAAAUCAACCCUACACAAACAACGUCCAAACACUUGCUAGUCCUUCCUCAUCUGAUGAUUUCACUCGCAAAAUGUCUGGUAUGUCUCUAUACUUAACUGCAUUUCAUCGUAGGUAGGGAAAUAUUUAUGAAAUUCCAUGGAUUCUUGACACAGGAGCAACAGAUCACAUGAUCUGCUCCACUAUUCUUUUUAUAUCUAUUCAAGCUAAUGUGUACUAUUUUGUGGUCUUACUAAACGGAGAAAACGUCCCUGUCACUCACGUAGGAACUGUCAAAAUCUUAGAAGUAAUUACCUUACAUAAUAUCCUUUGCAUUCCUAGUUUUCACUUUCAAUUUAAUUUCAGUAAAGAAGCUUCUCAAUCUCUAAACUGCUGUCUUGUCUUCUUCUCUAAUCACUGUUAUAUUCAGGACCUUUCGACUUGGAGAACAACUGGAAUGGGUGAAGUGAAAGAUGGAUUGUAUCAUAUGGUACGAAAGGAAGUCUCUCAUUCAGCUUUAUUGUAUGCUUGCAAACAAUUCAAGCGUUUGCCCUCUUUUUUCCCGUCUGCCACCAAUAAUCACAAAGAAUCUGAUCUAUGGCAUUAUAGAUUGGGGCACUCUUCAUAUUCUGAAUUUAGUUUUGAUGGGAACAUCCACAUACCUGCUUCUUCUAGCAUAAAUCAUUGCUUCAUUUGUCCUCUAGCAAAACAACAUAGACUGCCUUUUAAUGUAAGCCAUCACAAAAUUAAAAAAAUGCUUUGAACUAAUACAUUGUGAUAUAUGGGGGCCUUGUAAUGAAUUAAGCAGAGAUGGUUCUAAGUAUUUUCUAUCUAUCGUUGAUGAUUUUAGCAGAUGCACAUGGAUCUAUAUGUUAAGACUCAAAUCCGAUGAUAUCGUUGCUUUACAAAACUUUUAUGCCAUGAUAGAAAGUCAAUUUGAAGCUAUGAUUAAAAUCGUCCGAAUAGAUAAUUGAGGUGAAUUUAACAUGACUGAAUUUUACUUAAAGAAGGGGAUAAUGCACCAAAGAACAUGUGUUGAAACCCCUGAACAAAAUGCCAUUGUGGAAAGAAAGCACCAACACAUCUUAAACGUAGCAAGAGCCUUGAAAUUCCAAAGUGUUUGAAAUAUAGGAAUGAUUUCGUAUUGACGGCUGUAUACCUCAUAAACAAAACACCAUCUCCCCACCUGAACAACAAAAGCCCUUUUGAGAUACUAUUUCAAACCAAACCAAACCACAGUCACUUAAAAGUUUUUGGGUGCCUAGCUUUUGCCACCACUCUUAUCAAUGGUAGGCACAAGUUUGAUCCUAGGUCAAGGAGAUGUGUGUUCAUUGGUUAUCCUUUUGGUACUAAGGGAUACAGAUUACUUGAUUUAAAGAUAAUGAAAAUUUUCACUUCAAGGAAUGUUACCGUCCAUGAGGACAUUUUUCCAUCUAGAGAAAUUGAUCUCAAUAGCAAUACCUCCAUGACUGACUUUGAUCACCUUAGUUUCACACAAAAUCUUAAUGUUUCUAAUGACCCUGCUAUCAUCCCACUUGUUAGUACUAAUAAUGAAAAUACUAAACAUAACAUUUCAAAUACUCCGGCUCAUAUAGAAUCCUCUAAUUUUCAUGUGAACACCAGUCAUGACAUAUCACAGUCUCCUGCUGACACUUUGGAAUCAAAUCUCCUUGCUAUCACUCCUUUACCUCAUAGGUCUAACAAAAUUCGAAGGACUCCUCAUCACUUGCAAGAUUUCAUAUGUCAACAAGUAUCUUUACCUCUUCCAUUCUAGAAGCUCAACAAGGAAAAGGAAGUGAAUAUUACAGGUAGUCCCUAUCCUCUUAGUAAUAGUCUUUCCUAUGAUAAAUUAUCUAUCCGUCACCACACUUUUGCAGUUUCAAUAACAAACCACUUUGAGCCUAAAACCUAUCAAGAAGCCAUAACUUCACCUGAGUGGUGUGAUGCCAUGAAAGCUGAGAUCAAGGCUUUAGAACUUAAUGAUACUUAGGUCUUGACCAAUCUACCACCUAAUAAAGAGGCCAUAGGUUGUAAGGGUAUAUAUGGUUAAAUUCAAUGCCAAUGGUAGUGUUGAAAGAUUCAAGGCACGCUUAGUGGCAAAGGGGUACACUCAACAAGAGGGACUUGACUAUCAUGAAACAUUUUUCCCUGUGGCUAAAUUGGUCACCAUCUGAACUUUACUGGCAAUAGUAGCAAUUAAGGGGUGGAGUUUGUGUCAAUUUGAUGUAAAUAAUGCUCUUCUACAUGGUGACUUGGAUGAAGACGUUUACAUGCAACUGCCCCUUGGUUAUCCCAAUGUAAGUGGUAAUAAAGUUUGCAAAUUAUGCAAGAGUUUGUAUGGAUUGAAGCAAGCCUCGCUUCAAUGGUACUCUAAACUUUCCAAUUUCAUUAUUAAGCAAGGAUACACUCAAUCAAGAUGAGAUUAUAGCUUAUUUACUAAGUCUAUUGAUGGUUCUUUCACAGCUAUUAUAGUUUAUGUGGAUGAUAUAAUAAUGGCGGGAAAUUGUAUUGAUACCAUCAAUAAGCUUAAAGCUUUUCUCAAUGACAAGUUAAAAAAUUAACAACUUGGGCAAGUUGAAAUAUUUUCUAGGCAUCAAAGUCCCAAGGUCUGAAUGCAGCAUUCACAUAUGUCAAAGGAAAUAUGCUUUGGAUAUCUUGGCAGAUUCAGGCACUGUAGGAUCAGCCCCUACUAGGAUUCCCCUUGAUUAGAAUCAAAAGCUUAGUAAGGACGAGGUAGAAUUAAUUGCAGGCCAAUCAAUUUACAGAAGGCUAUUGUACUUGACAAUCACUAGGUCUGAUCUUGCAUAAUCAAUUAAGUUGUUGAGUCAGUUUAUGAGCUGUCCCAGGGUGCUACAUUUACAUGCUACACAUAAAGUAUUGCGGUACAUCAAAAGGGUACCUGGACAAGGGUUAUUUUACCCUGCAAAAUCAAGGCUUCAACUAGAGGGCUAUUGCAAUUUUGAGUGAGGAGCGUGCCUAGACACUAGUAGGUCAGUAUCAAGUUAUUGUGUUUUCAUUGGGUCAACCUUAAUAUCAUGAAAAUUGAAGAAACAACAUGUGGUGUCUCGAUCUUCCACUAAAGCAGAAUACUGAACAAUGGCAAACCUGUGUUGUGAAUUGACUUGGCUUAGGCAUUUGUUUAAGGAACUAUAGAUUGCACACCCUCAAGCUGCAGUCCUAAAUUGUGAUAAUCGAGCUGCAAUCCAUAUAGCUACAAAUUUGGUAUUUCACGAAAGAACCAAACACAUUGAGCUCGACUGCCAUUUGGUUCGUGACAAGAUAUAAGACGGAAUCAUCAUCACCCAACAUGUUCACAGUGCGUCACAAAUUGCUGACAUUCUAACCAAGGCUCUAACUUCCCAAUGUUUUUAUUCUUGCUUGUCCAAGAUGGGAGUAAUGGAUGUUUACUCUCCAUCUUGCGAGGGGCUAUUGAAAAUAGAAUAUUUGAGUCAACUGGCACUAACUCAAAUAAGUUGGUAAUGGCAGGCAAGAAGCAAGAGUUAUGUUAUAUGUACAAAGUUGGUUGACGAAGUAAUAUCGACUCCAAUCAUUUCAAAAAUAGAUUUUUAAAUCAUUGAAAAUCAAUGACGUGAAUUCUGCCAACACUUAUUUGUCAACCAAAUUUGUCUACACUCUUUGUACAUAGCAUAAUACAAGAAGCAAGACACAAAAAGGUCGAUGUUUGAGAAGAAUUGUUCAUUAAGUAGGGACAAAAGGUCUCAUAAGGCUGCAAGUAGAUUUGAAGUAAUAAUGUCUUCAAUAAUGCAAGUAGAUAAUUGCAUUAUGUUUGCAAAAUAAAUGCUAUCAUUCUAGGAUCCACAUAUUCUUCAUUUUGGAUCAAAAAUUAAGUUCCAAAAAAUUUUCAAGCAACAUAACAUUAAUAAAGAUAAUUCAAUACACUACUACAAAUGUUGUCUAUGCAUUUCCAUAAUUUGAAAUCACCGUAUAAUUGCAUUGUUAUCAAUAUUGCAAAUAUAGCAUCCUCAAUGUGCAAAACUGACUAUCAUUCAAUAGUCAAAUAUCCAAUUCAGUUGCAUGGUUCAAACCGUGGUUGAGGUCUUGAGGACUAUGGUGUUGAAGUGGAGAAAAAAUGUGGUUGGUUGUCAGCAUCGAUGUGGAUGAUCUAGGUAGGAAAAUGCAAUUAUAUGGUAAAAAUGGAAAAUCUAGGCAUUGGGGGAAAAUGAGAUUUAAGGCUUAAAAGAAGUUGGGAGGCAGAAAGUGGAUAAAAAAAAAAAAAAAAAAAAAAAAAAAAAAAAAAAAAAAAAAAACCUAUCAAAUGGUAGAAAAGUGAAAAAAAAAACUAAAAUUAAAAAAGAAAAUUCCAAAAUUUUCGUGGGCUGAGCAAACCCCAUAUGACCCCAUGUAAUUCCAACCAUAAAUCAAUCUAAUGUCAUCACUUACUAUCAAAAUACUUACCCAAUUCGUAAUGCGAUAAAUUGACUUGUUAUACGAAAAACAUUAAAUCACGUUUUUUAAGUUGUUUGGGACAAAAAUCUUCAGUGUCUCUUUUUGAGCCCUUUAUAAAUAUGUCCACUUCAACAUAUAAAAUAAGUGUUGUACCGUGGAAAAAAAUAUUACACAUCAUUCUUCUUUACUUCUCUAAAUUUUAUCUGUAAUUCAUGAGAAUAUUUCGAAUGAUCGAUAUAUUUCAAGAGUAUUUUAGAAAUAUCUCUCUAGAUGUAUUGUACAACAAAAUCUUAGUAUCUUGUGGCUAGGCAUGUGCACACAACAAUAAUUCCUAAACAAAGAAAAAUGAAAAAAGUUGAUCAAUUAAUAAAGUUUAAUUUAUAUUUUUCUUUUUUAACUGUUUUGCAUUUUGUGUUUUCACUCCAUGGAUGAGAUUUUUUCAAUAAAAGUAUCACUGCAAAAAUUUAUAUGUGAGAAAAAAGAAGUAUAAAUCGAUAAAUAUAUAAGUGACCCCAACGAAACAAGAUAAAGCAUAUAGACAAAGAAGGAACACCGUAUUAUAAUUAAAUGACAUUAUUUGAAUAUGAACAAUUUGAUUUUAUUAAUAAAGAUGAAUUAUGUGUGACAAAUGUUAUUAAUUAUUACGAGGAAAUGAUACUUGUACAAAUGAUCCUUUAAGAGGAUAAGUUUAUUUUUAUUAAAGUAUAUAUACAAUUAAUUGCAAGAUGGAUGGAAGCCAUCGAAAAUGACCUUUUUAUUUUCACACAACAUCAAUAUGUUGAGGGGGUCAACGCAACGAUCGUAACAUUAGGGACCAUUUCCACACAAGGGCCUUACAUUAAGGACCAUCUAUACCAAUUUCCUUGUUAAUUAAUGCUCCACCUUUGUGUUCGCUUGAAUUUAAAAAAAAAAGUUUUAUUGGCACAAUUCCCUCAACGUAUGGAUCUAUUGUCAAAUAUUCUUACCUUUUUAAAUUGGUGGAAACCCCCGUAUGAACUUUGAAGUGCGAAAUCCAUUUUCUUUCAUUUUCUCAUAAAUCCUUGUGAAAUGACGAUUUGAGGAAAAAAAAUAGUAUAGCCAACAAUUUGGUAUGUUAAAUUAGAUGUAAUAUGCUAUGAAUAAGGGCAGUGAAUAGAAGUACUAUAAUUUCAAAAAUGUGGAGAAACAUAAGUAUAUGGUUUGUGAUCUGAAAUAAAGGUAUAUUAUGCACAUAAAACUUGCAAAGAUUCCAGUCAACGACACACGAUGAGUGGAGGCAUGACGAUAUUGCUAGAAUAUGACCCAAAUUUCUAUUGGGAUUAGGAUAGGGUUGGUAAAUUGAUAAAAGGAAUAAGAGUCUUCUUGGUUUGGAAGUUCGAUUGAAAAAGAGAAUGAAAGUUCAUCAAUGAUUGAAAAUUUGAUUGGUAAAGGAACUUUGGAAAAUUGAAGACUUGGUUUUGAAAUUUUGGUGGAUAAAAAAUCGUCGCAAUUUCGCUAACUAACAGCUAACUUUGGUGUUCAAGCGUUAGAGGUGAAAAAUGGAGCAGAGAGUUGCUGCCUGCCUAGAGUCGCCUCGAACUGAAGUGACAGUGUAAUUCAGAUGGUAAACCUUUUUCGAUUCUAACUACUUUCUUGAGUCGUAUUUGUUGGAAAAUAAGCGGUUGGAGAAGAAAUAACAACAAAAUUAUAGAAACAAAAUGAAUAGAAACCACGAAAUACGUUAAGAAUGAAUUUGAGACUUGAACACGGGAUCGUUAUCCUCAAACUAUAUUUGCCCCCUCUUGGGAUUGAAUGAGAUACUUAAGGGUUGGGUCUUGGCAAACGGUUUGUAGGAUUAUAUUAAGCCUUGUAAAGGAUUUAACACCAAAGCACAAGUGCAAUCCUCCAAAACUUUAAGAGCACAAAGGAAGAUCUUGAAUAUGAAUGUAAAUCAAUAGUGUGAUUCAAUAUGAAAUGAUAUAUGGAUCUCAAGAUAUUUUCAAUGAUUCUAAUAAUGUUUGUAUUGAUCAUUCAUCACCUAUUUAUAGGUCUCAAUCAAUGCAUCACAAAAUGGUGCCAAAACAAGAUGAAAAGUGGCAACUUUUAGUCCAAAACGGCUCCCAAGUUUUAAAUUGAAAAAUCAGUCAACGACUAUUUUUUAAUACUAUGCGUACGCAUAGUAUAAACCGUGCGUACGUAUAGUAGAAGCAAAAUUUAAUUCUGAUUUUGCUAAAACACAUAUCGUGUACGCACAAAAUUAAGCCUAUGCGUAUGCAUAGGCAAAAAAUCAAAUUUUGCAUUUUUCAAUUUCUUUUGAUUCUACCAAUUCCACAAUUGAGCCCAACAAUAAGUCCAUUAUCAUUCCAUUGAUUUUGAACGAAUUUUCAACAGUAUUUCAUCGAAAAUACUUGUAAUGGAUUCUCUAUAUAUAUAUUCCUCGUGGUAUAGGCUCUUAAAAGGAUAAAUUAACAAUAAAAUCAUAGUUAUAUAGAUUAAAAACUUGAGAGAGUUAUUUAAAUUUAGAUUGAGAGUAUCAAAUCUUGUAAAACAAUUUUAGCUUCUUGAUAUAUUUAAAUUCUUCACCUCUUUCAUAUAAAUCUUGUAUUCUUGUGUGAUCCAUUAUUUUUCAUAUUGCUCUAAUUUUCUCAUCUUUAUUAUUUGGCCCAAUUUAUCUUUACAAUUCCAUAUGAUUCAUCAAGAACUAUACAAGUUGAGUUUUGAUGAGAAAAAAUACUGAUACAUGCUUGAACGGAAAAAUAAAAUUAUUCGAAAAUAUAUAUUGUCCAUUGCCUGCUGCUGAAUUUUCUGAACAAUCUUUUUCUUGUUGGAACCAGAAUCUAAAACUAUGGUUUCUAUAAUCCUCUUGGCUGCAUUGUUAAUUUGGGGCAUCUUCAUCUCUGCUACUCUGGGACGUAUAGUCGGGCCAGUUGGUGACCUAUUACUACUGAUAUGUCCAACCGGCAAACUGCUGAUAGAUCGCAUAAUUAUGCGUCAGGUGUGCAUGUCCAUUUUUUGGUUCUUUGGUUCAAAAAUCUCCCUCGAAGUUGUAUCUUCACGAUUUGUCUGCUUCUUGGAGGAACUCUUUCGUGGUUGGCAAUUCGCUAUUUCUAUAACAGCUUGUUUACAGCUCCUACUGUAGUGAAUAGUCGACGGAGCUAUAGAUCUAAGAAUAGGAAGGUGAAGGUAAACACUUCAGAAGAUCUUUUUAUAGAGAUUCAUAGGCACAAAAUGAUUUGUCAAGGCAAGAUUUCAGUGGAUAUUUUGUCAUAAAUACGAAUUUGGAGAGAACAGUAUUCUGGAUGUAAUAUCUUCAGUUACAACGAUUUGGGAGGGUAUUGAAAGAGAGAACUAUCGAUAUAAUUUAGGGUUUCGAUUAUGAGCAAUAGAUCAUGAUUUGGGAGCGGAUGAAUGGAGACGAAGGGACGAGGUACGAGAGAAAUCUGAUUUGGGAAAGAAUUGAUAUAGAGUAAAUUGUAGAUGAAUUUUGGAUUUGAUAAACUUCAUCAUGAUUUAACUGUUGAUAAAGACCCGCUAAUUAAUUGCAUGAUAACAAGGAGUACAACACCAACCAGGUAUAUCUCAAGUGCAUGUUUCAGUGAUGCAUCUUCUUCUAUCAAUGUCAAAAAUGAGUGGAAUAUUGUAAAUGUCAUCAAAGAUUCUUCUGCAGAUUAAAAGGGCCAAAAAGUUUCAUUCCAAGAUAGAACUUCUGACGUUAGCUCAUCUUUAUUAGGAAUGAUAGAAGCUCGCUCUGAUACCAAUUGAUGUAGGAAAAAGCAUAAAAAUAAUGAAACGAACAUGCUAUCGAAGUUUUUUUAUUCUAAUUUUUGUUGAUUCCCAAAAUUACUAGAAAUAUAGGUAUCAAAUAGCAAGAUUAAACGAUUCGACAGCUCCAAAAUCUAUAAUAUUUAUUACAAAAUAACUAAUUAUCAUAAUAGCUUACAACCCUUAUUUAAAGAAAUAACUAAAAUCUAGAUAAUUACUAAAAUCUAGAUAGUUAUUAAAUGUAAAAGAUAAUGACAAAAAGUAAAAACCCUUCAGAAUUAAUUAGAAGUAAAUGAAAUUAAAAUUGAAUUUAUUUAAUAAAAUAAAUAAUAAAAAAACUCAAUUUUCUGCAAAUGGGUUCAAAUAAUAAUGCUAAGAUGCGAUCUUUAGUUUCAUGAUUUUGAAUGCCAUGUCCAUUGACGCCGGGUAGGAUAGUGAUUAUCCUAUUGUCUUGUUGUAACAGAUGAUUCGCAAGAAAAGAAUGACAAAAAAUGCCCAAAAAACCAAAGAAAAUACUCUGAAUUCAAUUCAAUAUUAUUAAUAAUGCAGAAUGAUCAAAAUUAAUCCACAAGCCGGGUUAAAUAGCUGCGAAAUACGAAAUUAUGGGGAAAUUACCAAAAAUGGAAAAAUCCCGAAAUUAUACCAAAAUAAAAUAUUAAGUAAAAGAAGUAAGUUGCCAAAAAUUUGGCUCAAUUCGAGUUUUCUAACAUAUGGAAAAAAGGAAACAAAAAAUUACCAUAAAUAGUAAAAAAUAACUUAAAAUUGAAUUUUGGAAAGGAAAACAGUGGAUUUUGGGCUUGAACUUGAUGUUCACCGAGCAUAGCUUGGUGGCCACGACGUGCGCGCCGAAGAGAGUUUUCCGGAUUGGGGUCAUAAUAGCGAUUCCGAUAACCAUAGUCAAAAUUAUGGUCAAAUUACCAAAAACGCGUCAAAUUCCCCCAAUUAAGGAAAUAAUGGCGAUUCACUUUCCAUCUUUGCGCCGAUCCGCCAUCUCAUAGUAUCUCAGCGCCAUCAUCAUGCUAUCUGACAAAUCAGCAUCACUCGACUCGGAUCCUCCUGCAUCAGUCGCCCUGGGUUGGAAAGAACUCGCCCUCGAGUUCACAGUAACUUCAUCGGACUCCACAAAACAAGGGAUUAGGUGUUUUACAUUGAAAACGUCAGAGGUCUUCAAAUGGCUAGGGAGGCGCAACCUGUAAGCAUUAUCAUUGAUCUUCUGCAGCACUUCACAAGGUCCAAUCUUCCGCUCCUUUAGCUUAUUGUAUUCCCCAGCUGGAAAACAAUCAUGAGUUAAUACUGCCCAAACAAAAUCAACAACAUCAAACAACACCAGGCGUCAAUGACUAUCUGCCCGAACUUUGUACUUAGUAUUACUAUCCUAGAUGGACAGCUUCACAUGCUCAUGGAUACCUCGAAGAUGCUUAGCCAUCUCAUCAGCUUUGUUAUUGAAGUGACCCACACAUGGAAUUGGAGCCAAAUCAAGUACUCCGGAUGGGUUCUGACCAUAGACAAUUUCAAAAGGACUCAGUCCGGUGGUUCUAUUCCUUGACCGGUUAUAAACAAACUUUGCUUGAGGUAAUGCCAAAUCCCACAGCUUCGGUUUAGUCCCGGCUAAGCUUCUCAAAAGAUUUCCCAAACUUUGAUUCACCACCUCAGUCUGACCAUCUGUUUGGGGAUGGUAUGCGCUGCUAAAAUUCAAUUUCGUUCCAAGUUUCUCCCACAAACUCCUCCAAAAAUGACUCAUAAACUUAGUGUCACGGUCAGAAGUAAUUGACUGUGGAACACCAUGUAAACGCACAAUCUCUCUGAAAUAAAGAUGAGCAAUCCAAGUAGCAUCCAUUGUUUUCCGGCAAGCCACAAAAUGAGCCAUCUUUGAGAAUCUGUCAACCACAACAAGAAUGGAAUCCAUCGCCCACUGUGUAUGAGGUAAGCCCAAGACAAAAUCCAUACUGACAUCAAACCAAGGAGCUUCAGGUAUGGGUAAUGGUGUGUACAAUCCAGCAUUAGUAAGAGCCCUUUUAGACCGCUGACAUACAUAACACCGCUCCACAUAAUGCACCACAUCACUGCUCAACUUGGGCCAGUAAUAAUCAGAAGAGACCAAUGCCAAUGUCUUGUCUCGCCCAAAAUGUCCUUCGUUAUGAAGUUCACUAAUAAUCUGCUGCCUUAGUGAACAAUCCGAAAUGAAUAACUGCAAUCCACGAAACAGGUAACCAUUAUGUAAAACAAAAUCAUGUCAGUGACUAUCAAUUACCUCCCGAAUUAUCUUCCCAAAUGAAGGAUCCGCAGCAUACAUAUCAGGAAAUGCCUCAAAUCCGACAAUCUUGGUGCUUAUGGUAAGAAGUAAUGUGUGACGGCUCAAUGCAUCUGCUACUCGAUUCAAACUCCCUGCUUGAUGCCUGAGUGUGAAAGUAAACUCCUGCAAGUAGGCUACCCACUUUGCAUGUCGCCUACUCAGCUUGUGCUGACCAUUAAUGUACUUCAAAGCCUCAUGAUCAGUAACAAGAAUGAAUUCCCUCUGUACCAAGUAAUGGCCCCAAUGCUUCAGAGUCUGAACUACGGCAUAGAACUCCAGGUCAUAAGUGAAAUAAUUUUUCUUCGAUCCCGAUAGCUUCUCACUAAAAAAGGCUACUGGACGUCCCUCCUGACUUAGAACACCACCAAUACCAACUCCAGACGCAUCACAGUUUACCUCGAACACCUUUUCAAAAUUCGGAAGUGACAAGACUGGGGCCUCCAUCAUCUUCUGCUUAACCAACUGAAAGCUAGCCUCUGCCUCCUCAGUCUACUGAAAAUCACGACCUUUAAGGCACUCUGUGAUAGGAGCAAUCAAGGUACUGAAGUUUCUGAUGAAUCGGUGAUAGAAGGAUGCCAAUCCAUGGAAACUUUUGACAUCGUGCAAAGUUUUUGGUUUCGGCCAAUUCAAAACUGCCUCAAUUUUGGAUUGAUCUGCAUGAACACCAUCAGUAGACACAACAAAACCCAAAAAAGUUACAGAAGUUGUGAAGAAAGAACACUUAUUCUGAUUGAUGAAUAAGCGCUCCGUCCUCAUUACAUCAAAGACAGUACGAAGAUGAUUAAAAUGUGACUCCCAUGUCAGACUAUAAAUAAGUAUGUCAUCAAAAUAAACUACCACAAACUUCCCCAUGAAAGACCGUAAAACCUGAUGCAUAAACCUCAUAAAAGUGCUGGGUGCGUUGGAUAGUCCGAAGGACAUGACCAUCCACUCGUACAACCCAUGUUGUGUCUUGAACGCAGUCUUCCACUCAUUUCUAGGCCUGAUUCUGAUAUGGUGGUAUCCAAUUUUAAGGUCAAUUUUUGAGAAGACCUUAGAACCGGACAGUUGAUCCAACAUGUCGUCCAGACGGGGAAUUGGAAACCUGUACUUCACUGUAAUCCUGUUAAUUGCCCUGCUGUCAACACACAUACGCCAUGACCCAUCUUUCUUUGGCACUAGUAGAGCAGGAACUGCACAAGGACUCAUACUCUCAUGAAUGUAGCCCCUUUCCAAUAAUUCUACCACCUGUCGUUGCAACUCUUCAGCUUCUUUGGGACUGAGGCGAUAUGCUGGUCGAUUUGGUAGACUCGACCCUGGAAUGAUGUUGAAUGUCCCUCAUAGGUGGUAGUCCUGGAGGAAGAUCCUCCCGCAUCAAGUCAGAAAACUCCAUCAGUAGUUGCUGCACUUCUGCUGGAAAUUCUGAAUCCACAUUCGUUGUACUAUUUUCAUGAGGCAUUAAAGCAUAAACUAUAUUUUCACGCCCAACCUCAACCAAGAACCUAGACAUAGAAAGUAGAUUGGGGUUAUUAACUACCAGGGCAGGGAUGUUUCCUUCCCUGUGAGGCACCAAAACAAUUCUCUUCCCUUUGAUGCUAAGAGAAUAAGUAUUCUUCCGCCCAUCAUGGAUAACACUGCGAUCAUACUGCUAAGGUCGUCCCAAAAAAACAUGACACGCGUCCAUUGAUACCACAUCACACUAAGCAUUAUCAAAAUAUUUUUUUCCAAUCGAGAAAGACACUAAGCAUUAUUUUUCUACCGUUACCUCACUGCCUUUAUUCAACUAAGACAACUUGUAUGGUUUGGGAUGACGAUCCAUCUUUAGUUGCAGUUUCUCGAUAGCCUCCUCAGACACUAUAUUCUCACAAUUGCUACUAUCAAUUAUCAGCUUACAGACUUUAUCAGCAACUAUGCAGGUUGUGUGGAAAACGUUGGUCCUCAACCAAUCAUCCCCUGAGUCGUCCUUGGGAGUCAGCAGGCUCUUUCAAACGACCAAGGUCUCCUGACCAUCUCCAUAUAGCACGUCCUCAUCUUCACCCUCAUCAUACACGGGUUCCUCAACUUCCUCGAACUCCUCUAUCAUAUCCUCCUCAAUCAGAAGAUUUUUAUUCUUCUGACCAGUAGGCUUCCUACAAUCAGUCGCCCUAUGCCCCUGUUCACCACACCUAAAGCACUUAAUACUUGAGCUGGAACUAUCCUGCUGUGGCUGAUAAGCAGGACGAGAUUCUUGAGGGCGAACUGGCUAACUUCCUUCACCUCUGACUACUGGCCUCCUACUCUGCUGUUUCUCUACUGCAAGUACUCGCUGAUAUGCCUCAGAAAUUGUAUCAGAUAAAUCAUUCUGAGCCACCAACUGAUAGAAUUCUUCAGUAGAAUCAUUGACUGAUCUUGCACCUUGCCUUAGUGAAUGAAGCCUCUGAAACAAGGUUUGAGUAUAGCCAAAAGGAAGGAAGUGCCCUGUCAUCUUCUCCCAGUUAGUAAUUUUGGAUUUCCCCUAUCACUCCCGUGAAUGCUUCAACUGUUCCCACCAUGCAGAUGCCCUACCUUUGAGUUUGAUGGUGACCAGUUUCACUUUGACACGAUCUGGAACCUUCUUAUAUUCAAAAAUCCGCUGCACUUCAUUCAGCCAAUCAAUAAAUCCUUCAGCCUGCAACGUACCAGAAAACUCAGGCAGAUCCACUCUGAAACUGAGAUCCACAUGAUGAUCCUCCCGUCCACGAUGCUCCCAAACUCGAGCAUGAUGGUGAUACGGGUUUCAAAACUGGUAUCAGAAUCGUGACCUUCCACAUCAUGAUUACCGAACUCCUGCUCUGCCAAACGUUGGGUUAACUCCGCAACUUGUCCCUACAAAUCUUCAAUCGUCACAUCCUGAAUAUUACGAUCACGGUGCGGGACUUCCUCAAUUGGAACCUGUCCUCAACGACCACGAUCACGUCCACCAACCAUUAUAACUGAUGGAAUUUAUCUUCCAAGAAGAUGCUGACGCUCUGAUACCAAUUGACACUGGGUAGGAUAGUGAUUAUCCUAUUAGCUUGUUAUAGCAGAUGAUUCGCAAGAAAAGAACGACAGAAAAUGCCCAAAGAGAAAAUACUCUAAAUUCAAUUCAAUAUUAUUAAUAAUGCAGAAUGAUCAAAAUUAAUCCACAAGCCGGGUUAAAUAGCUGCGAAAUACGAAAUUAUGGGGAAAUUACCAAAAAUGGAAAAAUCCCGAAAUUAUACCAAAAUAAAAUAUUAAGUAAAAGAAGUAAGUUGCCAAAAAUUUGGCUCAAUCUGAGUUUUCUAAUAUAUGGAAAAAAGGAAAUGAAAUAUUACCAUAAAUAGUAAAAAAAUAACUUAAAAUUGAAUUUUGAAAAGGAAAACAGUGGAUUUUGGGCUCAAAAUUGACAUCCACCGAGUAUAACUAGGUGGCCAGGACGUGCGUACCGAAGAGAGCUUUCCAGAUUGGGGUCAUAAUAGCGAUUUCGAUAACCGUACCCAAAGUUAUGACCAAAUUACCAAAGACGCGUCAAAUUCCCCCAAUUAAGGAAAUAAUGGCGAUUCACUUUCCAUCUUUGCACCGAUCCGCCAUCUCAUGGUAUCUCAGCACCAUCAUUGUGCUAUCUGACAAAUCAACAUCACUCGACUCGGAUCCUCCUACAUCAUCCAUCCCCAUACUAGUACAUGUAUUGUGCCAUUCUCACAAGAUUCACUGCAAUUUCAAUAAAAAAUUUUGAGAAUGGACAAACUGUUUCUUGAACUUGGUUCAUUUUUUUCCACGUCUCACGUAUCAAAGAUCUAAUGUGUUCACGUGCCUCGUCUUCAGAAGCCCCAGUUUCGUUCAUGUAACAUUGUAUUGUUUUAGGAACAUCACCUCUUUUCAUUUCGUCCUGAGAGAGAAAACGAAAGAAACUGUUAGUUGAAAGGGUUAAUUUUGAAUUGCUAAUGAUUUCUUAAACAAGAAUGAACUUGAAAACAUGAAAUGAAAUAUUAGUCUAUAUGCGCACCAUUGAUGUUGCUAAAUCAUCUGAAAGACGUAAAAUCGUUGCCAACCAACGGAUUAAAUUGGGAUAAUCAAGUAAGUACUGAACAGCUUCCUUCUCUAUAGGACUGGUAACAGCGAAAAACCCAUGGGAUAGUAUGACAUGAGUUGAUAUGGAAAUCCAUGCAGUGUUCAUAUACUCUUCCAUUGUUGUUUUGUAUCCAUUGAAGUACCACCUUGCUUCUUGUAAGUAUGCUUUGCCUAAAUCUGUCCACUGCCAAAUUUGACAAGAUUACUGUAUACGGAUUAAAUAUGGAAGCUGAUACAAGGAUUAUGUAUUGGACUUUUUGAAGCAAAAGUAAUACCGCUUUUCUUAAAUAUGGAAUAAUUAUAAACCCUUUUUCUUUAAGAAUGUCGUAAGCCAUUUCGUUGACGAAGUUAUUGAGUGCUAAAUAGCAAAUUUGCAUGUAAUCUGGAAGUUGAUGGCUUGAACUAACAUCCCAUCUGUAGAGUUCCAAACAAAUAAUAAUUAUAGGAGUUAGAACGGUGAGAAGGGGAAAAAAAUCAAUAUAUAUCACAUAUGGGUAAACUUUAAUAUAAACUACCAAUCUAAUUUUCCAAAAUUUGGUCCUCAACUUUUAAAGAAAAGAAAGUUCGUACCUUACAUUUUAUUAUUGUUUCGCAACUGGUCGCCCACUAAUGAAAACCAUAAUUUUCAUAAAUUAUCGUGUGGCCCUCAUAAAAACAUGCAUCGCUUUAAAUAUCAACGUACCAAUCCAAGUUAGAAAACAAAACCUAAUUUCAUGAAGUUGAUUAUGCAAGGACCACAUUUUGAUUAAUUUAAAAUAGAUUUGAACUGUUUCUUGAGAUAUAAUCUUGCAACUAUAUAUAAAAUUAAUAACCAGCUUGUCCAUUUUUAAAGAUUGAAUAAGUCAAUCAUUCAAUUUUCCCUAUCAUAUAAACCUUUUAAUAUACAAAGUACUUCCGUAUUUUCAAACUAGUGUUUCCUUUAACAAAGGGACUUCGUUUUUAAUUUUUACUUUUUUAUUUGGGUGGGGGUUCUGAAAUGAGGAAUAACGAUGUUUCUAACCUUUCAAUGAUUCUUGUAAAAACUUCAAGCUCUUCUAAUGUACCAUCGACGUCAUAUAUAUCAUCAAUGGUUGCUACUAAAGCAUUGACCUUUGUCAAUAUCUUCCUACAAAAUUCAUAUUGAGGUUCAAAUAUCACCCCAGUAGUCCAAAAGAAACAUUCCACCAGCCUAUCCCUCGCAAAUGACAACUUUUCGGCAAGGCAAGUUCCCUUCCACCACCUAUUCAUAGAAAACGCAGGGGAAAAAAAAAUAUAUAUAAAUAUAUAUAUAUAUUCCUUUGUUACUUCUAAACAUCAAAAUUCAAUAUAUUUGGCCCAUGUAUUUAAAAUGAGAAAAAAGAGAUAGAAAUGUGCACAAAUGUAUUAGUGUAGGAAUUAAUACACAUUUUCUCCAGCCGUAAUAAAAGUAAAUAGUGCUAAAGUGAAAGGCAAAUUUGUUGAGGAGAGACUAUUUCCCUCCAAUCAAAUUCCUUAUUGAGUUGUCUCUGAUUGAAGACAACUUGUGAUGUCGAUUUAUCUUUGAGUGAAUACAGCAUCUUAUCAAUAAAUACCUAGAGACAUGUCUUAGCUCCUGCUGAUAUUUUGCUUGAACAAUGUUGAAAUCCAAUUUAGCAAGCUCAAGCAGAAUCUGAUUCAUGUCUGGCCUGUCCUUGUAUAUGUUUAUGAACCAUCUAGCCUCUGCCCGCAGUAUGGCCCAGUGCAAUGGAAGCUCCAAGCCAUGGUGCACCAAUCGAGAAUGGCACUGAUCAAUACUAGUUUGAUCAUUAAGGUGUUUCAUAGAGAAUUAUGUAGCCAUUUCUAGGGUACUUUCACCUUCCAUUGAAAGGAAUGAAGUUUCAUAUAGUUGUAACAAUCCCUCUGUAUCAUCCCAAAGCCUCGACUUGAACUCACCCUUCUCAUUCUUGAAACGAUCAAAUAUCUCUGUGUUCAACAGGACAUGUAUAAGACGUGUAAGCACAAAAAAUGAAUGAAAAUGAACAGAAGAAACUGAUUUGCACCUUCAGAAACUUUAAAGCCAUGUUGUCUUAGUAGUCUGAAUUCCAAAGCCGUAGCAUAUAAAUCCUUAAUCUUUGACUGUUGAUCAUUUUUGCUAUAUUUUUUGUUAAUGACUGACAAGAUUUGCUUAAUUUCAUUCUCAAAAUGGUAGGAUAUCCCCAGCCUUUGCAAAUUGUCAAUCAAUUCCAACUGAUCCAGUGGCUCUACUGUUUUAUCAAGCGUCAUCUUCACUUGCAUUUUCAGCUCAGAAGACCGUGUAGCGUAUCUCUCUCCCUAGAUCAUGCACGAACAAAAUCUGAUUGCAAGAAAAAAGGAAGAAUUUAUUUUUUAUGUAAAUGAUGAAAAUUACCGCGUAUUCAAUAUCUAAAGACUGAAUAUAUUCGAAGUCCCAUACUGGGGGUUUGUAGUUUCCUGAUCGCCUAAUCACAAUCUGACUGCAAGGCCGCGUCUUGGUUAUAAAACUAUGCUGAUUAGCAUUAGCAGCAGUACUUGUAAAUAAAGCAAAACAGUGUUUUGGAAUCUGUUUUUUUGAAGUGCAUAAAUUGGCUUGAAAAUAUUCAGGUUGAAGAUAGUCAUUGAUCUUUGAGACUUGUCUAAGUAGUUCAUAAAAUAUUAUAUUUGGUAUGGUGGGCAUGACUUAAUUAUCUGGAACUCAAAUAGUAAUUAGAUGAGUUCAUCAAGUAUUGGCACCAACUCAAAUAAAGUAGCCAUAAAAAUAGCACCCGUUUGGCCUCCAUUUUUCAAAUUAAAAUGGAUGAAAUAUAUAUAUAUAUAUUUUGAAGAUUGUGUUAUUGAAAACAGGAUAGAGGAAAAUGAAAUUUGAUUUAGCCCAUGUUUGAGCCACAUUCUAGUAAAAAAAUGCAUUAUUCAUGUCAAAUCAAUGAGAAAUAUGUGAUUAAAAAAUAAAAGUUUUAGAUUUGAAUGUAAUAUUAUUUCAUUGAAAAAUAUUUGGUUGAAAUGAUGUCAAAUCACUGUUGAAAAAUGUAUUUUUUUUUAAAAAUAAUGUGGCUCAAACAAGCCCUUAAUAUGGGUCAAAUGGGGCUAAGUUGGUAAUAGCAGGCAAGUAGUAAUUAAGUAGGGACAAAAGGUCUAAUAAGGCUGCACGUAGAUUGGAAGUAAUAAUGCUUUCAAUAAUGCAAGAAAAUAAUUGCAUUAUGUUUGAAAAAUUAAUGACACGAUCUGUCCCGAAUCAUCAUAGUGGAUCCGAAACGUGACAUGCACCGAUAAUAGAUGCUGACUAGAUGUCAAAUCUAUCACUAAGACUGACUAUGAGUUAUUUCAAAAAAUGCAACAAAAUCAAAUGCUUAUGUAAAACAUAAUGCGAUGGGUCCAAAUUUUUUACUUUGUGCUUCAUCAAUAUGAAAUAUAACACUCAACAUGUCGUAUGGCUCUCAUUUCGAAAUCAUUAUGCUCUUCCAAUUAAAAUGAAUCAAUUGCUACCUGUAGGAAAAAUUACGGGGAAAUAUAUGAGUUGAUAGCUCAAUGGGUGGAGAAGUUCUAAAAUAAAUAUACUUUUUCAAUUUUACAUUUCUAUCGAAAAUCAAAUUCAUAUCAUUUGAUAAUUCACAAGAUAACAUCAUGUAAUUAUAGCCAAGAAGUGAAAUAUUUACAUAAGAUUAUAAAAUAUCAUCUUAAAAUCAUGACAUAAAUAUCAGCUGAUAACCAUACUAUAAUCUCAUCACAUCAAAGAUGCUGAAAAAUUCACAAAAAAUGCACCCUCUGACUGAAAUAUGUAAUCCGCCCCUCAGGUUAAAAACUUUCGCUACGGGCCUUUGGCUACUCUGUGAACGAAAGUCGGUCUCAAAGACCUCUCAUAACCAAUUCUAGAAUAUGGCCAAGGCCCCUUAGUGAACUAUAUGUACACGGUCGAGACCCCUUCAUCCUCCGUCCAAGACCCCUCGAUAUAGUAUAGAACACAGCUUAGCCCCUCAAUGAACUAGAAGAAAUAUAUAAUCACGGGUACUUUUCUGAUCGAUAUCAAAAUUAUAUCUCAUAUUCCAAUUCACAAUGUAACGUAUACAAUAUUUGAAAUCCCACAUGUAUCAUAAUGAAAGAUAUUUCCAUAAUAACCAUGUAAUUCGAACACAUAAUUGCAUAUAAUUGCUAAUACUUUAACAAUAAACAUAAUUUAUAAAUACUUCAAAAAUAUUUAUAUUUUUCCACUUAUAGAACUAUGUUCACAAAAUUUGGUUUGUAAGCUAUCCCGAUGUCAAUAUUGCCGCCAAAAAUAUGAUAUAAUUUUUAAAUCAACAAUUAAUUAUUUUAAAAAAUUUCAAUAAUUAAAUAGGUAAUGCCCAAAUUUAAUCAUUUCACAUUUAAGCGAUUUACGUGGUCUCUUUAAUCACUAAAACAGUUUUUCUUUUAUCUUACUCAAUUUCAUAGUUUAUUACACUUAACCCCUUGAAAAAAAAAAUUGAAUUUAAUCUAACAGCUAUAAAAUCAAACAUAACUUGACAGUAAGAAACUUUUUACUUACCUUUCAAAAUUGAGGAAUUCAAGUCUAAUAACGUAGAUCACUUAUUUUCUAACAACAUAGACGAACUUUCAUAUUUUUUUUCUUCUUUUUCCUUUCUCUUUUCUCUUCCUUUUCUCUCUGGUUCGUUUUCUCUCUCUGUGUGUGUUUUGUGUGUGUCUUUUUGUGUAAUAGAUUUGGAUUACACAUAAAUAUAAAUACAAUGGGAAUGGAUUUGUUUUGGGCAUAACCGCCUACUGUUUCCUUUUUCUUUUCUUUUUUUUCCUUUUUUUAAAAAGUAUUAAAUUAAGGCAUUUCAAAUUUCACCCCAUAACUAUAAUUACAAUACAAGUCCCCAAACUUUAUAUAAUUUAACAUUUAGUCAUCUUAUUUACCAUACUAGAAGCUAAAUCCCAAAAUUUAUUUUUAUAUCAUUUCGGUCCCUCUUAAGUACUAGCAAUUUCAAAUUUAAACCCCAUGAAAAUCAGUCCUCCAACUUAAAUCCUUAUUUGGCUUUAACUUUGACUAUAUAAUUCAUUGACUUUGACUAUAAUUGAGUGAGGUGUAACAAUUAAUGCUAUCAAUUUAAUUAAGUUACAAAAAAUUUUCAAGCAACAUAACAUUAAUGAAAAUAAUUCUCUUUCUCUGUGUGUGUAUAUAUAUGCUCUUGUUUGAGCCCCAUUUUGGGAGGAAGAAUGAAUUUUUGAAUAAUAUAUUGAUGAGAAAUGUUUGAUUAAAAACUAAGAAAAAAUUUUGAAUUUGCGUGUACUAUUAUUUUAUUGAAGAAUGCGUGGUUGAAAUAAUGUCAAAACACUAUUGAAAAAUAUAUUUUUUUCAAAAGAAUGGGAUUCAAACAAGGCUUAUAUAUUGCUUAAACAUUUUCAUAAUUUGAAAUCAUCGUAUAAUUACAUCAUUAUCAAUAUUACUAAUAUAGCAUCCUCAAUAUACACAAUUGAGUAGAAUAUCCAAUUCAAUUGCAUGAUUCAAACAAUGGAUGUGGCCUUUAGGAGUAUGGAGUUGAUGUAGAGAAAAAUGUGGUUGGUCGCCAGCGUCGAUGCGGAAGACUCGAGUAGGAAAAGGCAAUUAUUUGGUAAAAAUAGUAAACCUAGCUAUUUGGAAAAGAAUGUGAUUCGAGACUUGAGAGACAAAUUGGGAGGCGGUAAGUGGAUGAAAAAUGUCAUCACUUACUAUCAAAAUGCUUACAUAAUUAGUGUUGUGUUAAUUGACUUGUUAUAGGUAGAGCUCUAAGAUCUUAUUUGGUAAAAAUAGUAAACCUAGCUAUUUGGAAAAGAAUGUGAUUCGAGACUUGAGAGACAAAUUGGGAGGCGGUAAGUGGAUGAAAAAUGUCAUCACUUACUAUCAAAAUGCUUACAUAAUUAGUGUUGUGUUAAUUGACUUGUUAUAGGUAGAGCUCUAAGAUCGCCUUCAUCCACUAAUAUUUACUUUGAUUAAAUUCUUUUAGACUUUUUACAUUUUUUAAGAAUUUAUGUUUAACUAAAACUCUAAUAUUCAUAAAAUAUUUUCUUCAACUAAAGCUAAAACAAAAAUGAAAGAGACCAUUAGAGUAAAUAUAUAAAGACAUAGCAAUAUAUGAAGAAGAAUUUGAAAAAAGUAAUCAUUGUCGUUUUAUUGUGGGUUUGAUGAAUUUAGUAUGUGAAUGAUUUUUUAUUUGUGUUUAGGUUAUCUGAUAACUUGUCUUUUAAAUUCAAGUGGUAUAAAUAAGAAAUUUCAUUCAGAACUAUUUGAGUUUUUUAUUGGAAUUAUCUUUUCUUUUCUUGAUUUUCUUGAAUUGAAAAUAUUGAUGGCCAUAUUUUUUGGUAGAAUUAUCAAAACAAGAAUUUGAGCUUUUUGUUGGGAUUAUCUUUAUUUUUUUCUUGAUUUUCUUGAAUUCUGUUUCGCGUGGGUUAGUCGCUAACAAUUAAAAAGGGAUCAGACAAUUGUGUAAGGGACAAACCUCUUGAGACAAAGUCCCAAAAAGCGGUGUUUUUAUUGGCGAUGACUUUACAAUUGGAAAAUGAAAAUAGAAUGCCUCCAAGGGGCGCAAGCACACGAGUUAUUGAAAAGAAGUGUUUUAAAUCUAAACUAAGAAAUUUAAAAUUACAUAAUCUCUGUUUGAGAGUGUUUGAUUCGAGGGUCUUUUGCUCUAUGUCUUUUCUUCCUUUUAUACUCCCUGGAUGAUCUCUUCAUGAUCAACCGCUUAAAAACUGCUUGAUCGAUCUAUAACUGCCCACUUUCCUCGUAGUGGCCCAUGGAACUGCCUUCUCUAACUGCUGCCAUUACUUUUUGUCGUUCAAUCGUCUUCAAUUGAAUUCCUUGAAUCGUGGAACUUGUUAGGGCUACUCAAUAAUUGCUUCAUUAACCGCACCUUUGGGUAACCAUAACAUCUUACGUUUGCUAAGAUCCUGGGCGACUCGAAGGUUUGGGCGAGAACAAGGGCACAGUUCUGGGCGACUGCAUGGCAAUCCAUUCGUUCAAAUCUUGGACGAUGGUAUUACCGCGCUCAUGGGCUUCCCUAUUUGGGCCUUUAUCCUGCAUUGCCUGAUUGGGUCGUUCUUUGGGCUAUUUGAUUUUUGGGGAUCUUCCAAUUGGGCUUCAUUCCUUGGGCUAUUAGACUUGGGCUGAACUUUUUGUGUGUCAACAAUUACCCCCCAAUACGGCAGAAUUAAUACCAAUUAUUAAUUUUUGCCAUAUUCACUUUGUGUUUCCCAGCAACAUUCGAAAUUCCCAAGAAUUUCAAUCAUUGUUUUCUUCCAUAGCUUGAAAAGGUGCGACGUUUGCAAACCCUUAUAACCCCCAAAUACGCCAUUUCAUUGCACCACUAAAUCACGCCUCAUUUUUUCGCGCUUCUCUCUCGCAAUAUUACUAUUCAUCUUCUUGCUUUUCUGCUACGUAACUCUGAAAAACUCCAUUUCGUCCCUAAUGGCUGCUUCACAAUCCCAGUCUGGUGACUCCUUCAGCUUCGAAGACUUCCAAAAACUCCUCACUCGGCCAUAUAUAACUCCAAACUUCCUUGCACCAGCCAAUGUCGAACUCAAAGAGUUCUAUCUAGGUCCUUCAUUCAACAACGUCGAGGCCAUCGAACAAGCGGUGGUCAUUCAGCUAUUCCUUUAUACUCAAGGCCCUCCGUUUUUAAACUCUUUGCCGCUGGGGCCACUUCGUGAAAGAGGUAUUCGCACUUGGCCUAAAUCUGAUGUCGUUUUUCGUAGGUGGCACGCUUACCUUGUGGACCAUGGUCCUACUAAGGCAAUUUUUGAUAAUGCUAGGAUUUCUGAUUUGUUAGAAAUCUCUCUUCGACCCCCUAUUUUUGAUUCAGGACUUUUUCCAAUCGCUUUAAGUUUUUGGUCUUCUGAGUAUAAUACUUUUGUUUUUCCUCUUGGCCCCAUGUUCAUUACCUUAAGGAAUGUUGGGGCCCUAGUAAAUCUGUCACCUUUGGGCGAUACCAUUUUCCCUGGUAUUUUGAUUUCUGGUGUCGUCCUAAAAUUUGAAAGAAAACUCACCGAGUCUUAUUCAAGCCUGCAAACCUGUCAUAACCACUCAAGCGCUGAGCCUUCCCAUGCUGAGCGUGUGGCCUUUCUUCUGAUUUGGCUUUGUAAAUACGUUUUGUGUGUGCCAAGCAUAAAGCCCUCUAUGAGUUAUUUACCCAUAGCGCACGAAUUGGCGCGUGGUAGGCCUCUGAAUUUGUGUUCUUUCUUUUUAGCUACCCUCUAUAGAGGCAUGGCGCUUCUCUUCAAUCCCAAUUGAAGAAUGGUGUAUCCCCCAUUUCCAUUUUCUUCUUCAAAAGACCAAUUUGCUGCCAUUGUUUGGCAUUUUGACAAUCAAUCCAACACCUUUGUUUUUUAUGGAAAUGGAUCAUCUGAUCUGCCCAUUUUACCAUCCUUCUUGAUGUCACCUUUGGUAUGGGAGAUAUAGGAAAUAUUCUUUGACCAGCAGCAAAGUUCUUCCCAUCGUCUCCGUUCCUACAAAGAGUUCAAUGAUGGAAGACAAUUUUUGGGGUGCUUGCAGGCCACCUUGCUUGCUGAGAGCGCUUCUCAGCCUCCUUGCCCGUCGUUGUAGCGAUGCAUUUAGGAAGGCGAAGUGAGGAUGCUUCAUCUUCCUUUCUGCUUGCUGAGAGUGCUUCUCGGCCUCUCUGUUUGCUUUUGCAGCAGUGCGAUCAGGAUGGCGAUCAAUGCCAGUACACCCUCUUACUCGGCGAUCGACUGGGAGAUUAGUUUUCUCUUAAUUGUAGUUUAUAGAGCAUUUAGCAUCUUGUAUUUCGCAGCUUUUGUAAUGAACAUUUGAUGAUGAAGGAAUUUAUUUGAACGUAUUUCGCUCUGGCCCUUUUUACUCUACGAUCGUUCAAUGCGAUUUGGUUACACUUUUAUUUGUUCACUUUCCCAUAAGGAAGGAACAUACUUUUUCAAAUAUUUGCCAUUAAUGAACCUCAUGUGCUUGGUGUCGUCUAAAUCUUCUAAAUGAUAGACUCCAUUAGGCAAUACAUUAUUCACUUUAUAUGGUCCUUCCCAAUUGGGAGACCAUUUGCCAUACUUUGGAUCUUUGCUAUCCAAAGGGAGUACUGUUUUCCAAACCAGUUCACCCAGUAUGAAUGACUUGGCUAUAACUUUUUUAUUAUAAAAUUUACCCAUUCUUCGUUGUUGAACUUGCAAUCUAUCUAGGACAUCUAACUUUAAUUCGUCCAACUCUAAUAAGUUUUGAACUAGUGAUUCGGUAUACUCAUCAUCACUUAACUUAUGUUGCAAACACACUCUGAUCGAUUGCACGUUGAUUUCCAUAGGCAAAACGACCUCCUGUCCAUAAGUAAGUUGGAAAGGAGUAAUUUUGGUACUUGACCGAGGCGACGUCCUAUAAGCCCAUAAGGCCUUGUUCAGACAUUCGUGCCAAUUUCUGACAUUUUCAUCUAUCAUUUUCCUUAUGAUAUUUUUUAGAAUCUUAUUAGAAGAUUCUGCUUGCCCGUUGGAUUGAGCGUAAUAUGGUGUGGAGUUUACUAAUUUAACUUCAAACUCGCUCAAGAAUUUAUUCUCUUGAUCCCCAUUUAAAGAUGUCCCGUGAUCUACCAUCAAAGUUUGUGGAAUUCCAAAUCUAUAAAUGAUGUGAUCACGGAUAAAUUCUAUGACAUUCUUCUGGGUGAUCUCCUUUAAAGGUACCGCCUCUACCCACUUAGUGAAAUAAUCGGUUGCAACUAUAACAAAAGCAUGUUGCUUGGACGAUGGGGGAUAAAUCUUCCCUAUCAGGUCUAUCGCCCAACCCUUGAACGGCCAAGGUUUAAUAAUAGGUGCCAUCUCUCGUGCUGGCGCCCUUUGUAUUGGACCAUGCUUUUAGCAUGCUAAACAACUCUUUGCAUACUGAACGCAUAAUUCUCCCAUCUUUGGCCAAAAAUAUCCACUCCUAAUAAUCAACCAUCUCAUCCUUUGGCCAGCUUGAUGAGAUCCACAUAUCCCCUCGUCCACUUCAGCCAUGAUCGUCCUAGCUUCUUGCAAACUUACACAUUUUAGCAGUAUACCAUCAGAGCGUUUCUUGAACAACUCUUCAUCUAUCAGUGCAUAGUUUAGCAAAUGCAACUUCAUUUUUCUACUAUCUUUUUUGUUAGGUUCUUUAAGGAACUCCUUAAUCACUGCCCUCCAAUCCAUUGCACCUCCAUCUUGUAUGCAAUGAAGUUCAAUCCUUCUUACCCUUCUUUGGAUCACAGGCAAUAUUGUUCCAUACUCACAAGUAGACUUCCAAUUAAAAACCUUUGAGUACCCUGAGGCCAUCUGGGCCAACUCAUUUGCCACGUCAUUGUAUAUCCUAUUAACGCAUUGAAGUUCUACUUGGUCAAAUUCUUCUAAUAACUCUUGGGCAAUUUCAUAUUGACUCAUGAUGGAAUCACUUUGGCAUUUAAAAUCACCAAUCAGUUGGUAAAUUACCAAUUGAGAAUAGCCUCUAAUGUUUACAUUUUUUACCCCCAUAUCUAUCAUUUGUUCUAGGCCCACAAUUAAGGCUUCAUAUUCGGCUUGAUUGAUGGUGCACAUCCUAUCCAAAGUGAAUGCGAACUUGUAGCAAAUCCCUAAAGGAUUUAUCAAUGCUACUCCUACUCCUACACCUUUAGAGGUUUUUGACCCAUUGAAAUACAACACCAAAGGUUUUAGCUCGAACGAAUUGAUUUCUAAUUCAAUUUCUUCAGGCAUAGAUGAUCGGCUAGGAAGUUAGCCAAAGCCUAAUUUUUAACUGCCUUUUGGGGUAUUAUUGUAUUUCGAAUUCUGAUAAAGCUAACGUCCAAAGGCCUACCCUUUGGUGUAAAAUAGGGCGAGAGAACAUAUACUUAGUCAAAUUUACUCUAGAAAUCAAAUAAACGGUUAUGGGCCGUAAAUAAGCCCUUAAUUUUGUACAAGUGAAAUACAAUGCAAGACAUAAUUUUUCGAUAGCAGAGUAAUUACAUUCACAUUUUGUUAACCGUCUACUCAAAUAGUAAAUCUCCCUCUCUUCACCAAAUUGGUCUUCUUGCGCGACCAUUCUAGCUAUUGAUUCUUUUUCAGCCGAUACAUGCACUUUCAUUAGCCGUCCUUGGAUUGGUGACACCAACACUAGUGGACUUGAUUAAUAUGUCUUCGGGCUUUCAAAAGCUUUUUGAUGUUCUUCUUUCCAGACAAAUUCAUCCUGAUUUUUUAGCUUUAAAAGUGGCGAAAAGACUUUAAUUCGCCCUGCACAGUUAGAAAUAAAGCGUCUUAAAAAGUUUACUUGGCCCAGAAAUUUUUGUAAUUCUUUUUUGUUGCUAGGUGGUUUGGCCUCUAGAAUGACCUUCGUUUUAUUUUUAUCAAGUUCAAUCCCUCUUUUAUGUACCAAGAAACCAAGAAAGUUUCCUGCAUUAACACCAAAUGCACAUUUCAAGGGAUUCAACUUUAACUUAUAUUGCUUCAUUCGAUCAAAUGAACAUCUUAACUGUUCAAAAUGGUCCUCUUCUUUAAUGGAUUUGACACAAUAUCAUCUACAUACACUUCAACAAACUUUCCUAUCAUAUCAUGAAAAAUUAAAUUCAUUGCCCUUUGAUAAGUUGCUCUUACAUUUUUCAGGCCGAAAGGCAUGACUACCCAUUCGAAACAUCCUAGAGACCCAGGGCAUCUAAAGGCAAUUUUGUGUAUGUCUUCCUCAACUAUAUAAAUUUGAUUGUAUCCUGAAUACCCAUCCAUAAAAGAAUACAUGACGUGUCCGGCAGUUGAGUCUACUAAAGAAUCUACCGUGGGCAUUGGAUACUCAUCUUUGGGUGUGGCUAUGUUUAAAUUCCUAAAGUCUAUGCACACCCUUAGUUUACCAUUCUUUUUUAGUACUGGCACGAUAUUGGACAACCAUUCGACAUACCUGGCUGUUCUAAUAAAGCCUGCUUUUAAUAAUCGCUCUAUCUCUUUCUUAAUCUCAGGGAGUACAUUAGGAGCAAAACGUCUGGGAGGUUACCUAUGAGAUUUAAAAUUAGGCUUAGUUGGUAAUCUAUGUUCCACCAAGUCUCUAUCUAAACCAGGCAUUUGUUCAUAUUCCCAAGCAAAACAAUCUUUAUACUCCUUUAACAAAGCGAUUAAUUUAUCACUAACCUCUUGAUCGAGCAUCUGGCUGAUGAAUGUUGGACGAUCUUCUCCUUCAUUGCCAAUAUUUACUUUAAUCAGAGGGUCUUGUGCUUGAGCGUAUCCAAACUUGAUGAUCCACAUUACUUCAUUGUCCAACUCCCUUGUAAGCACUUCCUCUUUUAAACAAUCCACUUUGUUGACUUCUCGGCCAAUACUUUGUUCCAAUUCGAAUACUGCUAAUUUAACUUUCAACGCUUUCAGGGCUGCAUCUGCUUUCGUCUUGUUCUUGCAUUCUUUAUCGAAAGCCAUUAAUUUGGCUUUGAAGGCCUGAAUAUCGGCCAUUUACUCUUGUUGCUUUGAACUCAUUCAGGACUCCUUGAUUAUUCUUUUGCCAAUUACUGGCUCUUCUAGGGCCACUAUAUUUAGCCUCAUUUGAUUGAACAUUUCAGUGAGUGUGUCCACUAAAAAUGGCUCUUCACUCUGCGUGACAAUCUGAGUUUCUUCCCCAUCUUGGACUACCCUGAUAGGUCCAUAGUUUCCUUCGUACAUGAACCUUUCCAAUGAGUUUGCUUCUACGAUAAAAGGCCUAUGAUCGGCCUACAACACCUCUGCUUCAUCCUUGUUAUUCCAAAAAACCAGGCAUUGAUGGAGCGAUGAGGGUAUACAGCGACUUCCAUGUAUCCAAUCUCUUUCUAGUAAUACAUUGUAACUAGGAGGACCAUCUAUUACAAAGAAUACUAUGGUCCUAGUAGUUGUACCUAUAGUUAUGUCCAAUGGCAUAACUCCCUUAGCUGCAGUUGCUCCUCCAUUGAAACUUGUAAGGAUGACUUCUGUUGGAAUCAUAUCCCCUUCUCUUUUUGCAAACUUCCUCAUCAUCUUAGAUGGAAUGGUGUUUAUAGCUACUCCAUUAUCGACAAGCACUUUUGCCACUGGUAUGUCGUUAACUAGAGCUUUAACGUACAACGACCUCAAGUGUUUAGCUGGCCAUUUAAAAAUAACCUUUUCGACAUCCUCUAUUUCUACUUCCUGCUUGUCCUCUGUCGAGUUAUCCUUUUGUGAUAAGUCAACGUGCAGCAUAUCACACUGAGCAUCUGUCUCCUGAAUUUCCUUUUUACUGUUUUCUGAUGCUUCAUCUUCAGUUACCCAACCUGUGGGAGGAGGCAUUAUUCUUGGAGGUGAUCCAUACUUUUCAGAGUAAGGCACUCUCUUCUUCCUUUUGGGCGUCUCGUACAACACGUAAAAAUCGAAAGAAAGCCCAGAUGGUUCUCCCAAUAAAUCUACUUCACGAACUUCCUCUUGAUGUAGUUGCUUCAACAGAGUAUUGUAUGAUACUCCUCUCUUUCUUCUUUCUACUUCUAGGUCGAUUUCCUCUUCAAUGUCUGUCAUACCAUCAUCUUCCUCACCAUUGUAGGCCUCUCUAGAAGUCUGGCCUUCUUCAUAUUCCAGCACGCAUGCUUCUCCUUCGUUAUCCUCUCUUUCUUCUUCUUCUUUCUCUUUAUUCUUGAACUCAUUGGCUAGUAAAUAGUUAUUAGCCACAACAGAAGGUAAUGUACCGAACUGAAUAGUAAGGAGCUGAUCUGGAUCUUCUCCAUCCCUUCUAUCUCGCUCAAACUUCGAUCUCCCAGAAGAAGUUUCUGGCAACUCUUUCAUUGAUUUAUCUGUAAAAGUCUCUUCACUAUCUUUGAGAACAUUGUGAUUGGCUACCUCGAGUAGUUUAGGCACCUUAGGACGUGGCACUCCCUGUUGUUGCCUCAUCAUUCGUCCAUAAUUUCGUUGGAAAUGCCUUUGUUGGGUUCUAGUCAUCUCGUUGAAGGGUAUCGCCUUUCCUGCAUUAUACUGGAACGAAUGCCAUACAUUUGGUCGACGAGGUUGCGGCUUGAAUGUUCUCCCAUUAUUUACUGGCCUGAACUGCCUCUCAAAAGGCGGUCCCUUAUAGAACGAUGUACCUCGCCCUCUACCAAGCUGAGCGUUUGGGAAGAAAGUAAGGUGACGGGGAUGCUACCAUAUCCCUGGUUUCUCCGUAUUCCCACUCACUUCUCUUUUACAUCUUGUACACGAGACGUCUUUAUCCUUUUUUGGCUCCUUCCCUUUAAUACAUUCAAAGACACUGGGAUGUGGUCCAGGGUCUUCUUCUCCAUCAUCUAUAACUAAUUUGAAUUUUGAUAACUUGUUUUUGAAACCAGACGUUACCAUAUUCACUCCAAGUGGCUGUGGAAAAGGAUUUUCAUCCACUGCCAUCUUCUUCUUAUCAUCGAACGUAAUUCGUCCUGAUUCAAUGGCAUCUUGUAACACAUGGCGAAAAACCAAGCAAUUGUUAGUCAAAUAUGACCAUGUAUUAUGCCACUUACAAUAUUUUUUACCCUUAAUUUGUUCAGGGUUUGGCAAUUUAUGCUUAUCGCUCAGCUUUAUCUGCUUAUCCUUAUAUAAUUUAUCCUUAUAUAAUUUAUCAAAUAUAAGGUCAGCUUUGGUUACAUCGAACGAGAACGUUCUAGCUUUUACGUUUUCAUCUUUCAUAGGCUCAUCCUUGCCCGAUGGUCUAAGCUUAGCCAUUAUAGGACAAGUAUACGUGUCUCCUUUGACUAAUUUGGCCAAACACAUGUCGGUCUAAUCGUAUGACUCGUUAUUGAUGGUAUGAACAUCAAAAUUUGGGUCUCUAUAAUAAGUCCCCUUGCUAUAAUUUUUUAUCUGCUCUUCUUCUCUUAUCAAUCGUUCAUACCUAAUCAUGUUCGCGCUCAAUUGGAAAAGGUUAGGAAAUUCCUUGUUUUGGAAUUUCUUUUUCAAAUCAAAGCUCAAACAACCUUGAGCGAUUUUGACAAACUCUUUUUCGGGCAGAGGUACAAAACAUUUACUUCUUGCUAUCUUGAACCUUUGGAGGAAAUCUUCUACCCAUUCAUUUGGCAUUUGACGUAGGUUCGCCCAAUCGGCCAAAGUAACUUCAAACUCAGUCUUAUAAAAUUGAGCGUGGAAUAAUUGUUCCAAUUGUUGCCAUGUUUGAACAGAGUUCAUUGGCAAAUUGAUGAACCAGGAGAAAGCUACUCCUAUUAAUGAACUAGGGAAAAGCCUCAUUAUAUAAUAAUCAGUUACGUCACCACUUUGCAGUGUGAAUCAUCCUAUGUGUUCUAGAGUAGACACCUCCCCUAAACCGGUAAACAGUGAGAAUUCUGGCACUUUAUACCCUCUAGGCCAUGGAUAUACUUGGUCUACCCAAUCAAGAUAUGGCUUUGUGCAAGUCGGCCUAAUGACAGGACGUACCCCAAAAGCCAUCUGGUCCUGUACGAUUUCUAUAAUCUGAUUCCUCAACAUGACGUUAUUUAGGACAUUGUCUCUUACAUUUGGAUUACCCCCCAAGUUAGGCGUACCACUACCAUUAUUCUGAUUUGGCAUUACACCAUCCCCUUGGUUUGAAGUACAGGGACUGAAAUGUGGUUCUACCCCUUGACUUGGAUUUAGGACUGGGGGAUUAUGUCCCACAAUUGUCCUAGUUUGAAAGUGGUUUGCAAGAGGCAUAACUCGUUGACAAAUUUGGCCUACUAACUUAUUCAUUAUUUCGUUCAAAGUACUAAGUUGUUUGGCCAUGUUGUCAUAAUCUUUCCAUAUUAUGAAUAUUUUGAAGAUUUACCUGUUCACCGACAUCUUGUGUGAGUUCUCCAAGUAGUGCACGCAUAGUUCGAGGACUCAACUCUGCCAUUGAUUCGUAAUGACUGUUACUGCCCUGAUUCUGUCCAUCUGUUCAUGGAGAGCUAUACUGCUCCUCAUAUCGCUCGAUCACAGACUGGACUCCUCCAUGACUAGCUGCUUCCUUAUCGGAUCUCUGAGGCAUAUUAUUUUACCUUUUGUAUCUACAACACCAAACACCACUGUCCCACCGGGCGUGCCAAAUUGUCUCGCGCGGGUUAGUCGCUAACAAUUAAAAAGGGAUCAGACGAUUGUGUAAGAGACAAAACCUCUUGAGACAAAGUCUCAAAAAUGGGUGUUUUUAUUUGUGAUGACUUUACAAUUGAAAAAUGAAAAUAGAAUGCCUCCAAGGGGCGCAAGCACACGAGUUACUGAAAAGAAGUGUUUUAAAUCUAAACUAAGAAAUUUAAAGUUACAUAUUCUCUGUUUGAAAGUGUUUAAUUCAGGGGUCUUUUGCUCUAUGCCUUUUCUUCCUUUUAUACUCCCUGGAUGAUCUCUUCGUGAUCAACCGCUUAAAAACUAUUUGAUCACUCUAUAAGUGCCUACUUUCCUCGUAGUGGCCAACUUGUCAUGGAACUGCCUUCUCUAACUGCUGCCAUUACUUUUUGUCGUUCAACCGCCUUUAAUUGAAUUCCUUGAAUCGUGGAACGUGAUAGGGCUACUCAAUAACUGCUUCAUUAACCGCACAUUUGGGUAACCAUAACAUCUUACGUUUGCUAAGAUCUUGGGCGACUCGAAGGUCUGGGCGAGAACAGGGGCACAGUUCUGGGCGACUGCAUGGUAAUCAAUUCGCUCAAAUCUUGGGCGACUUGUAACCUUGGGCGAUGGUAUUACCGCGUUUAUGGGCUUCCCUAUUUGGGCCUUUAUCCUGCAUUGUUUGAUUAGGUCGUUCUUUGGGCUAUUUGAUUUUUGGAGAUCUUCCAAUUGGACUUCAUUCCUUGGGCUAUUCGACUUGGGCUGAACUUUUUGUGUGUCAACAAAUUCAAACAAUUGUGGCUAAUUUGCUGGGAUCUUCAAAGAAACUUGAUAGUGUGGAUAUAUAAUUUUUAAAUGAAUGGAAUGUGAUGUGGAUGAAAAUGAUAUUUUUUAAAAUUUUUUAAAUUUAACAGGAAUGAAUAUAGAGUAAGAUAGAUAUAUAACAAUGGUGGAUACAAACAACAACUCCCUUUGUUCUUGAUUCCCUGACGUAGGGUAGGAUAGUGAUUAUCCUAUUGGCUUGUUGUAGUAGAUGAUUCACAAGAAAAGAACGACAGAAAAUGCCCAAAAAACCAGAGAAAAGACUUCGAAUUCAACUCAAUAUUAUUAAUAAUGCAGAAUGCUGAAAAUUAACCCACAAGCCGGGUUAAAUAGCUGCGAAAUACGAAAUUAUGGGAAAAUUACCAAAAAUGGAAAAAAUCCGAAAUUAUACCAAAAUAAAAUAUUAAGUAAAAGAAGUAAGUUGCCAAAAAUUUGGCUCAAUUCGAGUUUUUUAACAUAUGGAAAAAAAGGAAACGAAAUAUUACCAUAAAUAGUAAAAAAUAACUUAAAAUUGAAUUUUGGAAAGGAAAACAGUGGAUUUUGGGCUUGAAAUUGAUGUCCACUGAGCAAAGCUAGGUUACCAUGACGUGCGCACUGAAGAGAGCUUUCUGGAUUGGGGUCAUAAUAGCGAUUCUGAUAAUCGUAGCCAAAGUUAUGGCCAAAUUACCAAAGACGUGUCAAAUUCCCCCCAUUAAGGAAAUAAUGGUGAUUUACUUUCCAUCUUUGCGCCGAUCCGCCAUCUCAUGGUAUCUCAGUGCUAUCAUCGUGCUAUCUGACAAAUCAACAUCACUCGACUCGGAUCCUCCUGCAUCAGUCGCCCCGGGUUGGAAAGAACUCGCCCUCGAGUUCACAGUAACUUCAUCGGACUCCAUAAAACAAAGGCUUAGGUGUUUUACAUUGAAGACGUCAGAGGUCUUCAAAUGGCUUGGGAGGCACAAUCUGUAAGCAUUAUCAUUGAUCUUCUGUAGCACUUCACAGGGUCCAAUCUUUCGCUCCUUUAGCUUAUUGUAUUCCCCAGCUGGAAAAUGAUCACGAGUUAAUACUACCCAAACAAAAUCACCACCAUCAAACAACACCUGGCGUCGAUGACUAUCUGCCCGAGCUUUGUACUUAGUAUUACUUUCUUGUAUGGAUAGCUUCACCUGCUCAUGGACACUUCGAAGAUGUUCAGCCAUCUCAUCAUCUUUGUUAUUGAAGCGACCCACACGUGGAAUUGGAGCCAAAUCAAGUACUUCGAAUGGAUUUCGACCAUAGACAAUUUCAAAAGGACUCAGUCCGAUGGUUCUAUUCUUCGACCGGUUAUAAGCAAACUCUGCUUGAGGUAAUGCCAAAUCCCACUGCUUCGGUUUAGUCCCGACUAAGCUUCUCAAAAGAUUUCCCAAACUCCAAUUCACCACCUCAGUCUGACCAUCUGUUUGGGGAUGGUAUGCGCUGCUAAAAUUCAAUUUCGUUCCAAGUUUCUCCCACAAACUCCUCCAGAAAUGACUCAUAAACUUAGUGUCACGAUCAGAAGUAAUUGACUGUGGAACACCAUCUAAACACACAAUCUCUCUGAAAUAAAGAUGAGCAAUCCGAGUAGCAUCCAUUGUCUUUCGGUAAGCCACAAAAUGAGCCAUCUUUGAAAAUCUGUCAACCACAACAAGAAUGGAAUCCAUCGCCCCCUGUGUACGAGGUAAGCCCAAGACAAAAUCCAUACUGACAUCAAACCAAGGAGCUUCAGGUACGGGUAAUAGUGUGUACAAUCCAGCAUUAGUAAGAGCCCUUUUAGACCGCUGACAUACAUAACACCACUCCACAUAAUGCGCCACAUCACUGCUCAACUUGGGCCAAUAAUAAUCAGAAGAGACCAAUGCCAACGUCUUGUCUCGCCCAAAAUGUCCUUCGUUAUGAAGUUCACUAAUAAUCUGCUGCCUUAGUGAACAAUCUGGAAUGCAUAACUGCAAUCCACGAAACAGGUAACCAUUAUAUAAAACAAAAUCAUGUCGGUGAUUAUCAGUUACCUCCCGAAUUAUCUUCCCAAAUGAAGGAUCCGCAGCAACAUAUCAAGAAAUGCCUCAAAUCCGACAAUCUUGGUGCUCAUGGUGGUGAGGAGUAAUAUGCGACGGCUUAAUGCAUCUGCUACUCGAUUCAAACUCCCUGCUUGAUGCCUGAGUGUGAAAGUAAACUCCUGCAAGUACGCCACCCACUUUGCAUGUCGCCUACUCAGCUUGUGCUGACCAUUGAUGUACUUCAAAGCCUCAUGAUCAGUAAUAAGGAUGAACUCCCUCUGUACUAGGUAAUGGCGCCAAUGCUUCAGAGUCUGAACUAUGGCAUAGAACUCCAGGUCAUAAGUGGAAUAAUUUUUCUUCGAACCCGAUAACUUCUCACUAAAAAAGGCUACUGGACGUCCCUCCUGACUCAGAACACCACCAAUACCAACUCCAGACGCAUCACAGUUUACCUCGAACACCUUUUCAAAAUUCGGAAGUGCCAAGACUAGGGCCUCCGUCAUCUUCUGCUUAACCAAUUGAAAGCUAGCCUCUAUCUCCUCAGUCCACUGAAAAUCACGCCCUUUAAGGCACUCUGUGAUAGGAGCAAUCAAGGUACUGAAGUUUCUGAUAAAUCGACGAUAGAAGGAUGCCAAUCCAUGGAAACUCCUGACAUCGUGCAAAGUUUUUGGUUUCGGCCAAUUCAAGACUGCCUCAAUUUUGGAUUGAUCUGCAUGAACACCAUCAGUAGACACAACAAAACCCAAAAAAGUUACAAAAGUUGUGAAGAAAGAACACUUAUUCUAAUUGAUGAAUAAGCGCUCCGUCCUCAUUACAUCAAAGACAGCACGAAGAUGAUUAAAAUGUGACUCCCAUGUCAGACUAUAAAUAAGUAUGUCAUCAAAAUAAACUACCACAAACUUCCCCAUGAAAGGCCGUAAAACCUGAUGCAUAAACCUCAUAAAAGUGCUGGGUGCGUUGGAUAAUCCAAAGGGCAUGACCAUCCACUCGUAAAACCCAUGCUAUGUCUUGAACGCGAUUUUCCACUCAUCUCCAGGUCUGAUUCUGAUAUGGUGGUAUCCACUUUUAAGGUCAACUUUUGAGAAGACCUUAGAACCGGACAAUUGAUCCAACAUGUCGUCCAGACGGGGAAUUGGAAACCUGUACUUCACUGUAAUCCUGUUAAUUGCCCUGCUGUCAACACACAUACGCCAUGACCCAUCUUUCUUCGGCACUAGGAGAGCAGGAACUGCACAAGGACUCAUACUCUCACAAAUGUAGCCCCUUUCCAAUAAUUCUACCACCUGUCGCUACAACUCUUCAGCUUCCUUGGGACUGAGGCGAUAUGCUGGUCGGUUUGGUAGACUCGAUCCUGGAAUGAGGUCGAUCUAAUGUUGAAUGUCCCUCAUAGGUGGUAGUCCUGGAGGAAGAUCCUCUGGCAUCAAGUUAGAAAACUCCAUCAGUAGUUACUGUACUUCUAUUGGAAAUUCUGAAUCCACACUCGCUGUACUAUUUUCACGAGGCAUUAAAGCAUAAACUAUUUUUUCACGCCCAACCUCAACCAAAAAUCUAAACAUAGAAAGUAGAUUGGGGUUUUUAACUACCGGGGCAGGGAUGUUUCCUUCCUUGCGAGGCACCAAAACAACUCUCUUUCCUUUGAUACUAAGAGAAUAAGUAUUCUUCCGCCCAUCAUGGAUAACACUGCAAUCAUACUGUCAAGGUCGUCCCAACAAAACAUGAUAGGUGUCCAUUGAUACCACAUCACACCAAGCAUUAUCAAAAUAUUUUUUUCCAAUUGAGAAAGACACUAAGCAUCGUUUUUCUACCGUUACCUCACUGCCUUUAUUCAGCCAAGACAACUUGUAUUGUUUGGGAUGACGAUCCAUCUUCAGUUGCAGUUUCUCGAUAGCCUCCUGAGACACUACAUUCUCACAACUGCCACUAUCAAUUAUUAGCUUACAGACUUUAUCAGCAACUGUGCAGGUUGUGUGGAAAACGUUGGUCCUCAACCAAUCAUCCCCUGAGUCGCCCUUGGGACUCAGCAGGCUCUUUCGAACGACCAGGGUCUCCUGACCAUCUCCAUAUAGCACGUCCUCAUCUUCACCCUCAUCAUACACGGGUUCUCCAACUUCCCAAACUCCUCUAUCAUAUCCUCCUCAAUCAGAAGAUUUUUAUUCUUCUGACCAGCAGGUUUCCUGCAAUCAGUCGCUUUAUGCCUCUGUUCACCACACCUAAAGCACUUAAUACUUGAGCUGGAACUAUCCCGCUGUGGCUGAUAAGCAGGACGAGAUUCUUGAGGACUAACUGGCUGACUUCCUUCACCUCUGACCACUAGCCUCCUACUUUGCUAUUUCUCUACUGCAAGUGCUCGCUGAUAUGCCUCAGAAACUGUCCAUAAUGAAUGAAGGCUGAGAACAUCCUACAGGGGCUGCCUUAAUCCCCCCAAAUAUCAUACUACCAUAUGCUCCUCCGUCUCAGAUAAAUCAUUUCGAGCCACAACCUGAUAGAAUUCUUCAGUAUAAUCAUUGACUGAUCUUGCGCCUUGCCUUAGUGAAUGAAGCCUCUGAAACAAGGUUUGAGUAUAGCCGAAGGGGAGGAAAUGUCCUUUCAUCUUCUUCUUCAUCUUCUCCUAGUUAGUAAUUUUGGAUUUCCCCUGUCGCUCCCGUGAACGCUUCAACUGUUCCCACCAUGCAGAUGCUCUACCUUUGAGUUUGAUGGCGACCAGUUUCACUUUGACACGAUCUGGAACCUCCUUAUAUUCAAAAAUCCGCUCCACUUCAUUCAGCUAAUCAAUAAAUCCUUCAGCCUGCAACGUACCAGAAAACUCGGGCAGAUCUACUCUGAAACCGAGAUCCACAUGACGAUCCUCCCGUCCACGAUGCUCCCAAACUUGAGCACGAUGGUGAUACGGGUUUUCGAAAUUGGUAUCUAAAUCGUGACUUUCUACAUCAUGAUUACCGAACUCCUGCUGCGCCAAACGUUGGGUUAACUCCUCAACUUAUCUCUGCAAAUCUUCAAUCGUCACAUCCUGAAUAUUACGAUCACGGUGUUGGACUUCCUCAAUCGGAACCUGUCCUCGACGACCACGACCACGUCCACCAACCACUAUAACUGAUGGAAUUUAUCUCCCAAGAAGAUGCUGACGCUCUGAUACCAACUGACGUCGGGUAGGAUAGUGAUUAUCCUAUUGGCUUGUUGGAGCAGACGAUUCGCAAGAAAAGAACGACAGAAAAUGCCCAAAAAACCAGAGAAAAGACUCUGAAUUGAACUCAAUAUUAUUAAUAAUGCAGAAUUCUAAAAACUAACCCACAAGCCGGGUUAAAUAGCUGCGAAAUACGAAAUUAUGGGAAAAUUACCAAAAAUGGCAAAAUCCCAAAAUUAUAGCAAAAUAAAAUAUUAAGUAAAAGAAGUAAGUUGCCAAAAAUUUGGCUUAAUUCGAGUUCUCUAACAUAUAGAAAAAAGGAAACUAAAUAUUACCAUAAAUAGUAAAAAAUAACUUAAAAUUGAAUUUUGGAAAGGAAAACAGUGGAUUUUGGGCUUGAAAUUGAUGUCCAUCGAGCAAAUCCAGGUGGCCACGACGUGCGCGCCGAAGAGAGCUUUCCGGAUUGGGGUCAUAGUAGCGAUUCCGAUAACCGUAGCCAAAGUUAUGGCCAAAUUACCAAAAACGCGUCAAAUUCCCCCAAUUAAGGAAAUAAUGGUGAUUCACUUUCCAUCUUUAUGCUGAUCCGCCAUCUCAUGGUAUCUCAUCACUAUCAUCAUGCUAUCUGACAAAUCAGCAUCACUCGACUCGGAUCCUCCUGCAUCAUUCCCCCACAGUCAAUAAAAGCUAUUGGGUUUGACCCAAAUGUUUUAAUUAUAUUAUGGUUUAGGGGUAGAAUGAGAUACAAAAAGAGAGUCCGAGAAAGAAAAAGAGAUUAUCUGGUUAUGAACAAUAUGAUUUUAUUUAUAAUGAUGAAUUAUGUAUGACGAAUGUUAUUAAUCGUCGCAAGAAAAUGAUACGAUACAAAGAAGUAUGAGACUUAAGAAAUUUGCACAAAUGAUCCUUUAAGGGCAUAAGUUUAUUUUUAUUAAAGUAGAUAUACUUUUAACUAUCGGAAUGGAUAGAAACAAUAGGAAACGGCCCCCCUUUUUUACGAGCAAAAUCAAUAUGUUGAGGGGGUCAAUGCCAUAAUUGUAACAUUAGGGACCAUUUGUGCCAAUUCCUUGUUAAUAAAUAUUCCGCUUUUGGGGUCCUUUGAAAAAAAAAAAAAAGAAAAAAAAAACUACCUAUCUCCCUUAAAGAUAGACUUCAUUUUCUUUUUCGUCAGUCCCAAAUUACUAGCUACUUUCCUUGAUGAAAGUGAAGAUAUAUUUUAAUAUUCUAAUAUGCCAUAUUUUAUGUAUCUUGUUAUCAAUAUAAUAUAAAACAAAUACUAUUUAAACUAUUAUUUAAUAUAGGAGUAUAUAUAGAAAAAUGUAAAAAAAUUUAUAUUUUCAAUUAUAUUAAUUACAUUUUCUUAAUAUGUGUCAAAAUAUAGAGAAGUUUAUUUUUAUGGGACGGAUGUAGUAAAUAAGAUGCACUGUGAAACAAGAAACCAUGAUGCUUGACAAUGACAAUCUGCAGUUACUUAAUAGCCUCCAAGCAUUAAAUAAUCAUAAGUCAUUAAAUGAAAAAUUGGUUUCUUAACUUGAAGACACGCUGAAGCAAUCCACAAGUCGAAAGUUCAAGAAUAGAAUGCAAUAUUUUUAGUAAUUGAUUUCAAAAUAAUGGUAAUCAAUUCACUAUAUGAUACAGAUAAUGAAUAUUUAAACAUGAGUAUAAACACAUCUCUGAAUACAUUAAGGAUCCAAUGAAAUUCAAUCUCCAUUAGUAGAAAACAGCUUAAAACUUGGAAUAUUUGGUUUUAUCAAAGUUAAUGGAACCUGAUUCAAAAUAAAAAUAAAAAGAUUCACAUGGUUAAGCAAAAAUGAAGUCACAAAUAAACAUGUUAAACAUGGACUUAAACUUUAUUGAAAUUACUUAAUUUUGAUUGUAAAUAACUUAAUUAUUUCUACUUGGGGACAACAAAGAAAUAAAUUACCUUGAACCUUAUUUACUUUUAUGUUUACUUUUGAAGAAUUUUAUAUAAGCAAAACUUAUAUUCAGAUUUUAGGGAUCAAUAUUUUCUCAUCCACUUACAAACCAGGCACUCGAUAAUGUUUUUAUAUUGGAUUCCCAGUAUACAAAUUCAGAAGGGUAAAUUGUUUCUGAGCCUUCGAUCAGGAUAUCAUUGAUGUCUAGUGGAUAGACUGAAAGUGUUUAAGAUCGAGUCAAUCUGUUGUUGUAUUUAUGCUUUUAUUGUUGCCACAGACCUCAAAGUCAUCUCAUAGCCCAUGAAUGGUGUUAGUAGGAUGCCGACACUAGAAGAGAAAUAGCAGGACAGGCAAGCACAUGGUUGGAGCCAUGGACCAAUGAGAAAUACCACUGAAAAUUUAUUGUCUGUGGGUUUCCGCCUCAUCCAUAUGUUGCAAUUCAUCCACCAAAACUUCGAAAUUCACUUCAUCGGGAGGAUUGGAGAAGCCUACUACUUCAUGGGGAGAGACUCUGUUGGCAAUAAACAUAUAUUCUGGCAUCCAAAACCUAAUUUUUAAGAAUUGAUUAAUAUAUAGUCAUUAUUUUGAUAAUCAAAUACAAAAAGCAUUGAAAUUAAGAAUUAUUGAAGAUUUCAGAAUUUCUUGGGAUUGAAAAGUUUCAUUCGAUCCUUCUUGCUCUUAGACUAAGAGCGUGUCUUCAAUUGAGAGAUGAAUUUUAAACAUCCUUUCAAGUUCAGGUAUCUUCAAUUGAGAUUUUAAUGAAAUCUAUUAAAAUUUAGAUGUUCUAAAUUGAAAUUUUAAUGAAAUUCAAUGAAAUCUUUUAAAGUUUAGGUAUCUUCAAUAAUUUGUGUAUUUAUAAAGAUUUCAUUAACAAAGGAAUUUUAAAAGAUUUUAAGUCGAUUUCAUACUUAAAAAUAUAUAUAACCAAAUAUUUUGAAAUUUCACCGUAUUUGAUGAAAUUCUUAUUGAAUUUGUGGAAAUCCAUUCAGAUCCACAAAAUUCCUUAGAAUUUAUAAUUUUUUAAAAUACAUCAAAAUCUUAGUUGAGAACAUCCCAGUAAAUGGGCGAUGUCUAUGUCAACUUUUUCUUAUUUUUUAUAUUUUCACUAUGUUUAUUGGCUAGAUUAUUUAUUAGGGCGAAUGAUAUAGGUGACUUCGUUAUAAUUAAUUGAUUUCUAUUCAUAUUUUAAUUAUUUAUUUUGACUAUUUAUUUUGUAAAUUGUAGCAUGAUUGAUUUAUUCUCUUUAUUGAGAAUAAGAGUUGAAUAACAUGAUAUUUGAUUGUAUGUAAGAUCAAAAGAUUGCAUGUUGAACACAUAAUCUUACUAUUCAUAAAUUUGUAGCUUAGCUUUAUUGCCACAAAGAUAAUUUAGUAGUUGCUAACCUACAGACAAGAAGCAAAAUAAAUGGGACAGUACACAUUGAUUGAGAAUUAUUAAUCAUUUAAAUAACACAUAAUCUUACUAUUCAUAAAUUUGUAGCUUAGCUUUAUUGCCACAAAGAUAAUUUAGUAGUUGCUAACCUACAGACAAGAAGCAAAAUAAAUGGGACAGUACACAUUGAUUGAGAAUUAUUAAUCAUUUAAAUAACACAAUCUUACUAUUCAUAAAUUUGUAGCUUAGCUUUAUUGCCACAAAGAUAAUUUAGUAGUUGCUAACCUGCAGACAAGAAGCAAAAUAAAUAGGACAGUACACAUGGAUUAAGAAUUAUUAAUCAUUUAAAUAAUACACUUAAAUAAUUGCAUUAUGAUUCAUUCGUCAUUUUUUAUAAAUAAUCCAAUGUGAUUAGCUAGAAGAGAAGGAUGUAGUCAAAAGAGUAAUGUUUUUCGAUACCAUUGGAAAAAUAUUGUCUUCACAUUAAGCUAUGUAUGGUGCACCAGAUUAGGCCAUAUAAAGAAUUUAGUGUAAAAUUAUAAUGAUACUACUAGGUAAAUGAUAUUAUGGUUAAUUAAGGUGAAUACUAAUCUUUAAUUUUUCAUUCGAAAAAUGGUCAUUUGCGCUAUCAACCGUAUAAUAUAGUACCGAGGUUGGAGGUAAGUUUAGGCCACAUAAAAGAGAGAUGAAAUGAUGGUUCAAAGACUAUUAUCAUUCUUUAUCCCCCAUAAUACCCUUUACCCAGUAAUAUUCAUUAUCAUUUAUACUAAUAUUUUAUUCUGUUUACUCCGGUGCACCUAAUAUGACCAUAAUAUUCCAUAAGGUUUUGUAUUUAUGCUAUGGUUAUGCAUUGUUAUCCACAAUUAUUUUUUUAUGAAAGUUAAUAAUAUAUUGGAUUGUUUUCCAAUUGUUGAUCCUACUCGGUAUUGAUUAUGAUUCAACAAGUUAGUUGAUCUGCGUCAUAGAUUAAAAUGCCCAGUGAAGAAAGAAACCAGGAUGCUUCACAAUGAUAGGGGAAAAAUAUUGUUUUCUCAGCUGGCACUCGACAAACUGAUAACAAAGCCUCCAUUUGGAAAUUUUUUUAAAAUCAUUUAUAAUGGUCAAACUUCAUUUUCAACAAUACAUAUCAAUUGACCUACAAUUAGUAUCUACUCAUUCACUACUAAUUCCUGUCUAUUUAUAAAUUAAACAGUUUAUAAAUUCUUCCAAAAUGAACAAGUUGAAAAAGUUACCCUAGUUGAUAAAUGGUCGAGUUGAUUAAGUUACACAAAAAUUAGUUGGCAGUGAUAAUAAAAUACAUGAAUUGCUUAGGGCCCUCUGGGACAGAUUGUUGUGGAUCCAAUUAAAAAUGAAAAAAGAAGAAAUUACUAUUUGAGUAAGAUACUUGGUUAAUAAUACACAUAAAAACGACUAUUAAAAUAAUCAAACUGGAAAGUUCAAGAAUAGAAGGUUAUGUUUAUUAUAUUUGAGUAUCAAAAUAAUCAUAAUCGGGAUCAUGACCUUUUUAUCAAAAUAAGUGAACUUUUUUACUUAAGGUUUUUCGUCAAAUGAAAACGAGAACCGAAUGAUGUUUAUCAAAGAAAAGAGCGAGAGGGACUGAUUAGAGGGCCAUCAACCAACUCAUAAGAAUAAAUAUAACUUUGUUCAAAAUCUUGGUAAACUUUUCCAUUGAUCUUUUCAAUUUUGUGUAUCAUCUGAAGAAUAAACAACACCAACAACAGGAAUGCCACAAAUUUUGAAAAGAAUAAAGGGGAAGGAGAAAGAAAAAAUAAAAAAACUCUAACAACCAUAGUCCAAAAAACAAUUUCAGCAAAGUUCUUCUCGAUGGAGCUUAAAGCAAAAAUUUAGUGAUUUGCUUCCAAAGCAUCAGAACCAUUUUGAUGGUUUGAUAUCAAUUAUGUGAACUAUUCGAUAAAUAAGGAAGAAAAUGAAGUUAUUAUUCUUCAGCAGCGGCACUUGAAGCACUCAGGUCUACUGACAAAUAGAGAACUUGAACCCAAAAAAAAAAAAAAAAAAAAAAAAAAAAAAAAAAAAAAAAAAAAAGUGAAAUAAAUAUAUAAACAGUAAAUAUCAAAUUUCUCUAAAUUAUAUGCACUUUCUUCAUGUAGAUUUCAUGACUCAUAUAUCCAUCAGUUACCUGUUGGAAAAAUUCCAAAGUAUGGAGACACACACACGCAUAUAUUAAAAUGUGUUGUGCUAGUUUAAAGCUUAGUCAAUAAAGUAAUCCGUUAAAGUCAAUUUCUGGACUAACGGGUAUUAAAUGUCAUGGAAAUGAAGUGUUGAGACCAGAAAAUGUUAUUUUAAAUUAAUGAGAGGUCAAUUUGAAAUAACACAAAAUUAAUAUCUGCUUAAUAUAGUUAUUUAUUCUGGGGUCAUGGUCCCAAUUGUAUGUGAUUUUCCAUAUCUCUCUACAUCCCCAUCAACAAAGAAAAAAAUUCCAAGCAAUUAUGUAACAAUUGGAAGACAUUAACCCAUUCACUCAUUCAGGAUAUUAACAACCGUGGAUCAAGGUACGCUUCCACAUUUUUUACUGUUCUCUUUGAUUUCAACAUGUAGGAUCAUUUAUGUAAUUUUGUGAAAGGAUUUGAUAAAAUUUUGGUUUCUUUCAAUUCAUACAAGUGGUAUUAGAGCACUCAAUUGUUGAAUUUUUGAGAAAUUGCAAGAAUAAAUGCUAUAACAAUUCUGUAUUGUGGGUUGUUUUUGAUCUUUUAUCAUAUGAUUAUGUGAAAUCUAGUUCUUACAGUAUUUUAAGAGUUUUCAAAUUUGACAAAUUGGAAUUUGUUUUUGUUGGAUUUGAAAAUUGUUCGGCAUAUUAUUCAUGGUUAUUUUUUUCAAAACUUGGAUUAAAAUUUUUAAAAUUUCAAUUUUUGAUUUUUCAGAUUUCAUAAAAAAGAAUUUUGAUUAGCCACUGUCGGCACUGCAGUGAUGCUGCAUUUUGCAGCAGCAGCGUCGGUCGCUAGGGAAGGAGAAAGAGAAAGAUUGAGUUGGAUUUUUUGGGAUGGGGGCCUGAGGUGCAAUUUUGGUAAUCUCAUGCCCUUGCUUGAAAUAAAGAUUAGGGUUAGUUAAUUUGUUAAAAUAUAAUUUUGCAUUUCAGUCACUAAAAUUUGAAAUCUAUCCAAGCUGGACCUUUAAAGCUCUAGGUUUAAUAAUUCAGUCCUUAAGUUUGAAUAUUAUUUAAUUUGGGUCAUUAAACUUCUAAAAUUUGUAAUUAAAGCCCUCAAUGUUUAUAAUUAAUUAAAAUUGGCCCCCAAAAUUUUNNNNNNNNNNNNNNNNNNNNNNNNNNNNNNNNNNNNNNNNNNNNNNNNNNNNNNNNNNNNNNNNNNNNNNNNNNNNNNNNNNNNNNNNNNNNNNNNNNNNNNNNNNNNNNNNNNNNNNNNNNNNNNNNNNNNNNNNNNNNNNNNNNNNNNNNNNNNNNNNNNNNNNNNNNNNNNNNNNNNNNNNNNNNNNNNNNNNNNNNNNNNNNNNNNNNNNNNNNNNNNNNNNNNNNNNNNNAUUGAAUUUCAUAUAUUCUAUUGGAAAUCAUUUCUUCCUCAUUUUCUUGUUCUUGAAGUGUUUUGGAAAUUUUCACUUUGCCAACUUAGUUUGAUCUUUGGGCAUUCAUUGGGAAUUGUUUUCCCAACAAUUUGGUAUCAGAGCUCCUUCCAAAAUCAAGGUGGUUAAGCUUCGAUUUUGUGGUGAGUUGCUUGAACUUUGUUGUGCACAAGGUGUUUGUGAAAAUUCCCAAGUGAACUUUUGUGAUUUAUUUUCGGUAAACAAGUGAGUAAAUCAUGUCUACUAAAGGAAUGGUGAAGAUUGGGAAGUAUGAGAUAGAAAAAUUCAAUGGGAAGAAUGAUUUUUCAUAUUGGAGAAUGCAAAUGAAAAUUUUGUCGAUUUCUCAAAAGUUGCACAAGGCAUUGGCGGGAAAGGAGAAGAAGCACGUUGAUAUGUCGGACGAGGAUUGGGAAGAGUUAGAUCUUGAGGCACGAGCGUCUAUCAUUCUUUGCCUUGAAAGAGAUGUUGCUUUCUUGGUUGAUAUCGAUUAUGUGAACUAUUCGAUAAAUAAGGAAGAAAAUGAAGUUAUUAUUCUUCAGCAGCGGCACUUGCAGCACUCAGGUCUACUGACAAAUAGAGAACUUGAACCCAAAAAAAAAAAAAAAAGAAAAAAAAGUGAAAUAAAUAUAUAAACAGUAAAUAUCAAAUUUCUCUAAAUUAUAUACACUUUCUUCAUGUAGAUUUCAUGACUCAUAUAUCCAUCAGUUACCUGUCGGAAAAAUUCCAACGUAUGGAGACACACACACGCAUAUAUUAAAAUGUGUUGUGCUAGUUUAAAGCUUAGUCAAUAAAGUAAUCUGUUAAAGUCAAUUUCUGGACUAACGGAUAUUAAAUGUCAUGGAAAUGAAGUGUUGAGACCAGAAAAUAUUAUUUUAAAUUAAUGAGGGGCCAAUUUGAAAUAACACAAAAUUAAUAUCUACUUAAUAUAGUUAUUUAUUCUGGGGUCAUGGUCCCAAUUGUAUGUGAUUUUCCAUAUCUCUCUACAUCCCCAUCAACAAAGAAAAAAAUUCCAAGCAAUUAUGUAACAAUUGGAAGACAUUAACCCAUUCACUCAUUCAGAAUAUUAACAACCGUGGAUCAAGGUACGCUUCCACAUUUUUUACUGUUCUCUUUGAUUUCAACAUGUAGGAUCAUUUAUGUAAUUUUGUGAAAGGAUUUGAUAAAAUUUUGGUUUCUUUCAAUUCAUACAAGUGGUAUUAGAGCACUCAAUUGUUGAAUUUUUGAGAAAUUGCAAGAAUAAAUGCUAUAACAAUUCUGUAUUGUGGGUUGUUUUUGAUCUUUUAUCAUAUGAUUAUGUGAAAUCUAGUUCUUACAGUAUUUUAAGAGUUUUCAAAUUUGACAAAUUGGAAUUUGUUUUUGUUGGAUUUGAAAAUUGUUCGGCAUAUUAUUCAUGGUUAUUUUUUUCAAAACUUGGAUUAAAAUUUUUAAAAUUUCAAUUUUUGAUUUUUCAGAUUUCAUAAAAAAGAAUUUUGAUUAGCCACUGUCGGCACUGCAGUGAUGCUGCAUUUUGCAGCAGCAGCGUCGGUCGCUAGGGAAGGAGAAAGAGAAAGAUUGAGUUGGAUUUUUUGGGAUGGGGGCCUGAGGUGCAAUUUUGGUAAUCUCAUGCCCUUGCUUGAAAUAAAGAUUAGGGUUAGUUAAUUUGUUAAAAUAUAAUUUUGCAUUUCAGUCACUAAAAUUUGAAAUCUAUCCAAGCUGGACCUUUAAAGCUCUAGGUUUAAUAAUUCAGUCCUUAAGUUUGAAUAUUAUUUAAUUUGGGUCAUUAAACUUCUAAAAUUUGUAAUUAAAGCCCUCAAUGUUUAUAAUUAAUUAAAAUUGGCCCCCAAAAUUUUAAUUUUUUUUUUCAAAAUUUGACCCCUAAAAUUUUGAAUUAUUAACCCUUAGGUCCCUAAAGUUUCAAAAGACAUCUAAUGAUGCAAAAUUAGUGAUUCUCUUUCUCAAAUUUUGGUAUUAAGGACUCUUUUAAGAUGCAUAGUUGAGAUUUAAUUAUGUGGAACAAUCAAAUUCAAAUAUUUUGAUAAAUCAUUUAUGAUAAAUUAAGGUUAUCUAGCAUUUUAAAUAAACUAAUUGAAACAAUAUGUCACCAAAGUGACAUUUUUGUGUAAAUUGGUUAGUUUGGGAUGUUUAGAUAUUGUGUGUGUGUCUGUUCAUACGGGUGUUAGUCGACCAAAGGAAGGUUAAUAUUUGGCCGAAUUACAUACACACUUGUGGUAGUGAAUGUGUAACAAUUAUAAGGUUUCCAUGUGAAUAAUAAAUCAGCCCAAAGAUGGGUUUAUUAUUUGAUAAGAGUUAUUGUCAAUAUUUGAUCACUACACCAAGAAUACCACUUGCAAUUAAUAUUAUUGUCCAAAGACUUGAUCACUACACCUAGAUAGAGCAUACCAUUAUUUGAAUUUAUUUUUCAUUAAAUGUGGAUAUGAGCAUGAUUAUUUGUUUAUUUUUGUUCUUUGUGCAGCUAAUUCAUCUACUACUACAAUAUCUGCCACUACAAUAUCUGCCAAUGUUAAUUCGAUUUACAAAUUUCAAGGAUUGAAAAGAGAACAUAUUGAUUGCUCUUGGCUGCAUGGAUCUUGACUUUGUACUUUGGAUUGAGGAACCCACACUUCUUACGGAAGAAAGUUCACCUGAUGAAAAGAGGAACUUUGAGAAGUGAGAUCGUUAAAAUUGCAUGAGUCUAAUGAUCAUUAAGCGCGACAUUAUGAAAGCCUUUAGAGGUGCAGUAUCCAAAGGGGUAACAAAUGUCAAGGAGUUCCUCGCAGAAAUUGAGAAGCAUUUUGCGAAAAAGUAUAAGGCUAAAACUAGCAUGCUUUUGUAAAGCUUGAUUUCAAUGAAGGAUAAAGGUAAGGAAAACAUAAAGGAGUACAUCAUGGGGAUGUCUCACAUUGCUUUUAAGCUAAAGGGCUAAAGCUUGAGCUAUAUGAUGACUUACUGGUACUUUUGGUAUUGAUCUCGCUUCCUGCAAUGUUCAGUCGAUUUAAGGUCUAUUAUAAUUGUCAAAAAGAGAAAGAGUCUAUAAAUGAGCUCAUUUCAUAUUGUGCACAAGAGGAAGAAAGGUUGAAGCAAGAAAGAACUGAAAGUGCUAACUUGACAAGCACUUCUAAGGAUAAGGGCAAGAAAAUUAAGAAAGAAUAUGAAUCUAUUCCUACAGGUCCAGCACAAAAGAAACAGAAGGAACAUAAAUGAACUUGUUUCUUUUGUAAUGAAACUGGACAUAUGAAGAAAGAUUAUACCAAAUAUCAUGCAUGGCGUGCAAAGGAAAGUACAAAUCUCACUUUGGUCUGUUCUAAAAAUGAUUUUGCUCCAGUACCUAGAAACACUUGGUGGAUAGAUUCUAGUGCUACUACUCACAUAAGUGUUUCUAUGUAGGGCUACCAGAGCUACUGAAAGCCAAGUGAUGGUGAAAAAUACAUCUAUGUCGAUGAUGGCAAAUCGGUUGAAGCUGAUGUAAUAGGCACUUUUGGGUUAUAAUUAGGAACUGGUUAUUAUUCAUAUUUGAAAGACACUUUUGUUGUACAGUCUUUUAGACAGAAUUUGAUUUUUGUUCGUAUGUUGGACAAUCUGGAUGCUGCUCUUCAUUUGGAAACAUUCAGUUUAGUCUUUCAUUAAAUUCUUAUGUUAUUGGUAAUGGUUUGUUAUCUGCAUAUGAUAACCUAUAUUUGCUUGAUAUUAUUGUAUCAUAUAAUGAGAUCUUGCAUGUAGAAUCAAGUGAUACUAAACGCAAAUUAAAUAAAGAGAAUUCAGCAAAAUUAUGACACAAGCGCUUAGGUCACAUCUCAAAAACUAGAGUUGAAUGACUUGUAUCAAAUGGUAUUUUGUUUUUCCUUGACUUCAUGGAUUUUAAUGUAUGUAUUAAUUGUAUCACGGGAAACCAGAUCAAAACAAGGAGAUUAGGUGCUAAUAGAACUUCGAAUGUCUUAGAAUUGAUACAAAUAGAUAUUUGUGGACCAUUUCCUACGACUUCUUGGAAUGGUCAACAAUAUUUUAUAUCAUUCAUAGACGAUUACUCAAGUUAUUGGUACCUAUAUCUCAUCCACGAAAAGUCUGAGUUGUUGGACAUGUUCAACCUUUUAAAACUGAGGUUGAGAAUCAACUCAAUAAAAGGAUAAAGAGCGUUAGGUCUGACCUUGGUGGUGAGUACUAGUUAGACGUGACAGUUCAAAUGAACAAUGUCUAUGACCAUUUGCUAAAAACCUAGAGGAAUGUUGAAUCACCAUGCUAGGAUCGCCUAGAUGAAUGGUGUAGCUAAAAGAUGAAAUAGGACUCUUAAAGAUAUGGUAAGGAGUAUGAUUAAUCAUUCCACCUUACCAAAAUCACUCUGAGAAGAGGUAUUAAAGAUCGUAACUUAUAUCUGAACAGAGUGCCAACUAAGGCUGCUGUUAAAACACCCUAUGAACUUUUGACAAGCAGAAAGCCUAAUCUAAAGCAUUUUCGUAUUUGGUGAUGUCCAGCUAAGGCUAGACAUUAUAGGUCAAAUAAAAAAAAAAUUAGACUCCAAAAUAGUGAGUAGUUAUUUUAUUGACUACUUUGAGUGAUCUAGGAGCUAUAAAUUUUAUGAUCCCACACUUAAGUCAAUUUUUGAAACGGGACUGCAAUACUUUUUAAGGAUGUUGAGUUUGGAAAGAAAAAUAAAGUUAGAGACAUUGUCUUUGAGGAAGAAGUUGAGGAAUGAUUGGUUUCAAUUCGUACUAUUAUCUUUGACAAUAUACAUGUUUCUAUAUCUAUCAUUGAUUAAGAAGUAUAUCCAAAACUCCAAAAAAACAAUGUUGACGAACCUCCCAUCCAAAAUGAGGUAAUUAUUUCAAAAGUACAAACUCAACAACCUCAAAAACCAAUACCAUUAAGGAGAUCCACGUGAGAAAGGAAAAGUUCUAUUUCGAAUGAUUUUAUAGUAUUUCUCCAAAAACAUGAGAAAAAUAAUGGAAUGGUGAAAGAUGAUCCAAUCAAUUUUCAUCAGGCAAUGUAGGGUUACAACUCUCAAAAGUGGAUUGAUACCAUGAAUGAGGAGUACAAGUCUAUGCAAGACAAAAAAGUUUGGGAUCUUGUCCCGUUACCCGAAGGUGUGAAGCCCAUUGGUUGUAAAUGGAUUUUUAAAACCAAUGGGGAUUAGAAAGAUAAUGUGGAAAGAUAUAAGGCUCGUGUUGUGGCUAAAGGCUUUACCGUAAAGGAAGGCAUCGACUUCAAAAAGAAUUUCUCUCCAAUUUCAAAGAACGACUAUUUCAGGCCAAUUAUGGUACUUGUUGCGCACUUUGACCUCGAGUUACAUCAAAUGGAUGUUAAGACAGUGUUUCUCAAUAGCGACAUUAUUGAGACGAUCUAUAUGGUGCAACCAGAAAACUUUGUGUUAAGAGACUCGAAGAAUAUGAUUUGCAAAUUAAAGAAAUCCAACUACGAACUCAAGCAAGCUUCCCGUCAAUGGUACCACAAAUUUCAUCAAGUAUUUAUCUCAUUUUGUUUUGAGAUGAAUGCCGUUGAUGAUUUUUUGUAUCACAAGUUUAUGGGAGUAAGCAUAUUUUUCUGGUUUUGUAUAUUGAUGAUGUACUGUUUACCACUAACGAUAUAGGCAUGUUGCACAGAAUCAAGAGACUUUAUCAAGGAAUUUUGAGAUAAAAGAUCUUAAUGAUGCCUAUUUUGUAUUAGGGAUUCAGAUAUAUCGGGAUUACUCUCGAGGUAUUUUUCGAUUGUCACGAAAGAGCUAUAUUGAUAAAGUACUUGAAAGGUUUGGGAUGCAAGACUGUAAACUAGGUGACACCCUUGUUGCUAAGGGAGGCAAAUUUAGUCUCAAACAAUGCCCAUAAAAUGACCUUGAAGUUAAGAAAAUGCAAAAGAUUUCCUAUACAUCAGCUAUUAGUAGUCUAAUGUAUGCUCAAGUUUGUACACGUCCAUACAUAUCAUUCAUUUUUGAAAUGUUAGGUAGAUAUUUAAACAACCCUAGGAUGGAUCAUUGGAAGGCAACCAAAAGGAUUAUGAGGUAUUUAAAGAGAACAAAGGAUUACAUGUUCACAUAUAGCAAAUUGAAUCAGUUCAAGAUCACAGGGUACCCGGAUUCUAAUUUUGCUGGAUGCCAAGGCAGUAUGAGAUCCACACCAGGCUAUAUCUAUCAACUAGCUAGAGGAGCUAGCGAUCGGAAAAAAAAUGUGUUUUGUUUCGUUUCAAAUAAAAUUCUCUUUUAGGACUCAAAUAUAAUUUGGGUUAUAUUAUUAUGUUGCUAUGACACUUCCUAAUAGUUCAAAUUAAAUUUUGGUCACGAAAGUAAAAUUCCGCAUACUUGAUUUUCUUAAAUUUUACAAGGUGUUAAAAUCGCUUUUAACUGACAAAAUUUUAUGUUAAUUUGGUUACAUUAUUUUUCUUAUGACACACUUUAUUUUAAUACUACCAUUUUUGUUUCCAUUAUGUAAACUAUUUUUUUUUUUUUGAAAUUGGACAAAUUACUUGCAUGUUUCAUCAUCCAUCAUUUAUGCUCCAACUUAUCAUUUUAAUAAACUUCCAUUUUUGUCAAUGCUAAAACCGUCCCCGAUCAUUCAUUUGAAAAUAAAAUUACAACUCCAAUUUUUAUCCAUUGCCCCCACUUUAUUAUCCAUUGUAACCUCCAAUUUUAACCAACCCUAUCUUAGCAUAUUAUUCUCCAUUUUGUUAACUGCCAACAAUUAUCAUUUUAACUCCCCACUAACCAUGUUUUUUUUUAUUUCCCCACAUCAGUUAACUGCCGGCCACAUCAUUUGAAAUAUAUAUAUUUAAAAAAAAAACUGCUGACUUUAUAUUUGAAAAGUAACGUGCACGCCCAUCAUUCAAAAUCCACCAAUUAUCUUCACUUAGCAUUUUAACUCUUAUCUAAACAAUUUCAAUUUCAACCUACCCACUAAGUGCAUUUUAACAUCCACUUUUGCACUGCCAUGAAACCAUCUCUUUUAUUUUAAGUCGUGAGUUCAUUUUCAAAGCUGAAAUCUCAACUUCUUUAGCCACUCUCUCUCUCCCUAUUAUACUUAUGCAUCAAAUUAUUUUGCCUCUUCUUCCAUAGACAAAACGAACUUUGAAUCUGAAAAUUUCUAAAGAAAAGGGCAAGACGUACGCUGCAUUUUAUUCUUUGGACACGAAAGGAUAUUUCAAACUCCAAGCAUUAAGGUAGGGGUGUUUCGGCACUUAUGUAAGUGAUGUAAGAUUUAUAUAUUUUCGUUUGCAUUAAAUGUGUUAUUGUGUUGCUCAUGAUGGAAUCACCGUUUGCUGGUUUAAACAAGAGAUGAAGAGAUGAUUAUGACAAAUGAAAUGGGGUUAUCAAAACCUAAGAGUAAGCGGACUGACUGAUCACCAAUUCGCUUGAAAUUGACGGUGACACAAUUGACCAAAGUUUACACUUCUGAAAAUAUAUAUUUUUACUGUUUACUUAAGUGUUUCCUACUGAGUAUUAUUUUUAGUACUCACCCCUUCUAAAAAUUUUAUAGGUUAAGAUCGAGGCAUGGUAGUGGUUGGUGUGGUGGCAAGUGUUCGGCGAUCUGAAAUGCUUUCACUUCAUAGUAAAGAUUUCCAUUUUGUAAAUAUUUUAUGGAUCUUAGAUGAACUUUUAGAAAUUCUUUUUAAUGUUUAUUUUGUUCCAUUUUUAGACAGUGCAUGUUAACAAGAAUUUAAAAGUGUUGGAUUGAUUUGUAUGAAGUUAUAUUUAUGCUGGGUGGAAAUUUCAGUUUCUGUCCAUCUAGUUGAAAAUAGCAUAACUUGGGCUACAGUGCAUUUUUUAAAGUGAAAUUAGUUGAUUUUGAAAGAUCCAUGAAUCUUCUAAUCGUAGCCUUUGGAAUUUCCUUAAAAUAUUAUCUAAAGAAAAAGUUAUGCUCAUUUUAGUAAACUGCAUCAUUACAAAUCCGAGUUUUCUGUCCAGCAUUUUAGAGCAACAUUUUCUUGCUUCAAACUUUAUCGUUGAGACCCCAAAUUUUUAUAUGUGGCACAUAUAUGAAUGCUUUAGUCCCUGUAAAAAUUUCAUAAAUUUUAAUAGACAUUCAGUAGGUCAAAUAUAUUAUCCUUCCGCUAUUGUUAAAUCCGUAAUUGUCGAUUUGCCUUCAAAUCUUUUAAAAGAAUCAAAUUUUGCUACAUUUGCCUAAGUUAUAUAGAUAACUACCUUCCAUUAUAUUUUUAUAUAUUUUAAAAAAAAAUGGAUUUAUAAAAUACUUUGGCUAGCGUCAAAGGGGUCGAACCAAAGAAAGAAACGAAUAUUAUUUUAAUGCUCCGGUUUCCGAGAAUUUGUGUAUUUUGAUAUUUUCCUAUAUAGAAAUGAAGUAUUCAGUUCAUUCCACUCUAUUAUUAUGUUCAGUAUUGAUGUCACUUAAGAAAUAAUGUUGGACUAGUUGGAAAUAGACAUGUUCGGGUCACAUAAUAUGUAGUUUCCAUGCUAGACUCCCAUGAUUGAUCUAUUCAUUUGGUUGUAUGGGUGUACGUGACCAUUGAUGGAUUUAAUCACACUAAAUGAGACGAAAAUCGCUUUGAUCCUACAUUAAUAUAACCGAUGGACGAAAUUGUUUGGAAAUACCCUUAAUAAUGAUAGCAGAAUGUUGAGCUCAUAAAUCUAAGCACAUUUGUAAUAUUACAUGUAUGAUCCAAUGAGAGAUUGUUGGAAAAAUUUCCAACGUAUAAGGCCACACAUGUGUGUAUAUAUAUAUAUAUUAAAAUAUGCGGUGCUAUUUUAAGGCUUAUUCAAUAAAGUGAUCCGUUAAAGUCAAUUUUUGGACUAACGUGUAUUAAAUGUCAUGGGAAUAGAGUAUAGAGAUCGAAUGAUGUUAUUUUAAAUUAAUGAGGGGCCAAAUUGAAAUAAAAUAAAAUUAAUAAUUGCUUAAUGUAUUUAUUUAUCAUGGGGUCAUGGUCCCCAAUUGUAUGUGAUUUUUCAUAUCUCUCUGCAUCCCCAUCAACAGAGAAGAAAAUUCCAAGAAAUUACGUAACAAUUGAAGGAUCUUAACCCUUUUAGAAUACUAACAACUAUGGAUCAAGGUACGUUUCCGCUUUUUUAAUGUUCUCUUUGAUUUCAAUAUGGAGUAUUUAUGUGAUUUUGUGAAAGGAUUUGAUAAAAUUUUGGUUCCUUUCAAUUCCUACAUUGCCUUUCCAGUUAUCUUGGUGUACAUGGCUAGAAUAUAUGUUACAGUGGACUAGAAGUGUGUCAUUGCAUCAUAACUCUGCAACAAAUGAUAAAAACCAUAAAGCGAUUGGUGCAAAACAAUGUCAAAGGUAUAAUGAAGAUGAAUAUUACAAGUUUUUCUUCCACACAUCCAUCUGUCUUAUCUCAGAAAAUGCUAGGGCGGCCUAAUACAUAGAUAUGAAUUCCCAAUAUAACCCUAUCAUAAAGUCGAUCUGUAGUUCAAGAGAUAAGUGAAUAAUAUAAUUAGGCUUCACAGAGUCAAUAUAUCCCUAUGAUUAAAGGUUGAUAAGCAAUUCAAGAGAUAAGUAAACAAUAUAAUUAGACUCUACAGAGUCCAACAAUUACUAUAUUUAUCCUAUAAGAGUAGCACAAAUGAACAACAUCCAGUUCUCACUUGCAAAGAUUCAUAUGUUAAUAUAGACAUAAGUUGAACACUUACUCUUGAAAUGAAACAAUUGUCACCAUCACUAUUAUUAGAGGGUACAAAUCUGUCAUAAGUCUCGUAAAAAAAUCUCGUCAAUUAGUCCAAGGAGGUCUACUCCAGGCUUCAUUUCAACUUUGGGAUUGUGUGUCUCUAUUUCUACUGAAACAAAUGCAAUAUAUUUUCCUUUUGGUGCCACAUUGUGUGCGUAAGAGCAGCUGACCAUAAACCUUUUGUAAAUAAACAAUUAUGUCUUUGAGGAUAUCUUGACUAAUUAUCUGAAAAUGGUCUCUUGUGGUCCAAAUGAAAAAUAUAUGCUCAAAUAUUAGAAAUAUUCAUCAUGGUAGCAAUACAUAAUAACUUGCUACAAAGGUCUUGAGAUAGACAGGCAUAGGAGGUCCACAUGAUGAUACUACAAAACACAAAUAAAUGCCCUUAGUCUAGAUCAUCUUCGUCAAUUUAAAAUUUCUGCUUCACGAAUUUUACUUUUUUUUAUUGUUUCUAUAGGGUUUUUAUGUACUCUCCCCUCGCAUGCGGGGAGGGGCCCACGCCCAAUUAAUGCGAUCCCCUGUGAGGGGGCUGUACACUGAGCUCAGUGUACAUGUAGCACUCUCCAGUGAAUAUUAUUUUGUAUACAUCUUUACAAACAUGUAUCUACGCUAUUGUACAAAGAGCGCAGCCAUAGUAUAUGUAAGAAUUUUAAAAUGCACAUCUGAUAUAUACAUUCUCCGUAAUAAAAAGGAAAGAAAUGAUAUAUAAGGUAAUAAAAUGUGCACAUUAUUUAUCACCAACCAAGCCUCAUCUAGUAUGCACAUAUCAGGAGAAAAUCCCCCCAUUGGUCACUGAAUCUUGCAAAAAAUCCCCUAGGUGGUCACCGAAUUUGAAUACGUCCCUAAAUAGUCACUAAACGUUUUUGAAGUUCCCCCCAAGUGGUUACCGAACUUCAAAAUGUCCCCGAAUGGUCACUAAACUUUGCAAAAAGUCCAUAGGAGGUCACUAAACUAGUAAUGUAUGGGGUCCCAAUUCGCAAUGUUAAGUGACCUCUCUGGAGGACUUCGUCAAAGUUCAGUGACCAUUUUGAGAUGUUUUGAAGUUCAGUGACCUCUUGGGGAGAUUUCGGCAAAGUUUAGUGACUAUUUAGGGAUGUGUUGAAAUUUGGUGACCUUCUAGGAGAUUUCCUACAAAGUUCAGUGACCAUUGGGGAAAUUUCCUCCGCAUAUCAACAUAUAACCAUACAUAUUACAAGUAGCACUAAAAGGUUCGGUUAUGCAUAUGUCUAACAUUAAGACAAAAAGUGGUAAAUAUUGUUGAGCGGAAGAUGAUGACCACCAAGGUUUGAACUGGGCUUAGUUUUUUCCCAAUCAACACCACAAGCAAAACAACCAUAAACCUCCUUCACAGCCUCUCCCACUUACGGUUGCUAUAGUUACCCACUUAGAGAGCCACAAAGGGGAAUGAAAUCACAAUGAGAACAACCACAGAGGUAGCAAAAUGAGUGAAUAGAAUCGAGGUAGAGAGAUCACAAAAGAGGUAGCCGAUUUUUCUCGCACAAAGAGAGACCGUGACAAGGGAAAUAUAACCAAAGCAAUGGGACAAUCAAGGUAAGUAGGGAUAGGGUAUGGUAAUGGGUCAAAAGGAGACCUAACACAUGGUUAAAUGGACCACUAAGUGUGUUACCCUUUAUUUAGCCAUUUAGGUAAGUGAGAUGGGCCAUGAGUGGCACUAAUUUAAAUUAGGCUACUUCUAAUGGCCCAAAACAAUUUUGGGGUUGGGUCAUUUCGUUUGAGGCGUUGGUAUAACGUUCAGUCAUUUGAUCAAUGUUGACUGAAAAAAUAAACCGAGAUCACAUAUCGUUUGACAACAAUUUGCCUAAGAAAUAUAAAGAAAUUGUGAUACCAUCUAGUUAGACAUAUGUGUCAGUUAGCCUUCAUUUUAUCACUUAACAAAUUACCAAAAAUUCACAUUUGAGCUUAAGAUUGUUGGAAAACAAGUUCAAUUAUCUUAGCAUUCUUAGUUGCCUCCACAAUCUAACAAAAAAGGCACUUUAACAAUUGACAACUUUUUAUUAUAGGGAACAUUCAUUGAUCAAGCAAUGACAGUGCUAGAAUAAAGGACUUAAAUUUACCUAGAAAUAGUAAUGUCUAAUGGACAAAUUUCUGGUUACUCCAUUUCAAUUAUUAUCAGACACAAAACGGUAUUUUACAAAAGAAGAAAAGAAUAUACGAUUGGCCGACUAAUAGUCUAAGUGUCUAAUUGAAAAUUCUAGAGAUACCAAUAUUAACCAAGAUUCUAAAAAACAUAAUCAUAAACUAAAAAUAAAGUACAGGAAAUAAAAAUGAACCCAAGGAUUGUUUCGGCCGAAGCCCCAGAGAUUCGGCGACCACUUCUAAUGUCUAAUCCUCUGUUGAGCAUCCAUUAAAAUGGGUAAAGCUCGGUUGCACUAUAAAGCCCCAAAAUCAGGCACUAAAAAUUACAAGAAUAUUCUAGCUUUACAAGAAAUAAAGUCACCAACACUUAUCUUUAAAAUGAAGCACCAAUCAAGCCUCACUCCACUAAGGAAUCAAGAAACUCGGAUCACACAGGUCACAAAAACAAACUGCCCUCUUCGAACCACAGAAGAAUGAAUGCUAAUACACAGUGUAUCACUUUCUACUGAGAGACUAUACACAAAAUCACAAAGAUUUCACAGAAAUUUGAACUUCCAACAUGAAUCACGCAGAUUCAUACACCAUACCAAAAAACCCAGUAUAUUAACACAAGUAAAUGGAGUAGAACUUCAUCAUUCCUCAAGACUACACUAGAGAAUCACUCAAAAUUGGCUUGAAUAUAUGAAGAAGAGGGAUUUCAUAACAGAGAAGAAAAGAGAUGAAGAGGCGAUCCCAAACCCUAGAGAAAAUCUCUCAAAUCUAAAAAUGUAAGAAUAAAGUCUCUCUCUCCAAUCUGUAAAAUCACGUUCCCAGUAGGGAGUCACAAGAUUUCAUAAUUGGAAGUCUGUAGAAUCUGAUCGGAUGGUCAUCAUGAUGCCAUGUGUCGAAAUCUUGUUAAUUGCCACAUCUAAUAGAGUUGUCAUUUUGAAAACACGUUUUUCUCCACAGAUUUUUGGAAACAUACUUGACAAAAUAAAAAUCAGUAGUUUGAAUUCUCAACAAUCUCUACCUUGUUUCCAAAAUUUAAGCCUAUAGUGCAACCAGGAGCUUCACCAACAUUUAUAAUUUCAUUUGCUCUAUUGUACCUGUACAAUCAAUGAAAAGAAUCAAUAGAUAACAUCUUUAAACAAUUUUGAAACUUAUUGAAAGGUAUCACCUUAGUUCCCAUAUCGGAUGGAUUAUACAAAGUCGGUAUUUUAUUAAUUUUCAGCAAACAUUUUGAAAUAAUAUCUCUUAUAAAAUGGUAUUUUACAUCAACAUGUUUUGUUCUAUCAUAAAACAUGGGAUUCUUACUCAAAUGGAUUGCACUUUGAUUGUCAAAAUAUAGCGUUGGAGUAGUAUCUACAAAACCAAGUUCAUUCAACAAACCAUAAAGCCUUAUGUCUUCUUUAAUGGCAUCAGUUGCAGCAAUAUAUUCAGUCUCAGUGGCAGAUAGAGCAACAAUUUUUCGUAACUAAGAUUUCCAAAUUAUCAUAGUACCACACAAAGUGUAAAAAUAAGAUGAAGUUGAUUUUCUAUUGUCUCUAUUUCCACCAAAAUCAGAAUCUGUAUAACCCUUUAAAAUGACCCCCUCUUUGUCCAUUUUAAACAUCAAACCCAAGUUGUAUGAACCCUUUAAAUAUCUUAAUAACCACUUCAAGGCUUCCUAAUGAGUUUCACUAGGAUUUCUCAUAAAUCUACUUAAAACGCUAAUAGUAAAAGCCAAAUCAGGUAUGGUACAAAUCAUUAAGUACAUGACUGAACCAAUAGCAUUAGCAUAAGGUAUUUUAGACAUUCUCUCAAAUUCAUCUUCAGUUUUUCGACACGAAUCAAAUUUUAAAAUAAAGUGAUUGGCAAGGGGUAAAGUCACAGGUUUACAAUCAAACAUAUUAAACUUCUUAAGGAUCUUAUUCAUAUACUCUUCUUGAUAUAAAAACAACCAAUCAGAUUUUUUCAUCUCUUAUAAUAUGCAUGUCAAGUAUUUUCUUAGCGGAACCAAGAUCCUUCAUAUCAAAUUCUGAUUUUAAUUUGUGUUUGAUAUCAUCAAUUUCAGAUUUAUUGACACUAGCAAGAAGCAUAUCAUCAACAUAAAGCACAAGAUACAAAGAAUCUUUACCUCCAUUUCCUUUACAAUAAAGACAUGUAUCAUAAUUGCUUCUACUAAACCCAAGCUUCAAGACAAAUGAAUCGAAUCUUUUAUACCAUUGUCUUGGAGCUUGUUUUAGGCCAUACAAAUAUUUUUUCAACAAACACACUAUUUUUUCAGGAUUUUCUUUAAUAAAUCCUAUAGUUUGUCUCAUGUAAAUCACUUCAUCCAAUUCACCAUAUAAAAAUGCAGUUUUUACAUCUAGUUGAUCAAGUUUCCACUUAAAUUGUACAACCAAAGAAUACAUCUUAUAGUUGUGUAUUUAACAACGGGGAAAAAAAUCUCACAUAGUCCACACCCUCUUUUUGUGUAAAACCCUUGGCAACAAGCCUAGCUUUGUAUCUAACAUUGUUAGUGCCACCUUCCCCUUCUUUUAUCUUAUAAAUCCACUUGCAAUCAACUAGCUUCUUAUUCUUAGGUCUAUCAACCAAUUUCCAAGUUUUAUUUUUGUAUAGGGAAGAUAUAUCUUCUUCCAUAGCACUCAACCACCGCUUAGAAUCUUUAGAUUUUAAGGCUUCAUGAUAAGAACUAGAUUUAGUCAUAGAUUCAUCUUGAUAAGUGAACAAAGACACAAAGUCUUCACUAUUAAACCUAGCUGGUGGUCUAAUUUGUCUCCUAUCCCUGUCUCUAGUGAAUUGGUAUUCAUCUAGAGGUGUGUUAUCAUCAUUAUACUGCUCAGGUUCAGACAAAUCAGGCUCUUUUUCACUCUGAUUAGCCUCCUUAGUUGCUAUUUCUAAGGGGACAGAACUGGUAUUACUAAUUUUAAUAGGCUCACCUCAAUUUGGACAUCAUUUUCAGUCAAAUUUCCCUCUUUUCCUUCCAAACAUGGCAUACAUGACUCAUUAAAGACCACAUCCCUUCUUAUAAUAACCUUGUAACCUUUUUCCCCAUAAACCCAAAGCCUAUAUCCUUUAACGUUUUCAGCAUAACCCAAAAACACACAUUUAAGGGAUCUAGGUUCAAGUUUCCCUAUGUUUUGUUGAUCAUAUGCAGUACAACUAAAUGUUUUCAAGUAAGAAUAGUUCACAGGCUUUUGUACAGGCUUUUGUGUCCACACAGAUUCAGGCAUAUCAAAAUUUAAAGUACUUGUAGGACUUCUAUUAAUCAAAUAUGCAGCAGUUUUAACAGCUUCACCCCAAAAUAAUUUGGGCAAACUGGAACUCAAAAGCAUACAUUAACUUUAUUCAACAAAGUCCUAUUCAUUCUUUCUGCAAUGCCAUUUUGCUGGGGUGUGUAGGUCACAGGUCUAUGUCUUAAAAUGCCAUUCAACUUGCAAAAAUCAUUAAACUCAUAACUACAAAAUUCUAGACCAUUGUUGGUUCUCAAAGUUUUGAUUUUCAAAUCAUUUUGAUUUUUAAUUUGGGUUUUCCAAUCUUUAAAUGUGGCAAAUGUUUCAUCUUUAGUUUUCAAAAGAAAUAUCCAAAUUUUUCUAGAGAAAUCAUCAAUUAUAAACAAGUAAUACUUGUAACCAGACAAUGUAGGGGUGAAUGCAGGGCCCUACAAAUUAGCAUGUAAGUAUUUUGGAAUUCGCUUUGAUUUAUGAGUACUAGUGGGAAAAGGUAACUUAACUUGCUUCCAAUUAAACAUUGUUUACAUUUAGACAAAUCACCAAUAUUUGAUUUUCCAAAUGCAUCUUUAUUUUGUAAAGCCUUUAAACCUUUUUCACCAAUGUGAUCAAGUCUACAAUGCCACAAUUUUACAAGAUUAAAGUUAUCAUCUAAAACUGCUGCUGAAAGGUCCAACAAAGGUUUUGCAUUUAAAAAGUAUAAACCAUGUCUCUUUGGGAUAGAAGUGAUCAAAUCACUACCCCUAAAAAAUUUCAUGUGUCCUUGACCCAAUUUUAUGUCAAACUCCAUGUCAUUCAACAUUUCUAGAGACACAAGGUUUCUUUCUAAUUCAAGAACAAAUCUAGCAUCUUUUAAUGAUAAAAUUCUGCCAUUUUCUAAGAGCAAUUUUAUGGUUCCAAUACCUUUCACUUUGUAGGUCAUAUUGUUUUCCAUGAUAACUUGGUCCCCUUUAAUUUGUUCAAAGUCCAAAAAAUAGUUUUUAUUAGGGCACAUGUGGAAAGAGCAACCUGAAUCAAGAAUCCAUUCUUGAUUUAGGUUCCUUUCCACAUUUACAAGAACUAGGCCAUUAUCAAAUUUUUGCUUAUCAUAGGACAAAACAACAUUAUCCUCAUUUAACUUCUUUCCUUUCAAAUCAUUUUGCUUUUUGUAGCAAUCUUUUGCAAAGUGACCCAACUUACCACAAUAAUAACAUUUCUUUCCCUUUGCCUUAGUUUUGGAUUUCAUUUUGUCAUUGUUUAUUCUCUUAGGGUCAUUUUGAAAUUUUGAAUGAAAAUUAGAUUUACCAACAUUUUUGCCUUUUAUCAAAAGAUUUUCUCCACUUUGUUGGUUGAUAAAAUCUAAUUUUAAUUCUAGAACUCUAUUUCUUAAGGCAUUUAUAAUGAUAUAUGUGGUAAGCUUGUCUUUACCAUAUUUCAAGGCAUUCUUUAGCUUUUUAUGCCUAUCACUAAUGGAGUUUAACAAGACCACAACUAGCUGAUCUUCUAAUAAUUUCUCAUCACAGUCGGCAAGGUCCUGGGUCAAUUUUGUAAAUCUGUCCAAGUUCUCAUCUAAGUCAAUAGAAGGAUCCAUUUUGAAUGAAAAGAAUUGUUUUAGCAAAAAAUAUUUGUUUGGACCGUUUUUGGAUCAUAUUGGGCUUUCAAUUUAGCCCACAAUUCUUCAACAGUUUUAGUUUCACCUAUAGGUUUGAUCACAUUGUCUGAAAGGUACAAGAAAAUAGUACUCCAUGCUAUUUCUUCUAGCUCAGAUCUUUUUGUAGCAAACAUUUCAGCAGGCCGAGAAUUAUCUAAGGCUUUAGCACAUUUCAUUUGCAUCAAGAUAGCCCUCAUUUUCUGGCUCUACAUAUUAAAGUCCCCCCCUCCCAUCAUACAUGCUCACUUCAAGCUUAGUAGUAGCCAUGACAAGAUUUACCAAGACAGUUCACAGAACACAAGUUUGAAUUCAAGAACACACACAGGGAUACACAAUAAGAGUACUGCAGGCAGAACAGGGGAUUUGGGAUCAGUGACCAAUGCACUUAUAUUAUUUUCACAAAACAGUAAACACUUAACACUAAGUAUAGAAAGCAGAAUCACAAAGAACAGAGAUGACAAUCCUAUGCCUCAACUAACUUCUCCAGCAAGACCUUCCAAUUGCACUCCUACUAGUGUUGUUAUCUCAGAUUCCUAAGACUUCUUGAGUCUUUGGACAAAGACCAGCCAUAGUAGGUUUUGUUAGUGCAAGGUAAAUCAAGGGAAAAAUUAGGAGACCCUACUACAAAGAUUAAUUACAGAAUGCAGGAAAGAUCUCACCAAUGAGUUUGAUAAAACUCAAUUUCCACCUGCCAAUGUUUACUGCAGGUUUCAGGAAUAAGGUUUAAUCAAGAAAUCAAAAAGCACUAGUAGUUCAGGUUGUUUUGAUACCACUGAAAAGUCGAGAGAUAUCAAUAUUAACCAAGAUUCCAAAAAACACAAUCAUAAACUGAAAGGAAAGUGUAGGAAAUAAAAAUGAACACAAGGAUUUUUUCGGCCGAAGCCCUAGAGGUUCGGCAACCACUUCUAAUGCCUAAUCCCCUGUUGAGCUUUCAUUAAAAUAGAUAAAGAUCAGUUACACUAUAAAGCCCCAAAAUCAAGCACCAAAAAUUACAAGAAUGUUCCAGGAAUUACAAGAAAUAAAGUCACCAAGACUUAUCUUUAAAAUAAAGCACAAAUCAAGCCUCACUCCACUGAGGAAUCAAGAAACCCGGAUCACACAGGUCACAAAAACAAACUGCCCUCUUCGAACCACAGAAGAAUGAGUGCUAAUACACAGUGUAUCACUUUCUACCGAGAGACUAUACACAAAAUCACAAAGAUUUCAUAGAAAUUUGAACUUCUAACAUGAAUCAUACAGAUUCAUACACCAUACCAAAAAAACCAGUGUAUUAACACAAGUAAAUAGAGUAGAACUUCAUCAUCCCUCAAGUAUACACCUGAGAAUCACUCAAAAUUGGCUUGAAUAUGUGAAGAAGAGGGAUUUUAUACAUAGAGAAGAAGAGAGACGAAGAGGCGACCCCAAACCUUAGAGAAAAUCUCUCAAAUCUAAAAAUGUAAGAAUAAAGUCUCUCUCUCCAAUCUGAAAAAUCAUGUUCCCAGUAGAGAGUCACAAGAUUUCAUAAUUGGAAGUUUCCAGAAUCUAAUCGGAUGGUCAUCAUGAUGCUAGGUGUCGAAAUCUUGUUAAUUGCCACAAGUAAUAGAGUUGCCAUUUUGAAAACACGUUUUUCUCCACAGAUUUUUUGAAGCACACUUGACAAAAUAAAAAUCAGAAGUUUGAAUUCUCAACACCAACUUUACGUGGAAGCGUUCAAAUAAUUUUGUUAAUCUUGAUUCAAAGAGAGAAAUUUCUUCCUUUCAUAACGGUGGUUUUAGAGAAAUUCAAAAUUUCCGUAAUGGGAUAAAAACUCUUUUGGUCACCAAACUUUAAUAUGUACUUCAGUCAUCGUAAUUAUUUUAGCAUAAAUGGUCAGUGAACUUAUAAAGUUGUUCCAAUUAAGUCACUGGCUAUGAAUCCAUUAGUUAAAUUUAACACAUUUGGGGAUGUGCCUACAAAUUCAAUCUCGCUACGGUGAUAUUAAAUUUGACAGUUUUUUUUACAGUGUGUGAAGUGGCACACUUUUUUACCCUUGAUUUCAACAACACUUAAAAUAAUUCGUGGCACAUAUUUUUACGUCUUAUAAAAUGUCAACCUUAAUGUAUACAUAGAAUGUACUAAUAGCAUUUUCCCUACAAAUUUUUGCAAGAAUUAUGUGAGAAAAGAAAUGACAAUAAACUCAAGUCAAAUUAAUAUCCACUUCAAUAAUAAGUGUCUGAGUUUAAACAUUUAAGCGAGUGCUAUGAAAUCAAAAUCACAUGUGAUGCAAAACAUAAUUGUAAUGUUGUGUUGCUCAUUGGACUGUUUUCAUCCAAAAUAGACACAAAAUUCCUUGAAAAAUUACUUCUUUAAAUCCUAGUCUAAUGAGCAAAACACAACGGCUUUACCCCCUAUUUACGGUCCAUUUUAGUCAAAUUUCAUCGUUUAGGGUUUCGAAAAUGAUUUUUUUUCACGUUUUUAAUUGAUUUUGUUAAUUUUAAUUAAAUUAGGAUUUUAAUUCCUUUUAGGAUUAUAUUAUCUUUAAUUCUUAUCAUUGUCUGAAGUAAGUCAUUAUCUAGAAGUUUAGUUAUUAUCCAUAUUUUAAUUAUUGCUUUAAAUAUAAGUUGGAAGCCUUAAUGGUCUUAAUUGAAUUUAAUUAUAAUAAAGAGCUUUGAGAAGUUUCUCAAAAUUAUUCCAUCUUUCUUGACAUUCGUGAGCGAAUCAACAAGUUUGAAUCUUUUGCGAGUUUUUGUUCUUCCCUAUAAGCUUCCGCUACGUCAACAUGUCAAACACUAGCUUAUUAAUGCCAUCUCAUAAUUCUUAUAACUACCGUCAAUGACAUAAACAACAACACCUAAACAAAACCAUAAACUUUAGUAAUUGAUAUGGAAGGAUUGUCUUAACUGAAAUAUCUUUGUAAGUUUACCGACAAUCUAUGCUAAAAGGGAGUCACUAAAAUGUCACAUUUUGAGAGUUUGAUGACCAGAAAAGUUUGUUAACCUGUUCAGAAAUUAUAUAAAUAUAAAAAUGAUGAAUACUAACUUCACGUAUCAAUGUUACAUACUAGUCAUUCUCAUCCAAGACACAUGAGAGCGUAGUUGAGAUUGAAGACCAAGAGUUGAGGCAUCACAUGGAAUUGACCCAUAAUCUCCAUUGCCUCCUCCUCCUCGUCCUUCUUCCAAUUGUCUCUCAUGUCUCUCCCCUCUCUAUUUCUUGAUAUCGUUUUUUUGUGACAUUAUUUUGUAUUUAAGAUCUGUUUGCCAAGCUAAAUGGUUAAUCUCCUUUUACAAGAUAAAUAAAGUUAUAAAAUUUGAGAAAUUGUCGCAAAUGGUCACUAACCUUAGUCUACCUUGUGGAAAUGGUUUAUAAUAUGUUUCUUGGCACAAACCUCACCGACCAAUGUGUUUUAGUGCUAUUUUGGUCCUUUUUAUGAAAAAGACCAAAAUGCUCUUAAAUUUUUGUUAGAAAAAAUUGCAGUUGGGUUCCUAAACUUUGCAAAAAGGUGCAAAUGGCUACUUUACCGUAUCUUCUUAUAAAAUAAAUUGAAGGAAACUAACAAGAUCAUUUUUGUUCCGAUUUAAAACUUUAUUGAUCAAAUUGAUUAUAUGCGUGAACAUUUUUUAUUUUUUAUUUUUUUGUGUAUAUUUUACAAAUCUAUUAUGAACUAAUUUAAGUUUAAACUUGUACUUAAUUAACAAUAGCAUGUUAAAGAAAAUUAUUGGUUGUAUUAUUAAGUAAUUACGCUGUUUUAGAAUUUAAACUUUUAUUUUAUAUUUAUAACAAAAAGAUAAUAGAAAACAAUAUUUUAUCACGAAGACAAAUCUGUGAGUAUUAAGCAGGUAGAUGCUCUCAAAAUAAAGCAGUCGGCUUGGAUACAACAGUUGGGUGAUUAUAAAAAAUAGACUUGUGUUAUAUCACCAAAUUACAAGGUAGUGAACUACAUGUUCAAAUAAAUGAAUUUCGUAUCUUAACAUUUAAUCUAGCCAAUGAUUAAAUGUUAUUUAUUGUCAUGUGUACAAGUUAAUUAACAUCAAUAUUGUUACACAGAAUUAUUCUUUCAAAUUAGGCGAAACUGUUUUUAGCAAUUGUUAGGCUUUAUUUAUUAUUUUUGUUGAAGGGUCAAAUAACUGGAGUCAUGGUUGCGAGGGUAGGGUUUGUAUUUAAAAGUCCAUUGGUUCCUCGAAUUAGGUGUAUAUUAAAAGGUUUGAAUUCGCUCCAAUCAUCACAAUUAUUUUUGUAACAAACAUGGAUUACAUGAUAUGUUUGGCCACGACAUCAUAGUUAAUAUACAGUGCAACUUGCAAGUGUGAAAACAACAUUCCUACCACAAAUGAAUUUCGAACUCUACUUGAGGGGAAUGGGCUCAAAUAGUAAAGCUAAAAUGCGAUCUUUAGUUUCAUGAUUUUGAAUUCCAUGUCCAUCUCCAUACUGGUACAUGUAUUGUGCCAUUCGAGCAAGAUUCACUGCAAUUUCAAUGAAUGUUUGUGAGAAUGGACAAUUUGCAUCUCGACCUUUGUUAAUCUUUUUCCAGGUCUCGCAUAUCAAAAACCUUAUGUGUUUGCGUGACUCAUCUUCGGAAGCACCAGUCUCAUUCAUGUAACAUUGUAUUGAUUUAGGAACGUCGCCUCUUUCCAAUUCAUCCUGAAUUAAUAAAGCAUAAAAAACACCUUUAGUUGAAAGGGUUAAUUUCGAAUUCCUAUUGUCUCGUUGAUUUCAUUAACCAAAAAUCUCGUAAACAUGAAAUGAAAUGGCUUGCUGCAUACGUACCGAUGAUGUUGCUAAAUCAUCUGCAAGCCUUAAAAUCGUAGCCGACCAACGAACUAUAUCAGGAUAUUUCUCUAAGCACUGAAUGGCUUCUUUCUCUAUUGGAUUGGUAACAGAGAAAAAAGAGUGUGACAAUAUUACAUGAGCUGAUAUUGAAAUCAAUGCGUUUUCCAUAUACUCUUCCAUUGUUGGGGUGUAUCCAGUCAAGCACCAUUUUGCCUCUUGAAAGUAUGCUUUGCAUAAAUCUGUCCACUGUGACAUUGAUUUGACAUGCUUAUUUUAAAUAUCUUAGAUCAGAAAAUUUUAAAGAUAUUUAAAACAUAUAGAGAAAUUUCUGUUGGUUGUACUAAAUGAUAAAAUACGAGAUCGCUAUAGAAACAAUACUCAAUAUAAGGGCUCGUGCAAUUGUGCUACUCCUCUUAACUUUGUUAAUAUUUUAAGAUAGAAGUCUACGACCCAGAAGGCGUAUCAUACGAGAUUUGACAAUAAAACGAACAAUAUUUUCUUUUUCUUCUUUAAUAUUAUUUGAUGUUAUCUAGCGUGUGUUUGAGCCACAGAAUUUUGAAAGAAUGUAUGGUUAAAAAAUAAGAAAAUGUUUUGGAUUUAUGUGUAAUAUUAUUUUAUUAAAAAAUGUAUAGUUGAAAUGAUGUCAAAUUACUUUUAGGAAUAUAUAUAUAUAAUUUUUUUUUUUUGAAAGAAUGCGAUUCAAACAGACCUGAUAUUCAUCAUAAUACACAUGCUAAUAAGGAUAUAUUCUUGAAGGAAACUAAUAGUACCACUUUUCUUAAAUAUGGAAUAAUUACGAUCCCUUUUUCUCUGAGAACAUCGUAAGCCAUUUCAUUGACGAAGUUGUUGAGUGCUAGAUAGAAAAUUUGCAUGUAAUCUGGAAGUUGCUCGAUUGCAUUGACAUCCCAUCUGUAAAGUUCCAAGAAGAAAUAAUUGUAAGAGCCACAAAGAGAAAGGAGGCUUAAAAAGAAACAUUUGGAGGACGUUGCUAACCUUUCAAUGAUGAAUGUAAAAAGUUCCAGUUCUUCCAAGGUACCAUACACAUCAUAUAUAUCAUCCAUAAUUGUAAUAAAAACAUUUACUUUGGUUGCAUCUAUUCGUGAAAAUCCAUAUUGUGGUUCAAAUAGCACUCCUAUAUUCCAAAAGAAACAUUCCACCAGCCUAUCCCUGGCAAAUGACAACAUCUUGGCAAGGCAUGUUCUUUCCCACCACCUAUUCAUAUACAGAAACAAAGGAUGGUAAGGUUAGGAGCUUAAAAUACGAUAUAUUUAGCGCACUUGGCAAUACCUGGAGACAUAUUUUAGUUCCUCAAGAUAUGUUGCUUGAACAAUGUUGAAAUCCAGUUUUGCGAGUUGGAGAAGAAUUGGAUUCUUGUCUGGUCUCUUCUCAUAUUUGUUUAUGAACCGCCUGUUGAAUGAAUUAAAUAAAUGAGUACUCUCCUAAUAGAUUAAACUUUUUGACGAAAUAGUUCAACACUACCUUGCUUCAGCCCGAGGUAUGGGGAGUACGUGCCAGUUGUUAUUAAAAAUUGGCCUUCAGUGGAUGACAGUAAAAAAAUUGAACUUUGGAAUUUUAUACAGGUACAUUUAUUUAAUAUGAUACUUUUUUAUUACUGGUUAUAUACAUUUUUCCUUCAAAGUUUGAUUGCCAUUUUCGAUCAUAUAUCGACCAUUUUUUAUAUUUGUGAUAAUUGUAGCAAAGAUUCAAUGUCAAUGACUGCCAUCAAAAAAUGGCAUUUCAAUGUAUGGGAACAUAUUGGAGGACAUUCAAAUCGAGAUUGAGAAGAGAUAUCAAACGUCAAGUACCAUCUGCCAUGAAUAGAAAACGCGCUAUUGCCCUUCUUAGACCGAAGAAUAUAACCUCAGAAGAAGCAUGGGAGAAGUUUGUAGAAGAUACUCUUUCCACUGAUUUUCAAGUAAGUUAUAUUUUCGUAUGAACUUUAAACUUUGUAGUCAAUUAUUGUUGGUUUAUAUUGUUUUCCUUAACAGGAAAAAAGUUCUAAGUUCAGCAAAAUGAGAAGUAGUCAGAAGCUUCUCCACACUAUGGGUCGGAAGGGUUAUUCACGUAUGGCUCACGAUUUGGUACAAGAACUAUCUUUCUUUAUUUUUGAUAUGUGUCUUUAUUGAUUUCAUAUACGUGUCUAUGAUUGAGUUGAAUAUUGUUAUUGUAGAAAAGAAAGAAUCCAAAUAUAACAGGAUUGAGAACGACAGUAUGGACUCAUGGACAUCUUCGAAAGGAUGGGAAUCCAAUAAAUGAGGCGGUUGCUGAAACUUUGGUACGUGUAUUGUGUAUAUAUAUAUAUACACACACACUAGAGAGAGAGAGAUGAUCUAUCAAACGGGCAAAAUGUAACCCUGUGGCGCUUUAGUAUUUUGAAUAAUUCUAAACGAACAUAGCCGACGAUAUAGAGGAUGACAUAGCACUCACAUAAAAUGCGUGCGCCCCGGGGUGAAUAAAAAAUUGCCGACCCCCCAUGUGUGAGGGCUAUGUCAUCCUCUAUUUUCAUCUAGCAAGGUUCAUGGAAUAAAGUUGUCGGUUGUGGCACUAUAGUAUUUUUCACAUGGAAUAAUACGAAGUCACCGUGUUAAGUGUUAAAAUUGGCACCGACAACGGAAAGAAAGUUGAUAUUUGCAGGAAUUUCUCUGCUUGUACAGAGCAGUGCUGCCAGACUUAAUACACAUGUUGCCAUGCUGCUGUGACAGCAUCUGUUUGGUCUGUCAUUUUUCUUUUUUUUCCAACAGAAAUUGCCAAGUGUUUUCUGUAAAAAUUUUGGCAGCAUAUUUUCUGCACGAAUAGCGGAUCUCUAUUUGCAGUAAAAAAGAAGAAAUUUAUGUAGGGACAGGAGACCAAAUAGGGAAGAUGGAUGAGUAUUUUUUUGGCAAUUCCAUGUGAGUAGUUGGAGGGGUAUUGUGCACCCAGCAAAAUUCUUGGAAGUAAUUCCUUCAAAAAUGCACAGUACACGUGUGCAUUCUCUUUGAUUUUCAACAUUUUGAACCAAAAAUCUAUGUAUCAGAAUUCACUGUAUAGAUGAGAAUUUGGUGAGUUAGAUUGAUUCUGAGUCCACGUAUCAUUACUUACUUUUCGUUCUAAAAACAAAAAUUUCUAACGAGCUUUGAAUGUCGGAGACCCAACACAUGAGUGAUUCACUUCUUAUUGCUCUUCUUAUUAAACCAAACAAAUAGAUGGAGAUACAUCUUAAUUCGUUUAUUUAUUUUAUCAUCUAAUUAAAUACUUUUAAUUAGGAGCUAUUUUGUCAUUCAUAGUUAGGAUUCGUCACUUUUUAAACUCUUUUAAGAGCGUGUUGUUUUCUUUGUUGUUUCUUAUGAUCUAAAUAAAAUUGGAGUUUUUCCCAAUUGUUCAAUCUUAUUUAGCCAAAAUCAACGAAAUUCGACUUGUGUAUAUUCGUUCUCACUGCUUCACUAUCUAGAGUUGGUAGAGUUAGAGACAAUCUUUGGAAAAGAUGCAUAUCAAGUAUAUCAAUUACUAUUUUAUUAUUAUUAUUAUUAUUUUUUAAAAUUUGUCUGUGUCUUCGUCGUCGAUUUCGGAAAUAUUGACAUAUUGAAUUUUUAGGACAAAUUGCACAGAACAUGCCUAUAAUUUACAAGUUUUGAAUCUGUUAAUGUAUUUGCCAAACUAUUGUAGUGGAUUGUAAUUUUGAUUUCCACGACUUAAGCACAAACGAAAUUGAACAUGAGAGAAAUCUUCUGUCAUUAAUAUAGUGGUGGCAAGUUUUGGGCCAGACUCGAUUUCUCAUGACGACCAUUAUUCUAAAUGUGAACCAUUAUUCUUGUCUAGAUCUUUAGAUGAGCCAUUGUAUAAUUUGCCUAAUCAUUGGGGUGGUAGGAAAAUUUUGACUUUGUUAGAAUUAAGGUGUGACUCGAAUUCUAUUUGAAAGAUAAGUGAAAAUUUUAAUUAAAGCUGACUUAAGGAAAAUUUUAUUUGGAAUGCUAUUUUGAAAUCCUAUUUGAAGUUUGUUAGGUAAAUUCUAGUUGAAAUUCUAUUUGGAAGUCAACUGAGAGUUGAAAUUUGUCUUGGAUUUGAAGAGAUCAAGAUAUAGAUUAGGAAGGACUUUUGGCGCAAUCGUGCUCGCUUGGCGCUUGACUUGAGCUCGAGCGUCCAAAGCAGUGAAGCCAGCGACCGCCUAAUGCUCGAGUGCCAUAUUCAUCCUACCUGGGCCCAUUUUCGCGUUUUACAAGCUUUUUCAACAUUCUAUUUCUUCUACGAUAUCAAGACCAGGGUUAUGGAUGUCUUCUAUUUGUUUCCUAUUUAUAUUUGGUUAUUCUUUACAAAUUAAUCAGGUUGUUAAACCUCAUUAUAAGUUAGACAAAUUAUAAACACAAAAUCAUUAUAUUCUUUCUCCAUAUUCUAGUGAAAUAUCAUUUCCUCUACAAAUUAUCUGGUUCUUGGGUUUGUGUUCAAUUACUUCAUAUUGUGCCAUAAAUAUAUUAUUCGUUUCUCGUCCAUUAUUACAACGAACUGUUAUCAGAGCAAUUCGAUAUCUUACAGACUUUGUCGAAAUAAGCAAAAAAGAAAUUGAACAUAACAAGUGUCAUUAAUUUAGUGGUUGAGUGACCAUUUUUUCUCUGUUGCUGCCUUAAGAUUUGGGUUUAGUAGAGGUGGGUUUAAGUGCAAGUUGACGUAGCCAUCGAGUUCACAUUUUUUAUUAUUUUAUUUUUUUGAAUAAUUAUUUUACGCAACAGUAUAAUUGGCGUGGAUGAUUUGAGAUCUUUAUAUAGAUCAUAUUUGGCUAGCCUGAAAGGUACCUUCCAACAAAUUUUGCGGUUGACUGUGUUUACAAGUUUAUUCAACAAAAUAACUAUUUUAUCCUCAACUAUUUCAUUUAUCAAAGCUAAAGAAAUAUCCCUUAUUCACACGAAAUUUGUAGUAUGUAAAAAAUUAUAUAUAUCAUAUACAUUUCAUGCUCAACGAGUGACAAAGUGACAAAUGUCACAAUAUUUUAGUAAGUUUAGUGAUAACUUGAAUAACCUUUGAAGUUCAAUGACGUCUAAGAAAAAUUUGAGAAAAUUUAAUAGUAACUCGCUUAAAGUUGAAAGGCAAUUGAGAAACAUUAAUGUUCAAUAGCAAUAGAAAUCUUUAACUCUAUAUAAGACCCUGUUUGACAUCCAUUAAAAGGAAUUUUUUGAGAAAAAUGUGUUUUGGAAUAAAGAUUUUUUGGAGAAUUAGUUGUUAAAAAGUAGGAAAAAGUUUUAAAUUUGCGUACAGAAUAUUUUAUUUUAAGAAUGUGAUUAAAAACGUGCACUACUCAAAAUUAAUUCGAGUUAUGCUAUUAUUAGAAAAUAAAAUACAAAUUCAAAAUUUUAAAAUCCAAAGUAAAUAAUACUCAAACAUUUUUUUUUUUUAAAGGGGGCGAACUCCAGUCUGGCCCCAUUUGAGACGUGACGGGACGAAUUUUUUUGCCAUCUCUUAUUUUUUCAUGCAAUCAAAUUUUGAUUAUGGAUAAUGUAGGAACUAGAGAAAGAGAGAGACGCGAUGGGGGCUUCUGAGAUGAAGAUUCAAGUGAAGAUGAUGCUUGAUAAAACAAUAGAGCCACUUGAAGUAUCAGCACCAACUCAAAUAAGUUGGUAAUGGCAUGCAAGAAGCAAUACAUAAACAGGGCCCAUGUGGCCCUGUAUGAGAAGAGCCGUUCAUUAUGUGGGGACAAAAGGUGUGAUUAGACUGCAAGUAGAUUGAAAGUAAUAAUGCUUUCAAUAAUGCAAGCAAAUAAUUGCAUUAUGUUUGCAAAAUAAAUGCUAUCACUCUCUUGACAGGAUCUAGAUAUUCUUCAUUUUGGAUAAAAAAAUUAAGUUGCAAAAAAUUUUCAAUCAACAUAACAUUAAUGGGAAUAAUUCAAUACAUUACUACGAAUGUUGUCUAUGCAUUUCCAUAAUUUGAAAUCAUUGUAUAAUUACAUUAUUAUCAAUAUUGCAAAUAUAGCGUCCUCAAUGUACAAAACUGACUAUCAUUCAAUAGUCGAAUAUCCAAUUCAAUUGCAUGGUUCAAACCGUGGUUGAGGUCUUGAGGAGUUUGAUGUUGAUGUGGAGAAAAACUAUGGUCGGUCGUCGACGUUGAUGUUGAUGACCUAGGUAGGAAAACGCAAUUAUAUGGUAAAAAUGACAAAUCUAGGUAUUGGGGGAAGAAUGAGGUUCAAGGCUUAAAAGAAGUUGGUAGGCAGAAAGUGGAUGAAAAAAAAAAAAAAAAGUGUUCAAACUUCAAAUAGUAGAAAAGGGAAAAAAAAAAAAAAAAAAAGUGUUCAAACUUCAAAUAGUAGAAAAGUGAAAAAAAAAAAAAACUAAAAUUUAAAAAGAAAAUUCCAAAAUUUUCAUGGGCUCAGCAAGCCCCAUAUGAUCCCCACGUAACUCCAAUCAUAAAUCAAUCCAAUGUCAUCACUUACUAUCAAAAUACUUACCCAAUUCGUAAUGCAUUAAUUGACUUAUACGUAAAACAUUAAGAUCACGUUUUUUAAGCUGUUUGGGACAAAAAUCUUCAAUGUCUCUUUUUGAGCCCUUUACAAAUAUGUCCACUUCAACAUAUAAAAUAAGUGUUGUACCUUGGAAAAAAAAAUAUUACACAUCAUUCUUCUUUACUUCUGUAAAUUUUAUCUGUAAUUCAUGAGAAUAUUUCGAAUGAUUGAUAUAUUUCAAGAGUAUUCUAGAAAUAUCUCUCUAGAUGUAUUGUACAACAAAAUCUUGGUAUCUUGUGGCUAGGCAUGUCCACACAACAAUAAUUCCCAAACAAAGAAAAAUGAAAAAAAAAUGAUCAUUUAAUAAAGUUUAAUUUAUAUUUUUCUUUUUUAGCUCGUUUUGCAUUUUGUGUUUUCACUCCAUGGAUGAGAUUUUUUUUCAAUAAAAGUAUCACUGCAAAAAUUUAUAUGUGAGAAAAAAAAGUAUAAAUCGAUAUAUAUAUAUAAGUGACCCCAACAAAACAAGAUAAAGCAUAUAGACAAAGAGGGAACACCAUAUUAUAAUUAAAUGACAUUAUUUGAAUAUGAACAAUUUUAUUUUAUUAAUAAAGAUGAAUUAUGUGUGACAGAUGUUAUUAAUCAUCACAAGGAAAUGAUACUUGUACAAAUGAUCGUUUAAGAGGAUAAGCUUAUUUUUAUUAAAGUAUAUAUACAAUUAAUUGCAAAAUGGAUGGAAGCCAUCGAAAAUGACCUUUUUAUUUUCACACAACAUCAAUAUGUUGAGCGGGUCAACGCAACGAUAGUAACAUUAGGGACCAUUUCCACACAACGACCUUACAUUAAGGACCAUCUAUACCAAUUUUCUUGUUAAUUAGUGCUCCACCUUUGUGUUCUCUUGAAUUAAAAAAAAAAAAAAAAAAAAAAAAAAAAAAAAAAAAAGGCCCUCAACGUAUGGAUCUAUUGUCAAAUACCUUCACCUGUUUAAAUUGGUGGAAACCAUUUAGAAGUGCGGAACCCAUUUUCUUUCAUUUUCUCAUAAAUCCCUGUGAAAUGACGAUUUGAGGAAAAAAAAGUGUAGAGACGACAAUUUGAUAUGUUAAAUUAGAUGUAAUAUGCUAUGAAUAAGGGUAGUGAACAAAAGCACUAUAAUUUCAAAAAUGUGGAGAAACACAACUAUUUGGUUUGUGAUCUGAAAUGAAGGUUAUUAUGCACAUAAAAAUUGCAAAGAUUCAAAUCAACAGGACACGAUGAGUGGGGGCAUGACAAUAUUGCUAGAAUAUGACCCAAAUUUCUAUUGGGAUUAGGAUUGGAUUGGUAAAUUGAUAAAAGGAACAAGAGUCUUCUUGGAUUGGAAGUUCAAUUGAAAAGGAGGAUUAAAGUUCAUCAAUGAUUGAAAUUUGAUUGGUAAAAGAACAUUGGAAAAUUGAAGACUUGGUUUUGAAAUUUUGGUGGAGAAAAAAUCGUCGCAAUUUUUCUAACUGGCAACUAACUUUGGUGUUCAAGCAUUAGAAGUGAAAAACUGAGCAAAGAGUUGCUGUCCGCCUAGCAUCGCCUGGCACUGGUGUGACACUAUUAUUCAGACGGGAAUCCUUUUUUGAUUCUGACUACUUUCUUGAGUCGUAUUUUAUCCAAAAUACUUGUAAUGGAUUCUAUAUAUAUAGCAAAAAUCUCUCAAUAAAUUUUGGUUCCAGGUUCAGAAAAUAAUCAAACGAACACCGAUUUACCUUGACUAGACCCAAGACUUUUGCCUUCACUUUGGACUGCUUUCUUUCUCUCUAACCCCACAAAGGAGAAGGGUGGUGGUGUUAUCAAUCCACAAAGGUAUGGAGAGAAAGAAGGAGAUAUCACAAUGGUUGAAUCUUACUCACAACCUCACUUGGCUUCCCUCUUUCUCGGCUGUCUCUCUUCUCUCAACUCUCCUCUCUAUUGUUACAACACACACACACACCAAACGGGUGGGAGAUAGAUACAUAUAUAUAGGUUAGUUUAGGUCAUCAAAUAUGGGCUAAGAGAUCUCUAAGUGGGCUGCCAUAUAACCUAAAUAAUGGGUCAAUUUCCAACUCCAUAUUAAUCUCUAAAUAGUCCAACUAACCAAAUAAUCCUUCAACCCAAACUCGAGCCAUCCAAAAGUGUAGUUCCUCUCCGAGCCGAGCUAAGUCCAUGGUGUCGAUAAAUAAUCCGACAACUGAUUUAAAUCAUCGCCCAGAUUAUUGGGUAUCAAAAAACCUAACAAUCUCCACCUUGAUGCCCAAUAAUCUGCAAGUAUCCAAAACACACAGUUUAUACUUACACAAUCAAGGUAAUCCAAUAAAAUUGGAAUAAUAGACCUUACCUCGUGUUUCGAACCGAAACAUAUACCAUACUUGCUCCAUGUAUACCAGGGCUAAGAUCAAGAACACCCAAGUAGAAACAAGUAUUCACAGUGAACAAACAAUCAUGCGAUGAAGAUAUAAAGGAUAAUAUACACAGAGAUCUUUCCAAAUCACAUUCACACAGAACCACAAAUUAACACCUAGUUAAUCAACACACGGUCAUGCACAUAUGAAACAAAUGCAUAAAUGACCCAUGAAAGAUCUCACCACACUUAUCCUAUCCCAUUUCGUGUUACUCCCACCUCCAGAACACAUAUCUCCUCUCAUCGCCCACCAUGCUCACUAUACUAAUCACUCAACUCAUGUCUAAUUGACAUGUCACAAUAGAUCCUAAAUUCAGGGAUAAUCCUCUAUCACCACAUCACUUCUUCCAACUUACGUGGAUAAUGGGACUCCACCUUACAGAAGUGAUAGAAGUGCCUCUCUCGCACUCCACCUGUACAGGGUCUCUUUCACUAAUAAAGGAUUCUACACAUUUGAUCACAUCUCCACUCGUAAUCCAAAUGUCACACUCUACAUCCCCCGGUACAAAACACUGUGUACCCUUAGGCAUCUAUACUCCACCUUACCAAAAGACAUCCAACUUACUACUAAUGCAUCUCAAACUUACUUUGGUAAAUCAAAACCUUUCGAUGACCACAAAGGUUACUCCAAUCACCAAAGCUUCAAAAAUCAACAAAGAAAAUGGUGAGGGUGGCACUCACAAAGAAAACUCGAAGAAAGAGUUGAUUACUUCACAACACUCACAAAGGAGGCUUACAAAGAUAAAGGAGAGAAACGGCUGCUCAACUUUCUUUUCACUACCACACUCUCACACCACUCACAGAGGAAACAGAGUACGCCACAAAACUCAACCCACUAUGCAUGUAAAUAUAUUACACAAAGUAAUAAGUCACUCUAAUUCAUGCAAUUACACACAUUAAAUACAUUGAAAGUGUAACAUCAACAUUGCAACAGAAUUAAGUGACCACAUACAUGCAGAAAGGAUUACACACAGAUGCAAUGUAAGAACCCAGUUUAUUCUCUCAAUAAACCUCACUAGGAUCACUACUCGACCCUAAAGUCACAUUCGCCUCGUCUCUAUUGUCAUCUUUCCUUUUAUUAUCAUCUUAGAACAAUCUCUUUCAAUUAUGUCUACCACAAUUAAAACAUAUUUUAUUUUUCGUACUUGUCUUAGACCUAUACAUACUAAUUAUACCAAAUAAUAACCACAAGAAAAGUAUUGACAUAUAAUUCACACAGAAUAGUCAAGUAAACUUUCCUAAGGUCACAUGCAAUUCUAUCGGUAUAGAAAAAAUUGGUGACAAAUUCGCAUUAAAUUUAAGACAAUUAAUUAACAUGUAAUUCCUAGGUCUACCAACAGGCAAUGGUUUCUCCAAACCUAAUGUCACCCCAUACUAUCACUUCUAAUGUGAAAAAUAAAUAAUUAACCUACACAUUAAUUUUAACUGCAAUAAUAAAAAGCAAAGAAUACGAUACCGAGCAGACCAUGUUUGAAGGUCCGUAAAUAUUGAGACAUGAGAAUUCACCACUUUAGGAAUUCACCAUUCAUCCUAAAGUCAACAGCAACCACAACAACACGAAAACAGCACCCGGUACUCGAACAUCCAAGGGCAAAAUCGUCCAACUUUCACUGUAUUACUCCAAACUGAAAUUCGACAACACUGCAGGGUCCGUCUCAUCUCCAGCAACAUUCUGUCUAAAAACACCAUCACUGGAUUCCGACCGAUGCGCCCUCACGCGCCACGUCGAAAUUCCCACGUGCCAGCGACCGUCGGCCACGCGCUGGCGAUGCCCCAACCUUUCUGAACUAUCUCCACCUACACAGUCCAAUGGUGGUAUCCGUUUCUCCAAAUUUUUUUUUGGUUUCACCAUAAAACACCAAAACAGAUCCGGCAGAAAAUUGAAAAACUGGACAGUUUCUGCCACUGAUUUCCAGAUCCGUUUCUGACCACUUCCAGCCCGUUUUAGCCCCAAAAAUCACAGAUUUAUCAACAACACAAGCUUUGAUACCAUUUGUAGCGGAAAUCCCUCGAUAAAUUUUGAUUCCGGGCUCAGAAAAUAAUCAAACGAACACUGGUUUACCUUGACUCGACCCGAGACUUUUGCCUUCACUUUGGACUGCUCUCUUUCUCUCUAACCCUACAAAGGAGAAGGGUGGUGGUGUUAGCAAUUCAGAAAGGUAUGGAGAGGAAGAAGGAGAUACCACAAUGGUUGAAUCUUACUCACAACUUCACAUGACUUCCCUCUCUCUCGGCUGUCUCUCUUCUCUCAACUCUUCUCUCCAUUGCUACAACACACACACCAAAUGGCUGGGAGAUAGAUACAUAUAUAUAGGUUAGUUUAGAUCACCAAAUAUGGGCCAAGAGAUCUCUAAGUGGGCUGCCAUAUAACCUAAACUAAUGGGCCAAUUUCCAACUCCAUAUUAAUCACUAAAUGGUCCUACUAACCAAAUAAUCAUUCAACCCAAACCCGAGCCAUCCAAAAGUGUAGUUCGUCUCUGAGCCGAGCCAAGUCCAUGGUGCCGAUAAAUAAUCCGACAACUGCUUUGGAUUAUUGGAUAUCAAAAAACCCAACAAUAUAUACUAUAUUCCUCGUGGAAUAGGCUCUUAAAAGGAUAAAUUAACAAUAAAAUCAUAGUUAUAUAGAUUAAAAACUUGAGAGAGUUAUUUAAAUUUAGAUUGAGAGUAUCAUAUCUCGUAAAACAAUUUUAGUUUCUUGAUAUAUUUAAAUUCUUCUCCUCUUUCAUAUAAAUCUUGGUGUUCUUGCGUGAUCCAUUAUUUUUCAUAUUGCUCUUAUUUUCUCGUCUUUAUUAUUUGACCCGAUUUAUCUUUGCAAUUUCAUAUGAUUCAUCAAGAACUAUGCAAGUUGAGUUUUGAUGAGAAAAAAUACUGAUACAUGAUUGAAUGGAAAAAUAAAAUUAUAUGAAAAUAUGUAUUGUCUAUUGCCUACUGUUGAAUUUUCUGAACAAUCUUUUUCUUGUUGGAACCAGAAUCUAAAACUAUGGUUUCUAUAAUCCUCUUGGCCGCAUUGUUAAUUUGGGGCAUCUUCAUCUCUGCUACUCUGGGACGUGGAGUCGGGCCAGUCGGCGACCCAUUACCACGGUUAUGUCGAACCGGCAAACUGUUGACAGAUCGUGUAAUUAUGCGUCGGGUGUGCAUGUCCAUUUUUUGGUUCUUUGGUUCAAAAAUCUCCCUCGAAGUUGUAUCGUCACGAUUCGUCUGCUUCUUGGAGGAACUCUUUCGUGGUUGGCAAUUCGCUGUUUCUAUAACAGCUUAUUUACAGCUCCUACUGUAGUGAAUAGUCGACGGAGUUGUAGAUCUAAGAAUAGGAAGGUGAAGGUAAACACUUCAGAAGAUCUUUUUAUAGAGAUUCAUAGGCACAAAAUGAUUUGUCAAGGCAAGAUUUCAGUGGAUAUUUUGUCAUAAAUACGAAUUUGGAGAGAACGGUGUUCUGGAUGUAAUAUCUUCAGUUACAAUGAUUUGGGAGGGUAUUGAAAGAGAGAACUAUCGAUAUAAUUUAGGGUUUCGAUUAUGAGCGAUAGACCAUGAUUUGGGAGUGGAUGAACGGAGACGAAGGGACGAGGUAAGAGAGAAAUCUGAUUUGGGAAAGAAAUGAUAUAGAGUUACUUGUACAUGAAUUUGGGAUUUGAUAAAAUUCAUCAUGAUUUAAUUGUUGAUAAAGUAAGACGCUAAUUAAUUGCAUGAUAACAAGGAGUACAACACCAACCAGGUAUAUCUCAAAUGCAUGUUUCAUUGAUGCAUCUUCUUUUGUCAAUGUCAAAAAUGAGUGGAAUAUUGUAAAUGUCACCAAAGAUUCUUCUGCAGAUUAAAAGGGCCAAAAAGUUUCAUUCCAAAACAGAACUUCUGACAUUGGAUUCCACGAACAUUAGCUUGUCUAUAUUAGGAGUGAUAGAAGCUCGCUCUAAUAUCAACUGAUGUAGGCAAAAGCAUAAAAAAUAAUGUAAAGAACAUGCUAUUUGUAAGUGUUAUGCCCUAGAUCCAAUCGAUUUAGGUUGUAAAUGCUUUUAAUAUAUUUAAUGCAUUUGAUUUUGGCGAGAUCUAUUAUUUAUUUAAAUUAAUUUUGUAAUAAAUAAUAUUAAAUAAUAGAAUCCGAAGAUCCAAUUUUUAGAUAAUCUGUUAAUCACAAGGAGUUGUGAUUGUGAGAUACAAAUUACAUAUAAUUGGAUCUUGAAUAAACCAUGGUCGUAAGUAGUAACGAGAUACGAAUAUCGUUAAUACAGUUAGACCAUCACGUGUGGCAUUUCUUACUUGUGAAGUAAGUAGCUGAUCUCACGAGCUAAAGUAUAGUGACACUUAAAUGAACACGUGGGUGUUUUGUUAUAGAACAAAACAUUGGAGACCUGCUAAGAGAUUCCACAUAGAUAACUAUCUGAGUGUCAGUGGCUAAUCUCUAACGUUCGGUAGUGGAAUUGGUCCUUUGACUUGAGGUCAUCAUGAUACCUUAUAUGAGGACAGUCAUACUUUGGCGGUGUUGGAUGUUGCUCUGAAAGGGGCUGUUAAUACGACAUCGUUUGGGUACGUCAAGAAUCGUAUGAAGGUUGUGAUUGAUCAAUAAAGGAUUCGUCACUCUUAGAUAGUAGGAGAUUAUGAUCUGCGUUUCAUUCAAUUAAGUCGAUGAUGAAAUCCUUGUCCAAGGUGUACUCAUAAGUCGAAAAGGAGUUUUCAAUUUAUAUUGACUUAAUAGUGGAGUGAAAGAUAUGAUCAAUGAUCGAGAUUGACACAAUUCCAUAUCUCGUAAUUGAUCGGAUCGUAUUGACGAAGGGAUAAUAGUUUCACGGUAAACGAACGAAUUUGGUUUUGUCAUACCACGUGACAUUUCCCGUCACAUGUAUUGCCUUGACACAUUGCUAGAUGUCAAUCAUGGACAGCGAGUGUGAAUUGACGAUAAAUUAAAAGGGUGUAUUGAUUUAUCAAUUUUUGAUUAGAUCAAAAAAAAUAUAUUUCACGACGUUAGGCAUCGUGGUCGGGAACCUAAUGGGUCGCACACAAAAGAGAAUUGGAAGAUUGCAAAUUGUCAAUUGGUUAAUUUAACAAUCGUUGAAUAAAUUAAUUAAUUGAAUUUGUUAUUUAUAAUCCCGAAUUAAUUAAUUGGAUUAAUUAAUUCACGGACCGGGUUUAAUUAAUUGGAUUAAUUAAAUAUUGGACCGGACCGGGCCGGGUCCGUUUGGGUUUAUAUAUAUACACAGCUAGGGUUUGAGGUCCAUAAGGUAUUCAUUAUUCUUGCUGGCACAAGAGAGAAACCCUAGUAGUUGCAGUCUAUUCUCUGUAUGGAUUUCAUUGGAGGCUGGACAAUUGGACAGCUGUGGGAGGUAGAUUCAAGCUGCUGGAAAGGAAUAACGCGAAGGAGUUUGCAAAUUACAAGUAAAGGUAUAUUUCUUAUCACAGUUUUUAUCUAAAUACAAAGCUGAAUCCUAAAUGGGAAUUGAAAUUUGUUAAAUUCCGCUGUGCAUGUUUAAGUAAAUUCCCUACAGUGGUAUCAGAGCCAACUUUGUAUUUGUUAGGAAUUGUUUAACGUGUUGAUUAAAUUAAAUGUUAUUUUAAUCACGUUCAUUCCUAAAUCUAGCAAAUAUAGUUUUAAUUUUUUUUUGGGGUCUUUUUGGAUCUGUUCUUGAAAAACAAAAAAAUAAAAUAAAUUUUUGGGGUCGUGAGGCGGGCGGUGCCGCAGCGCGGCGCGGCAGGNNNNNNNNNNNNNNNNNNNNNNNNNNNNNNNNNNNNNNNNNNNNNNNNNNNNNNNNNNNNNGAGGGCGCUGCACGCGCUGCCGAUUUGCAGCGCGACCGCCCCAGAAAAGAGAAAAGAAAUAAAAUUUUAGGUUUAGGGUUUUGGUGGAGACGGGGGCCUCUGUUGCAAUUAAUGUAAUUAGGGGCCCCUGGUUGCAAUUACAAAAAGAGGGUCAGUUUGCAAAUUUUAAAUCAGGGACCUGUUCUAUAAAUUUCAAUUUUGGAAGGGUCUGCUGUUAAUUUCAAUUUGGGUAAAUUUUGUAAAAUUUCAAAAAGGGUUUUGAUUUUGAAUUUUGAAUUAUUUUAAAAAUGAGUUUUAAACUAGGUUUGACCCAUACCCUAUUUUUGACCCAGAAUUAAAAAUUUUAUUUAAAAAUUUGACGACUUUUAUAUUUUUGUUAAAAUUAGAUUUUGACUUAAAUAUUUAGUUUGACCCUUAAUUGAAUUUUUAUUCUGUUUGGGAAUUUUGUCCUAAAUUAAUAUAUUAAUUCAAUUUUAUUAGAGUUGGACUCUAAUAUUAAAUUAAUUAAAUUUUGUUUUGAAUUAGCACCACUUUCCUAUGCAAAUUAGUACUUAGAGUAUGACUCUAAUUUAAUAAUCAAUUAAAACUCGAUUUUGAUUAAAUUUCCUUACCCAAUAGUUAUGGAUUUAGAGUUGGACUCUAAUUCGAUAUUUAGUUAAAAUUAGAUUUUAAUUAAAUUGGCCCAUCAAUUAAAUUGAUUAAUUAAUAUGAUUAAUUAAUUGUUUAAUUAUCUCGAUCCCAAAAUUUUGAUUUAAUUUUGACGACUAUAAUUGCUAGAUUUAUGAGACAUUGCAUAUAAUAUUAGAUAUUGUACAUAGGAAACAUUUAUGUGAUGAAUGUUUGUGGAUGAUUAUGGACUCGACCAUAUAGAUGUGUUGAAUGGUUGAUUUACUUCUUAUUGUUGUUGUGGGCCUGCGAGCUCCUUAUUAAAUAUUGGACCUGCGAGUCCGUUGUUAUUAUUAUUAUUAUGGGCUGCGAGUCCGAUUUCUUUUAGGCCUGCGUACCAACUAGUAUAGGAUACAUGAUGCAAGUUCGGCUAAUUGGAGGCGCAAGAAGAGGUGGACACCAUGGAGAUGGUGUAUUAGUAUUGGUCCAAUACUGUACCCCUUAAGAAUUGACCAACUAGUUUUCCUCAUGGCUCGGGAAAACUAGAUAGAACAAGUCCAUAAUCAUCCAUACUAUUAUAUAUAUAUAUAUAUAUAUAUGUAUUAUUCGCAUAGUAGAUGUAUGUUUAAAUAUAUGUGUAUAUAUAUAAUUGCUUGAUGAGACCAUUGCACAUUAAAUCCGUCAUUAAAAAUUAUUAAGUUAGUAUUAUUUGCCUUCCAUCAUUAUAGUAAAAAACGAGAAUCCUAAAUCGACCUUAUCUUGUUGAGUACACUCAAGGUUGGUCUAUUAGGGAUAUGUUUGACACUAUGAAAUAUUUGAUAUUUCUGAAUGAUGGGUUUAACUUAACUUAAAUUUAUCUUUUGUUGAGUACACUCAAGGAGAUAAGUUUUAGAGGCAUGUUAAACUAACACAUAAGAUGUGUGAAGACAAAGGAGUUGUCGGCUUAAUGAUCUGGGAGUUGUAUGGAGAUACAAUUGAUAAUAAAAUCUACCCAAAUGUUUUAUUAGGAUUUGUUGAGUACACUCAAGAUCUCAAUACAACGAAUGGGAUCCCAGCCCACUGUGAAUCUAGUGUGGAUUCAAAUAAUUUAUGUAUGAGGGUCAUGAAUUUAUUUUGGACAGUGGGAGCACGUUUAAUUAAAGUCCAUAUUGAAUUUAUGCACAUGCAUUAUAAUACAUAUUAAUUCUAUUUUUUUCGUCAUUUACAGUUUUUGAAUCAUGAGUAAUCAUAUGAAUUUGAGAGGCAUACUGGAUGCCAACAAACUGACCGGACCAAAUUUUCUCGAUUGGCACCGCAAUUUGAGAAUCGUUCUCAAGCAUGAGAAAAUUGGAUAUGUCCUUGAGCAGUCCUUUCCAGUGGUGCCUACUGAAAAUUCCACUCAGGAAGAGGUGGCUGCUUACAAUAAACACAGUGAUCACGAUAACACUGCAGCAUGUGUGAUGCUCGUAGCUAUGUCUCCUGAGUUGCAGAAGCAACAUGAGGGUAUGGAUGCUUACACUAUGAUUUUUCAUCUCAAGGAGUUGUAUGAUGAACAAUCUCGUGUGGAGAGGUAUGAGUCCUCUAAAGAACUAUACUGGUGCAAAAUGGCAGAAGGGUCAUCAGUCAGUGCUCACGUACUGAAGAUGAUUGGUUUUAUUGAAAAAGUCAGUUCACUGGGUUUUAUCAUGGAUCAUGAACUAAGUAUUGACUUGGUUCUACAAUCUCUGCCAGAUAGUUAUUCACAGUUCAUUAUGAAUUUUAACAUGAAUAAGAUCGAAUGCGCACUCCCUGAGUUGCUUAAUAUGCUUAAAACUGUGGAGCCCAAUGUCAAGGCUAGCACUGGGCAUGUCUUAGCUAUUCAUUCCUCCAAGGGAACUAAGAGGAAAAUUAAAGGAAGUUUUAAGAAAACAUCCAAAAAGGCUAAGGGCAAUAAUAAAGCAGUCAAAGCAGGCAAGGACAAUACCAAAUCUGAUGACCCAUGUUAUCACUGUGGAGUGAAAGGUCAUUGGAAGAGGAACUGCAAGGCUUACCUCGCAAGCUUGAAGGGAAAGAAGUCUUCUGAAGCUUCUACUUCAGGUACUUUUGUUAUCGAGGUUAAUAUGUCUACUUCAUUAGCUUCUUGGGUAUUAGAUACCGGAUGUGAAUCUCAUAUUUGUAUAAAUAUGCAGGGACUAAAGAAAAGUAGAGCACUACAGAAAAGAGAAGUUGACCUGCGCGUGGGAAAUGGAGCAAGAGUUGCUGCAUUAGCUGUAGGAACAUAUUUCUUACCACUGCCUUCAGGCUUAGUAUUAGAACUAGAGAAUUGCUAUUUUGUUCCCGCCAUUACUAAAAACAUUAUUUCUAUUUCGUAUUUAGAUAUGAGUGGUUUUUCAAUUAAUGUUAAGAACAAUCGUUGUUCGUUUUAUAAAGAUGAGAUCUCUUAUAGUUGUGGUGUGUUGCAGAAUGGAAUUUAUAUUCUUGAUACUGAGUCGUCUAUUAUGAAUAUAAAAAUAAAAGGCAUAAAAAUGAUAAUCUAAAUAAUACAUACCUUUGGCAUUGCAGAUUAGGUCAUAUUAACGAAAAACGCAUUUCCAAGUUACAUAAAGAUGGAUACUUAGGGUCAACUAAUUUUGAAUCAUUUGACAGAUGCGAGUCGUGCUUGUUAGGCAAAAUGACCAAGUUCCCUUUUACUGGAAAAGGAGAAAGAACCACAGAACUGCUGGGACUAAUACAUACUGAUGUAUGUGGACCCAUGUCAAUAACUGCCAGAGGUGGUUUCUCUUACUUCAUCACAUUCACUGAUGAUCAUUCUAGAUAUGGUUAUGUGUAUCUGAUGAAAUUCAAAUAUGAAGCACUUGAAAAGUUCAAGAAAUUCAAACUUGAAGUAGAGAAACAAACUAGUAAAAAUAUACUCACGCUAAGAUCAGAUCGAGGUGGAGAAUAUUUAAAGGGAGAAUUUUUAGAUUAUCUUAAAGAGAACGGGAUUCUCUCGCAGUGGACUCCGCCAUAUACACCGCAACAUAAUGGUGUAUCUGAACGGAGGAAUCGCACUUUGUUAGAUAUGGUGCGAUCUAUGAUGAGCCAUGCAAACAUCCCAAAAUCAUUUUGGGGUCAUGCACUAAUUGCUGCGUGCUACACACUUAAUCGUGUCCCAUCUAAAUCGGUCGACAAAACUCAAUACGAGCUAUGGAGAAGAAAAAGACCAAACUUAUCUCAUAUGAAAGUUUGGGGCUGUGACGCUUAUGUAAAGCGAAAUGAAUCAGAUAAGCUUGAAGCUAAAUCUGAUAAAUGUGUAUUUGUGGGAUACCCAAAGGAGACAAUUGGAUAUCAAUUCUAUAAUCCCGUUGAGAAGAAAGUGUUCAUCUCAAGUCAUGCCAUAUUCCUAGAGAAAGAGUUUAUUCUAGGAGAGGGUAGUGGGAGCAAACUAGAACUUGAAGAAGUUCAAGAAUCCACAGACACUAUUGACCAAUUAGAUGAACUUGAGUCUGAUCCUACACCUGUUGGUGGACAGACUCUUGAUCAGGAUGUAGAGAACCCUAAGGACACUCCAGCUCAGCGUAAAUCAAACAGGAUCAUUCGACCUCCCAGAAGGUACGAAUUCAUGAUUACUAAUCAAGUAUUAUUAAUCGAGGAUGAUGAACCUACAAAUUACGCAGAAGCAAAGUCAAGUGUUAAUUCGAAUAGAUGGCAAGAUGCCAUGGAAUCCGAAAUGGACUCAAUGUAUGAGAACAAGGUUUGGACCUUGGUCGACCUUCCAGGAGGGAUAAAACCGAUAGGUUAUAAAUGGGUUUACAAGAAAAGGGUCGAUGUGGAUGGAAACGUCCACAUAUACAAAGCAAGGCUAGUAGCGAAGGGUUACACACAAAGACAAGGUAUUGACUUUGAUGAAACUUUUUCGCCUGUAGCCAUGCUGAAGUCCAUUCGAAUUUUGCUUGCAAUAGCUGCAUGCCAUGAUUAUGAGAUAUGGCAAAUGGAUGUCAAAACUGCUUUCCUUAAUGGAAACCUGCAAGAGGAGGUGUACAUGACACAGCCUGAAGGUUUUGAAUCCAGAGGAGCCAACAAAGUAUGCAAGCUAAAUCGAUCCAUUUAUGGAUUAAAGCAAGCCUCUAGGAGCUAGAAUCUUCGUUUUGAUGAAAUAAUCAAAAGGUUUGAUUUUAUAAAAAAUGAAGAUGAACCAUGUGUUUAUAAGAAAACAAGUGGGAGCGAAGUCGUAUUCCUGAUAUUAUAUAUCGAUGACAUAUUAUUAAUGGGAAACGACGUCCCAAUGCUUCAAUCGGUAAAAUUAUGGUUGUCAAAGAAUUUCUCCAUGAAAGAUAUGGGAGAAGCAGCGUAUAUCUUGGGAAUCAAGAUCUAUAGAGAUAGAUCUAAAAGAUUACUAGGCUUAUCCCAAUCUUCGUACAUAGAUAAAAUCUUGAGAAGAUUUAAUAUGGAAGAGUCUAAAAGAGGAUUAUGCCCCAUGUCACAUGGGAUUUACCUCUCAAGAGAUAUGUGUCCUAAAAUACAGGAUGAAAGGAAUCGCAUGGACAAGAUUCCUUAUACUUCGGCGAUAGGAUCUAUCAUGUAUGCGAUGCUAUGUACGAGACAAGAUGUUUCAUAUGCUCCAAGUGUUACGAGCAGGUUUCAAGCAAACCCUGGUGAGAAACACUGGAUAGUAGUUAAGAACAUUCUUAAGUACUUAAGAAGGACUAAAGAUGUGUUCUUGAUCUAUGGAGGAAAUGAACUGAAAAUUCAGGGGUACACUGAUGCUAGUUUUCAAACUGAUAAAGAUGAUAGCAAGUCUCAGUCAGGAUAUAUGUUUACUCUCAACAAUAGAGCAGUUAGUUGGAAAAGUUCCAAACAGGAAACAACCGCUGAUUCAACAAUAAAAGCCGAGUACAUAGCUGCUUCUGAAGCAGCAAAGGAAGUUGUAUGGAUCAAGAAGUUCAUUAAUGAACUUGGAGUCGUUUCUAGCAUUAUUGAUUCCAUACCUUUGUAUUGUGAUAACAAUGGAGCCAUCGCGCAAGCGAAGGAACCGAGGUCUCAUCAACGAUCCAAACAUGUGCUAAGGCGAUAUCAUCUCAUCAGGGAGAUUAUACAAAGAAAUGACGUAACGAUAGAGNNNNNNNNNNNNNNNNNNNNNNNNNNNNNNNNNNNNNNNNNNNNNNNNNNNNNNNNNNNNNNNNNNNNNNNNNNNNNNNNNNNNNNNNNNNNNNNNNNNNNNNNNNNNNNNNNNNNNNNNNNNNNNNNNNNNNNNNNNNNNNNNNNNNNNNNNNNNNNNNNNNNNNNNNNNNNNNNNNNNNNNNNNNNNNNNNNNNNNNNNNNNNNNNNNNNNNNNNNNNNNNNNNNNNNNNNNNNNNNNNNNNNNNNNNNNNNNNNNNNNNNNNNNNNNNNNNNNNNNNNNNNNNNNNNNNNNNNNNNNNNNNNNNNNNNNNNNNNNNNNNNNNNNNNNNNNNNNNNNNNNNNNNNNNNNNNNNNNNNNNNNNNNNNNNNNNNNNNNNNNNNNNNNNNNNNNNNNNNNNNNNNNNNNNNNNNNNNNNNNNNNNNNNNNNNNNNNNNNNNNNNNNNNNNNNNNNNNNNNNNNNNNNNNNNNNNNNNNNNNNNNNNNNNNNNNNNNNNNNNNNNNNNNNNNNNNNNNNNNNNNNNNNNNNNNNNNNNNNNNNNNNNNNNNNNNNNNNNNNNNNNNNNNNNNNNNNNNNNNNNNNNNNNNNNNNNNNNNNNNNNNNNNNNNNNNNNNNNNNNNNNNNNNNNNNNNNNNNNNNNNNNNNNNNNNNNNNNNNNNNNNNNNNNNNNNNNNNNNNNNNNNNNNNNNNNNNNNNNNNNNNNNNNNNNNNNNNNNNNNNNNNNNNNNNNNNNNNNNNNNNNNNNNNNNNNNNNNNNNNNNNNNNNNNNNNNNNNNNNNNNNNNNUUUGGUUUUGUCAUACCACGUGACAUUUCCCGUCACAUGUAUUGCUCUGACACAUUGCUAGAUGUCAAUCAGGGACAGCGAGUGUGAAUUGACGAUAAAUUAAAAGGGUGUAUUGAUUUAUCAAUUUUUGAUUAGAUCAAAAAAAAAAAUUUCACGACGUUAGGCAUCGUGGUCGGGAACCUAAUGGAUCGCACACAAAAGAGAAUUGGAAGAUUGCAAAUUGUCAAUUGGUUAAUUUGACAAUCGUUGAAUAAAUUAAUUAAUUGAAUUUGUUAUUUAUAAUCCCGAAUUAAUUAAUUGGAUUAAUUAAUUCACGGACCGGGUUUAAUUAAUUGGAUUAAUUAAAUAUUGGACCGGACCGGGCCGGGUCCGUUUGGGUUUAUAUAUAUACACAGCUAGGGUUUGAGGUCUAUAAGGUAUUCAUUAUUCUUGCUGGCACAAGAGAGAAACCCUAGCAGUUGCAUUCUAUUUUCUGUGUGGAUUUCAUUGGAAGCUGGACAAUUGGAGAGCUGUGGGAGUUAGAUUCAAGCUGCUGGAAAGGAAUAACGCGAAAGAGUUUGCAAAUUACAAGUAAAGGUAUAUUUCUUAUCACAGUUUUUAUCUAAAUACAAAGCUGAAUCCUGAAUGGGAAUUGAAAUUUGUUAAAUUCCGCUGUGCAUGUUUAAGUAAAUUCCCUACAGUAUUGAAGUUUUUUUAUUCUAAUUUUUGUUGAUUCCCAAAAAUAUCAGAAAUAUGGGUAUCAAAUAGCGAGAUUAAAAGAUUCGACAGCUCCAAAAUCUAUAAUAUUUAUUACAAAACAACUAAUUUUCAUGAUAGCUUACCACCCUUAUUUAAAGAAAUAACUAAACUCUAUAUAGUUAUUAAAUGUAAGAGAUAAUGACAAAAAUUUAAAACCCUAAUAUUCAGAAUUAAUUAGAAAUAAACGAAAUGAAAAUUGAAUUUAUUUAAUAAAAUAAAUAAUACAAAACUCAAUUUUCUUCAAACAGGUUCAAAUAAUAAUGCUAAGAUGCGAUCUUUAGUUUCAUGAUUUUGAAUGCCAUGCCCAUCCCAUACUGGUACAUGUAUUGUGCCAUUCUCGCAAGAUUCAUUGCAAUUUCAAUAAAAGUUUUUGAGAGUGGACAAAUUGUUUCUUGAACUUGGUUCAUUUUUUUCCAUGUCUCACGUAUCAAAGAUCUAAUGUGUUCACCUGCCUCGUCUUCAGAAGGCCCAGUUUCGUUCAUGUAACAUUGUAUUGUUUUAGGAACAUCACCUCUUUUCAUUUCAUCCUGAGAGAGAAAAUGAAAUAAACUGUUAGUUGAAAGGGUUAAUUUUGAAUUGUUAAUGAUUUCAUAAACAAGAAUGAACUUGAAAACAUGAAAUGAAAUUUUAGUCUAUAUGCGCACCACUGAUGUUGCUAAAUCAUCUGAAAGACGUAAAAUCGUUGCCGACCAACGGAUUAAAUUGGGAUAAUCAAGUAAGUACUGAACAGCUUCCUUCUCUAAAGGACUGGUAACAGUGAAAAACGCAUGGGAUAGUAUGACAUGAGUUGAUAUUGAAAUCCAUGCAAUGUUCAUAUACUCUUCCAUUGUUGGUUUGUAUCCAUUGAAGUACCACCUUGCCUCUUGUAAGUAUGCUUUGCAUAAAUCUGUCCACUGCCCAAUUUGACAAGAUUACUGUAUAUGGAUUAUGGAAACUGAUAUAAGGAUUAUGUAUUAGAGACUUUCUGAAGCAAAAGUGAUACCGCUUUCCUUAAAUAUGGAAUUAUUAUAAACCCUUUUUCUUUAAGAAUGUCUUAAGCCAUUUCAUUGACGAAAUUAUUGAGGGCUAGAUAGCAAAUUUGCAUGUAAUCUGGAAGUUGAUGGAUUGAAUUGACAUCCCAUCUGUGGAGUUUCAAACAAAUAAUAAUUAUAGGAGUUAGAACGGCGAGAAGGAAAAAAAAUAAAAAUCAAUAUAUAACAGAUAUGGGAAAAUUUUAUUAUAAACUACCAAUCUAAUUUUCCAAAAUUUGUUCCUCAACUUUAAAGAAAAGCAAGUUUGUACAUUACAUUUUAUUAUUGUUUCGCAACUGGUCGCCCACUAAUGAAAACCAUACUUUUCAUUAAAUUGUCGUGUGGCCCUCAUAAAAACAUGCAUCGCUUUAAAUAUCAACGUACCAAUCCAAGUUAGAAAACAAAACCUAAUUUCAUGAAGUUGAUUAUGCAAGGACCACACGUAUUGAAGUUUGGUGACCUUCUAGGAGAUUUUCUACAAUGUUCAGUGACCAUUGGGGGGAUUUCCUCCACAUAUCAACAUAUAACCAUAUGUAUUACAAGUAGCACUGGAAGGUUUGGUUAUGUAUAUGUCUAACACUAAGAGAAAAAGUGGGAAAUAUUGUUGAGCGGAAGAUGAUGACCACCAAGGCUUGAACUGGGCUUAGUUUUUUUCUCAGUCAACAUCACAAGCAAAACAACCAUAAACCUCGUUCACAGCCUCUCCCACUUACAGUUGCUACAGUUACCCACUUUGAGAACCACAAAGGGGAAUGAAAUCACAAUGAGAACAACAACAGAGGUAGCAAAAUGAGUGAACAGAAUCGAGGUAGAGAGAUCACAAAAGAGGCAGUCGGUUUUUCUCUCACACAGAGAGACCGCGACAAGGGAAAUAUAACCAAAGCAAUGGGACAAUUAAGGUAAGUAGGGAUAGGGUAUGGUAAUGGGUCAAAAGAAGACCUAACACAUAGUUAAAUGGACCACUAAGUGUGUUGCCCUUUAUUUAGUCGUCCAGGUAAGUGAGAUGGGCCAUGAGUAGCACUAAUUUAAAUUAGACUGCUUCUAAUGGCCCAAAACAAUUUUGGGGCUGGGUCAUUUUGUUUGAGGCGUCGGUAUAACGUUCAGUCAUUUGGUCAAUGUUGACUAAAAAAAUAAACCGAGAUCACGUCGUUUGACAACAAUUUGCCCAAGAAAUAUAAGGAAAUUAUGAUACCAUCUAGUUAGACAAAUGUAUCGGUUAACCUUCAUUUUAUCACUUAACAAAUUACCAAAAACUCACAUUUGAGCAUAAGAUUGUUGGAAAACAAGUUCAAUUAUCUUAGCAUUCUUAGUUUUCUCCACAAUCUAACAAAAAAGGUACUUUAACAAUUGACAACUUUUUAUUAUAGGGAACAUUCAUUGAUCAAGCAAUGACGGUGCUAGAAUAAAGGACUUAAAUUUACCUAGAAAUAGUAAUGUCUAAUGGACAAUUUCCUGGUUACUCCAUUUCAAUUAUUAUCAGACACAAAAUGGUAUUUUACAAAAGAAGAAAAGAAUAUACCGUUGGCCGACUAAUAGUCUAAGUGUCUAAUUGAAAAGUCGAGAGAUACCAAUAUUAACCAAGAUUCUAAAAAACACAAUCAUAAAUUGAAAAUAAAGUGUAGGAAAUAAAAAUGAACACAAUGAUUUUUUCGGCUGAAGCCGCAGAGGUUCGUCGACCACUUCUAACACCUAAUCCCCUGUUGAGUAUCCAUUAAAAUGGAUAAAGCUUAGUUGCACUAUAAAGCCCCAAAAUUAGGCACCAAAAAUUACAAGAAUGUUCCAGUAAUUACAAGAAAUAAAGUCACCAAGACUUAUCUUUAAAAUGAAGCACAAAUCAAGCCUCAUUCCACUAAGGAAUCAAGAAACCCGGAUCACACAGGUCACAAAAACAAACUGCCCUCUUCGAACCACAGAAGAAUGAGUGCUAAUACACAAUGUAUCACUUUCUACCGAGAGAUUAUACACAAAAUCACAAAGAUUUCAUAGAAAUUUGAACUUCCAACAUGAAUCAAGCAGAUUUGUACACCAUACCAAAAAACCCAGUAUAUUAACACAAGUAAAUGGAGAAUAACUUCAUCAUCCCUCAAGUAUACACCUGAGAAUCACUCAAAAUUGGCUUGAAUAUGUGAGGAAGAGGGAUUUCAUACACAGAGAUGAAGAGGCAAACCCAAACCCUAGAGAAAAUCUCUUAAAUCUGAAAAUGUAAGAAUAAAGUCUCUCUCUAAUCUGAAAAAUCACGUUCCCAGUAGAGAGUCACAAGAUUUCAUAUUUGGAAGUCUCUAGAAUCUGAUCAGAUGGUCAUCAUGAUGCCAGGUGUUGAAAUCUUGUUAAUUGACACAACUAAUAGAGUUAUCAUUUUGAAAACACGUUUUUUCUCCAAAGAUUUUUGGAAGCACACUUGACAAAAUAAAAAUCGGCAGUUUGAAUUCUCAGCAAUCUCCACCUUGCUUCCAAAAUUUAAGCUUAUAGUCCAACCAGGAGCUUCACCAACAUUUAUAAUUUCAUUUGCUCUAUUGUACCUGUACAAUCAAUGAAAAGAAUUAGUAAAUAACAUCUUUAAACAGUUUUGAAACUUAUUUAAAGGUAUCACCUUAGUUCUCAUAUCGGAUGGAUUAUACAAAGUAGGUAUUUUAUUAAUUUCCAGCAAACCUUUUGAAAUAAUAUCCCUUAUGAAAUGGUAUUUUACAUCAAAAUAUUUUGUCCUCUCAUGAAACAUGGAAUUCUUACUCAAAUGGAUUGCACUUUGAUUUUCAUAAUAUAGUGUUGGAUUAGUAUCUACAAAUCCAAGUUCAUUCAACAAACCAUGAAGCCUUAUGCCUUCUUUAAUGGCAUCAGUGGUAAUAAUAUAUUCAGCCUCGGUGGAAGAUAGAGCAACAAUUUCAAUUGAGAUUUCCAACUUAUCACAGUACCACACAAAGUGUAAAAAUAAGAUGAAGUUGAUUUUCUAUUAUCUCUAUUUCCACCAAAAUCAGAAUCUGUAUAACCCUUUAAAAUUACCCCCUCUUUGUCCAUUUUAAACAUCAAACCCAAGUUGUAUGAACCCUUUAAAUAUCUCAAUAACCACUUCAAGGCUUCCCAAUGAGUUUCACCAGGAUUUCCUAUAAAUCUACUCAAAACACUAAUACUAAAAGCCAAAUCAGGUCUGGUACAAAUCAUUAAGUAUAUGACUGAACCAAUAGCAUUAGCAUAAGGUAUUUUAGACAUUCUUUCAAGUUCAGUUUCAAUUUUUGGACACGAAUCAGAUGUUAAAAUAAAGUGAUUGGCAAGGGGUAAAGUCACAAGUUUACUAUCAAACAUAUUAAACUUCUUAAGGAUCUUAUUACAUACUCUUUUUGACAGAAAAACAAGCAAUCAGAUUUUUCAUCUCUUAUAAUAUACAUGCCAAGUAUUUUCUUAGCGGAACCAAGUUCUUUCAUAUCAAAUUCUGAUUUUAAUUUGUGUUUGAUAUCAUCAAUUUUAGGUUUAUUGGAAUUAGCAAGAAGCAUAUCAUCAACAUAAAGCACAAGAUACAAAGAAUAUUUACCUCCAUUUCCUUUACAAUAAAGACAUGUAUCAUAAUUGCUUCUACUAAACUCAAGCUUCAAGGCAAAUGAAUCGAAUCUUUUAUAUCAUUGUCUUGGAGCUUGUUUUAGGCCAUACAAAGAUUUUUUCAACAAACACAAUUUUUUUCAAGAUUUUCUUUAAUAAAUCCUAAAGGUUGUUUCAUGUAGAUCACUUCAUUCAAUUCACCAUAUAAAAAUGCAGUUUUUGCAUCUAGUUGAUCAAGUUUCCACUUAAAUUGCACAACCAAAUCAAGAAUACAUCUUAUAGUUGUAUAUUUAACAACGAGGGAAAAAAUCUCAUCAUAAUCCAUACCCUCUUUUGUGUGAAACCCUUGGCAACAAGCCUAGCUUUGUAUCUAACAUUGUUAGUGCCACCUUCCCCUUCCUUUAUCUUAUAAUCCACUUGCAAUCAACUAGCUUCUUAUCCUUAGGUCUAUCAACCAAUUCUUGAGUUUUAUUUUUGUAUAGGAAAGACAUUUCUUCUUCCAUAGCUCUCAACCACCGCUUAGAAUCUUUAGAUUUUAAGGCUUCAUGAUAAGAACUAGGUUCAGUUUCAGAUUCAUCUUGAUAAGUGAACAAAGACACAAAUUUAUCACUAUUAAACCUAGCUAGUGGUCUAAUUUAUCUCCUAUCCCUGUCUCUAGUGAGCGGAUAUUAAUCUAGAGGUGUGUUAUCAUCAUUAUACUGCUCAGGUUCAGCUAAAUUGGGCUCAUUUUCACUCUGAUUAGCCUCAUUAGUUGCUAUUUUUUAGGGUAUAGAACUCGUAUUAUUAAUUUUAAUAGGCUUCACCUCAAUUUGGACAUCAUUUUCAGUCAAAUGUCCCUCUUUCCCUUUCAAACAUGGCAUACAUGACUCAUUAAAGACCACGUCCCUUCUUAUAAUAACCCUGUAACCUUUUCCCCAUAAACCCAAAGCCUAUAUCCUUUAACAUUUUCAGGAUAACCCAAAAACACACAUUCAAGGAUCUAGGUUCAAGUUUCCCUAUGUUUUGAUGAGCAUAUGCAGUACAACCAAAUGUUUUCAAGUAAGAAUACUUCACAGGCUUUUGUGUCCACACAGAUUCAGACACAUCAAAAUUUAAAGCACUUGUGAGACUUCUAUUAAUCAAAUAUGCAGCAGUUUUAACAGCUUUACCCCAAAAUAAUUUGUCAAAGCGGAACUCAAAAGCAUGCAUCUAACUUUAUUCAACAAAGUCCUAUUGAUUCUUUCUGCAAUACCAUUUUGCUGGGGUGUGUAGGUCACAGUUCUACGUCUUAAAAUGCCAUUCAACUUGUAAAAAUCAUUAAACUCAUAAUUGCAAAAUUCUAGACCAUUGUCGGUUCUCAAAGUUUUGAUUUUCAAAUCAGUUUGAUUUUCAAUUUGGGUUUUCCAAUCUUUAAAUGUGGCAAAUAUUUCAUCUUUAGUUUUUAAAAGAUGUACCCAAAUUUUUUCUAUAGAAAUCAUUAAUUAUAAGCAAGUAAUACUUGUAACCAGACAAUGUAGGGUUGGAUGCAGGGCCCCACAAAUCAGCAUGUACGUAUUCUAGAAAUCGCUUUUAUUUAUGAGUACUAGUGGGAAAAGGUAAUUUAACUUGCUUUCCAAUCAAACAUUGUUCACAUUUAGACAAAUCACCAAUAUUUGAUUUUCUAAAUACACCUUUAUUCUGUAAAGUCUUUAAACCUUUUCACCAAUGUGACCAAGUCUACAAUGCCAUAAAUUUGCAAUAUUAAAGUUAUCAUCUAAAACUGCUGCUGCAAGGCCCAACAAACAUUUUACAUUUAAAAAGUAUAAACCAUGUCUCUAUGGGAUAGAAGUGAUCAAAUCACUACCCCUAAAGAUUUUUAUGUGUCCUUGAUCCAAUUUUAUGUCAAACUCUAUGUCAUCCAACAUUCCUAGAGACACAAGGUUUCUUUCUAAUUCAGGAACAAAUCUGGCAUCUUUUAACAAUAAAAUUCUGCCAUUUUCUAAGAGCAAUUUUAUGGUUCCAAUACCUUUCACUUUGCAAGUCAUGUUGUUUUCCAUGAUAACUUGGUCCCUUUAGUUUGUUCAAAGUCCAAAAAAUAGUUUUUAUUAGGGUAUAUGUGGAAAGAGCAACCUGAAUCAAGAAUCCAUUCUUGAUUUAGGUUCUUUUCAACAUUUACAAGAACCAGGCCGCUAUCAAUUUUUUGCUUAUCAUAGGACAAAACAGCAUUACCCUCAUUUAACUUCUUUCCUUUCAAAUUAUUUUGCUUUUUGUAGCAAUCUUUUGCAAAGUGACCCAACUUACCACAAUAAUAACACUUCUUUCCCUUUGCCUUAGUUUUAGAUUUCAUUUUGUCAUUGUUUCUUCUCUUAGGGUCAUUUUGAAAUGUUGAAUGAAAAUUAGAUUUACCAACAUUUUUGCCUUUUAUCAAAAGAUUUUCUACACUUUAUUGGUUGAUAAAAUCUGAUUUUAAUUCAAGAACCAUAUUUCUUAAGGCAUUUAUAAUGAUAUAUGUGGUAAGCUUGUCUCUACCAUAUUCUAAGGCAUUCUUUAGGUCUUUAUGCCUAUCACUAAUGGAGUUUAACAAGACCACAGCCAGCUGAUCUUCUGAUAAUUUCUCAUCACAAUUGGCAAGGUCCUGGGUCAAUUUGGUAAAUCUGUCCAAGUUCUCAUCUAAGUCAACAGAAGGAUCCAUUUUGAAAGAAAAGAAUUGUUUUAGCAAAAAAAUUUGUUUGGAGCAGCUUUUGGCUCAUAUUGGGCUUUCAAUUUAGUCCACAAUUCUUCAUGAGUUUUAGUUUCACCUAUAUACCUGAUCACAUUGUGUGAAGGGUACAAGAAAAUAGUACUCCAUGCUAUUUCUUCUAACUCAGUUCUUUUUGUAGCAAACAUUUCAACAGGUCAAGAAUUAUCUAAGGCUUUAGCACAUUUCAUUUGCAUCAAGAUAGCCCUCAUUUUCUGGCUCCACAUAUUAAAGUCUCCCUCCCAUCAUACAUGCUCACUUCAAACUUAGCAGUAGCCAUGACAAGAUUCACUAAGACAGUUCACAGAACACAAGUUUGAAUUCAAGAACACACAGGGAUACACAAUAAGAGUACUGCAAGCAGAACAGGGGAUUUGGGGUCAGUGACCAAUGCACUUAUAUUAUUUUCACAAAAUGGUAAAAACUUAACACUAAGUAGAGAAGGCAGAAUCACAAAGAAUAGAGAUGACAAUCCUAUGCCUUUACUAACUUCUCCAGCAAGACCUUCCAAUUGCACUCUUGCUAGUGUUGUUAUCUCAGAUUCCCAAGACUUCUUGAUUCUUCGGACAAAGACCAGCCAUAGUAGGUUUUGUUAGUGCAAGGUAAAUCAAGGGAAAAAUUAGGAGACCCUACUGUAAAGAUUAAUUACAGAAUGCCGGAAAGAUCUCACCAAUGAGUUUGAUAAAACUCAAUUUCCACCGGCCAAUGUUUACUGCAGGUUUCAGGAAUCAGGUUUAAUCAAGAAAUCACAAAGUUCCAGUAGUCCAGGUUACUCUGAUACCACUGAAAAGUCGAGAGAUAUCAAUAUUAACCAAGAUUCCAAAAAACACAAUCAUAAACUGAAAAUAAAGUGCAGGAAAUAAAAAUGAACACAAGGAUUUUUUUGGCCAAAGCCCCAGAGGUUCGGCGAUCACUUCUAACGCCUAAUCCCCUGUUGAGCAUCCAUUAAAAUGGAUAAAGUUCAGUUGUACUAUAAAACCCCAAAAUCAGGCACCAAAAAUUACAAGAAUGUUCCAGCAAUUACAAGAAAUAAAGUCACCAAGACUUAUCUUUAAAAUGAAGCACGAAUCAAGCCUCACUCCACUAAGGAAUCAAGAAACCCGGAUCACACAGGUCACAAAAACAAACUGCCCUCUUCGAACCACAGAAGAAUGAGUGCUAAUACACAGUGUAUCACUUUCUACCGAGAGACUAUAUACAAAAUCACAAAGAUUUCAUAGAAAUUUGAACUUCCAACAUGAAUCAUGCAGAUUCGUACACCAUACCAUAAAACCCAGUAUAUUAACACAAGUAAAUGGAGUAGAACUUCAUCAUCCCUCAAGUAUACACCUGAGAAUCACUCAAAAUUGGCUUGAAUAUGUGAAGAAGAGGGAUUUCAUGCACAGAGAAGAAGAGAGACGAAGAGGCGACCCCAAACCCUAGAGAAAAUCUCUCAAAUCUGAAAAUGUAAGAAUAAAGUCUCUCUCUCCAAUUUGAAAAAUCACGUUCCCAGUAGAGAGUCACAAGAUUUCAUAAUUUGAAGUCUCUAGAAUCUGAUCGGAUGGUCAUCAUGAUGCUAGGUGUCGAAAUCUUGUUAAUUGCCACAACUAAUAGAGUUGUCAUUUUGAAAACACGUUUUUCUCCACAGAUUUUUUGAAGCACACUUGACAAAAUAAAAAUCAACAGUUUGAAUUCUCAACACUAAUUUUACGUGGAAGCAUUCAAAUAAUUUUGUUAAUCUUGAUUCAACAAAGAGAAAGUUCUUCCUUUCAUAACGGUGGUUUCAGAGAAAUUCAAGAUUUCCGUAAUGGGAUAAAAACUCUUUUAGUCACCAAACUUUAAUAUGUACUUCAGUCAUUGUACUUAUUUUAGCAUAAAUUGUCAGUGAACUUAUAAAGUUGUUCCAAUUAAGUCACUUGCUAAGAAUCCAUUAGUUAAAUUUAACACAUUUGGGGAUGUGCCUACAAAUUCGAUCUCGCUACAUUGAUAUUAAAUUUGACAGUUUUUUACGGUGUGUGAAGUGGCACACUUUUUUACCCUUGAUUUCAACAACACUUAAAAUAAUUCGUGGCACAUAUUUUUACGUCUUAUAAAAUUUCAACCUUAAUGUAUACAUAGAAUGUACUAAUAGAAUUUUCCCUACAAAUUUUUGCAAGAAUUAUGUGACAAAAGAAAUGACAAUAAACUCAAGUCAAAUUACUAUCCACUUCAAUAAUAAGUGUCUGAGUUUAAACAUUUAAACGAGUGCUAUGAAAUCAAAAUCACAUGUGAUGCAAAACAUAAUUGUAAUGUUGUGUUGCUCAUUGGACUGUUUUCAUCCAAAAUAGACACAAAAUUCCUUGAAAAAUUACUUCUUUAAAUCCUAGUCUAAUGAGCAAAACACAACGGCUUUGCCCCCGACGUACGGUCCAUUUUAGUCAAAUUUCAUCGUUUAGGGUUUCGAAAAUGAUUUUUUUCACGUUUUUUUAAAUGAUUUUGUUAAUUUUAAUUAAAUUAGGAUUUUAAUUCCUUUUAGGAUUAUAUUAUCUUUAAUUCUUAUCAUUAUCUGAAGUAAGUCAUUAUCUAGAAGUUUAGUUAUUAUCCAUAUUUUAAUUAUUGCUUUAAAUAUAAGUUGGAAGCCUUAAUAAUCUUAAUUGAAUUUAAUUAUAAUAAAGAGCUUUGAGAAGUUUCUCAAAAUUAUUCCAUCUUUCUUGACAUUCGUGAGCGAAUCAACAAGUUUGAAUUUUUUGCGAGUUUUUGUUCUUCCCUAUAAGCUUCCGCUACGUCAACAUGUCAAACACUAGCUUAUUAAUGCCAUCUCAUUAUUCUUAUAACUACCGUCAAUGACAUAAACAACAACACCUAAACAAAACCAUAAACUUUAGUAAUUGAUAUGGAAGGAUUGUCUUAACUGAAAUAUCUUUGUAAGUUUACCGACAAUCUAUGCUAAAAGGGAGUUACUAAAAUGUCACAUUUUGAGAGUUUGAUGACCAGAAAAGUUUGUUAACCUGUUCAGAAAUUAUAUAAAUAUAAAAAUGAUGAAUACUAACUUCACGUAUCAAUGUUACAUACUAGUCAUUCUCAUCCAAGACACAUGAGAGCGUAGUUGAGAUUGAAGACCAAGAGUUGAGGCAUCACAUGGAAUUGACCCAUAAUCUCCAUUGCCUCCUCCUCCUCGUCCUUCCAAUUGUCUCCCAUGUCUCUCCCCUCUCUAUUUCUUGAUAUCGUUUUUUUGUGACAUUAUUUUGUAUUUAAGAUCUGUUUGCCAAGCUAAAUGGUUAAUCUCCUUUUACAAGAUAAAUAAAGUUAUAAAAUUUGAGAAAUUGUCGCAAAUGGUCACUAACCUUAGUCUACCUUGUGGAAAUGGUUUAUAAUAUGUUUCUUGGCACAAACGUCACCGACCAAUGUGUUUUAGUGCUAUUUUGGUCCUUUUUAUGAAAAAGACCAAAAUGCUCUUAAAUUUUUAUUAGAAAAAAUUGCAGUUGGGUUCCUAAACUUUGCAAAAAGGUGCAAAUGGCUACUUUACCGUAUCUUCUUAUAAAAUAAAUUGAAGGAAACUAACAAGAUCAUUUUUGUUCCGAUUUAAAACUUUAUUGAUCAAAUUGAUUAUAUGCGUGAACAUUUUUUAUUUUUCGUGAGGAUUAAGCGGGUAGAUGCUCUCAAAAUAAAGCAAUCGGCUUGGAUACAAUGGUUGGGUGAUUAUAAAAAAUAGACUUGUGUUAUAUCACUAAAUUACAAUGUAGUGAACUACAUGUUCAAAUAAAUGAAUUCCGUAUCUUAACAUUUAAUCUAGCCAAUGAUUAAAUGUUAUUUAUUGUCAUGUGUACAAGUUAAUUAACAUCAAUAUUGUUACACAGAAUUAUUCUUUCAAAUUAGACGAACCUGUUUUUAGCAAUUGUUAGACUUUAUUUAUUAUUUUUGUUGAAGGUUCAAAUAACCGGAGUCAUGGUUAUAUUGUUUGCUAUUUAUUUGGCAUUAUUACAUAUGUUAGUGGGUUGGUGCAAUUAGUGGAAAUUAUCUUGUAUAUUUUAUCUAUAUCUAUAUUUAAAGAGUGUCAAAUUGAUGAAGAAAGGUUCGAAGAAUUAAUUAUUUUUGCAAGGGUAGGGUUUGUAUUUGAAAGUCCAUUGGUUCCUCGAAUUCAGUAUAUAUUAAGAGGUGUAUAUUAAAAGGUCUGAAUUCGCAAUUUUUUUGUAACAAACAUGGAUUACAUGUUAUGUUUGGCCACGACAUCAUAAUUAAUAUACAGAGUGCAACUUGCAAGUGUGAAAACAACAUUCCUACCACAAAUGAAUUUCGAACUCUACUUGAGGGGAAUGGGCUCAAAUAGUAAAGCUAAAAUGCGAUCUUUAGUUUCAUGAUUUUGAAUUCCAUGUCCAUCUCCAUACUGGUACAUGUAUUGUGCCAUUCGAGCAAGAUUCACUGCAAUUUCAAUGAAUGUUUGUGAGAAUGGACAAUUUGCAUCUCGACCUUUGUUAAUCUUUUUCCAGGUCUCGCAUAUCAAAAACCUUAUGUAUUUGCGGGACUCAUCUUCGGAAGCACCAGUUUCGUUCAUGUAACAUUGUAUUGAUUUAGGAACAUCGCCUCUUCCCAAUUCAUCCUGAAUUAAUAAAGCAUAAAAAACACCUUUAGUUGAAAGGGUUAAUUUCGAAUUCCUAUUGUCUCAUUGA